This 271276-nucleotide long non-coding RNA is filed under the name Citrus maxima (pomelo). Its description in RNAcentral is "long non-coding RNA (CMAX_LNC001427)". The record is from RNAcentral. Lineage: Eukaryota; Viridiplantae; Streptophyta; Magnoliopsida; Sapindales; Rutaceae.
CCCAUUCGAAAACACCAAUGACUUUCAUUCAAAGUAAAUGAGAAAUUACAAUGAAAAUAGAAUCAAAAUACAUAUAUGUAUACCUAAAACAAAUGAUUUUUUUAAUUAAAAAAAAAAUACAGUUGAGGUGAAAUGAAACCAGAGUCAUGAUAUCUCUGGUUCCAACUUUGGGACAACAGCAGACUUGAGUUCUAUAUGAGAAACACGUACAGCACCAAUCAGCCGCUCCAGUAAUUCAUCUGUAGUAUUUGCCUGCAUACAGAAGAGCAAGAUAAAGAAGACAAACACAGAAGCAUUAUAUCAUUCUGAGAACAUUCAAGUAUGCAAAAAUGCAAGUUGCAGUGCAAUAUCUCAAAAUCAUGUCUUUUCCCUUGUGUCCAUUUAGCAGUGGGGGAAAAAAACAAUCAUACAUACCUGUACAAGGAAAGCCAUGUCAACCACCAAUGUCGUAAUUACACCAAUUACAAGGCCCAAAACUCCAUUAGCAACAGUAGAAGAAUCGAUGUCAACAUCAAUCUACAGAAAGAUGAACAAUGUUAAACCAUGUUAAAGGUAUUGGACGCUAUUUGAAAGGGGAACAUCUCAUGUACUAUAGAAAUUCCAAGAGCAUUUACUUCUAAGUACUUGGGACCGCGAAUAUAGUUACAAUCAACUGCCUUCCCCAAUAAACAAGGGGUGCUUCCAACACUCUGGCGCACUAUCCAUGACCCCUGCAUGAUUCAGUGCUUAAAAUCAAGAACAAGUGCAAAACAAAUUCAAGAGGGUAAAAAGGACAUAGUUUGAAUCUGAAUCCAAAUCCAUUAAUCCAGAGUUCAUAGCUUGGAUGAAGACUGAUCAACUUCUGUUGAGUUGGAUGAUGUCGUCGAUACAGCAAAAUCUACUUGCUACUGUGAUUGACUCCACAACUUCAAAACAGCUUUGGGAGACUCUUACUAGUAUGUUUAUUUCUUAAUCACAAGCUAGAAUCCAAACACUUAGAAUGCAGAUUCAAACUAUUAAGAAAAGUGCAAUGCAUAUGUCUGAUUACUUUGCAAAAGUAAAACGUAUAGCUGAUACUUUAGCUCUAGCUGGAAAACCUGUUGAGUUAAGUGACCUUGUGAUGCAUGUAUUAACCGGUCUUGAUUCAUCAGAUUAUGAAUCUUUAGUCACAGCUAUUUUAGCUCGAGGUGAGAAGAUAACAUUAGAUGAACUAUAUCCUUUGCUGUUGAAUCAUGAAAAUAGAGUUGAGCAAAAGAAAGGAAAAAUUGCUGGUGAUGUGAUGCACAAUAUAACAGCAAAUAUUGCUCAGAAGAACUCAUGCUGGAAAGAAUAAUGGCAAUUUUCAAAAAAAUUAUGGAAAUAAUUCUGGAGGUGGAAAUAAUUCUAGGUAUGGAGGUUUUAAUGGAUAUGGAUAGGGUCAGUUUAAUAAUGGUGGUAAUUCCUUUGAAAUUGUUUGUCAAAUCUGCUUAAUACCUGGUCAUGCAGCCAAUAGAUGCAAAAAUAGGUACAAUUCAUCUUUUGUUCCACAAAGAAACUAUGGCAGAGGUAAUAUGAAUGGUGUCAGAGGUUUUAAUCAAGGGCAAUAUGGUAGAGGAAGAGCUUUUAAUGGUAAUGGUGGCAGAGGUUUUGGAGGUUUUGGUUUAAAUGCCGGUUUUGGCUAUGCACCCAGGGGUUUUGGCUAUCAAGGAAAUAUAGUGUAUCCAGAUAGGAAUCCUUCUGCUUAUUACUCAUUCACCCUUGGACCAUCUACUUUUGUUUCUGGUCAAGGAAAUAAUAAUCCUGGACAGUCAAGUGCUUCAUCUUCCUCAGCUAUGCCUUCUUCACUUCCACCAGAACACAUUGAAGAUCCUUCAUGGUAUAUUGAUAGUGGAGCAACAAAUCACAUUACAAAUUAUCUAGGUAAACUUCUGGAUUCACAAGUUUAUACUAGUACUGAAAAAUUGUUUGUUGGAGAUGGAAAUGCAUGAGCUAUUACACAUGCAGGAUCAGUUGUGCUAAAUACUUCAACUUCUAAACCUUUAAGAACCAUCUUCUGCAUGUCCCUUUUAUUACUAAGAAUUUGCUUAGCAUUUCAAAAUUAUUGGCUGACAAUCCAGUUAUUGUUGAAUUUCUUGGUGAUUUGUGUUUUAUAAAGGCUAGGAACACAGGGAAAAUUUUACUUGAAGGUGUUGCUAAAGGUGACUUGUAUAGAGUCUCUUCACAUGUUGCUGCUCAUUCAGUCUUUCUCAUUUCAGUUGGUCAAAAUAAAACUCACUCUCUUUGCUUGUUCUCCUGUUUUCAAUUCUGAUCAGCUCACUGCUGUUAGUUCUUAUGAAUUGAAUAAAAAGUCAUGUCUGUCAGUUGUUACAAAGAGUUCUAUUGAUGUAAAUCUUCUUCAUAGAAGAUUAAGACACCCAGCAUCUUAUACUCUCAAAACUAUACUCAAAACUUGUAACAACUCUACUGCUUAUAAUAAAAUUGAAAGCUUGAAAUUUUGUUCAGCAUGUCAAUAUGGGAAAAAUCAUAUGCUGCAUUUUGAUUCAGUUGAAACAAAAACUUCAGCACCCUUACAAGUGAUAUAUGCAGAUCUUUGGGGUCCUUCUCAUGUCUAUUCUACCCAAGGAUAUAAUUACUACUUAUCAAUCUUAGAUGAUUAUAGUAGAUUUACCUGGAUAUUUCCAUUGUCAGCCAAAUCUGAUGCUCUUGAAGUGUUUACCAAUUUCAAAAUUUUUAUUGAAAAGCAUCUUCAACUUCAAAUCAAAACUGUCCAAACUGACUGGGGAGGAGAGUUCAGAACACUUUCCUCAUUACUCACUGCUUCUGGUAUCCAUUUUAGACACCCUUGCCCACAUAUUCAUCAUCAAAAUGGAAGAAUUGAGAGGAAACAUAGACACAUAGUUGAUGUAGGUCUGACCUUAUUAGCUCAAGCACAUUCACCACUCAAAUUUUGGUGGAAUGCAUUCCACACAGCUGUCUAUUUGAUAAACAGACUUCCAACUCCAGUUCUAAACAACAUUUCUCCUUUCCAAAAGUUAUUUCAUCAUCAACUAGAUUAUUCAACACUUAAAACCUUCGGUUGUGCUUGUUAUCCAACACUCAGACCAUACAAUAGACAUAAGUUUGAUUUCAGAACUGCCAGAUGUAUAUUCAUUGGCUACAAUUCACAACACAAGGGAUAUCAGUGUCUUCACUCUUCUAAGAGGGUUUACAUUUCAAAUCAUGUCACCUUUGAUGAAAAUUCUUUUCCUUGUGAGUCUGGAGCAGAUUUUUCUUCACUCUCUUCAAGUUGUCAGUCAACAAAAAACUAUAAGUCUUCUUUCAAUUCCUCUGUUCCUUCUGUUACUCAGUUACAAGCACCUUUAGCAGCAUCAUCAGAACACCAUCAAAAUGUUCAUCAUUUAGAUGCUCCUACUCCCUCACCAAAUUCUACUCCACUUUAUUUUUCUGAUAAUUCCAACUCAGCUUCUUCUUCUUCACCACCACAUAAUUCACCUCCACAUACAUUGCCACAACCUGCAUCAACUGGUCAUCCAAUGAUAACCAGGUCAAAAGCAGGUAUUUUCAAGCCAAAAAUUUAUUUGUCAGCUUUAUUAGCCCAAAAAUCAGAACCAACUUCUGUUUCCCAAGCACUUUCUGAUCCUAUGUGGUAUAAGGCUAUGCAAGAAGAGUAUCUAGCACUUAAAACUAAUCACACCUGGGAUUUAGUUUUACCUGCUACUCCAGUGAAGAUAGUUGGCAGCAAAUGGGUGUUUCGAAUAAAGUAUAACUCAGAUGGUUCAGUUUCAAGAUAUAAAGUCAGGCUUGUUGCAAAGGGGUUUCAUCAGACACAUGGGAUUGACCAUACAUAAACUUUUAGUCCAGUGGUUAAAGCUUCAACUGUUAGAGUUAUUCUUAGCUUAGCAGUAUUGAAUCAAUGGGUGAUUAGGCAAGUAGAUGUUAAUAAUGCCUUUCUAAAUGGCAUUUUAAUUGAAGAGGUGUACAUGGCUCAACCUGAAGGUUUUGUUGACUCAACUAAACCUAAUCAUAUCUGCAAGCUGAAUAAAGCUUUGUAUGGCUUAAAACAGGCACCCAGAGCCUGGUUUGAUAGAUUCAAGGAUGCAAUGAUCUCUAAACAGCAUUUCCAACAUUCAAGGUCUGAUAACUCUCUGUUUCAUGCCUGGAACAGUGGUCAUCUAACUCUUGUUUUGGUCUAUGUUGAUGAUAUUAUCAUCACUAGUUCCAGUCCAACACUAAUUCAGCAAGUUAUUCAGAGUAUGAAUCAAGCCUUUGCUUUAAAAGACAUGGGGGAACUUAGCUAUUUUCUGGGGAUUGAAGUCAGCAAGUCUUCAUAAGGGGUUUCCUUGACACAAGCAAAGUAUAUUACUGACAUUCUAGAUAAACAUGGCAUGACAGAUUGCAGUCGUGUGCCUACUCCAAUGUCUACUGGUUAUUAUCUCACAAAAGAAUCAGGAGAGCUAAUUGAUAAUGUUUCUCAAUAUAGGAGUGUUAUAGGAGCUCUUCAAUAUGUUACUCUUACCAGACCUGACAUUGCUUUCUCUGUAAACAAGCUAAGUCAAUUCCUUUCAAGUCCUAGAACACAACAUUGGGAAGCAUGCAAAAGGUUAUUGAGGUACUUAAAAGGCACUAUACAUCUUGGGCUGCAAUUUAAUAACAAAGGAGCUUUGCAACUACAUUGUUUUUCAGAUUCUGACUAGGCUUGUGAUCGUGAUGAUAAGAAGUCACUGGUUGGCUUUGCUGUUUACCUAGGCCUUAAUCUAGUCUCAUGGUCAUCAAAGAAACAAGCUGUUGUUUCCAGGUCCAACACAGAGGCUGAGUAUAGAUCUCUUGCUCAUGCUGCUUCAGAGGUUCCCUGGAUACAAUCUUUACUUGGUGAACUUAACAUCAAAUUGAGCUCUACUCCUAUGAUGUGGUGUGAUAAUCAAGAAGCAAUUGCUUUAGCUUACAAUCCAGUCUAUCAUGCUAAAACUAAGCAUGUCGAAUUGGAUAUACAUUUUAUCCGAGAUAAAGUUACUGCUAAAGAGAUUGAAGUAUGUUUUGUGCCCAGUCAAGAUCAAACAGCAGAUGUGUUGACUAAGGCUUACUUUCAAACAGUUUAGUUACUUAAGAAGCAAGCUGAAUGUUCAUCCUAAACAUUUCAGCUUGAGGGGGGAUGUAGUGAAUUGAAUGAAGUUGGAGCAAAGCAUGAUGUUGCUGUGUAGCUGACUGUAGCAGAUCAACUCACUAGGCUGACCUGGCAAAGUUAGUUAGCUGGUUGAGCUGAUGUGUCAAAUUAGUUAUGCAGCAAAUGGUUAUGUGAUGUAAAAAACUUGUGUGUGUGUUGAGCAAAUUGUAGCUUAAUAUAAAUAUCAGUCUGUAUUCAUUUAGUUGUAAUGCUAGAGUAAUAAAGGUUCUACAAACUUCUUUACAGCGCUUUCUUUUAUUUUCUUUCAUUUUCUAGCUUGCCAAACAAUACAAAACUAAGUUUCUUUCGGAAAAGGAAAAAUAAAAAGAAAAGAAUAGUUACUUGUGCAGUACAGCCUUGACGCCUAGCUACAUGGUCCAUUCUCUGUGUCUUUGAACCAAUCAACAGCAACAAGAUCCAUUAAAUGUUUUCCCGCAGGUAUCUGCAGUUACAAAUUGCACAAAGCACAAGAGCCAACCAAACUACAUCAUAACCUGUCGACCUAGCAUAUGCAGGAUAUAUAACUACCAUAACAAACAACCAAAAUAUGGGGGAACCUUUGUUUUGUCAUAACAAAAAUGCUUGCUACGAACUCUAAAGUUAUUUCCACCAGAAAGUUUCCAGCAGUCACGAGCAUUAUCACAGUCAUCGUGUCGCAGAUUGCCUGAAAAAUAAGAAAAAUCAAUUUGAUCAGCCUGCUCUUCCUCUAGGGUAGCAACUAAUUGAAAAUUAUAAACCAAAAAAAAAAAUCAAUACCAUAAAAAUCCACUAAUGAGGACAUUAGCCAAAUAUACAAAAAUGAAUACUUAUCAUCCACCUGUCCUCUUGAAAUCAUUCUCAAUCUUUUUUUCAUUUGAUGGCAGGAAUUAUUGAAAUUGGAGCCAUUUUUUUUGUGGGAAUUGAAAUAUAUUCUUUAAAUUAUUACAUAAAUAGCAAAAUGUACAUACACACACAUAUAUAUAAUUCAUAUAUAAAAAUUCUCUAAUUUGUUCACAAGUACCAUAGAUUAUAAUUCAGUUAUGAAAUAAAAUAACUACAAUAAUUAUAGUUAAAUGAAUACUUCAUUAAUUCUUAAUUUGCUUCCUAACAUUAAAUGAACAACUUGAGUCAGCCACCUGAAUCAACCAGUAACAACGCCUGAGUCAACCAUCUGAAAAAACCAGCAACCCUAGCUGAUUCAAGCACCUGCAAUUAACAUCAACACAACAGGAACAAUCAUAAAUCAGCACCAAGAACAGACCAAACUGCCAUCAAAUGCCACAAAACCAAACAGUCUGCUACUGCCAUCAAAUGCAAGCAAACAUAUGCAACAAAACCAGAUGCAAGUGAAAUUCUGGAGAAUAUCGGAUAAACCAAACCAAAUGCCACACUUCUAGUAAUUAGACUAGAUGCAGUGUUCAAUUAAACUAAAUGUAGUCUCAUAUUACAUUCAAAUUUUCUAAAAAAACCAGUGUUCCAUCAGAGAAGCACCAAAACCAAACCAAUCUAAUCCAGCAUAAUUACCAGCUCAACCCAAAACAAUUACACAUUAUAUUGACAUAUCAAAAUUCGCUAUCAAAACAUAGCCAAAUAAAUGACAAUAAACUGAAAACAGACCCGAACCAACUGAUGUUGCAGCCCUAGUAGUCAUUGUGCGUUCCACUGCCAUAGGAGCGAGGGUAGGCUCCGUUGUUGAUGAGUGAGUAAGAUAAGGCUCCAAAUCAAUAGUUCCACCUCCUUUCUGCAAUUCAAAAAACAGAAAUUCAUAUAUGUAAAACUAUUAAAAAGUGUGAAACAACCUGUAAGUAUUCAACUUCUGUCAACUCAAUAGCACUUACUAAAGUUUUUAUACAGAAGAAAAAGGCAUUUUAAGUCCAAAAAAUUAGAAUUAUUGGUUGAACUCCAACUCCAUCAAUCCAUGCAACCAUCCAACCUUUAACGAAAAAAUGAAGCAUAAUUAACAAGACAUCUGAAUCAGAAAGAUUGUGCUUUGAUUUGGCACGAGGUGUUGGAAACAACUUAACAAAUCUAGACACAAUCUAUAACCAUCAAGUCCAAACAAAAGUCAGGAUCUAAAAUACUUUGAAAAAUCAGAAAAACCGCAAAAUAUCAGUUUCAAUUUCUUUUUCACCCAUUGUAAGCUCAAACUGAAGGUAGCGGCGCUACCUUUAAACAUCAUUUGGGCUUAUACAUGUGACAUUUGCUCAUGAACAACUAAAGUUGAAUAAGAUUUUUAUAUGAAACGGAAUAUAAAAAGUCAAAGUAGAAUAUGACAGGACCAACAAUAUAUUAUUCAGCAUUAGCAUUAUGUAUAAAAUAAAUUUAGAGGCAUCAUAUUCAUUCACAAUCUUGCAGAGGUAAUACCAGAUUAUGGCACGCAACUCUUGAAUAGCAGAUAAAGGAGGAGAUGCAGUGGGAAGGUAGUAACUUGCUUGCAUGAGAACUAAAAAGUAAUAUCCCAAGAUCAAUUAUAGAUCUCAUAAAACAAAAACAGUGAGGCAAACACAAUUAUUGUGAACAAUUAUUCAUAGAACCACAUAGCAGCAACAAGAUCAAAGUCAUCUGUGUAUAAAUCGAUUCCCCACAGCUGACUGCCUCUGACCUAAACAUAAUGAAAUUACAUAACUAAGAAGUAGAGUCAUAAAAUAUGCUGCUGUAACAGCUAUCAAUAAAUUUCCAGACAAAUGGAAUUUGAUAUGUAAGGCUAUAACUAGCAACACUUCAAAAUAAUUUGAAGUAGCAUGAUCUUACUUUAAGGAUCAAUACUACAAUCUUUCAGAAAAAUUAAAGUCUAACCAAAAUUAAAACCUUAAACAUACUAAAAUCUGGUAAAUAGACCUAUAGGAAUUCCAAUGACCUCCAAAAUAUUUGAAAGAAAAAUUAAUUUACAGCAAAAAAUGUUAAAGAUUUGUAAAAUGGAGGCCCAUACUACUAUUCAAAUUACAAAAGAGGAAAGGGAGCUGGCCAUUAAAUGAUAAAGGCAUGCAUAAAGAAAUACGAGCACCACAUUAAAUGAUAAAGGCAUGCAUCGAGAAAUACAAAAAAUAUGCCCAUAAAGACGUCCACUCAAGCCUUAUAAGCGGCUUUAUGCAAAGGAAAGCCAAUUAGUUAACAGUAAAUGAAUUUCAAGGUGCAAUAAUUAAACUCCCUGAUCAGCACAUUUAAGGUUCAUGCAUUUCUACAAAACAUGUAAAUCAUAAGAACUUUUUUGGUCCAAAUGCUAACCAGUAAUUAAGUAGAUUAUCAAAGUAGUCACAGAACAAGCACCACAUUGAUUGCUAUGCAAAAGAUGAAAGUAAAAGUUAAUACUUUAUUUUAUUUUACUUUUCGAGAGUUUUGAUCAUCAUGUGCAAAAUAGUAGUAUAACUUGCUCAGUGUUAUCUCAAAAAGCUUGCUUAAAAUACCUAUUAGCACCAGUCCAAGUUGUCAAAUAAAUCCUUAUCUAUCCAUUCAUCUCUGACCUUGCCAAAAAGAUUUAAACGAGCAUCUAUAUUCUCACUCCAAUCUUUCACAAUCAUAGGCUUUAACUUAGACCAGUUCUUCAAUAUCCCUUCCACUGUGAGCCCCUCGAAAACCUUGUAAAUUGAAUCACAUUUGUCGUCAGUUUCAAAUCCAUCUGUCAAAAGGCUAAGCAAAUGAAUAUACAAUCAACACCAUUCUUCCAAACGAAUAUACAGUCAACACCAUUCUUCUAAACACAAACAAAGUUUGAACGUAUGACAGAUUUUUAGCCAUUUAAUAUUCCAUCAAAUAUAAUUAGAUCACACCUACCAAGGAUUUUUGAAAAGAAUGCAUUCUCAUCUUAAGCAGCAACCUCACUAGUAACACAUUUUCAUACCCUGUUUCCACCUCUGGUCGCACCACCAAAAAAAAUUCAGUACUAAUUAGCUUUAAUAUGUAAAUUUUCGCUUAGUUUAAGCUAGGGUUUUCUUUCGAUUGAAACAGAGGAAAGCUUUUGGGUUAUUAAAGUGAAAGAUAUGGAAUAAUACAAAAAAUUAUUGAAGUGAAAGAGCAGGAAUACAAAAAAUCAGCAGAUGAGAUCGUUGAAAGAUGCGGAGGUUUGUAUAUAAAUAUUAAAUUGAUCGUUGAAAGAUGUAUAAACCUCCAUAAAAUUGAGUUACGACUUGAAGGAUUGUAUAUAAACAUUAAAUUGAUCUAAUUUAACUUGUAUGUAAACACUAAAUUGUAUAUAAAUACACAAAACAGAACCAUAUCAGUGUUGGAAAAAAAAUAAGAAUCCAGAGUUAUAUAAAUUCAAUAAAAAAGUAUUGAAUUUUUUAUUACUAACUUUGAACACUCUAAUUUCAAUAAAAAAAAUAUAUUACUAAAAUAGUCUUAAUUGAAUUUAAUAUUAAAGAUAUUAGAAUAACUCAACACUAAUAUUCUCAAAUAUAUUUCUCUCCAUAGUCUAAUCUAAUCCAUUCUAAGAAUCCUAUAGAAAAUCUAUUAUUUACUUUUUCCUUAUUAAACACAAAAACAUGUCAUUUUGUUGCUAACUAAAAUUUUGGAACUAACAACAGCAGAUUAACUAAAAUUAUCAGGAAAAGAAAUCAAACAGGAUUUUAAUCGUCAUCAUCUUCACUCUUGCCUUUUUCUUUUUCUUCACACAUGUGGCUUGCACACGCAUUCCCCUCUCUCAUCCUUAGGGCCGCCCUUCAACAAUAUCCAAUCAUCGAUUAUAAUUAUUUAGAUUGACCAAAUCAAGCUUUGAUCAUAUAUCGGUUGAGGUUAGAAGUAGGCAGGCAGCAACGACAAUACUAAUUAAUAUCUCAUGAGAAUUUUAAAAAAGAAUCUAACGUUGCCCAAUUCGUUUGAUUUCAAUGAAAUCUUUCUCCUACCUAUACUUUCGCAUAUUCUCUUUUAUUUCCAAAGUUAAGGUUAUGGAUGUUGUAGAGUAAAAAGAUGAACAUUGCUAGGAAAGCAAUAAAAGGAAAUAAAUAAAAAUUAAAAAUAUAAAAAGAGUUAAGUCAUUUUUUUUGUCUAUUAGUGUUUUUGUAUUUAAUAACGAAAGAUAAAAAUGAAGUAAAUAUUAUCUGUUAGAUUAUUAAAAUACAUACUUAAAAUGUUUUAGUGACAAUCUAAUUAUAAAUUAAGGGUCUAUUUGAGAUUGAGAUUGAACAGUUAAAAUGUUAUAGUUGUUGUAGUUUAGAAGUUAAGAUGAUUUGAUUUUACACUUAUAUGAUAAAAAAUUAUUAUAUCUUUAUUAAUUUUAUCAAAAUUAUUAUUAAAAAAACUAAAUUUAUUAUAUACUAUUAAUUUUUAUUUUAUACUUAAAAUUUUUUUUUUCUUACGGCAAAAGUUUUAGCACCUCAAUACCCAACCAAGUCUAAAACUGCACAAUAAUAAUUAUGAGUGUGCAUGUUAAAAUCUACACACAUUCUUUAAUUUCAAUCAACAGUGUUACAAACUUAGUUAAAAUAUUAUAUCUGAAAUUAUUGAGGGGAAAAAAAAAGAAAAAAGAAUGUUGUUUUCAUGAUAGUGACAUGCGUCGUGCACAUUUUGCUGUUGGCUCUUUGGUCUCUAACCUAGCGAAUAGGUUGCUGUGUCCUCGUUGUUAGAUGCCCGAACCCAGCGCAAGAACUUUGUACGAUACCAUAUAUUUUGUAUGAAUUUAAGCUGAAGUUGGUACCUUUUAUUGUUUUAUAUCAUGACAUCAGGGAAAUUUUUAAUAGAUCUUCAUUUUAGGCUAAAGUACCCGAACAAUAGUUCCCAUGCACUUUGUGAUCUUUUUACAAAAUAUUAAACUAAAUAGCUGUGGAAGUAACAAAGAGGGCAACUUUUUACCAUAAUGUGAUGAAAAUAAUUUAUUUGUUGUCAUCACGAACUAACCAAAUCAAAACAAAAAACUAACUCAAAUCUGUGCGUCUAGUAACUUAUAUGAUGAUCAUUAGAUCUUGUUCUUGUUAAUGCGUCUAGUAACUUAUAUGAUGAUCUGAUGAUAUCCGUAACAUUAACAUACCCAUAAUCCAUUAUUUUAUAAUUAUAAAAAUUGAAGAUUCGGUCAUGCAAUUUUGUAUGAUGAACAGUGUUUCAUUUUUCUGUGAAACAUAAGAACAAUUUGUAAAUAAUGUCCAUGCGGACCUUGUAAUAGCGAAGCAUCAUUAUUGAUCUUACUUUGAUGAUCGCACUUUAGUUUCUUUUUAAAGUGCCUUUUGUUUAUUUUAUCGGCAUCCGCUUUUACAAAAGUUUUGGUCCUCGUUCAUUCAUCAAAGCUUCUACUUUUAUCUUUUAUUAGGCAUCUUAUAAAAAGCUUAAUUUAAUUGGAUUCAUGUUCGAUAUGAAGAUUGUUUUACUUACUUCAAUCUUUCAAUCAACCGAAUUUAUUCUUUUCUGAUCUGGAAAUUAUUCAUGAAAAAAUAGGCGCGUCAGUAGGACAACAGGGACCAAGUACAUAAUAUGAAAAUUCAUUUGUAUUGCUUACUCUAAUAAGCUCUUAAACUCACACAUUCCUCUGCAGUUACCAGUGAUCUUUUGCUCACUAAAAUUGUUAAUAUAUAUUCAAGGUGAAUAAAGAAACUCAUCAUCCCAGAUAAUUAAAGAGGUGAACUUGUUCUAAAUCCUUUAAUAAUUUCUAUUAAUAGCAUAUAUAAUCUCUAAUCCUUGAUCUUGAUAGUAGUUCUUUCUUAAUGUCCAAGAAAAAUAUCUCUCAUUUGUCUUAAUCUUGUCAUUUAAUUUUCUUGAAUUCUGAGUUAGUGUUUAUUGUUAAAUUCGGUUUUCGGUUAGUAGCUGUUGGUUAAUAGCUUCGGUUAAUCCUUGAAUUAAACAUAUUAAAAUCUAAUCAUAAACCCGCCUUUCCCUAUUUUACGACACCCUUUGUGUAAUAGUGACUUCAAAAGUGUAACAUAUUUUUGAACAAUUGCAAGGAAAGAACAUAUUUGACACUUCACGAAACGGUAAAUAUAUAAGCUUCAAUUCUUGUACAACAAAUUAAUAUAACCAACAUCAACCGUCAAUUGAUCAAUAAUUCAGUAACAAAAAGGGACAGAUAUCCUAGUCUUUCUUUACUAAUGAAGCAAGCCAUUAAACUUCGAAAGCUAUUUCUAUUUCCACAUUCUUCAUGUACCAAAGCCAAAAAAAAAAAAAAGCAACAAAAAUUUGGAAGUAAUCAUCUUUAUUCAGCAGCAUGCAUAUUAAUUAAAACAUAUUCAAAAAGAGAUAUACAAUAUCAGGUCUGGAGACGAAAUGAGCCCACAGAGACUACCAAUAAUGUAGUGGCUUGAUUAAAAAUAUUAAUCAAGCCACUACAUUAGAAGAACAAGAGUUAAUCAUGCAUAUUAAUUAAAAAUAUUUUUGCUAUCAUCCACCUGUUCUCUCUAAAUAGUUGCCACUUUUUUUUUUCGUUUGUCUGAAAUUCCAAGCAAAAAUAUAAUUAGAAGAACAAGAGUUAAGGGUUAAAAAAAUGGAAAAAUAGGGCUCCUCUGUUUUCAUUCCCCUGUUUUUCUGUUCGGUGAUUACAAAGAUUUAAAUCAAAAUUUAUGAUGCAGGCUACACGGCACCUGGUGGAAGACUGCUAGGGUUUACCUUUUAUUGUUAGUUAGAAAUUUAAUUUAGAAUUUGUAGUGUUUGCCUUAUAUAAGUAGGUUUCCUAAUAGUAAAAUUAAAUAAUCAAGUUUAUGAUGCACUAGGAUAUGGUUGUGAUAAAUGAGCUUUUUAUGUAUCCUGUGAGGCUGAUUAUUAUUUUAUUACAUUGAAGAUUCAGUCAUCUCUUGGUAGUCUUGUGAAUCAAGCGGAUUUAGUUAGUAGUAGGUAAUACUCUGGACUUCACAUAGUAAACGGAAUGGAGCAUUAUUUUAUCCCGCUAAAUCAGUUUUUUUUUUAAUUAAAAAAUAAUUCAUCAAACACUUUAUAGCUCUGGUUUUAAGUUGGUAAACACUUUAAGCCGCAACUUUAAAUUCAGUUUACGAGAACUCCUAACAGUCACUGUGGCUUGGGUAGAAAUGAAUAUACUAGCAUAAGUAAUGCUACCCAGGAAAUGUAGUUGAACCUAACCAAACUAAAACCAGAUGAUGAAAGCUUAUAUACGCCAAGAGAUUUAUUCGUUUCUGAGUUUGUUUCCAGAAACCCGGAACCUCCCCUGUUUCUACAAACACGGCACCUUUGUUUUCAUUCCCCUGUUUUUCCAUUUGGUGAUUGUAAAAAUCUAAAUCUAAAUUCUUGAUGCAGUCUACACGGCACCUGCUAGAUGAUUGUUUGGGUUUAUCUUUUAUUCUUAAUUAUCAAUUUAAUUUAGAUUCGUAGUGUGCACCUUAUGAAAGAUUAAAUAGAAUAAUGUGAAAAAAAAAGAAUGCCUUUGUUAAUUUUGACUUCAUAAUGUUGCAGUAACCGUCCUCUCUUAUCAUUCCCCUGUUCUUUGGUUUAGUGAUUGCAAAUAACAUUCUUUUCAUCUACUCUUUAUUUAUUUAUUUUUAAUUUUUAACUCAUUAAUUCUUGUUCUUCUUAAAGCGUUUAGUAAAUUAUAUGAUCACCUGAUCAAAUCCCUCACAUUAACAUACAACAUAACUAACAAAGUGUUGGCUCCACUGGCAAUGGAGUCUCCUCAAGUGGCUUAACUGGAUUUGCUCUCCAGUUCGACUCGCAAGGAAGUCGCCUUUGUUGGGAAAACUUGUACCAAAAACUCUGAUCUGUUGGCUUUGUAUCAGUAUUGCUUGUUUGUUGUCUUUUAUUUCAUUAUUUGUAUCUAAGUUUAUUUGAAGAUUACAGAUCAGCAGGAAAAGCCCUUUUUCUAAAGCUAACUAUACAGAUUUUAGAAUAGGGCUCAACCACAUGAAAAUAUUUACGUUGUAAUAUCUCAUAUUAAUAAUCUAAAAACAACCAAUCCAACAAGUUCAAAUUCAGUCAAAUCUAAAAAAAAAUUGCUUUUAAGGAGUACAUGAUAGCUAUUAAACUUUGGUUAAAGAUCUUUUGGGCAAACGUGAAAUUCAGUCAAUCAUAAAUCAACCAAUCCAACGAGUUCAAAUUCAUCACUUGCAAAAUUAAGUUUUCUUCCGAAAUUGAGUUUUUUCCAGUAGAAAUUUUCCCGCAGUCACGAGCACUAUCAUCAAAACAAGAUUAUUAACAUAAGAACAAGAGUUGAGGAAAAAAAUAUCUGUUUAUAUGGACACGGGGUGCACGCUUUAAGUCUUGUUCUUUUACAAUUCAAUUGUAUUGCUUACUCCCAUAAACUCCUUACUCACAUUCUUCUGCAGUUAACAGUGAUCUUUUGCUCAUUAAAAUUUUUCUUAUAUAUCGAAGGCCAAGAGUGAAGCUCAUAAACUCUGUGAUCCUAGAUAACCGAAGAGGUGCGUUUGUUCUAAAUACUUUAAUAAUUUCUUUCAAUCGCAUAAUUUCUAAUCUUUGAUCUUGAUAGCAGUUGUUUCUUAAUGUCCAACAAAAACUAUCUCUUGUUUGUCUUAAUCUUGUCAUUUAAUUUUCUUGAGUUUUAAGUUACUGUUUAUUGUUAACUUCUGUGUUCUUAUGCAGUAUUAUUAAUGGUUAAUUUGCAUCCAUCUUCCAAAAAAGUUUUCUUUCUUCAUAAAAUUGUUGGUUUUCCAUUCAGGCCCCUGAAACCUUUUUCUAAAAAGUUUUUUGUUGUCGUUUCUUUCUUUUUCUUCCCCGCUAGUUCAUUUAAUUUAUUUGAAUCCAUUUUUUUUUCAACAGCCAAAAACUAGAUAUUUAUAGUUAAGCAACAGGCAAUGGCUAUAGAAGCGUGUCUGGCUUUUUUAACCAACUGUGUAUCAGAAGGUGCAAAGUCACUGUUCAACCCUAUUACACGGCAGAUAUCUUAUGUGUUCAAGUACCAGAGCUACAUAGAUGAGCUAAAAGAUCAAGUGAAGCAGCUGGGAUAUAAGAGAGAAAUGGUGCAGCAACCAGUUAAUCAUGCUAGGCUACAAGGGGAUGAGCUUUUUGAGGGUGUCACAGACUGGCUACAUAGCGUUGAUGAAUUCAUCAGUGAAGGGGUUGCAAAAUCCAUUAUUGAUGAUGAAGAUAGAGCUAAGAAGUCCUGCUUCAAAGGAUUAUGCCCAAACUUGAUUUCUCGUUACAAGCUUAGUAAACAAGCAGCAAAGGCGGCAGAAGCUGCCGCUAGUCUCGUGGGAAAAGGCAACUUCUCCAAUGUUUCCUACCGUCCUGCUCCAAAGCGGGCAGAACAUAUGCAAGUGAAAGAUUUCGAGGCGUUUGAUUCAAGAAUGAAAGUAUUUCAAGAUGUUGUGGAGGCGGUGAAGGAUGACAAGGUCAACAUAAUUGGGGUCUAUGGGAUGGGCGGCGUGGGCAAAACCACGCUGGUCAAACAAGUUGCAAACCAAGUGAUGGAAGAUAAGUUGUUCGAUAAGUUCGUUAUGGCCGAGAUAACACAGACCCCAGAUCAUCAUAAAAUUCAAGACAAACUUGCUUUUGAUUUAGGCAUGGAAUUUGACUUGAAUGAGAAUGAAUUUCAAAGAGCUUCUCGACUGUGUCAAAGGUUGAAGCAAGAGAAGCGGCUCCUCAUUAUACUGGAUAAUAUUUGGACAAAACUUGAGUUGGAUGCGGUUGGAAUUCCUUCUGGAGAUGUGGAUGAGAAAGAUAGAGAGGACGAUCGGAGAAGACUCACAAUAAUAUUGACGUCUAGAAGUCGAGAUUUAUUGCGCAAUGAUAUGAAAUCUCAGAAGGAUUUCUCAAUUGAAGUUUUAUCAAAGGAAGAAGCAUUGCAAUUGUUUGGAAAGAUAGUGUGUAAUUCUGCAAAAGCAUCUGCUUUUCAACCUUUAGCAGAUGAGAUCGUUGAAAAAUGCGGAGGAUUGCCUGUUGCACUGAUUACCCUUGCAAAAGCUUUGAAAAAUGAGAGGCUUGACACUUGGAAGGAUGUGCUGCGUCAGCUAAGAAGUUCCAAUGCAAAAGAAAUUGAUGGAAUGGAAAGAAAUGUGUACAUCUCCAUAAAAUUGAGUUACGACUUACUGGGAAAUAAGGAAGCAAAAUCUCUGUUCCUUCUUUGUGGUCUAUAUACUGAAGGUGAUGUCAUACACGUUUCUGACUUAUUGAGAUAUGGUAUGGGUAUGGGCUAUUUUAAAAACGUUUACACACUGGAAGAAGCAAGGAGUAGAGUGCAUACGUUGAUCGGUAAACUCAAAUCUUCAUGCUUAUUGUUGGACGGUGAUGCCGAAGAUGAAGUUAAAAUGCAUGACAUCAUUCAUGCUGUUGCUGUAUCAAUUGCAGAAGAGGAGCUCAUGUUUAAUAUUCCAAAUGUUGCCUACGUGGAGAAAAAGAUGGAAGAGACAAUACGGGAAGGUCCAAUAGCUAUUUCUUUACCUUAUAGAGAUAUUCAAGAGCUUCCCGAAAGGUUGGAAUGUCCCCGUCUCGAGUUACUUUUGUUGUUUUCAAAGCGUGAUAGCUCUUUGCAAAUUUCAGACCUCUUUUUUCAAGGGACAGAAGAACUCAAAGUUUUAGAUUUUACUGGAAUAUUUUUCUCUUCAUUACCUUCAUCACUUGGUUGCCUCAUUAACGUUCAAACAUUAUGUUUAGAUGGUUGCCGACUGAACGAUGUAACUAUAAUUGGACAGCUAAGGAAAUUAGAGAUUCUCAGCUUCCGAGAUUCUGAUGUUAACGAGUUGCCACUUGUAAUUGGACAAUUGACGAGAUUACAGUUGCUAGAUUUGAGCAAUUGUAGCAGCCUUGUGGUGAUAGCUCCAAAUGUCAUAUCAAAAUUAUCUCGAUUAGAAGAACUAUAUAUUGGUAACAGCUUUUCACAGUGGGAGAACGUUGAAGGAGGAAGUAACGCCAGUCUUGUUGAGUUGAAGGGGUUGUCAAAGCUAACUACUUUGGAGAUACACGUUCGGGAUGCCGAAAUUCUACCGCAGGAUUUGGUCUCUGUGGAAUUGCAAAGCUAUAGGAUAUGUAUAGGAAAUAAGUGGUGGAGCAGCUGGUCCGUUAAAUCUGGAUUAUCAAGAUUGAUGAAGCUCCAGGGGCUAGAAAAGUUUGGCAUUCUUUUGCAGAAUUACAGGAUGAAACUGUUGUUGAAGAGAACUGAAUAUCUCUAUCUAGGAGAACUGAAGGGUGUUCAGAAUGUUGUUCAUGAAUUAGAUGAUGGGGAAGGUUUUCCACGAUUGAACCAUCUUUCUGUAAAAAGUUGUUCUGAGAUUUUGCAUAUUGUCUGUUCAGUUGGACGGGUUCGUCGCAAAGUCUUCCCCUUGCUGGAGUCAUUGUCUCUUCGUCGUUUGAUCAAUUUGGAGACAAUAUGUGACAGCCAACUCACAGAAGAUCAAUCUUUCAGCAACUUAAGGAUUAUAAAAGUAUCAGACUGUCACGAAUUGAAGCAUCUUUUCUCAUUCUACAUGGCCAAAAACCUACUGUGGCUUCAAAAGGUAGAAGUGUUUUUUUGCGAUGAUCUGGAAAUGAUUGUUGGUAAGUGUUGAAAUUAAGUGUUGGUGGAUUUAUGGACUUCGCCUCAAUUAUUUUGAAAAAAAAAAAAGACAACGACAAAGAUUAAUUAUGUAUAUUGUUUUAGUUUGUUUAUAGGACCCGACAUGGACAAACCAACAACUUCUUUGGGAUUCAACGAAAUCAUUGCUGAUGAUGAUCCUGCUCCAAAGGUGAUAAUUUUCUGUUCAAUAAUUAAUUGAUUAAUUUAUUAUCACGAUUAAUCUUCGAUCAUCAAAAGAAUAUUAUACUAGACGGUUGUACUUGAAGGAACAAAAAUGUACGGGUUUUCUUUGCAGGUUAUUCUUCCGAGCUUAGAGGAAUUGAAUCUCAUGUCAUUAAGAAACAUCAAAAAAUUAUGGGCCGAUCAUAAUCAAGGAAUGUACUGUUGUCAAAAUCUAACAAAGCUGCACGUGGUCGGUUGUCAUCGUAUGAAGUAUCUGUUUUCAUAUUCUAUGGUUAAUAGUCUUGCGAAACUCCAACAUCUUGAGAUAAGCUAUUGUGAGUCAAUGGAAGGGGUAGUCGACACCACGGGAUGGUCAGAAAGAGAUGAAGGAAAGUUGAUUGAAUUAAAGGUUUUUCCUAAGCUACACUCCCUGCAGCUAGAAUGGCUUCCAAGACUAAGUAGCUUUGCCAAUAUGGGACAUAUUCAUUCAGAUUUAGUUGUUGAAUUCCCUUCUUUGCUAAACCUCAUGAUUGGUUGUUGCAGUAAUAUGUUAAGAUUCAUCUCUACGAGCUCACCAGAAGACACCAUUCAUUCUGAAAUGCAACCUCCUCCUCUCUUUGAUGAAAAGGUUUUUUUUUUUUUUUUUAAUUAAAAAAAAUAAUUUUAGUCACAAUACUUGAUUUGUCUUUUCCUUGAGUCUUCAAAUUUAGUUAAUAUCCGCCUCUAAUUUAGUUAUCAAUUGAUUAUGCCAUUAAUUGAUUAACUAGUUAUUUAAUCUUUAACUGCCAGGUACGAGUUCCUAGGUUGGAGGUAUUAUAUAUUGCGUGGAUGGAUAACCUAAGAACAAUAUGGCACCACCAGCUUGCUUCGGAGUCUUUCAGGAAAUUGAAGAAUUUGGAGAUAGAAGAGUGUGAUAACCUAAUGAAUAUUUUUCCUCCAUUGGUAAGGUUGCUGUAUUCAUUUCGAUUUUUUUUUUCAAAUAACAUUCAACAAUUUUUUAAUCUUUUCUGUGUUUACAAAUGAUAUUCAGCCACUAAUUAUUUAUUUCAAAUAUUGUACUUCAAACCACCACUCUAAAAUCUACGUUUUAAGUCUAGUUUUUAGGUUCACCAGCAUUAGAAUCAACAAUAUAAUUUUUUUAAACACGAUUCAAUAGCAUAAUAUAAUUCAAUUUAAUUGUUUUUGCUCAUAUCUUAAUAAGUACGAUUUUCAAAAAUUAAAGGAUAGUCACUCAUCUUAUAAGUUCACAAAUUCAUCUAUAUAUUUCUCUUUUCCUUAGUUCUUCACAUUUCGAUUGGGAAAAAAAAAAAGAAAGUCUUCAAAUUUAAUUAAUAUCUCCAGUUUAGUUAAGAAUUGAUUAUGCCAUUACUUAACCACAAAUUCAUGAUUGUUUACAACUGACCCUUGAUUGUAAAGAAAUUUCCUCGAGUCUGGAAGUACUUAAUAAAGAUCCACUUUAUAGCAAUCCCUUGUUGACAGUACUGGGAAGUCUUUUCCAAAUUUUUUUUUUCCAUUUUUAUACAUACAUAAAAAAAAGGGGACCAAGGAAAAGGGAAAAAGAGGCAUUUUAGUUGAGUUUUUUUUAAAGGAAUAGUUGAAAUGUGCAAAUUUAUGCUUAAAAACUUAUAUCAAGAUGCAAAAUAAGUCUAAAGUAUUUAGAAAUUGCCUUAAAUUCUUUCUACGUCCCUAAUACUAAAUAGUGUAAAUACAUUUUUAUCAUCUUUGUUUAUCUGGCUUUUAUUUAUUUAUCUUGUUACCUUUUUUGUUUAACAAAAAAUUAUCUAGUAGACAUUUCACAGUUUGUUAUGUUCAUAAAACGUAUAAUUGUAUGAUUAAACAUACUUUGAGCCUAGUUGAAUGAUACUCUUACAUUUUUACUUUUUUAAUAUACACACACACACACACUCUCUCUGCUUAUUUUCAGGUUGGAAUUCCUACUAGUCUGGUGAAUCUUUAUGUAUGGAACUGCAAAAAAUUAGAAGAAAUCGUAGGACAUGCUGGAGAAGAAGUGAAGGAGAAUCGUAUUGCUUUCAGUGAAUUAAAACUUUUGGAACUUGAUGAUUUACCAAGGCUUACCAGCUUUUGUUUGGAGAAUUACACUCUUGAAUUCCCAUCAUUGGAACGAGUAUUUGUGACACAUUGUCCGAACAUGAAGACUUUUUCUCUGGGAAUCUUAUCCACACCAAAGCUGCACAAAGUGCAAGUGACUGUAAAGGAAGAUGGUGAAUUGCACCAUCGGGACGACAAUCUUAAUUCCACCAUACAAGAACACUAUACAAGAUCUCAUGGAAAUAAGUAAACCCGUAAUUUUUUUCACAGCAUCAUAAGAAAAAAUCAUUUUUUUUUUAGUAUUUUUGUUGGCUGUUGAGUUUUAACAGUAGUAGCUAUUAAACAAGAACAAUCAGUGUAUAUUAAAAAGUUGGAAACUGGUUGAUACCACUUGGGAAUCGAGCAGCUCACUUGUUUGCGAGUAGAAACCAACUUUACUACUAAUUACACUCAUUCCAAAAAUAGUAACUAAAGAAUCAGGAAAUUUCCUAUUCACUAUUCUUCAUUUUUUAAUGCAAAAUUCCCAUGAAAAUGGGAUCAAAAUACAUGUAUGUAUACCUAAAACAAAUUAUUAUUUUUAAUUAAAAAAAAACACAGUUGAGGUGAAAUGAAACCAGAGUCAUGAUAUCUCUGGUUCCAACUUUGGGACAACAGCAGACUUGAGUUCUAUAUGAGAAACACGUACAGCACCAAUCAGCCGCUCCAAGACACACGAAGCGUUAUGCCAUUCCGAGAACAUUCAAGCGUUAUAUCUCAAAAUCAUGUCUUUUCCCUUGUGUCUGUUAAGGAAGCACACUGAGCACGUGUGAACUAAGAGUAGCUGCACGAUAAGCAUGUGUUAGUUAAAGAAGUAUAUGCCAGCUCAGCCAAUUAGUUAAGCAGGCUUUUGAUUCUGUUAUAGUUGUGUACCUUGCUUUAAUUCUGUUUUUAUGAUGUAAGCAACGAGUAUAAACACUGCUACGUUUGUCAUUUGUAUGUUAUGGAAAGAAAAGAAAUCCAGAAUAUUCUAUUUCACUUUCUCAUGAAUUUUCUGAGCUUCCAAACAAAAUUAUCAGUUCAAUUUUAAGCUUUUCAACAGUGUCCAUUUAGACGUGCAAAAAAAACAAUCAUACAUACCUGUACAAGGAAAGCCAUGUCAACCACCGACCGAUGUUGUAAUUACACCAAUUACGACAAGGCCCAAAACUCCACUAGCAAAAGUAGAAUAACAUCUAUGCCAACAUCAAUCUAUAGAGAGAUGAACAUGUUAAUGGUAUCGGACGAGCUAUUUGAACGGGAAACAUCUCAUGUACUAUAAUAGAAAUUUUAAGAGCAUUUACUUCUAAGUACUGGGGACCGCGGAUAUAGUUACAACCAACUGCAUUUAGAAACAAAAAUUUGCGCUUGCGACAAGAGCUGAUCUCUUCAUUCCCCUGUUUAGUAAUAAAAAAAAAUCAAAAUAGCGGAGAAACAGGGCCCUCUUUUCAUUCCCCUGUUUGAUAACAAUAAAAACAAAACAGAGGAGAAACGUGGGCUCUCUUUUCAUUCCCCUGUUUUUCUUUUCGGUUUGGCGAUUUUAAAAUUUUAUAUCCACAUUCAUUAAAAAAAAAAAAAAAAGUUAUUCCAAAAAGAUUUUCUAUUUUCAUAUAGACGUUUAUUUAUUAACCAAAAUUUAAAAAGUGUAAUUCUAAACUUAUCCUUGUGCUUUGAUCUUGGAGGGGUUUUUCAUUUUUUCUACACUGGCCAUAUCAAUUAAUGAUGAAAGUUCUUAUCCUUAAUUGCUUUUGAAAUGAGUGAGCACGGUAUGACCCUUAAGAGAAUUAAUUAAUUGGACAAGUUAUAUAACGCCUUUGAUAUGGCUCCUAGACAUGUAUGCAAUUUGUAUCUUUCCUCAAGUAUGCAUGAGAAUACUUGAGGAAAGCUUCACAAUAGUUACGGCCGGAUCUGCACUUCACAAGUCCUAAUAGGGAAGUAUAAAUAUAUGCUUCUGGAACAGUGCAACUCUCCAUAAUAAGUACCUAAGAAUAGACAAAUUUUCAUUACAAUAGAAUGAUAAAUUAUAAUAAUAUUGACACAAUGAUGCCAAUAAUAAGAAUCUUAACAAAUCUACUAAUUUUAGAAUAUGGCUUAGAGUGCUACAAUGAACCACAACAAGUUAUCGAUAUUAUAAUAUCUAUAAUUAAUAUUCCAAUAAUAACUGGGGCUCCUUUGUUUUCAUUCCCCUACUUUUCUGUUAAGUGAUUGCCAAAUUUUUAUAUCUAAAAUUCUUCUAAUUUUAAACUAAGGUUUAUUUAGAAAAAAAAAGGGAGAGAGAGAGAGAGACUCGAAGAGCAUUAAAAAAUGUAAUUUUUAAUUUUCACUUAAGCAUUGUGUGACUUUUAUCAUUUUUUAAAGUUGGCCAUUUGUACUGAAUAAAUAAAAUAAUGGAUAGACUUAUGGACCACUUUUUUUCUGUUAUAUUAAAACAUGAGAUGUCUUUUCUUGAUGUUUUCAUCACACAAGAAUCUGUUUAUGUCAUCAUGCAUCAUGGGUUUAAAUGGGGUAAAUAAAUUAAGAUCGAGGGCAAGUUUGUUUAAGUUCUAAAGUUGCUGAAUAUAAAAAGGGCUGAUAUGAAAAUUACCUAAAGUUUCAAAUAUUGUUAUUCAGCAACCACUUUUAGGUUGCAUUAGUUUCUACACAAAUUUUAUAUAAAUAAUUUAUAACUCCCAUUAUUAUUUAAAAAACUGUAGCAAUUGUUGAAAAAAAAUUCUAAUUAAAGAAAUUGACAUUAUAAUUUAAGGGAUAGUUGCUGUUUUAAUCAUUAGAACUUAAGUCAAUUAUCCAGCUUAUCCUUGUAUUCUUAAAAACUAUAUAAAAUACCAUUAUCUCUUCUUUUGUAGCUAUUGAAUUCGACUUUCACAACAUAAAUAUUUAUUAGCAACAACUUAAAAUUCAAACAAAUAUAAUAUGUAAUGUAUGAAAUACAAAUAAUAGUUAAACAAAUUUUGAUUAUUUACUAUUAAAAUACAUUCACAUUAAUAUCUUAAGGAUAGGUGGUACUCAAAUAAUUUUUUAAAAAUCAGACCCAAAUUAUAUGCAUUGUUAAUAUGUAUUAUUGUCUAAUAUUUGGAUUUUGUUAAGUUACAACUGUUGUAACUUACGAUCUCUUCAAAAAAGAAAAUUGAGUCCCACCACCUAUUAAAUUUUUUACAUUAUUUUUUAAAAGACUGUAAGUUACAUCAGUUGUAACUUAACAGCACCCUUAAUAUUUUACUUUACUUUUAUAUCUUUACAAAACAAUACCAACAAGACAAUAAUGUAUGAAAUAAAUAAAAUAAAUAAAUAAAGAACUGAUAGCGAAAUUAAGUCUAUCAUUAGUUUCUUGUGGUGUGAACUCUUGACAAUUCUCCCACCUAAAACUCUCUAGUGGUGUGAACUUUUGACGAUUCUCCAAAAAUUUGUCAUAUUGCAAAAAGCAAUGUCAAUUGUAAUGUCAUUUCCAUUAGUCAUAGUGGCAGAUAGGACUAGAAAUUGUUGAAACCCAUUGACUUAUUUUUCUUUCUAAAAAUAAGAAAAGCACACCCGUCCGGGGAAAUAAUUUUGUAGUACCUCAUGUCGUGAAUAAGGGACAAUACGAUCCUUUUUUUAUUAUAGUAUUUUUAAAUUUAUUAACUAAAAAAUUAAUUCUAAUAUUUUAUAAUAAAUAUAAGUAGGAUAUUAAAAUGAAUAUAAUAAUGUAUACAUAUUAAAAUAAUUUCAAUAUCUAAAAAUAUUUUAAUAUUUUAAAAUCUCGUAGUCUAUUAAACCAAAUAAUAAUAAAUAGAGACAUAAUAUUCAAAUAAAUACAUAAAAAUUUAAAUUGUUUUCAAUAUCACAUAAAAUAAUUUUAAUAUUAUUAAUACAUGAGAAAUAUUAUAUUAAUUGUAAAAUCUAUUUAACCUAAGGAUUCAUUUAAAAUUUUUUGUAAUAAUUACAAGUAUUUUAUAGAUACAAAUAUAUUAAUUCACAUUUUAAAAAUUAAUAUUGAAAUUAAUUAUUUAAAUUUUAUAAAAAAUUUUGAAGUCUUUUUUUUUUUUUUGGCUACCAUCUACUAAGAGUAGUAUUAUGAUCAAAAGGGGUAUUGGUAUCCUAUAUUAAAAAUUUGAGGUCUACGUGACUAUUUUUCUAAAUUUUUAGGGUAUCAUUUUGUUUUUGACAAAAGUAAAAUUUCAUUUUUGACAAAAAUAAAAUUUCAUUUAAAUGGCUAAAAUGGUGAAUAAAAUAAUACUACAGUGGGCGUAAAUGGAAGGUAAGAAACAAUGAAAAUGAAUAGUCUAAUGUCACCACAGGCACAUAAGGCCAAAGUUUGUUACAUCUGAUCAAGGACAAUUUAGUAUGUGGAGUGGGUCCUGCGUGUCAUUUUUUGGGCAUCUACCUUCUUCAGCAUUGAAGAUUUGAUGUUGACGACAUUUUAAAAAUUUGGAAGACCCAUCAUACAUUUGGAUGGUUGUCAUUAUUUGAUAUUAUCAUUAUCUCGUGGUGAUCCUAUUAUUUAUGUGGCAAAAGAGGUAAUUAAAUAAAAUUUAAUUGGAUGUAACACUUGUUUCGCGUUGUGAACUUUUGACAAUUCCCCUAUAUCCCUCCAAAAACUUUCGUCAUUUUGCCAAGAUACCUAACGAUUGUAAUGUAAUUUUCAUUAUUCAUAGUGCCAGAUAAUGGAGGUCCAGGAACGGACCAGAAAUUAUUGCUACCCGUGGACUUUUCCAAUUUAUUUUUUUUCUUUUGGAUGGUUGACGUUAUUUGAUAGGAGGACGAGAUAGAGAUAGAGUUCUUAAUCGAACACCCGUUUUAUUUAAUGGGGAAAUUAUCAUUUCACCACUACUCUUUUGCCUUAUGCUCAUUCAAUUACUACAAAAUUUUAACAUGUUCUCUGCACUACUUUUCUUUUUUAAAUUUGUAUCAAUUACUCACUUUUAUACUAACACCAUUAAAUAAUUUAAACAAAAUAAUAAAUUUACCCCUAAAUAAAUUAAAAGACCAUUUUAUUUUAUAAAAACUUAAAAAAUAAAAAAUAAAAAUUAUAAUUAUAAUUAUAAAAAUACCCCUAAAUUUAAUAAAGAAAUAAAUCCCCAAAUUAGAAUUUUUAUUUUAAUAAAAAUUAUAAUUAUAAAAUAAUUGCAAAAUUUUGGGAUUUAAUAAACAUCCCCUAAAAUAUUAAAUUUUGGGAUUUAUUUUUAAUAAAUAAAUUUAGUUAUUUUAAUAAAAUUUUACAAAAUUAUAAAUUUGUAAUAAAAAUAAGCUGAGCGCCUCUAUUUUGGAUUAUUUUUUAUUAAAUUUAGGGGUAUUUUUGUAAUUCUAAUAUUUUUUUUCAAAGCUUUUAUAAGAUAAAAUGGCAUUUUAAUUUAUUUAGGAGUAAAAUUAUCAUUUCGUUUAAAUUAUUUAACAGUAUUAGUGUAAAAGUGGCUAAUCGAUUCAAAUUUAAAAAGAAAGAUAGUGCAGAAAACAUGUUGAAAUUUUGUGGUGGUUAAAUGAACAUAAGUCAAAAGAAAGAUGGUAGAAUGAUAAUUUCCCUAUUUAAUAUGGAAGAAGAUCUUUAAACUCUCAGUGAGGCUAUGGCUUCAACAGAUGCAGCCUUGUGGAAAGAGGCAACAAGUAAUGAGAUAGACUCAUUAUUAUCUAAUCAACUAGAUGCAUCAACAAGAUCUUAACUUAGAUUGGAACUUGAAGCAUUGUUGUUUGAAACAUUGGCUCAAGCCUUUAGAGCGAGGUUGGAUGCAAAAUGAUUUACAACAAAGAAAGGAAAAAAUAAAUUUACUAAUUUACAAAAUAAAUUUAGUAAAUUAAUAAAGUCAUUAUAUGAUCUUAAAUAAGCACUAAAGCAACAGCAUGAAAAUUUUGAUUCUAUGAUCAUGUUGCAUGGAUUUUAACAUAAUAACGAUGAUAAAUGCAUUUAUUCUAAAUUAAUGGAUAAAUAUGGUAUGAUAAUUUUCCUCAUUUGAGAAAGAAUUCUUAAAUAAUGUCCCAUAUUAAUUAGUAAAAGAGAGUCACUUGGGCUUAUAAGUAGUAGAGAUGGGCAAAAUUGGAUGCAGAUGAUAUUCGGGUUAAUAUGAUCAGAUUUUGGAUUGUUCGGAUUGAUAAAAAGUCAUAUGAAUGCAAUAUGAACUUGCAUCCAAUCCGAUUAUGUACGGAUCAUAUUCAAAUUGGAUGAAUAGUGCAGAUUAAUUUGGAUUCGGAUCAGAUCGAUAAUAUCAAACUGAAAUCGGAAUCAGAUGUGUUCGAAUAAAUCAGAUGAAUUUCAAUCACUUGCAAGUUGAAAUACAAAAUUGAAAAAUCAUAGAAAUUAAGAAAAAAAUGCAGCAAGCUAGCAAAUGGAAGAACAAAGGCAAAAAAUUAUAUUAUAAAUUAAUCGUAAAAAGGUGCUAUUAGCAAUUGUUGCACAAUGCGAAAAUGUCCUGGAACUCGCUGUGUAGACAUGCAAAAGUUCCGUAAGUGCAUUAACAAUUAUUUUCCAAAAAAAGGUUGUUGCGUCAAUAUUAAAGGAAUUGACAUCCAGGGACCCAGUUUAGUUGCUUAAUGAUUAAUUAAUUAAUCAAUUUAUAAUAUAUUAAUCUUUUAAGUUGAAUACUUAAAAUCUUAGACCCCAAACAAUAAAUCAUCUGAGUAAUAUAAAAGAGAAAUUAUCAUCCUAUUUUUUAUUUGACUUCUUGUAGCUUAUAAAAGAGAAAUUAUCAGUCAUUUACUCAAAGUUUAUUCAGUUAUUAAAAUUAAUAUAAAAUUUAAAUUUAUUUAAUUUUACACUCAAUGUAUGCAAUUUGUAUUAAACAUCCGUUAAAAACAUAAAGUUAUUCCAUCAAAGUGACAAAAUAGAAGCGAACACAAAAUUGUAUUGGUGAUUAUGUUUUAAGAGUAAUUUUAUCUUUUUAGUAAACAGUUAUCCACAUUGUAACAAUGGGUAUAAAAUUAAGUAUAUUUAAAUUUUUAUAACUUUUAGGAUAAUAAGAUAAUUUUUAGGUGGAUGACUGAAAAUUUUUCUUUUCAAAAUAUUUUGAAAACAAUACCAAAUGUACCAAAACAUUGUUUACUUACACUCUAUAUAUAUAUAUAUAUAUAUAUAUAUAUAUAUAUAUAUUUAAUUUCUUAACUCAUUCUUAUCCUUAUUCUUGCUAACAUAUCCACAAUCUGUCAAUGAAAUUUACUUUUAUAAAUUUGAAGAUUCUUUCAUGCAAUUUUGUACGAUAAUGAGUUCUCAUGUCUCUGUUAAAAAAGAAUUCGUAAAUAAUACAAAUGAAAAAAAAACAAAAAGUAGCAGGGCUGGCAAUACAAACCAUAACUUUUUUUCUUUGAAAUAUGCAUAAAUAAAGUUAAUAGUGAUGUGUCAGCACGAUCUUGAGAGCACGGCUUGGAGUCUCAAUAAUUAUUGACACUCAUAUUUGAAAACUUUUGAAAAGAUAAAAUCCAAUAUGAAAGGUGAAAUGUUAUAAUCAUAGUAACUAGAAAAUUGAUUGAUUUACAAAUAUCAAUUUAAACAAUUUUCAUGUUGAUCGACAAUUUAAGUAGAUUGACAAAGAUUGAAGUAAUUACUGUUGGUGAUUGAUUGACUUUGUCCUUAUCCUUGCCUUCUUCUUAUCAAAAAUCGAGUGUCAAUUAAAUUGGGCCAGGGCUUCUGAUUGCAACUAAUAGACUUCAUAUACGCAUAAUGCUCCCUACGGACAUACGUACCAGUAUUUGAUUGAAAAAGGGAUGCGUGCUUAAUGCUCAAGUCGUCUUCUUCUGGAAAUUCAUUGUUAUUACUCUCAUCAACUCGUUACUCACAUUCCUCUUUAGUCAACAGAGAUCUUUUGCUCAAUAAAAUUUUUCUUCUAUAUUCAAGGUGAAUACAGCAGCUCAUCAACUCUGAUCCCAGACAGGUAAAGAGGCGCACUUGUUCUAAAACCUUUAAUAUUCUUUUAGUAACAGAAUCUCUGAUACUUGUUCUUCAUAGCGGUUCUUUCUUAAUUUCCAUCACCUUUCCUAGGAAAAAAUUCUUUGGUUUUUCUUAAUCAUAUCAUUUAUUUUUCUGAAGUCAUAUAAUUUAGUUUUAGUAGCAGAAUACUUGAUAUUGAUAGCGGUUCUUUCUUAAUUUCCAUCAACUUUCCUUGAAGGAUACCUUUCUGUUAAUAGCAAAACAUCUGAUCCUUAAGAUAGAAAAAGAAAUUCUCUAUUUAGGUAUCAGUUGGUUCAAGAUCAAUAUCGCGAUGUUGUUUGCGGUCUUUUCUUUCUCCGUCUUUCCCUUUAGUUCAGUUUAAUUUAUUUGUUUUCCUUUCUUUGAUAUAUUAUUAGAUUUGUUAAGUAGCAGACAAUGGCAGAAGUUGGUCUGGCUGCUUUUUCCAGCAUUGUAUCAGAAGGUGCAAAGUCACUGUUCAAACCGAUUAUACGGCAGAUAUCUUAUGUGUUCAAGUACCAGAGCUACAUAGAUGAGCUAAAAGAUAAAGUGAAGCGGCUGGAACAUAAAAGAGAAAGGGUGGAAAUACCCGUUCAUCAGGCAACUCAACAAGGAGAUGAGAUUUAUAAGGAUGUUGCAGACUGGCUUAAUAGCGUCAAGGAAUUCACUCAGGGAGCUGCAAAAUCCAUCACUGAUGAUGAAGAUAGAGCUAAGAAGUUCUGUUUCAAAGGAUUGUGCCCAAACUUGAUCUCUCGUUACAAGCUCAGUAAACAAGCAGCAAAGGCUGCAGAAGCUGCCGCUAGUCUCGUGGGAAAAGGCAACUUCUCCAAUGUUUCCCACCGUCCUACUCCAAAGCUGGUAGAACAUAUGCAAGUGAAAGAUUUCGAGGCCUUUGACUCAAGAAUGAAAGUAUUUCAAGAUGUUUUGGAGGCGUUGAAGGAUGAUAAGCUCAAGAUAAUUGGGGUCUACGGGAUGGGCGGCGUGGGUAAAACCACGCUUGUCAAGCAAGUUGCGAAGCAAGUGAUGGAAGAUAAGUUGUUCGAUAAGGUCGCUAUGGCUGAGGUAACAGAGAACCCAGAUCAUCAGAAAAUUCAAGACAAACUAGCUUCUGAUUUAGGCAUAAAGUUUGAGUUGAAUGAGAGUAUAUUCGACAGAGCAAAUCGACUAUGUGGAGUAUUGAAGAACAAGGAGCGGCAUCUCAUUAUAUUGGAUAAUAUUUGGAGAGAACUGGAGUUCGAUAAAGUUGGAAUUCCUUCCAGGGAUGUCGAGAAAGAAAGAAUGGAUGAUCAGAGACGAUGCACAAUAAUACUGACGUCUAGACGUCAAGAUUUAUUGCGCAAUAUUAUGAAUUCUCAGAAAGAAAUCCAGAUCGAUGCUUUAUCAAAAGAAGAAGCAUUGCAUUUAUUUAAGAAGAUAGUGGGUGAUUCAAUGAAAACAUUUGCUUUUCAAUCUAUAGCAGAUGAGAUCGUUGAAAGAUGCGGAGGACUGCCUGUUGCACUGAUUACACUUGCAAAAGCUUUGAAAAAUGAGAGGCUUGACACUUGGAAAGAUGUGUUGAAUCAGCUAAGAAGUUCCAAUGCAAAAGAAAUUGAUGGAAUGGAAAUAAAUGUGUACAUCUCCAUAAAAUUGAGUUACGACUUAUUGGGAAGUAAGGAAGCAAAAUCUCUGUUCCUUCUUUGUGGUCUAUUUAGUGAAGGUCAUGCUAUACCAGUUUCUUCCUUAUUGAGAUAUGGUAUGGGUAUGGGCUAUUUUAAAAACGUUUACACACCGGAAGAAGCAAGAAGUAGAGUGCAUACGUUGAUCGGCAAACUCAAAUCUUCAUGCUUAUUGUUGGACGGUGAUACUGAAGCUAAAGUUAAAAUGCAUGACGUCAUUCAUGCUGUUGCUGUAUCAAUUGCAGAAGAGGAGCUCAUGUUUAAUAUUCCAAAUGUUGCCGACUUGGAGAAAAAGAUGGAAGAGACAGUACAGGAAGGUCCAAUUGCUAUUUCUUUACCUUAUAGAGGUAUUCAAGUGCUUCCUGAAAGGUUGCAAUGUCCCUGUCUUGAGCUAUUGCAUACGGAGGGUGAUGGCUCUAUGCAAGUUUCAGACCACCUUUUUAAAGGGACGGAAGGACUCAAAGUUUUGAAUUUUAAUCGAAUUCACUUCUCUUCAUUACCUUCAUCACUUGGUUGCCUCAUUAACCUUCAAACAUUGUGCUUAGACUAUUGCCGACUAAAAGAUAUAGCAAUAGUUGGACAGCUAAAGAAAUUAGAGAUUCUCAGCCUUGUAUAUUCCGAUAUCAAGCAGUUACCACUUGAAAUUGGACGAUUGACGCGGUUACAGUUGCUAGAUUUGAGCAAUUGUUGGAGCCUUGAGUUGAUACCACCAAAUGUCAUAUCAAAAUUAUCUCGAUUAGAAGAAUUGUUUAUGCAUAACAGCUUUUCACAGUGGGAUAAGGUAGAAGGAGGAAGUAAUGCCAGUCUUGUCGAGUUGAAGGGGUUGUCAAAGCUAACUACUUUGGAGAUACAUGUUUCGGAUUCCGAAAUUCUGCCGCUGGAUUUUGUCUCUGUGGAAUUGGAAAGAUAUAAGAUAUUUAUAGGACAAAUGUCUGUCCGGUGGCUCGUCGAAUCUAAAACAUCAACAUUGAUGGUGCUCAAGGGGCCAGAACAAGUUAGCCUUCUUUUGGGGAAUGAUGGGACGAAAAUGUUGCUGAAGAGAACUGAAGAUCUCCGUCUAUGCUCACAGAAGGGUGUUCAGAAUAUUGUUCAUGAAUUAGACGAUGGGGAAGGUUUUCCACGAUUGAAGCAUCUUCAUGUAAAAAGUUGUUCUGAGAUUUUACAUAUUGUCGGUUCAGUUGGACGGGUUCGUUGCGAAGUCUUUCCCUUGCUGGAGUCAUUGGAUCUUAUUAAUUUAACUAAUUUGGAGACGAUAUGCUACAGCCAACUCAGAGAAGAUCAAUCUUUCAGCAACUUAAGGAAAAUAAACGUAGAUUUCUGUCCAAAAUUGAAGUAUCUCUUCUCAUUCUCUAUGGCCAAAAACCUAUUGCGGCUUCAAAAAGUAAAAGUGGAAAACUGCGAUGAUUUGAAAAUGAUUAUUGGUAAGUGUUGAAAUUAAUUAUUGGUAGGAUUAUUGACAUUGACUCAUUCUUUUUUUCUUUUCUUUUUUUUUUUUUGGUGAAAAAAACAACGGAUGUUUAUUAUAUAUUGUUUUUGUUCAUUUAUAGGGCCCGACAUGGAGAAACCAACAACAACUCAGGGAUUCACAGAAAUCAUUGCAGAGGAUGAUCCUGUUCACCAAGUAAUAAUUUUCUGUUUAAUAAUUAAUUAAUUAAUAUAUUAUCACGAUUGAUCUUCAAUCAUCGAAAGAAUAUUAUAUUAGAAGUUGUAGUUGAAGGAACAAAAAUGUAUGGUUUUUCUUUGCAGGUUACUUUUCCACGCUUGGAGGAACUGAAACUUGUCAGUUUAACAAACAUCAAAAAAUUAUGGCCCGAUCAAUUUCAUGGAAUGUAUUGUUGUCAAAAUUUAACAGAAGUGACCGUGUUCGGUUGUGAUCGUCUGAAGUAUCUGUUUUCAUAUUCUAUGGUUAAUAGUCUUGGGCAACUCCAACAUCUUGAGAUACGAAAUUGCUGGUCAAUUGAAGGGGUAGUCAACACCACGGGGUUAGGAGGAAGAGAUGAAUUGAAGGUUUUUCCCAAACUACACUACCUGUCGCUCCAUUGGCUUCCAAAACUAAGUAGCUUUGCCUCACCAGAAGACGUCAUUCACACUGAAAUGCAACCUCAAUCCCUCUUUGAUGAAAAGGUUUUUUUUCAUUGAAUUUUUAAAUUCUCUUUUCGUUGAGUCUUCAAAUUUAAUUAAUAUCCAUCUCUAACUGCAUUGAAUUUUCAACUUCAGGUACGACUCCCAAGUCUGGAGGUAUUACAUAUUAAGAGGCUGGAUAAGUUGAGAAAAAUAUGGCACCACCAGCUUGCUUCGAAGUCAUUUAACAAAUUGAAAAAAUUUGAGAUAUCAGGGUGUCAUAAUCUACUGAAUAUUUUUCCUCCAUUGGUAAGAUUGCUAUAUUCAUUUUGAAUUUUUAUUUCAAAUAACAUUCAACAAUUAUUUUAAUCAUUUUUGUGUUUACAAAUAAUUUUCAUUCACAAAUUAUUUAUUGCAAGUAUUGUACUUCAAACUUCUGGAGGGAAAAAAAGUAGUGUACUUCAAAUCACCAUUCUGAACUCUGCAUUUUCAAUCUAAUUUAUAGGUUCACCUGCAUUAAAGUCAACAAUAUAAUUGUUUUAAACACGAUUCAACAGCAUAAUAUGAUUCAAUUUAAUUGUUUUUUUUCUUAAAUCCUAAUAAAUAAGAUUUCCAGAAAUUAAAAGAUACUUAGUUACUCAGCUUUUAAGUUCACAAAUUCAUAUAUAUUUCUCUUUUCCUUGGGUCUUUAGAUUUCGAUUUUAAAAAUAAAAUAAAGAAAAGUGUUCAAAUGUAGUUAAUAUCUCUAGUUUAGUUAUGAAUUGAUUACGCCAUUGAUUAAGCACAAAUUCAUGAUGGUCAUUUUGAAUCGACCGUUGAUUAAAAAAUUUCCUCAAAUAUUCACUCUAUAACAGUCCCAUGUUGAUGGCGUUGGGAAGUGUUUUCCAGAAAUGUUUUCCAUUUUUAAAAGCAUGAAUAUCGGGAAAAAAAAAAAUGGGAAAUACAGCGUUUUAGUUUAGUUAUUUUAAAAAUAGGCAUGUUUGAAAAUUAAAAAUUUUUAAAAACUAGCAUCAAGAUGAAAAAUGAAUUUAGAAUAUUUAAAAAUUACCUGAAAUUCUUUCUCUGUUCCUAAUACUAAAUAGUGUAAAUGCAUUUUCAUUAUCUUUGUUUUUCUGGUCUUCUAUUUAUUUAUUUUUGUUUUAAUUUUUUCCUUUUUUUCUUUAACAAAAAAUAUCUAGUAGACAUUCAUGGUUUGUUAUUUUUCAUAAAACAAUUGUAUGAUUUUGACAUACUUUGAAUCUAGUUGAAUGCUACUCUUUAUUUUCAGGUUGGAAUUCCCAAUAGUCUAGUGAAUCUUAAUGUAUCAUACUGUGAAAAAAUAGAAGAAAUCAUAGGACAUGUUGGAGAAGAAGCGAAGGAGAAUCGUAUUGCUUUCAACGAAUUAAAACAUUUGGAACUUGAUCAUUUACUAAGGCUUACCAGCUUUUGUUUGGAGAAUUACACUCUUGAAUUCCCAUCAUUGGAACGAGUAUCUGUGACACAUUGUCCGAACAUGAAGACUUUUUCUCAGGGAAUCGUAUCCACACCAAAGUUGCACGAAGUGCAGGUGAGUAAAAAGGAAGUAUUAAGUUUUAUAUGAAACUGUGAUGUUGUUUGGUUACUAAGAAAAUAGGAAGAAAGAAAACUUCUGUAAGCUGAGAAUUCUGUUAUUAUUGACCUAAUGAAUCUGGAAAUUACAAGCCUUUUUAUAUGUGCAUAGAAGAUUCUACACACAUUGCACACACGCACAGUUUAAUACUAACAACCUCUAUAACAACCUUUAGCUGACUCAGCUGCCAUGUCAGCAUACUCAUUAACUAACUAAUUCUAUUCUUAACAGGAAGAGGGUGAAUUGCGCCGUUGGGAAGGCAACCUUAAUUCCACUAUACAAAAGUGUUACGAAGAAAUGGUAUGUGUUAAAUCGAUUCGUCGAAAUUACUUAUGCAUCUCCCUUGCACUUGCACAUUUAAGUAUAUACACCUGCCUUGUAUAUAUAGUUUUAGAAGUUAAAACACAAAACAUGUAAGUUUAAUGUAUAUAUAUCUAAUGCCUUUCAAAAAGAAAAAAAAUUGUAUAUAUCCAGUGCAAUUGUUUUGGUUUGUGCAGAUUGGAUUUCGUGACAUAAUGCGUUUGCAACUUUCGCAUUUUCCACGUUUGCAAGAAAUAUGGCAUGGCCAAGCACUGCCUGUCAGCUUCUUCAACAAUUUAAGAGAGCUGGUGGUGGAUGACUGCACGAAUAUGUCGAGUGCUAUUCCUGCCAAUCUGCUACGGUGCUUGAACAAUUUGGAAUACCUGGCAGUGAGGAAUUGUGAUUCACUAGAAGAGGUGCUUCAUUUGGAAGAACUAAUUAAUGCUGAGGAAGAACAUUUUGGCCAACUGUUCCCUAAUCUUUACGAGCUAAAGCUCAUUGAUCUUCCAAAACUCAAAAGAUUCUGCAACUUCACUGGGAAUAUAAUUGAACUGCCUAAGUUGGACAAUCUAACUAUUGAGAAUUGCCCUAGUAUGGAAACACUGCCUGUCAGCUUCUUCAACAAUUUAAGAGACCUGGUGGUGGAUGACUGCACGAAUAUGUCGAGUGCUAUUCCUGCCAAUCUGCUACGGUGCUUGAACAAUUUGGCAUGGCUGAAAGUGAGGAAUUGUGAUUCACUAGAAGAGGUGCUUCAUUUGGAAGAGCUAAGUGCUAAGGAAGAACAUAUAGGCCCCAUGUUUCCUGAGCUUUCCCUGCUAGGGCUCAUUGAUCUUCCAAAACUCAAAAGAUUCUGCAACUUCACUGGGAAUAUAAUUGAAAUGCCUAAGUUGGAAUAUCUCAUUAUUGAGAAUUGCCCUGAUAUGGAAACAUUCAUAUCCAACUCUGUAGUGCACGUGACAACAGAUAACAAGGAACCUCAAAAAUUAACAUCAGAAGAGAACUUCUUGCUGGCUCAUCAAGUACAACCUCUCUUUGAUGAAAAGGUGAUUAUUAUUAUUAUUAUUAUUUUUCCCUUCACUUUCGUUUCAUAGAUGUAAUUUCAUUAGAAUCAAAUCAAAUUUAAUGACUCAUCUUUUUGCACGUCGUCUUAAUUUUUAUAUGAUUUAACAAUAUAACUGCAGUUAUUAACUAUCUUUAUAGUAUGAAUUAUAAAAAUGUCUGAAAUUAAUUGGAUGCCUGAUAACACGAGGUGAUCUAUUAAUUAUGUGUAUUACAUCUCUGUUUUCCUAGCUAAUUCAUAUUGGAUUUAGCAUCAGAUUUCAUUUAUGUGUUUCAAAGGGUAAUCGAUUUGAUACUUAUAUUUGGGAUCCUACUGCAAAGCAUACUAAUUUGGAAAUAAAAUAUAAAAUGCCGUGAUUAAUCUUGUCCAUAAAAUAUGCAGGGGAAGACUGCAGAGAUUGGAUACAUAUUUUCAUUUACAACUUAAUUUUGUUGAUUUUUAGGUUGCAUUCCCUCAAUUGAGUUGGUUAACGCUAUCUGGAUUACACAAAGUGCAGCAUCUCUGGAAGGAAAAUGACGAAUCCAACAAAGCGUUUGCAAACUUGGCAAGUCUAGAAAUAUCGGAAUGUAUUCAGUUGCAAAAAUUAGUACCACCUUCGUGGCAUUUGGAAAAUAUGUGGGGACUGGAAGUAUCGAAGUGUCACGGGUUGAUAAAUGUGUUGACGCUCUCAGCAUCUAAAAAUCUAGUGAACCUUGAAAGAAUGAAGAUAGCUGAUUGCAAAAGGAUAGAAGAAAUCAUACAGUCGCCGGUUGCAGAAGAAGCGAAAGAUUGCACUGUUUUCAAGAAAUUGAAGUACUUGACACUUGAUUGUUUGCCAAGCCUAACAAGCUUUUGUUUAGGUAAUUACGCUCUUGAAUUCCCGUCCUUGAAACAAGUAGUUGUGAGACAGUGUCCAAAAAUGAAGAUCUUCUCUCAAGGAGUCUUAGACACACCAAUGCUAAACAAAGUGAACGUCACCGAAGAAGAAAAAGAUGAUGAUGAUGAAGGAUGUUGGGAAGGCAACCUCAAUGACACCAUAAAAAAAUUGUUCAAUGAAAUGGUGAGUAUCAAUUAAGUUUUGAUGCUAUUUAGCAAAUUAUUUUAUAGAAACUAAUGUGAUAUAAUAUGAUUGGUUGACUGAAAAUAUAUAAUAAUAAUAAUAAUAAUAAAUAAAUAAAUAAAUAAAUUAUGAGGACCAUGUAAUGUUUUUGUUUAAUCAAUCAUAUUAUGUCGCAUUAGUUUAUACAAUAUUAUUUGUGCACAAGAGGUGGUGGUCAUAUCAUUACUCUAGCUUUAUUAUUCUUAUGGUGGCAAUGUAUGCUUGCUUACACGAGUAAUUACAAAAUCUGCAGAAUUCUAAAGAAGAGAUUGAGCCAACCCUUCAGGUACAGUGAAGAAGCUAUCCCGAACCAGGCCAAUCUCUUAUACAUGAUUCAGCUUGCUCGUUCUUCUGUACUUGAAUAAUUUGGUUCUAUAUAUUUACAAUUUUUCGCUCAUGCUACAGACUUGCAAGACACUUUGGAUUUUGUUUGAUGCAUUCUCCGUUUAAGAAAGGACUUGAAUUGAUGUUUCAUGUUUCAUGCAAUAUUCAAUUAGAUUCUGCCUAAAUUUCUGUAUUAUUCGUUCAAUUGGUCUUUUAAGCAUUUGAUUUCUAACCUCUCCUAAUGGAAGAUCAUUAUCUGAAGAAAACAGCAUAACAUUUGUGGCAUUAUCAGAAUAAGAAUAUUUUUGAGUAUAGUAAAAUUAUCUCCACCACUGUUAAAAAGAAUUAAUCAGUCAAACUGACCUCACACCAGCACGCUUUAAAUUAAAAGAAUUUCGUGAAGUCGAGACCAUGUUAUAGAUCUCAUGGAAAGAAGUAAACCCGUAAUUUUUUUCACAGCAUCAUAAGAAAAAUCAUUUUUUUUAAGUAUUUUUGCUAGCUGUUGAGUUUUAAUAGUAGUAGCUAUUAAACAAUAACAAUUAGUGUAUAUUAAAAAGUUGGAAACUGGUUGAUACCACUCGGGAAUCGAGCAGUUCACUUGUUUGCGAGUAGAAACCUACUUUACUACUAAUUACACUCAUACCAAAAAUAGUAACUAAAGAAUCAGGAAAUUUCCUAUUCACUAUUCUUCAUUUUUUAAUGCAAAAUUCCCAUUCGAAAACACCAAUGACUUUCAUUCAAAGUAAAUGAGAAAUUACAAUGAAAAUAGAAUCAAAAUACAUGUAUGUAUACCUAAAACAAAUGAUUUUUUUAAUUAAAAAAAAAACACAGUUGAGGUGAAAUGAAACCAGAGUCAUGAUAUCUCUGGUUCCAGCUUUGGGACAACAGCAGACUUGAGUUCUCUAUGAGAAACACGUACAACACCAAUCAGCCGCUCCGGUAAUUCAUCUGUAGUAUUUGCCUGCAUACAGAAGAGCAAGAUAAAGAAGACACACACAGAAGCAUUAUAUCAUUCUGAGAACAUUCAAGUAUGCAAAAAUGCAAGUUGCAGUGCAAUAUCUCAAAAUCAUGUCUUUUCCCUUGUGUCCAUUUAGCAGUGGGGGAAAAAAACAAUCAUACAUACCUGUACAAGGAAAGCCAUGUCAACCACCAAUGUCGUAAUUACACCAAUUACAAGGCCCAAAACUCCAUUAGCAACAGUAGAAGAAUCGAUGUCAACAUCAAUCUACAGAAAGAUGAACAAUGUUAAACCAUGUUAAAGGUAUUGGACGCUAUUUGAAAGGGGAACAUCUCAUGUACUAUAGAAAUUCCAAGAGCAUUUACUUCUAAGUACUUGGGACCGCGAAUAUAGUUACAAUCAACUGCCUUCCCCAAUAAACAAGGGGUGCUUCCAACACUCUGGCGCACUAUCCAUGACCCCUGCAUGAUUCAGUGCUGAAAAUCAAGAACAAGUGCAAAACAAAUUCAAGAGGGUAAAAAGGAGAUAAAGUUUGAAGGUACAACCCAUCAAUACAUUCACACCUAAAUGCAUGCCUUCUUUGUACAAAUUGAAGUGUACCAUGCAGUAAAGGGUAAGUAUACGUUAAUAUAGUCCUACUACAUGAAGGCCAAGAUGGAUACCUUAGGAACAGAUGGAAUAAGUUUCAACCUACUAUUGCGAAAUUCAUCAUCGCCAUCAACAAACCGUUGCAAAAGUGAUCCCGUAACCAAUUGCCUUGUGACAAAAUAAAAUACCAUACUAUAAUGUGUUGAACCAGGAACCUGCAGAUGCUUAGGUUACAACUAUACAACCUCCCAAUACAAUAAGUUUGAAACUUAUACCUUCUGAAAUGAAACAAACUUUCUUGAAGAUUAAAGAUCAGUGAGAAAAGCCCUUUUUCAGAAGCAACCUACAUAUUUUAGAAUAGGGCUCAGUGCGUUAUAGAUUCAAUGAACCAUGAGAAGUUAUUUACAUUGUUGUAUCUCACAGGCAGUCUUUUCUCCUAAUGUAUCAAGGGAAAAUGCUAGUGAAUUGAAUGAAGCUAGAGCAGAGCAUGAUGUUGCUGUGUAGCUGACUUUAGCAGAUCAACUCACUAAGCUAACCUGGCAAAGUUAUUUAGCUGGUUGAGCUGAUGUGUCAAAUUAGUUAUGCAGCAAAUGGUUAUGUGAUGUAACAAACUCGUGUGUGUGUUGAGCAAAUUGUAGCUUAAUAUAAAUAUCAGUCUGUAUUCAUUCAGUUGUAAUGCUAAAGUAAUAAAGGUUCUACAAACUUCUUUACAGAGCUUUCUUUUAUUUUCUUCAUUUUCUAGCUUGCCAAACAAUGCAAAACUAAGUUUCUUUCAUGGUAUUAGAGCCAUAAAUGGCGAAUACAGUUCAAAAUAACAACUCUUUUAGUUUUGUUACGCCUGUAAAGCUAGACCAAAACAACUUCAUUUUAUGGCGGGCACAAAUUUUAGCAUCGAUCAAAGGAAACGGUCUGGAAGGGUUUAUCAAUGGUGAUCAAGAAUGUCCUGAGCAGUUUCUUUCUUCUGGAAACAACAAUGGAGCUGAAAUUUUUACUGAAUCUGAAUCCAAAUCUAUUAAUCCAGAGUUCAUAGCUUGGAUGAAGACUGAUCAACUUCUGUUGAGUUAGAUGAUGUCGUCGAUACAGCAAAAUCUACUUGCUACUGUGAUUGACUCCACAACUUCAAAACAGCUUUGGAAGACUCUUACUAGUAUGUUUAUUUCUUAAUCACAAGCUAGAAUUCAAACACUUAGAAUGCAGAUUCAAACUAUUAAGAAAGGUGCAAUGCAUAUGUCUGAUUACUUUGCAAAAGUAAAACGUAUAGCUGAUACUUUAGCUCUAGCUGGAAAACCUGUUGAGUUAAGUGAUCUUGUGAUGCAUGUAUUAACUGGUCUUGAUUCAUCAGAUUAUGAAUCUUUAGUCACAGGUGUUUUAGCUCGAGGUGAGAAGAUAACAUUAGAUGAACUAUAUCCUUUGCUAUUGAAUCAUGAAAAUAGAGUUGAACAAAAGAAAGGAAAAAUUGCUGGUGAUGUGAUGCACAAUAUGACAGCAAAUAUUGCUCAAAAGAACUCAUAUGCUGGAAAGAAUAAUGGCAAUUUUCAAAAAAAUUAUGGAAAUAAUUCUAGGUAUGGAGGUUUUAAUGGAUAUGGAUAGGGUCAGUUUAAUAAUGGUGGUAAUUCCUCUGAAAUUGUUUGUCAAAUCUGCUUCAUACCUGGUCAUGCAGCCAAUAGAUGCAAAAAUAGGUACAAUUCAUCUUUUGUUCCACAGAGAAACUAUGGCAGAGGUAAUAUGAAUGGUGGCAGAGGUUUUAAUCAAGGGCAAUAUGGUAGAGGAAGAGCUUUUAAUAGUAAUGGUGGCAGAGGUUUUGGAGGUUUUGGUUUAAAUGCUGGUUUUGGCUAUGCACCCAGGGGUUUUGGCUAUCAAGGAAAUAUGGUGUAUCCAGAUAGUAAUCCUUCUGCUUAUUACUCAUUCACCCCUGGACCAUCUACUUUUGUUUCUGGUCAAGGAAAUAAUAAUCCUGGACAGUCAAGUGCUUCAUCUUCCUCAGCUAUGCCUUCUUCACUUCCACCAGAACACAUUGAAGAUCCUUCAUGGUAUAUUGAUAGUGGAGCAACAAAUCACAUUACAAAUGAUCUAGGUAAACUUCUGGAUUCACAAAUUUAUACUAGUACUGAAAAAUUAUUUGUUGGAGAUGGAAAUGCAUUAGCUAUUACACAUGUAGGAUCAGUUGUGCUAAAUACUUCAACUUCUAAACCUUUAAAAACCAUGUUCUUCAUGUCCCUUUUAUUACUAAGAAUUUGCUUAGCAUUUCAAAAUUAUUGGCUGACAAUCCAGUUACUGUUGGAAUUUCUUGGUGAUUUGUUUUUUAUAAAGGCUAGGAACACAAGGAAAAUUUUACUUGAAGGUGUUGCUAAAGGUGACUUGUAUAGAGUCUCUUCACAUGUUGCUGCUCAUUCAGUCUUUCUCAAUUCAGUUGGUCAAAAUAAAAUUCACUCUCUUUGCUUGUUCUCCUGUUUUCAAUUCUGAUCAGCUCACUGCUGUUAGUUCUUAUGAAUUGAAUAAAAAGCCAUGUCUGUCAGUUGUUACAAAGAGUUCUAUUGAUGUAAAUCUUCUUCAUAGAAGAUUAGGACACCCAGCAUCUUAUACUCUCAAAACUAUACUCAAAACUUGUAACAACUCUACUGCUUAUAAUAAAAUUGAAAGCUUGAAAUUUUGUUCAGCAUGUCAAUAUGGGAAAAAUCAUAUGCUGCAUUUUGAUUCAGUUGAAACAAAAACUUCAGCACCCUUACAAGUGAUAUAUGCAGAUCUUUGGGGUCCUUCUCAUGUCUGUUCUACCCAAGGAUAUAAUUACUACUUAUCAAUCUUAGAUGAUUAUAGUAGAUUUACCUGGAUAUUUCCAUUGUCAGCCAAAUCUGAUGCUCUUGAAGUGUUUACCAAUUUCAAAAUUUUUAUUGAAAAGCAUCUUCAACUUCAAAUCAAAACUGUCCAAACUGAUUGGGGAGAAGAGUUCAGAACAUUUUCCUCAUUACUCACUGCUUCUGGUAUCCAUUUUAGACACCCUUGCCCACAUAUUCAUCAUCAAAAUGGAAGAAUUGAGAGGAAACAUAGACACAUAGUUGAUGUAGGUCUGACCUUAUUAGCUCAAGCACAUUUACCACUCAAAUUUUGGUGGAAUGCAUUCCACACAGCUGUCUAUUUGAUAAACAGACUUCCAACUCCAAUUCUAAACAACAUUUCUCCUUUCCAAAAGUUAUUUCAUCAUCAACCAGAUUAUUCAACACUUAAAACCUUCGGUUGUGCUUGUUAUCCAACACUCAGACCAUACAAUAGACAUAAGUUUGAUUUCAGAACUGCCAGAUGUAUAUUCAUUGGCUACAAUUCACAACACAAGGGAUAUCAGUGUCUUCACUCUUCUAAGAGGGUUUACAUUUCAAAUCAUGUCACCUUUGAUGAAAAUUCUUUUCCUUAUGAGUCUGGAGCAGAUUUUUCUUCACUCUCUUCAAGUUGUCAGUCAACAAAAAAUUAUAAGUCUUCUUUCAAUUCCUCUGUUCCUUCUAUUACUCAGUUACAAGCACCUUUAGCAGCAUCAUCAGAACACCAUCAAAAUGUUCAUCAUUCAGAUGCUCCUACUCCCUCACCAAAUUCUACUCCACUUUAUUUUUCUGAUAAUUCCAACUCAGCUUCUUCUUCUUCACCACCACAUAAUUCACCUCCACAUACAUUGCCACAACCUGCAUCAACUGGUCAUCCAAUGAUAACCAGGUCAAAAGCAGGUAUUUUCAACCCAAAAAUUUAUUUGUCAGCUUUAUUAGCCCAGAAAUCAGAACCAACUUCUGUUUCCCAAGCACUUUCUGAUCCUAUGUGGUAUAAGGCUAUGCAAGAAGAGUAUCUAGCACUUAAAACUAAUCACACCUAGGAUUUAGUUUUACAUGCUACUCCAGUGAAGAUAGUUGGCAGCAAAUGGGUGUUUUGAAUAAAGUAUAACUCAGAUGGUUCAGUUUCAAGAUAUAAAGUCAGGCUUGUUGCAAAGGGGUUUCAUCAGACACAUGGGAUUGACCAUACAGAAACUUUUAGUCCAGUGGUUAAAGCUUCAACUGUUAGAGUUAUUCUUAGCUUAGCAGUAUUGAAUCAAUGGGUGAUUAGGCAAGUAGAUGUUAAUAAUGCCUUUCUAAAUGGCAUUUUAAUUGAAGAGGUGUACAUGGCUCAACCUGAAGGUUUUGUUGACUCAACUAAACCUAAUCAUAUCUGCAAGCUGAAUAAAGCUUUGUAUGGCUUAAAACAGGCACCUAGAGCCUGGUUUGAUAGAUUCAAGGAUGCAAUGAUCUCUAAACGGCAUUUCCAGCAUUCAAGGUCUGAUAACUCUCUGUUUCAUGCCUGGAACAGUGGUCAUCUAACUCUUGUUUCGGUCUAUGUUGAUGAUAUUAUCAUCACUAGUUCCAGUCCAACACUAAUUCAGCAAGUUAUUAAGAUUAUGAAUUUGCUUUAAAAGACAUGGGGGAACUUAGCUAUUUUCUGGGGAUUGAAGUCAGCAAGUCUUCACAAGGGGUUUCCUUGACACAAGCAAAGUAUAUUACUGACAUUCUGGAUAAACAUGGCAUGACAGAUUGCAGUCCUGUGCCUACUCCAAUGUCUACUGGUUAUUAUCUCACAAAAGAAUCAGGAGAGCUAAUUGAUAAUGUUUCUCAAUAUAGGAGUGUUAUAGGAGCUCUUCAAUAUGUUACUCUUACCAGACCUGACAUUGCUUUCUCUGUAAACAACCUAAGUCAAUUCCUUUCAAGUCCUAGAACACAACAUUGGGAAACAUGCAAAAGGUUAUUGAGGUACUUAAAAGGCACUAUACAUCUUGGGCUGCAAUUUAAUAACAAAGGAGCUUUGCAACUACAUUGUUUUUCAAAUUCUGACUGGGCUUGUGAUCGUGAUGAUAAGAAGUCAGUGGCUGGCUUUGCUGUUUACCUAGGCCCUAAUCUAGUCUCAUGGUCAUCAAAGAAACAAGCUGUUGUUUCCAGGUCCAGCACAGAGGCUGAGUAUAGAUCUCUUGCUCAUGCUGAUUCAGAGGUUCCCUGGUUACAAUCUUUACUUGGUGAACUUAACAUCAAAUUGAGCUCUACUCCUAUGAUGUGGUGUGAUAAUCAAGAAGCAAUUGCUUUAGCUUACAAUCCAGUCUAUCAUGCUAAAACUAAGCAUGUCGAAUUGGAUAUACAUUUUAUCCGAGAUAAAGUUACUGCUAAAGAGAUUGAAGUAUGUUUUGUGCCCAGUCAAGAUCAAACAGCAGAUGUGUUGACUAAGGCUUACUUUCAAACAGUUUAGUUACUUAAGAAGCAAGCUGAAUGUUCAUCCUAAACAUUUCAGCUUGAGGGGGGAUGUUAGUGAAUUGAAUGAAGUUGGAGCAGAGCAUGAUGUUGCUGUGUAGCUGACUGUAGCAGAUCAACUCACUAGGCUGACCUGGCAAAGUUAGUUAGCUGGUUGAGCUGAUGUGUCAAAUUAGUUAUGCAGCAAAUGGUUAUGUGAUGUAACAAACUUGUGUGUGUGUUGAGCAAAUUGUAGCUUAAUAGAAAUAUCAGUCUGUAUUCAUUCAGUUGUAAUGCUAGAGUAAUAAAGGUUCUACAAACUUCUUUACAGCGCUUUCUUUUAUUUUCUUUCAUUUUCUAGCUUGCCAAACAAUACAAAACUAAGUUUCUUUCAGAAAAGGAAAAAUAAAAAGAAAAGAAUAGUUACUGUUGAAAAUAAAGAUUCAAAGUUAUGAUUUCUUUGUAAUCUAGGCUAUUUUAGGAAUAAGUUAAAUUAUAAUGGGAAGAUUCAUUAGGAUUUUUUCCAGAUUUUGUUUCCUAUUAUUUAGGAAAGGAUAGAUGUAGUCUCCUAUUUUCUCUCCUAUUUUGCUGUAUAUAUUCCCUGUACAUACUGUUCUGGAAAGUAAGAAAAAGAGGAACCAAUUCACAUUUUUCUUCAUGGUAUCAGAGCCUGGCUCUAAACCCUAGUUCUCCUAUCAGCCGCCAUUUCCUUCUUCUCUCAUAAAUUGAACAAUCUACCUUCCUUCCUCUCCCAUCAAUUGUAUUCUCUGUGGCAAAAUACGGGAUGGCUUCCUCAUCAACCUCUGUUACAGUAUCACAGUCUAAAGGAAACGUGGAGACUGCAACUCAUGGUGGAAUUGAUUCUUCACCGAUCUUAAUUACCAGUCAUAAAUUGAACGGCCACAAUUAUCUCCAGUGGUCACAAUCUGUCAUGAUGUUCAUCUGUGGCAAGGGUAAGGAUGAUUAUCUCACGGGUGAGGCGGCCAUGCCAAAGGUAUCAGACCCUAGUUUCAAAAGGUGGAAGUCAGAGAACAACAUGAUCAUGUCAUGGCUUAUCAAUUCCAUGAACAAUGAUAUUGGUGAGAAUUUUCUUCUGUUUGGGACUGCAAAGGACAUAUGGGAUGCUGCAAAGGAAACCUAUUCUAGCUCUGAGAACACAUCAGAGUUAUUCCAGAUUGAAACCAUCCUCCAUGACUUCCGCCAAGGAGAACAAUCUGUCACUCAGUACUUUAAUACUCUGACUAGGCAUUGGCAACACCUUGAUCUAUUUGAAACAUACCCUUGGAAGUGCACCGACGAUACAACCUUGUACAAGAAGAUUGUGGAACAGAAGAGAACGUUUAAAUUUCUCCUCGGACUCAAUAAAGAUCUUGAUCAGGUUAGGAGCCGUGUACUCGGGACAAAGCCUCUACCACGCCCUCGUGAAGCCUUUUCUGAAGUUAGGCAUGAAGAAAGUAGGAAAAAGGUGAUGAUGGGGUCAUCAGAACCAACACUGGACGCCUCUGCACUUGCUGCCCGUGCAUCCAACUCUGUAGGGGUUAGUGAAAAUCGUACAAAGAAAGAAAGACCAUGGUGCGAUCACUGUCGUAAGGCAGGCCACUAUAAGGAGAGUUGCUGGAAAAUUUAUGGCAAGCCUGCUGAUUGGAAACCUCGUUCCAAAGGUGACCGUGAAUCUCGUGCUCAUGCAGCAUCCACCACGGACAAUCAGGCCCUACCCGAGCCAAAUCCAUUCAGCAAGGAGCAAAUGGAGAUUCUUCAAAAGCUUUUCGAUCAAGCCACUUUGAACUCCAAUGCAGGGACAAGUCUAGUGGCUCAGAAAGAGACUCAUUCAGCAUUUGCAGCCACUAAUGGAGCAAGCAAACCUUGGAUAAUUGACACUGGUGCUUCUGAUCACAUGACUGGAGAUGCCUCAAUGUUGCAGGAUUAUAAAGCUAGCAUCAACAGCACUUCAGUCUGGAUCGCAGAUGGCUCUCACACAAAAAUAGCAGGGACAGGUUCCAUCAGACUCACUAAGGAGUUACACCUUAAUUCUGUACUUUAUGUGCCUAAUUUGGCUUGCAAUUUACUUUCAAUCAGUAAAUUCACUCGUGAUCAGAAUUGUGUAACUAAAUUCUAUCCAAAUAUGUGCGUUUUUCAGGACUUGGAUUCGCGAAGACGAUUGGCAGUGCUGAGCUAUGUUCUGGACUCUAUCUACUCAAAAGCGAUCAAUCCUCCUUCAUACAAGAUUCGAGAGCAAACUGUGCCAAGUCCAAUAGUCUGUCAACUAGUUAUCCUCAUUCUAUUGUUAGUCCAAAUGUCAAUAACGAUAGUGAAAUUGUUCUGUUACACUAUCGAUUAGGUCAUUCUAGUUUCAUGUAUCUCGCAAAAAUUUUUCCCAAUCUAUUCAUCAAUAAAAACCCUUUAUCAUUUCAUUGUGAAAUUUGUCAAUUUGCAAAACAUACUCGAAAUGUUUAUUCAAGUGUUAAGUAUAAGCCUUCUCGUCCAUUUGCUUUAAUUCACAGUGAUGUGUGGGGUCCCUCAAGAAUUAAAAAUGUUUCUGGGGCUCGCUGGUUUUUGUCAUUUGUGGAUGAUCAUACUCGUCUCACUUGGGUGUUUCUCAUGAAAAACAAAUCCGAAGUUAGUCAAAUCUUCCAAAACUUUAACGCCAUGAUUCAAACCCAAUUCAAUACCAAAAUCCAAGUCCUUAAAACCGACAAUGCCAAGGAAUAUUUCAAAGACUCCCUCAGCUCAUAUCUUCUCCAUCAAGGCAUUCUUCACAUCAGUUCUUGUGUUGACACCCCGCAACAAAAUGGGGUCGCUGAACGCAAAAACAGACACCUUCUUGAAGUGGCUCGCUGUCUUUUGUUCUCAUCUCAUGUUCCUAAUUUUUUCUGGGGUGAAGCUGUUCUCACUGCAGCCUACUUAAUCAACCGAAUGCCUUCUAGAGUCUUGGGGUUUCAUUGCCCAAGAAAAGUUCUUCUCAAUUUCUUUCCACACACUAGGAUUGUUUCAGCAGAUUUACCACAAAAAAUAUUCGGUUGCACAGCAUAUGUCCAUGUUCACUCUCAACACAGGACUAAACUUGAUCCCCGAUCUCUCAAGUGUAUAUUUUUAGGCUAUUCUCCACAUAAAAAAGGAUACAAAUGCUAUUCUCCUCAUACCAGAAAAAUAUACAUUUCCAGAGAUGUAACAUUUGUUGAAAACCUGCCUUUAUAUUCCAAAACUGUUGUUCAGGGAGAGAGUAUGAGCGAACAUCAGCCUUGGGAAUCUUCUUGGCAAUCUUGGCUGGAAACCCCUCAUGAAAACCCUCAUAACUCAACCACCACACAUGAUCAAUCUAUCCAACAGCCACAAUCAGCAAUCCUCCCAACAUCUUCACAACCUUUUGAGUCAUCUGAGUCCUCCCAACCACAAUCAGCCGAGUCACCCCGUCAUCCAUCAGCCCAUCAACUACAGCCUCUAAUCUCACCUCUUCCACAGCUUGCUGUUGAUAAUCUUAAUGUUUAUAGGAGGAGAAGAACUGGAGAGCAGAUAGAGCACAGAACUCAGCCACAUGUCCAAGAAACUGAACCAAAUCCAAGCUCUUAUGAAGACAACACAGGUAUGGAUAGUCUUGCCUCGGUUGAGUUCAUGGUUCCAAGUGUGGAUGAUUCUAAUAAAUCAAUUGCAGAAAGAAAGGGGGUUCAAAGUUGUACCACUCAUCCAAUUGCCAAAUAUGUCUCAUAUGAUGGUUUGUCCCCAUCAUACCGAGCCUUUGUUUCUUCUUUAGAUAAUCUACAUGUUCCCAACAAUAUACAAGAGGCUCUCGGUCAUCCUGAGUGGAAGAGAGCUGUUCAUGAAGAAAUAAAUGCUCUUGAGAAAAAUGAUACAUGGGUUAUAACAGAUCUUCCUGCAGGGAAACGACCAGUUGGAUGUAAGUGGAUUUUUACUGUUAAAUACAAGGCAGAUGGAAGUGUUGAGAGCCUCAAAGCUCGUCUUGUAGCUAAAGGGUUCACACAGUCAUAUGGGAUUGAUUAUCUUGAAACCUUUGCUCCGGUUGCGAAGCUCAACACCAUUAGAAUCUUGCUCUCCUUAGCAGUAAAUCUAGAUUGGUACUUAUACCAACUAGAUAUAAAAAAUGCGUUUCUCAAUGGCGAUCUUGAAGAAGAAGUGUUUAUGGAAGUUCCCCAGGGUCUUGAUCUGAAUCUUACUAGAAAUAAAGUGUGCAAGCUCAAGAAAUCUUUGUAUGGGCUUAAACAAUCCCCUCGAGCAUGGUUUGAUAGAUUUGCGAAGGCAGUUGUGAGACUUGGUUACACUCAGUGUCAGGCAGAUCACACUUUAUUCCUCCGAACAUCACAAGCAAAGAAGAUCUCUCUCCUAAUCGUAUAUGUUGAUGACAUCAUUCUCUCAGGAAAUGAUGAGGAAGAACUGCAGAAGUUGAAGAAACAGCUAGCUCAGGAAUUCGAAGUUAAAGAUCUAGGGAAUCUGAAAUAUUUUCUUGGGAUGGAGGUGGCAAGAUCUAGGAAGGGAAUUGUUGUCUCCCAAAGGAAAUACACCCUGGACUUACUAAAGGAGACUGGUAUGAUUGGGUGCAAACCAGUAGAUACUCCUAUGGAUCCCUACAAGAAACUAGGCUCAGUUGAGAAUAGUGUUCCAGUCAAUAGAGGGAGAUAUCAAAGACUGGUUGGUCGUUUAAUUUAUCUCUCACAUACCCGUCCGGACAUAGGCUUUGUUGUUAGUGUUGUGAGCCAAUUCAUGCACAAUCCUACAGAGGAACACAUGGAUGCAGUCUUUAGAAUUUUGAAGUAUCUAAAGAUGACACCUGGAAAAGGAUUGUUUUUCAAGAAAUCAGAAUAUAGGAAUAUUGAGAUCUACUCUGAUGCAGACUGGGCUGGAGACAUCACAAAUAGAAGAUCAACAUCUGCUUACUGUUCCUAUGUCUGGGGAAAUCUAGUAACCUGGAGGAGUAAGAAACAAUCAGUUGUAGCUAGGAGUAGUGCAGAAGCAGAGUUCAGAGCUUUGGCAAAUGGAAUCUGUGAAGGAAUUUGGAUAAAGCGUGUACUCAAGGAACUCGGUGUGUGCAGCCCUUCAUCCAUUCUAAUGAGGUGUGACAAUCAAGCAGCAAUCAGCAUCGCAAAAAACCCAGUGCAUCAUGAUCGAACCAAACAUGUCGAGAUUGAUAGGCACUUCAUCUCAGAGAAGGUCACUAGUGGAAGUGUGGAACUAAAGUACAUUCCAACUAGACAACAAAUUGCAGACAUCCUUACUAAAGCACUGCCAAGACCUAACUUUGAAGACUUAAGUAACAAGCUGGGUUUGUAUGAUAUACACACACCAGCUUGAGGGGGAGUGUUGAAAAUAAAGAUUCAAAGUUAUGAUUUAUUUGUAAUCUAGGCUAUUUUAGGAAUAAGUUAAAUUAUAAUGGGAAGAUUCAUUAGGAUUCUUUCUAGAUUUUGUUUCCUAUUAUUUAGGAAAGGAUAGAUGUAGUCUCCUAUUUUCUCUCCUAUUUUGCUGUAUAUAUUCCCUGUACAUACUGUUCUGGAAAGUAAGAAAAAGAGGAACCAAUUCACAUUUUUCUUCAGUUACUUGUGCAGUACAGCCUUGACGCCUAGCUACAUGGUCCAUUCUCUUUGUGUCUUUGAACCAAUCAACAGCAACAAGAUCCAUUAAAUGUUUUCCCGCAGGUGUCUGCAGUUACAAAUUGCACAAAGCACAAGAGCCAACCAAACUACAUCAUAACAUGUCGACCUAGCAUAUGCAGGAUAUAUAAAUACCAUAACAAACAACCAAAAUAUGGGGGAACCUUUGUUUUGUCAUAACAAAAAUGCUUGCUACGAACUCUAAAGUUAUUUCCACCAGAAAGUUUCCAGCAGUCACGAGCAUUAUCACAGUCAUCGUGUCGCAGAUUGCCGGAAAAAUAAGACAAAUCAAUUUGAUCAGCCUGCUCUUCCUCUAGGGUAACAACUAAUUGAAAAUUAUAAACCAAAAAAAAAAAAUCAAUACCAUAAAAAUCCACUAAUGAGGACAUUAGCCAAAUAUACAAAAAUGAAUACUUAUCAUCCACCUGUCCUCUUGAAAUCAUUCUCAAUCUUUUUUUCAUUUGCCUGAAAUCCCAAGGAAAAAUAUGGAACUAAUACUUCCCAUUCAUGACUAUUGUCUGUCAUAUAAACAUGACAUUUAAUUGAAAUAGUAAAAUUAUUUAAUUAUUUUAAUUAAAUGUUAAUCCUAUAAAUUAUUUUUGUUAAAUCUAGCAAGAAUAACUAACAUUUCUUUAAGAUAUAUUUUGGCGGUAAAUUAAAAAAAAUUAAUUAUUUGGCGGGAAUUAUUGAAAUUGGAGCCAUUUUUUUGUGGGAAUUGAAAUAUAUUCUUUAAAUUAUUAUAUAAAAAGAAAAAUGUACAUACACACACAUAUAUAUAAUUUAUAUAUAAAAAUUCUCUAAUUUGUUCACAAGUAUCAUAGAUUAUAAUUCAGUUAUGAAAUAAAAUAACUACAAGGAAAAAUAUGUAACUAAUACUUCCCAUUCAUGACUAUUGUCUGUCAUAUAAACAUGACAUUUAAUUGAAAUAGUAAAAUUAUUUAAUUAUUUUAAUUAAAUGUUAAUCCUAUAAAUUAUUUUUGUUAAAUCUAGCAAGAAUAACUAACAUUUCUUUAAGAUAUAUUUUGGCGGUAAAUUAAAAAAAAUUAAUUAUUUGGCAGGAAUUAUUGAAAUUGGAGCCAUUUUUUUGUGGGAAUUGAAAUAUAUUCUUUAAAUUAUUAUAUAAAAAGCAAAAUGUACAUACACACACAUAUAUAUAAUUUAUAUAUAAAAAUUCUCUAAUUUGUUCACAAGUAUCAUAGAUUAUAAUUCAGUUAUGAAAUAAAAUAACUACAAUAAUUAUAGUUAAAUGAAUACUUCAUUAAUUCUUAAUUUGCUUCCUAACAUUAAAUGAACAACUUGAGCCAACCACCUGAAUCAACCAGUAACAACGCCUGAGUCAACCAUCUGAAAAAACCAGCAACCCUAGCUGAUUCAAGCACCUGCAAUUAACAUCAACACAUCAGGAACAAUCGUAAAUCAGCACCAAGAACAGACCAAACUGCCAUCAAAUGCCACAAAACCAAACAGUCUGCUACUGCCAUCAAAUGCAAGCAAACAUAUGCAACAAAACCAGAUGCAAGUGAAAAUCUGGAGAAUAUCGGAUAAACCAAACCAAAUGCCACACUUCUAGUAAUUAGACUAGAUGCAGUGUUCAAUUAAACUAAAUGUAGUCUCAUAUUACAUUCAAAGGUGAAAACACUGUAAAAAAAAAUACAGCCAAAACAAUUGUUUACUUUUAAGUUCUAACAAAGCGUAACAGUCCAAAACCAAAACAUCUUAACUACCAAGCAAACAUCUAACAUAAUUAUUAAAAUUAAAAAGGAAAAAACAUAGGAAUCUCAGUUCUUAUACAUUUUGUAUGCAUUUAGUAAGCACACGCACAUAGACCAUCUAUGCAUAACCUUCUUCUAGCCCACCUGCAGAUGUCACAGAGAAGAGACAUUUUUUGCAGCUUGAAGUGCUCCAAUUGCUUUGUGAAGGUCCAAUUGUAAGCCUAAAUAUUGAAUCCAUGAGUCCAUAUAAUUGAAGGCUGGUGGCGACUUUUGAGUACAAAUCAAGAGAGAGUGAAGUGUGAAUUUCUGCAUGGCCCAUAACUUCAUCCACGUAGCUAUUCACUUCUUUGCAGUGAAAAGUUCCUUAAUCCUGGCACUAAUGUUGGGCAUCAUUUUGAUUUUUCAAGCCCUUUUAGAACACUUAUUGAUUUAGGAAAUUAAGGGAGCCAUUGAAAGGUGACUAAAACGGAGUGAGUUAGGGGUCCUACCUCUCUGUAGGGCUCUCGAAUCGCGGGAAAUGAGCUCCAUUGUGACCUUCAUUUCCUCCUUUUCGGAAAAAUUAGUUCAUGGCGCUUACGAUGUGAGCAAUUACUCUUUCUGGUGUCCUGAUGGUUGAUAACAGAGACUUUCAGCCUCGCUGCCUCAGGUAAGCUUGAUGGGAGGACCAGAUGUCAUACAAAAAAUAAAAGCUUUCUUUUCUCGGUAAAAGCAUGCGCAUUUUUCUGUAAGUGGGGAAGAGGCCGCGCCGUCAACACUGCAUCGGUGAAGAUGGGUGGUGGUUGUUGGUGGAGAAACGGAGGGAGGUGGCGAUUCUGAGACUUGUUGCGAUUUAGGGUUGGCCGGUUGGGUUUGGGGGAAAUUGGGUAAAGCAAAAUGCAUUUUUGUUGUUAUAUAUAUAUAUAUAUAGAUAUAUAUAUAGUAGUUGGAUUAGCUAAAAGACAAAAAAAUUUAAAUUUUACUACACUACAUGAUAAAAUACAGUGCAUUGGAGUAUGUGUUUAUUUUGUCUUUUAACUAAUCCCUGAUUGGAAAACUACUAUAUAUAUAUAUAUAUAUAUUUUUUUUUUACUUAAUAAAAAAGUGGGCACGGGUCCGGGUUCCGGAUUCUUGGUGCUGUGACCGGACCCGUGCCCGGAUCCGCUUUUUCCAUGCAUCCGAUCCGGGUUUUACCCGGACCGUAUGCACCAGGUCCAGUCCGGAUCCGGUCUGAGCGGGCUUUUCUGCCAUCUCUACAGUGGAGAGAGGGAUUAAUUCAACGCUUAGCCAAAAUUUGGCUGCGAGUGUUAAUGGGUUUUAAGUUAUACAAAACGGUGUCGUUAAUUUAAACGGCAUUGUUUUACAAUCUUAUAAGUUCACAAAACUUAAGCAUGACUUAUAUGUAUAAUUUAUUUACGAUGGUUAAGUUAUAAGUCAUGAAUAUGUCAUAUACUCUGGACAUGAAUAUAUAUCACGAAUCUAUCAUAUUUUCAUGACACAUUCGUGACAUAACGAUAUAUGUUAUAAAAUUUCUGUCAUUAUUUAGUAUUUUUCUAGUAAUGUCAGGUCUUUAAAACCUUUCUAUUAAUAACAAAAACUCUAAUCCUUUAGCAAAAGACUAAAAAUUUUAAAAAAAUCUGUUUAAAUAUCAGUUGGCUCAUAAUCAACACUUCAAUAUUGUUUGUUGUAUUUUCUUUCUUUCUUUUUUUGUCAUUUUAUUAGAUUUGCUUUGUAUCAUGGUUUGUUUUGCUUAAGUAAUUGUUCAUUAUUUACGUCUGUGUUCUUACUAGCUUUUGAUAAUUUAUGGUUGGUUUUUUAUUCAGACCCUCGAAGUACCUUUUUGUUAAUAGCAAAACCUCUGAUCCUCAAGAAAGAAAAAGAAAUUCUCUAUUUAAUUAUUAGUUAGUUCAAGAUCAAUAUCGCAAUAUUGUUUGCAGUCUUUUCAUUCUCUGUCUUUCCCACUAGUUCAUUUUAAUUUAUCUGUAUUCCUUUCUUUGACACUUGUAUUUAUUUAUAUAGAUUGUUAAGCAACAGGCAAUGGCUGCAGAAGGGUGUCUCCCUACUUUUUCUAGCAUUGUAUCACAAGGUUCAAAAGCAUUAUUCAAACCGAUUAUGUGGCACAUAUCUUAUGUGUUCCGAGUACCAGAGCUACAUAGAUGGGCUAAAAGAUUGAGUGAAGGAGCUGGAAUAUAUAAGAGAAAGGGUGCAAAUGCUGGUUAGAGAGGCUACUCUACAAGGAGAUGAGAUUUAUAAGGGUGUCAGAGACUGGCUAAAUAGAGUUGCUGAAUUCAGUGAAGGGGUUGCAAAAUCAAUCAUUGAUGAUAAAGAUAGAGCUAAGAUGUUCUGCUUCAAAAGGUUGUGCCCAAAUUUGAUUUCUUGUUACAAGCUUGGUAAACAAGCAGCAGAGGCCGCAAACGAAGCUGAUAAACUUGUGAAGAAAGGCGAAUUUAACAUUUGUAAUCAUGUUUCCUACCGUCCUGCUCCAGAGAGUACAGAAUAUGUGCAAGUGAAAGAUUACGUAGCCUUUUAUUAUAAUAUCUUUUCACUCUAUUAACUUAAAAAAGAUUGACUUCAAUAUUAAAAAUGUAACAGUAUAUACAUUUUAUAAUAAUUUCAAUAUUUAAAAAAUAUUUGAAUACUUUACAAUCUUAUAUUAUAUUAAACUACAUUUUAUAAUAAAUAGAAACAUAAUAUUAAAAUAAAUAUAUAAAAUUUUAAGUUAGGCUUAAUAUUAUUUAAAAUAAUUUAAAUAUCAUUAAUACAUGAGAUAUAUUAUAUUAAUUAUAAAUUCUAUUUAAUCUAAAUAUAUAUUUAAAGUUUUAUACUAAAAAUAGAUAUAUUAUUAAAAUAAAUAUAACAACUAACAUUUUAAAGAUUAAUACUGAAAUUAAAAUUAUAAAUUAUAUUAAUCUACUAAAAAGAUUCAUCUAUUUGACACUAGCAGCGGACAAUGAGGUCACGGCAUAGGACAAGCAGUUAUCGUGACCCAUGGACUUUUCUACUUCUUUUGAAAAAAAAAAAAAUAUCAAAGUCAUUGAAGUGCGUUUGAUGAUAUGCUGUGUAGCUUCUCUCUCAAAUGCUUUUCGAGUGCCUCCAGUAUCUGCUUUUAUAUAAGCUUUUGUCUUUAAUCAUUCAUUCAAGCUUUCGCUAAGAGUGAUGCAGCACAGCACGUAAAUAUAGAAGCAUUGACAGCCGUAGUCAGGAGCUCUUCGGUAUUUGAAGCAAGAAUGGUUGUUUGGCUUUGUGCAUUGAAAGAGAAAAGAAAAAAGAAAGACUAAUUUCAAUAAUACAAUUUAAUUAAUUAAUUUAAAAUAAUAAGCAAAUAAUAAUGAUGAAAUUAAUUAAUAAAAAGAAGAAAAUGAAAAUUGCACGUGCUACUAGCAUAAACCAAUUGCCGGAAUGAGGUCACUUUGUAGACAAAUGAUUCUGGAAUCAGAACUUGGGCCAGCUUUGGGUUAUGGAUCCAAAAUAAAAAUAAGGUGGGCCACAUGGUCUCUUAUGAUCAAUAAAAAUCGAUUGAAAAGGAUGGUAUAGUGAGUGGAAGAGAAAUGCCGAUGGCAGAUCAAGGGAUGAAGAUACGAGCUCACUUGCAACGUGGUAUAGUUCAUCAUGGCUGGCUUUCCUAUAAGUUCAGGUCCUUUGAAUACUUUCAAUGACCUUAUUAGUCAGGAAUUUAACAAUAAUUUUUAUUUUUUACAUCCAGGAACGGUUUUAAGCAUAGGCAAAUUAGGCCUAUAAUAGCAAAUCCUCUUUUUUAACAAUUAAACAAUUAGGAAGUCUCCCUUUUUUAUUUUUGGUAUUACUUAUAAUAGCAAAUCUUCUUUUUUAGGCCUCUUUUUAGUUAGUAAUUAUCUUAUAAUUAAGAAUUUUUAUACACAUUCUAUCUUUGAUAACCUUAAUAUUAAAGAUCUCUAAUUAAUAGUAUUAUCUAAUUGUUAAUUUAUUAUUAGUUUUUCCAAGAAAAAAAUUAAAAUCUUUAUCUAUUUAAUACUUCAGUUUUUUUUUCGUCAGUGGCAGAUAAAAGAGUCGGUUUUUCCGUUACUAAGCUUUUUAUGGAUGAAUUUUUUUUUAUAAUUUCUUUGUUUUAUAGGUUCUCUGUGAAUGCCAUUAGAAAUGAGAUUGACUAAUUCAAACUUCCUUUUUCCCCUUAGCAUCCAAACGUGUGAGGCAAGGGCAACUAAUGAGUCCAUUGUGAUGAGAACCUUUGUCUAAGCAAAAGCAGAGGUCAAUUGCUAAUACCGUACUGUUAUUAGUUUCAGUGCUUAAAUUGCUCCAUAAGUUUGCAUUUUAAAGUCUCUGUCUUAAUUUCUGAGGUAUACUGCUAAUGAGACCUCCUGCCAAGUUCAAGUUUGUUGUGAUGGCUACUUUGUCAUAUAACUGACUGUGAGAGGCCAUCAAUCAGCUCUGUUUUGUAAUUUUGUACCUUUUUUUUUCAUAUAAUGAUCAAUCAAAUGUUAGCCCUUAGAUUGCAACCAAUAUUUACUGAUUGUCUUAUAUAGGAUAUAAACUAAAUUCAUAAGACAUUCCCUUAUUGAUAUUCAUUCCGACACGUCCUAGUCUUUUGCCUUGUAGAAAUGCUUGUGGUUGAAGAGCUUUACAGAGAAGCUGUCGUCAGUACUGCGCGGAAAUUGAUUAUAUUGAAUCAGAAAACUUGACCAGAUAAGGUCUGUGUGCAUGAGAAUACUUGAGGAAAGCUUCACAAUACUGAGGGCCGGAUCUGCACUCUUUCCUCUAUAUGUGUCUUCAAUAUCAAUGGCUCAAAUACAUGUGUUAUGGUCUUUUAAUAUAUAUAAAAUACCAUUAUCUCAUGCGUUAUGGUCUUAUCCUUGUAUUCUUAAAAACUACAUAAAAUACCGUUAUCUCUGCUUUUGUAGCUAUUGAAUUCGACUUUCACAACAUAAAUAUUUAUUAGCAACAACUUAAAAUCCAAACAAAUCUAACAUGCAAUGUAUCAAUUACAUAUUAUGAUUAAACAGAUUUUGAUUAUUUAUUAUUAAAAUAUAUUCUCAUUAAUAUCUUAAGGAUAGGUAAUACUCACAUAAUUUUUUUAAAAAUCAAACCCAAAUUAUAUGCAUUGUUAAUGUGUAUUAUUGUCUAAUAUUUGGAUUUUACUAAUUUACAACUGCUAUAAUGUACGGCCUCUUCAAACAUAAUGUGGGUCCCACCACGUGUUAAAUUUUUUACAUUAUUUUUGAAGGAAUUGUAAGUUACAGCAGCUGUAAAUUAGCAGCACCUCCAAUAUUUUACUUUACUUCCCCUAAUAUUUUACUUGUACUUUUAUAUCUUUACAAAACAAUACCAACAAGACAAUAAUGUAUGAAAUAAAUAAAAUAAAUAAAUAAAGAACUGACAACGAAAUUAGGCCUAUCAUUAAUUUCUCUUGGUGUGAACUCUUGACAAUUCUCCCAUAUCCCACCUAAAGCUCUCGCAUGGUGUGAACGCUUGACGAUUCUCCCAUAUCCCUCCAAAAAUUUGUCAUAUUGCGAAAAACAAUGUCAAUUCAAUAUCGUCUCCAUUAGUCAUAGUGGCAGAUAGGACUAGAAUUUGUUGAAACCCUUGGACUUAUUUUUCCUUUUGAAAAUAAUUUUGUAGAAUCUCAUAUCGUGAAUAACGGACAAUGAGACUCUUUUUUUUAACUAUAAUAUUUUUUUAAAAUUAUUAACUAAAAAAAUUAAUUUUAAUAUUUUAUAAUAAAUAUAAGUAGGAUAUUAAAAUAAAUAUAAUAAUAUAUACAUAUUAAAAUAAUUUCAAUACCAAAAAAUAUUUUAAUAGUUUACAAUCUCGUAUUCUAUUAAACCAAAUUAUAAUAAAUAGAGACAUAAUAUUAAAAUAAAUAUAUAAAAUUUUAAAUUAUUUUCAAUAUCAUAUAAAAUAACUUUAAUAUUAUUAAAACGUGAGAAAUAUUAUAUUAAUUAUAAAAACUAUUUAACCCAAGGAUUUGUUUAAAAUUUUUAUAAUAAAUAUAUUAAAUUACAUUUUAAAAAUUAAGUAUUUAAAUUAUACAUACUAGUCUACUAGAAAAUUUAAACUAUUUAAAUCAUAUUUACAUUUAGUAAAAAAUUUUGAAGUCAUUUUUUUUUUUGUGAAUACCAUAAGAGUGCUAUAGUCAAAAAGGGUAUUGGUGUUCUUUAUUAAAAGUUUGGGGUCUACAUGACUAUUUUCUAAAAUUUUAAGGGUGUCAUUUUAUUUUUGAAAAAAAUAAAAAUUUCAUUUAAACAGCUAAAAUGGUGAAUAGUACAAUGCUACAGUGGGCGUAAAUGGAAGGUAAAAAGCAAUCAGAUUUUGAUUAAACAUGCAAUGUAUGAAAUAUAUAUUAUAAUUAUACAGAUUUUGAUUAUUUAAUAUUAAAUUAUAUUCACAUUAAUAUCUUAAGGAUAGUUAAUACUCAAAUAAUUUUUCAAAAAAUCAAACCCAAAUUAUAUGCAUUGUUAAUGUGCGUUAUUGUCUAAUAUUUGGAUUUUGCUAUGUCACAACUACUGUAACUUAAAGCCUCUUCAAACAUAUGUCGAUCCCACCACGUGUUAAAUUUUUUACAUUAUUUUUUAAGGGAUUGUAAGUUACAACAGCUUAACUUAGCAGCACCCUAAUAGUUUAUUUUACUUUUAUAUCUUUACAAAACAAUGCCAACAAGACAACAAUGUAUGAAAUAAAUAAAAUAAAUAAACAAAGAUCUGACAGCAAAAUUAUGGCUAUCAUUGGUUUCUUGUGGUGUGAACUCUUGACAAUCCUCCCCAAUCCCAUCCAAAACUCCCGCGUAGUGUGAACAUUUGACGAUUCUCCCAUAUCCCUCCAAAAAUUUGUCAUAUUGCGAAAAGUAAUGUCAAUUGCAAUGUCGUUUUCAUUAGUCAUAGUGGCAAAUAGGACUAGAAUUUAUUGAAACCCCUCGACUUAUUUUUCCUUUUGAAAAUAAUUUUGUAGAACCUCAUAUCGUGAAUAAAAGACAAUAAGACUCUUUUUUUUAAUUAUAAUAUUUUUUAAAUUUAUUAACUAAAAAAAUUAAUUUUAAUAUUUUAUAAUAAAUAUAAGUAGGAUAUUAAAAUAAAUAUAAUAAUAUGUACAUAUUAAAAUAAUUUCAAUACCUAAAAAUAUUUUAAUAUUUUACAAUCUCGUAUUCUAUUAAACCAAAUUAUAAUAAAUAGAGACAUAAUAUUCAAAUAAAUAUAUAAAAUUUUUAAUUAUUUUCAAUAUCAUAUAAAAUAAUUUUAAUAUUAUUAAAACAUGAGAAAUAUUAUAUUAAUUAUAAAAUCCAUUUAACCCAAGGAUUUGUUUAAAAUUUUUAUAAUAAAUAUAUUAUUAAAAUAAAUAUAUUAAAUUACAUUUUAAAAAUUAAUUAUUUAAAUUAUACAUACUAGUCUACUAGAAAAUUUAAACUAUUUAAAUCAUAUAUACAUUUAGUAAAAAAUUUUGAAGUCAUUUUUUUUUUGUGGCUACCAUAAGAGUACUAUAGUCAAAAAGGGUAUUGGUGUUCUUUAUUAAAAUUUUGGGGUCUACAUGAUUAUUUUCUAAAAUUUUAAGGGUGUCAUUUUAUUUUUGGAAAAAAAAAUUCAUUUAAACAGCUAAAAUGGUAAAUAGUACAAUGCUACAAUGGCGUAAAUGGAAUGUAAAAAGCAAUCAAAAUGACCAACAGUCUAACGCCUCAUCAGGGACAUAAAGUCAAAGUUUGUUGCAUGUGGUCAGGGCCAUUUAGUCUGUGAGUGGGUCCUGCAUGUCAUUUUUGGGCAUUUCAUCUUCUUUAGCAUUGAAGAUUAAAUGUUGACGACAUUUUCAAAAUUUUGGAAGACCCAUUAUACUUUUGGAUGGCUGUCAUUACUUGAUAUUAUCAUUAUAUGAUGAAAUAAAAUUGGAUGUAACACUUGUUUCGCGUUGUGGGAACUUUUGACAAUUCCCCAUAUCUCCUAAAAAUCUUUCGCCAUUUUGGGAAGAUGCCAUUUAUUUUCAUUUUCAUCAUUGAUAUUGGCAGAUAAUGGGGUCCGAGGACAGACCAUAAAUUAUUGCGACCCAUGGACUUUUCUAAUUUUUUUUUUUCCUUUGGAUAGUUUUCGUUAUUUGAUAGAAGGAGAUAGAGAUAAAGUUUUUUAAUCAAAUGCCCAUUUUAUUUAACAUGGAAGAAGAUCUUUAAACUCUAAGCGAGGCUAUCACUUCAACAGAUGCAGCUUCAAAAAAGAGGUAACAAGUGAUGAGAUAGACUCAUUAUUGUCUAAUCAAACAAGGACAUCGGUAGAUGUAUCAGGAUCUUAAGUUAGAUUGGAAUUUGAUACAUUGUUGUUCGUAACGUUGGUUCAAACCUUUAAAGCAAGGUUGGAUGCAAAAUGGUUUACACCAAAGACGUGAUUUAGGAAGUUAAUUAACGUUAUUUUAGAUAAUUUAUAAUUCUAAAAUAUUUAUUAUUUUAUGGUUUUCUAUUUUUGUUUGAGUCAAUUAUGGUAUGUAUCUUAAUCUUUUAUUUCCAUUAUAAUUAUAAUUUAAAUUUUCUUUUUAGGUUAACUUAGGAAAGUGGAUUUCUUUUAUUAUAAAUAAAGAUGUCUGUAAUAAAAAAAAUAAAGAUGUCUUGUCAUUGUUUUCAGGACUUCAAAUUCAAUUAUUAAAUAAAACUCUUUUUUUUAUAAUUUCCUCUAGUAUUAUUUAUCAAAAUCUCUCUUAUAGAGUUAUUUAAAUUAGAGUGUCAUCUAAUCUCGUAUUACGCGUUAUUAAAAAUCUCAUUGAAUCAUUUAGAUUAAAACAAUAUCUAAUCACGCUUUGAUUAAAGCGUAAGUUAAUUGUGUUGGCUUGAUCCAGUACUAGAAUGAUAUUUAGUAUUUCUUACCUUAUCAAUUCCACUUCCGCUACGCUCGCUCCAUCAAUUGGUAUCAAAGCAAUUCUGUGCGAAUCACACAUCUUUCCUAGAUACACCAUACCCAUCCAAACCAAAUCCAUCAAAAAAAAAAAUUACAAAUUUGAAAACCCUACCCGUCAGACCAACCCCCACCGCCGCCCACCACCGCCAAUCAGCCAGCCAACACCACCACAAACCUCACUAGCCACCGUCGACCAAGCCUCAGUCAUCGCUGCCUCAACCGCCGCUUGAACAGCCGCAAAUCACCAACCCAAACCUGCGGCUCCACCAAGCAACCCACCACCAUUCAGCCACUUUCUCCACCAGCCACCUCCACCAACAAACUCGCCGGCCUUCGUUGACCAAAAACUGACCGACUUCGGCCCUUGAUCGCCGCCCUCUGUCACCACACGAAACGACAACCCACGAGUGCUUCCUACACGCGCCGCCACCAAAACACCUUCUUUUUCCGUCAAUUUACACCACCACCAUAAUCCCUAGCAGUCGGCAACCGUAAAUCCAGUCUUCCGCCACUGUAAAGCCGCCAUAAACCAAAAGCCACAUCACCAAAAUCAACCGCCAAUUCAAGUCGGAUUUUCCCCAAUUCAGGUUGCUGAAUAUAAAAAGGACUCAUGAAAAUUACCUAAAGUUUCAAAUAUUGUUAUUCAGCAACCACUUUUAUGGUACAUUAGUUUCAACCCAAAUUUUAUAUAAAUAAUUUAUAACUCCCAUUAUUAUUAUAAAAAAAAAUUGUAGCAAUUGUGGUUAUAUCACAUGAAAAAAAAAAUCUAAUUAAAGAAAUUAACAUUAUAAUUUAAGGGAUAGUUGCUCUUUUAAUCAUUAGAAUUUAUGUCAAUUAUCCAGCUUAUCCUUGCAUUCUUAAAAACUAUAUACAAUACCAUUAUCUCUGCUUUUGUAGCUAUUGAAUUUGACUUUGACAACAUAAAUAUUUAUUAGCAACAACUUAAAAUUCAAACAAAUCUAAUAUGUAAUGUAUGAAAUACAAAUAAUAAUUAAACAAAUUUUGAUUAUUUAAUAUUAAGAUAUAAUCACAUUAAUAUCAUAAGGAUAGGUGGUACUCAAAUAAUCUUUUAAAAAUCAAACCCAAAUUAUAUGCAUUAUUAAUAUGCAUUAUUGUAUAAUAUUUAGAUUUUGUUAAGUUACAACUACUAUAACUUAAGUCUCUUAAAAAAUAUGUGAGUCCCACCACCUAUUAAAUUUUUUACAUUAUUUUUGAAAAAAUUACAAGUUACAUCAGUUGUAACUUAACAGCACCCCUAGUAUUUUACUUUACUUUUAUACCUUUACAAGAACAAUAAUGUAUGAAAUAAAAAAAAUAAAUAAAUAAAGAACUGACAACGAAAUUAGACCUAUCAUUAGUUUCUUGUGGUGUGAACUCUUGACAAUCCUCCCCUAUCCCACCUAAAGCUCUCGCGUGGUGUGAAUGUUUGACAAUUCUCCCAUAUCCCUCCAUAAUAUGUCAUAUUGCGAAAAGCAAUGUCAAUUGCAAUGCCGUUUCCCAUUAGUCAUAGUGAUAGAUAGGACCAGAAUUUUUUGAAACCCCCGAGGCCCUAAACUUGUUUUUCCUUUUGAAAAUAAGAAAAUGGCACCUGUCUAGAGAAAUAAUUUAUUAGAACCUUAUAUCAUGAAUAACGGCCAAUAAGACUUUUUUUAAAUUAUAAUAUUUUUAAAUUUAUUAACUAAAAAAAUUAACUCUAAUAAUUUAUGAUAAAUAUAAAUAGGAUAUUAAAAUAAAUAUAAUAAUAUAUAGAUAUUAAAAUAAUUUCAAUAUCUAAAAUAUUAAUAUUUUACAAUCUCGUAUUCUAUUAAACCAAAUUAUAAUAAAUAGAGACAUAAUAUUCAAAUAAAUAUAUAAAAAUUUAGGUUAUUUUCAAUGUCAUAUAAAAUAGUUUUAAUAUUAUUAAUACCUGAGAAAUAUUAUAUUAAUUGUAAAAUCUAUUUAACCUAAGGAUUUAGUUAAAAUUUUAAAAUAAUUACAAAUAUUUUAUAAGUACAAAUAAAUUAAUUUACAUUUUAAAAAUUAAUAUUGAAAUUAAUUAUUUAAAUUAUAUAUAUUAGUCUUCUGGAAAAUUUAAAUUAUUUAAAUCAUAUUUACAUUUCGUAAAAAAUUUUAAGUCAAUUUGUUUGAUUACCACCUGCUAAGGGUAUUGUAGUCAAGGGGAAUAUUGGUAUUCUUUAUUAAAAAUUUGGGAUCUACAUGAUUAUUUUUCUAAAUUUUAAUGGUGUCAUUUUAUUUUUGACAAAAAUAAAAUUUCAUUUAAACAACUAAAAUGAUGAAUAAUACAGUGCUACAGUGGCGCAAGUGGAAGGUAGGAAACAAUCAAAAUGAACAGUCUAACGUCACAGCAGGCAUAUAAGGCCAAAGUUUGUUACAUCCCAAUACAAAAAGUUUGAAACUUUGCACCUUCUGAAAUGAAACAAACUUACUUGGAUAUUGGUGAUCAGUGAGAAAAGCCCUUUUUCAAAAGCAACCUUAGGGUACCGAGUGUUACAGAUUCAAUGAACCACAAAUACUUAUUUACAUUGUAGUAUCUCAAAGGCACCGAUUUCUUCUGAUCCGUUAAGGAAAACAAGAAAAAUAAAAAGAAAAGAAAAAGGGUACUUGUGCCACACAACCUUGACGCCUAGCUACAUGGUACAUUCUCUUUGUGUGUUUGAACCAAUUAACAAUAAUGGUGCCUUUACUUCUUGGACUGGAGAAUCGAAAUCCGAAAUCGAAAUCAUUAAUGAUGUUUACUUCAUAAAAUGGAGGCUGGGAUCCGAAUCAGAACUAUGGGGACCACCCAAAUUAGGAGUGAGGAAUGGAAGAUUGAUUCCUAAGGAAGGUGGUGGGAAUCAAUCCCCCAUUCCCAAGAUUGAUCAUUUUGCCCCCUCUCACAAACUAUAAAAUAUCUAUUUUGUCCUCAAUUAAAAAAUUAUUAUGAUUAAUUAAUAUAUGUUUAUAAUUUAUUAAUAUAACUAUUCUAAUCAAUUUAUAUAUAUUUUAAAUAUAUUAUUAUUAAAUAAUUAAUAUAUUAUUAUAAUUAAUUAAUAUAUUUUGAAUUUUUAUUAUUAUCGUCAUCAUCAUCAUUAUUAUUGUUAUGAAUGAUAAAUUUUUUUACAAUUAAUUAGUAUAUUAAUAUAUUAUUGACAAUAAUUAAUAAUAAUAAUAAUUUUUGAAUAAAUAAAUAAAUAAAAUUAAUUACUGAAUUUGAACAUUUUACAAUUAUUCUAUUAUUUGGACUUAUCGAGAACUUACAUGCAGCGUAGCUAGUUUGCUAGCAUAUGUAAGGUUUAAUUUGAAUGCAUGCAGCAUUGAGAAGAGACAACGCAGAAACAAAAUUUCCGCUUGCAAUCUUUUCAUUUCCCUUUUUAAUAACAAGCAAAAUAGAGGAUAAACAGGGACUUUGUUUUAAUUCUCCUGUUUUUCUGUUUGGUGAUUUUAAAAUUUUAUGUCUAUAUUUAUCAAAAAAAGUUAUCCAAAAUUAUUAUCUAUUUUUGAUACACGUUGAUUUAUUAAAAAAAAAUUAAAAACUUCAUUUCUAAAUUUAUCGUUGUGCUUUGACCUUGGGGUGGUUUUUUUCUGUUUUUUUACGUAGGCCAGAACCUUAAUGAAGAAAGUUUUCAUCGUUAAUUGCUUUUGACCUAGGAGAAUUUAUUCUUGGACAAAUUAACACCUUUGUCUUUUGAUGCGGCUCCUAGAUAUCUAUGCAAUUUGUGUCAUUUACUUUUGCUUUGUAUUCUUUUUUAAAUGAGUCCCGAUUGGUUCAUUUGCAGAUAAAUGAGUCAGUUUUUCUGUUUUUAUUUUUUGAAAGACGGUUUUUCUGUUACGAAGCUUUUCAUGGAUGAAUAUUUUUUUUUUAAUUUUAUAGAUUCUCUGCGAGUUUUGUUAGGUAGAAGGGUAUUUAAGUAUUUUCAUUUCAUAUUUUGACAUUUCCUUGACCUUUGAAGUAUUGAAUCAUUGUGCAGGUAUUUAAGUAAAUCUGCCCACAAUGAAGAAUAGUUCAGAACAGUUGCGGAAGAUAAAUGGCUCAAAUAUAUGCGUUAUGAUCUUUUAAUAUUUCGCCUCUGAUAUUGUCCACAUUGCUUACUGCAAUAGAUAAAGCACUUCGUUUACCCCAAAUCCUGAUAGGGAAGUAUAAAUAUGUGCUUCCGAAAUAGUGCAACUCUCCAUAAUUAUUUAAUAUGCCUCUCAAUGAAGCAAUCACCUUCAUUUACAAUUCUUCGAUUAUUAAUCCUACAUACACGUGUUUCUUUUGUCUCUAAAAGUAUCCUCAAUUAAUUUACAUAAUUUAAUAUAAUAAGUACCUAAGACUAGACAAAUUAUCAUUAUAAUAGUAUUGACACAAUAAUGUCAAUAAUAAAUGCCUUAACAAACCUAUAAAUUUUAGAAUAUGGCUCAGAGUGCUACAAUGAACCACAACAAGUUAUUAUAUUGUCUAUAAUCAAUAUUCCAAUGGUAAUAGAGUUUUUUUAUUUUCAAUCCGCUGCUUUUCUGUUUAGCGAUUGCCAAAUUUUAUAUCUAAAAUUCUUCUAAUUUUAUAUCUAAAAUUCUUCUAAUUUUACACUAAGGUUUAUUUUUUCAAAAAAGGGGGGGGGGGGGGGGGGGGGGGGGGGCAGGAGAGAGAGACUUAGAGAGUAUUAAAAAAUGUAAUUCUAAAUUUUUACUUGAGUGUUGUGUGAUUUUGAUCAUUUUUUUAAAGUUGGCCAUUUAUAUUGAAUAAAUAAAAUAACGAAUAGACGUUUGGACCACUUCUUUUCUGUUAUAAUAAAACAUGAGAUGUCUUCUCUUGAUGUUUUCGUCACAAAAGAAUAUGUUUAAUUAUGUCAUCAUAGGCUUAAAUGGGAUGCCUUUUCUGUUAUAAGAUCGAGAACAAGUUUGUUUAAGCACUAGAGCCGCUAAAUAAAAGAAAGGCUCAUAUAAAAAUUACCUAAAGCACCAAAUAUUGUUAUUCAGCUACUUCUUUUAUGUUACAUUAGUUUCUACGCAAAUUUAUAUAAAUAAUUUAUAACUCCCAUCAUUAUUUAAAAAAUAAAAACCAUAGCAAUUGUGGUUAUAUCAUGUGGUGUGAUCUUUUGACAAUCCUCCCACAUCCCACCAAAAACUCUCACAUGGCGUGAACUUUUGACAAUUCUUCCAUAUCCCACCAAAAAUUUGUCAUGUUGCGAAAGGCAAUGUCAAUUGUAUUGUCAUUUCCAUUAGUUAUAGUGGCAGACAAUGUAGUCCCGGGAUAAGACUAGAAGUUUUUGAAACCCAUGGACUUAUUCUUACUUUAUUUUUUCUUUUGAAAAUGAGAAAAGGACACCCGUUUCGGGAAAUAAUUUUGUAGAAUCUCAUAUCGUGAAUAAGAGAUAAUAAGACUUUUCUUUUUUACUUUACUGCAAUACUCUUUAAUUUUAUUAAUUUUAUAUUUUAUAAUAAAUAUAAAUAUGAUACUAAAAUAAAUGUAAUGAUAUAUACAUAUUAAAAUAAUUGGAUAUUGAAAAAUAUUUUAAUAUUUUACAAUCCCGUAUAAUAUUAAACCAUAUUAUAAUAAAUAGACAUAAUAUUAAUAUAUAUAUAAGUUUAAAUUAUUUUGAAUAUCAUAUAAAAUAAUUUUAAUAUUAUUAAUAAAUCAGAAGUAUUACAUUAAUUGUAAAAUCUAUUUAAUCCAAGGAUUUAUUUAAAAUUUUUAUAAUAAAUUAAAAAUAUAUUGGUUAACAUUUUAACAAUUAAUAAUGAAAUUAAUUAUUUAAGUUAUAUAUAUUAGUCUACUAGAAAAAUUUAAACUACUUCAAUCAGAUUUACAUUUAAUGAAAAAAUUUGAAGUUAAUUUUCUUUUUAUCAUCUACUACGAAUCUUGUAGUUAAAAGAGGUAUUGACAUUCUUUAUUAAAAAUUUGAGGUCUACAUAACUAUUUUUUUUUUUAUUUUAAGGGUGUCAUUUUAUUUUUGACAAAAAUAAAAUUUCAUUUAAAUGGCUAAAAUGGUGAAUAAUACAAUGUUACAGCUGGCGUAAAUGGAAGGUAGGAAACAAUCAAAAUGACCAACAGUCUAAUGCCACAGCAAGGACAUGAGGUCAAAAAAUUCCCUUAUUAAUUAGUAAAAGAGAGUCACUUGGGCUUAUGGCGGGCAAAAUCGGAUAUAGAUCAGAUUCAAAUUAAUCCGAUAAAUUUGAUAUUGUUUGCAUUGAUAAAAAAAGUCACCCAAAUGCAAUCUAAACAUGUGUGUGUGUGUAUACAUAUUUGUUAUAAAUUAAAGUUACAAAAGUCUUUAACCAAGGCCAUUCAUAGUAAGUUUCAAAUUUUUAGGUUAAUAUCUGUAACUUCAUCAUGCUGGCCAUAAAUAAAGCUUGCAGGUCUAGGCGGGAUUGACUCGAGUUUUUUUGCCAAUCCUACGCAUGACGGGCGGUGUUAGGAAUAAUAUCCUGCAUCAAUUGAGUAUUGAACUUGGGUUCAGCAUAUAAGAUUUGGACAACUCUUAACUCUUGAGCUAACUUACUAAGUUUUGGAUUGAGUUAAGCAUGUAUGCUUCAAUAUCACAAAUUAGUCUUUCGUUACCAUUACUUAUUUUUUCUAUUGUUUAAUCCUAACACAAUAAAUGACCUUUCAUCCCAAAAGAACUAAAGUAAUCAUUUUAGACGAAUUAAGACACCAUAAAGUAAAUCUGCACACUAUGAAAAAUACUUUGGAACAGUUAAGGAAGCGUGAGAAUACUUGGGGAAAGCUUCAUAAUUGUUACGGCCGGAUCUACACUCUUUCCUCUAUAUGCAAUAAAUAUAUGCGUUAAUGAUCUCUCAAUAUUUUGCAUCCGAUAUUGCCCACAUCGCUUACCACAAUAUAUUCACUUUAUAAACAAAGUUUACAACCCAAAUACUAAUAGAGAAUAUAAAUAUGUACUUGUCAAUGAAGCAAUCACCUUUAUUUAGAAAUUUUUUAUUAUUAAUCCUACGUACACACACCUCUUUUGUCUCCAAAAAUAUUCUUAAUUAAUCCACACAAUUUAAUACAAUAAAUACCUAAGAUUACACAAAUUUUCAUUACAAUAGAAUAUAUAAUUUAUAAUAUUAUUGAUACAAUGAUGCCAAUAAUAAAAAUCCUAUAAACCUUACAAAUUUUAGAAAAUGGCUUAGAGUGUGACAGGUUGAAUGAACCACAACAAAUCAUUUACAUUAUAGUAUCUAUGAUCAAUAUUCUAAUGAUAAUAGGGCUCCUCCAUUUUCAUUUCCCUACAUUUUCUGUUUGGUGAUUGUCAAAUUUUAUGUCUAAAAUUUUUCUAAUUUUACAGUGAGGUUUAUUUUUUAAAGAGAGAGAGAGAGAGACUCAAAGAGAAUUAAAAAAAAUGUAAUUCUAAAAUUUUACUUGUGCAUUUUGUGAUUUUUACCAUUUUUUAAGUUGGCAAUUUGUAUUGAAUAAAUAAAAUAAUAAAUAGACUUAUGGACCACUUUUUUCUGUUAUAAUAAAAAUCAGAGGUCCUUUCUUGAUGUUUUCUUUCCAUAUGAAUAAAUUAGAAUUUUAUUGGUACAGUAAUGUCAAUAAUAAAAUUCCUAACAAACAUACAAAUUUUAGAAUAUGGAUUAAAGUGUUACAAGUUGAGUGGAUCACAACAAGUUAUUUAUAUUGUAGUGUCUAUGAUCAGUAUUUCAAUGAUAUCAAGGGUCCUCUAUUUUCUUUCCCUUGCAAUUUUUGUUUGGUCAUCGCCAAAGUUUAUAUCUAAAAUUUUUCUAAUUUUACACUGACAUUUAUUUUUUUUUUAAAAAAAAGAGAAAGAGAGACACGGAGAGAACUAAAAAAUGUAAAUCUAAAUUUUUGCUUGUGCGUUAUGUGAUUUUUAUCAUUUUUUAAGUUGGCCAUUUGUAUUGAAUAAAAAAAGUAAUAAAUAGACUUAUGGACCACUUGUUUUUUUAUUAUAAUAAAACAUUUUCUUCUCCUGAUGUUUUUCAUCUCACAGGAAUAUAUUUAUCUCAUCGUGGGCCCAAAUGGGGUAAAUAAAUUGGGAUCAAGGACAAGUCUGUUUAAGUGUUGAAAUUGCAAGAAGACCUCAUAAAAAAAAUUGCCUAAAGCCCCAUUAUUGUUAUUCAACUAUUACUUUCAUGACACUUACACAAAUAAUUUAUAACUCCAUCUUUAUUUAGGGAAAAAACUGUAGCAAUUGUUGUUAUAUCACAGGAACAAAUUCCAAUUAAAAAUAUAAUAAGAAUUAAUUGCAAAUUUUGUAAUAAAUAUCAAUAUAAUUUAAUAGUUUAAUUUUUUUUGGUAGAGUAAUAUAAUUUAAAAAAUUAAUAUUUAAAAAAAUAAUAUCAGUAUUACUUUUUAAAAUGCAAAUUAUUAAAAUUAUAUUAAUAAUGUAUUUUUAUUUAUUAUAAAAUUUAUUUUAAUAAAAUCUUAAAUUUUUUUAAAUAUUUGUAUAUAUUGUUAUAUGUUAUUAUAAUAUUAUAUUUAUAUUUAUUAAAAUAUAAGAGUUAAUAUUUUUAAAUUAAUAAAGACAAAAAGUAUUAUAAUAAAAAAGAAUUCUUUUAUUAAAAAUAUAAUCAUUCUCCCAAACUUAUCCUUGUCCCUUUUUGAAAGGAAAAAAUAAAUUAGAAAAGUCUAUGGUCAUGAUAACUUCUAGCCUUGUCCCGUGGGACAUGGCUACGGUGCAGAAGCUGAAAGUAACAGCUUCGAACUUUCCCAUUUCCAUCACCUUGUUGAUGGUUGUUGAAGCCAAUAAAAAUAAAUUCCUACUCUAAAUAAAUUGUGUAUAGUGAUUGAGCAGGGUCGUGUCCACAGAGAUCGGUAAUUAUUUAAAUUCUUUUGAAACGUAAAACGUAAAAUGGGAGAAUUGUUGACAAUAAUAAAAAAUCAAAUUAAAAUAACAAAAAUGCAAAUUAAAGUUGUAAUUCAAAUUGGAGAAAGCUUUGGUUGAAGGAAUUAACUCAGUUUGAUUCGACUACUGAUCAUUGAUUCAAAAAUAGAUUAUUAUUACUUAUGAAUAAACUGGUUAUAGCUAUUGAGACCCUCUAAUAGCCAAUCUCUCCUUAACUAGUCGAUAACCAAGGUACGACUAUUGGAUAUUUCCCUAAUCAAUAGACAACCCUAGAUACGAUCAUAGGAUUUAAUCAAUUGACAGCCUGAAAAACCAGAGCGACCCAAAUCCUAAUCAACACAUAUGAUGAUUCAUUUAAAUUAGAUUGUUUAUUCCCAUAACACAACUCACUGCUAUGUUAUUUGUCACAAACAUUAAACUCGUCAUACGAUGAAUUCUUUAAUUGACAAUAGAUUAAGUUGAUAAUUAAAUAGUGGCCAAUUACCUAAUUAACAAACAUAAUCAUGAAACUAAUUCAGAGAAUAAACAAAUACCCAAAAAGUAAUAAAACAAUUAAAGCAUAAGAAAGAUCUCACAGUAGUGAUGAAUCAAAAAUUCAUUAACCUUCAACUAGAAAAAAUAAGUUUAGUUUUUCAUAGAGAGAAGAGAAAAAUUAGAUCUAGGGUUUCUUUCUUUUUCUCCAAUUAAAAUCCCCCCUUUUUCACAAUAGAUUCCUCCCUUAAAUACUCUCUCUCUCUUCUCUUUUAAAGUUCUAUUUAAAAUAAAAUAAUAAUAUUUGAAAUAUUAAAUUCGUAAUUACAAAAAUAGCCAAAAAUACAAAACACAUUAAACUAAAAACUGCAGGUCCGCAGUUGACAGCACGCGCCCACGCCUUAUCUAUAAAGUUCUUCUGACGCUCUAAAUUUCUCCAAGAGAACAAUCAUCUUUAAACAUCAUCUUAUACCUCAAUUCUAUCACAAAUCAAUAGAAUUGCACUUACAAAAGUAAAACACAAGUAAAUCAUUAUUAUUAAAUGCAAAACAUCGAUAUUAAGGGAAGUAAACAAUGCAAAACUAGUGUAUAAAUUGUACUCUAACACUUGUAUUGGGACCUCUUUCUCUCUCCUAUAGCCCCCAUGGAAGUUCCCCAUUGGCUGCUGUUACUUACAGAAGCCGUAACAUAGACUUCUAGCCAUGUCCCGUGAUGUCCAUUGUCUGCCACUAUGAAUAAUGGCAAUGACAUUGCAAUUGAAACAUUGAAAAGGUAUUUUCGCAAUAUGACAAAGCUUUUGUUAGGAUAUGGGAGGAUUGUCAAAAGUUCACACCACUUGAAACUAGAAUUAGAUCUAAUUUCAUUUAUUUCAUAAAUUAGAAAAGUCUAUGGUCGUGAUAACUUCUAGCCGUGUCCCGUGAUGUCCAUUGUCUGCCACUAUGAAUAAUGGAAAUGACAUUACUAUAAUAAAAUGACAUUGCAAUUCCAAUAUGCAAUUGAAAAGUCUAUGGUCGUGAUAACUUUUGUAAUAUGACAAAGUUUUUGUUGGGGUAUGAGAGGAUUGUCAAAAGUUCACACACCACAUGAAACUAGUGUUAGAUCUAAUUUUAUUUCGUCCGUUCCUUAUAUAUUUAUUUCAUACAUAUAUGUCUUAGGGUGAUAUUGUUUUGUAAAGAUAUAAUAGUAAGGUACUAUAAAAAGAAAAGAACUGUGUGUAUACUUCCCAGUGUAAUAAUUAUAUGUAGAAGAAAACUAACAAGAGGAAAAAUGACAAAGAGCAAGGCGCUGGUUGUUGGGAGAAGAGGACAUGUCGGCAGAGGAUAGAGAAGCCAAUCUUAGCCUUGUUGAUUGAGGGCUCAUCUUCUGAUCAUCGUAGCCUUGUUGGAGCUGUCAAACAAGUCGAUGUUGUCAUUUAAGGAGCCACAACAUUUUGAUGCUGCUUAAACUUGUUGGGGCCAUCAAAUAAGCUGUAAAUAUUAAGGUACGUAAGCCUUAAUUUUUAUGUAAUUUUAAUUUCAGAUCCAAAAUUGCAUGCAAGCCAUUAAUUUCUUUCCUUUUUUAUUUUUGAUUUGAUGAGGUGCUUGAUUUGGUCGGGUGUGUAUUUUUUCUUUGUUCUUUUUUUUUUUAAAACAUAAAUCUCCAAAUCGGGUUGGAGCGGGGAUUCUAACCCUACGAUGGCCAUAUUAAAAUUUAAAAUUUUUUAAUUUAUUUUUCUACAUCUCAAUAUUUGAAAAAAUGAUUAUAUAGAUCUAUAUAUUUUCAAUAAGAGAUACUAAGAUACUCUUUUUUACUAUAACACCUACUAGCUCUAUUAACUCAAAAAAUUAGCUUCAAUGUUAAUAUAUAUAUUUUAAAAUAAUUUUAAUAUUUUAAAAAAAAUGAAAAAAAUAUUUUAAUACUUUACAAGCUUAUACUAUAUUAAACUAAAUUUUGUAAUAAAUAGAAACUUAAUAUAAAAUAAAUGUCUAAAAAUUUAAAUUAUUUUCAAUAGCAUAUAGAAUAAUUAUAAUAUUAUUAAUACCUAAGAUAUAUUAAAUUAAUUAUAAAUUCUAUUUAACACAAAUAUUUAACUAAAUUUUUUAUAAUAAAUAUAAAUAUAUUAUUAAAAUAAAUCUAAUAAUUAACAUUUUAAAAAAUAAUACUGAAAUUAAUUUUUUAAAUUAUACUAACACUAGUUUCACGCUGUGCGAACUUUUGACAAAAACUGUUAAUUGCAAUUUCUUUUGAAAACAAUAGAUCAAAUCAUUAAAGUGCAUGUGAUGAUUUGCUGUUUAAUUAUUUCUUUAGAAUAUAUCCAAACGUAAGGUUGUGAACUAGUGCUUUCUUCAACUUAAUUGGGUCCAACAAUACACUGCAGCUUCCUCUUUUGGUCAUUCCAAGUUUAAUUCUUCAUGAAAAUCUUAGACACUAAUACAAGGAUAUCGAAUCCAAAAUUAUAAUAAUACAUGUAAUUAUUCUAUACAUGCGUCAACAAGGCAACAGUAACCAAAUACAUGAUAUGCAAAGGGGGUGCAUGAUUAAGUCCUUUUUUUAUUCAAUUCAUUGUUAUUAUUCUCAUCAACUCUUUUCUCACUUAUUUUUCAGCAGUUACCAGUGAUCUUUUUGCUCUUUAAAAUUAUUCUUAAAUAUUCAAGGCUAAAUAGAGAAGCUCAUCAACUAUCUGAUCCCGGAUAAUUAAAGAGGUGAACUUGUUCUAAAUCCUUUGAUAAUUUCUAUUAAUAGCAUAAUCUCCUUGAUCUUGACCGCAGUUAUUUCUUAAUGUCCAAGAAAAAAAUAUCUCCUGUUUGUCUUAAUCUUGUCAUUUAAUUUUCUUGAUUUAAGUUACUGUUCAUUGUUAACUUCUGUGUUCUUGUUAUUAGCAUUUGUUAAUUUGCAUCUCUCCUCUAAAAUAGUUUCUAAAAAAGAAUGUUGCUUUUCAUUCAUACCCUUGAAACCUUUCAGUUAAUAGUCAAAACUCUAAUCUUUCAGUUAAUUUAUUUGAAUCCAAUUUUUUCAACAGCAAAUACACACACACAUUGUUAAGCAACAGCCAAAAAAGUGCAGAAAAACCAGUCAAAUUUAUACAUGCGUCAACAGGGAAACAGUAACCAAAUAGGUGAUACAAAAAGGGGUGAAUGAUUCUGUCUUUUCCUUUUGCAAGUCGCUGUUAUUACUCUCAUCAACUUCUUUCUCGCACAUUUCUCAGCAGUUACCAGUAAUAUUUAAAAUCGCUGUGUAGAUAUGCAAAAGUUCCGUAAGUGCAUUAAUAAUUAUUUGCCAGAAAAAAAUAGUUGCGUCAAUAUUAAAGGAAUUGACAUCCAGGGGACCCAAUUUAGUUGCUUAAUGAUUAUUUAAUUAAUUAAUUUAUAAUAUAUUAAUCUUUUAAGUUGAAUAAUUAAAAUCUUAGACCCGAAACAAUAAAUCAUCUGAGGCAUAUAAAAGAGAAAUUAUCAUCCUAUUUUUUCUUUUUUCUUUUUAACUUCUUGUAGCUUAUAAAAGAGAAAUUAUCAGUCAUUUACUCAAAGUUUAUUCAAUUAUUAAAAUUAUUAUAAAAAUUUAAAUUUAUUUAAUUUUACAUCCAAUGUAUGCAAUUUGUAUGAAACAUCUGUUAAAAAUAUAAAGUUAUUCGUUCAAAGUGACAAAAUAGAACCGAACACAAAAUUGUAGUGGUGAUUAUGUUUUAGGAGUAACUUUAUUUUUUUAGUAAACAGUUGAUACACAUUGUAAUAAUGGGUAUAAAAUUAAAUAUUUUUAAAUUUUUAUAACUUUUUGGAUAAUAAGAUAAUUCUUAGAUGGAUAAUUGAAAAUUUUUCUUUUCAAAAUAUUUUGAAAACAAUACCAAAUGUACCAAAACAUUGUUUACUUUCACUCUCUCUCUCUCUCUCUCUCUCUCUCUAUCUAUCUAUCUAUAUAUAUAUAUAUAUAUAUAUAUAUAUAUAUAUAUUAUUUCUUAACUCAUUCUUAUCCUUAUUCUUUCUAACAUAUCCACAAUCUGUCAAUGAAAUUUACUUUUAUAAAUUUGAAGAUUUUUUCAUGCAAUUUUAUACGAUGAUGAGUUCUCAUGUUUCUGUUAAAAAAUAAUUCGUAAAUAAUACAAAUGAAAAAAACAAAAAGUAGCAGGGCUGGCAAUACAAAACCAUAACUUUUUUUCUUUGAAUUUUGCAUAAACAAAGUCAAUAGUGAUUUGUCAGCACGAUCUUGAGAGCACGGCUUGGAGUCUCAAUAAUUAUUGACACUCAUAUUUGAAAACUUUCGAAAAGAUAAAAUCCAAUAUGAAAGGUGAAACGUUAUAAUCAUAGUAACUAGAAAAUGGAUUGAUUUACAAAUAUCAAUUUAAACAAUUUUCAUGUUGAUCGACAAUUUAAGUAGAUUGACAAAGAUUGAAGUAAUUACUGUUGGUGAUUGAUUGACUUUGUCCUUAUCCUUGCCUUCUUCUUAUCAAAAAUCGAGUGUCAAUUAAAUUGGGCCAGGGUUUCUGAUUGCAACUAAUGGACUUCAUAUACGCAUAAUGGUCCCUACGUACAUACGUACCAAUAUUUGAUUGAUAAAGGGGGUGCAUGCUUAAUGCUCAAGUCGUCUUCUUUUGGAAAUUCAUUGUUAUUACUCUCAUCAACUCGUUCCUCACAUUCCUCUUUAGUCAAAACCUGUAAUAUUUCUUCUAUAUUCAAGGUGAAUACAGCAGCUCAUCGACUCUGAUCCCAGACAGGUAAAGAGGUGCACUUGUUCUAAAACCUGUAAUAUUCUUUUAGUAGCAGAAUCUCUGAUACUUGAUCUUCAUAGCGGUUCUUUCUUAAUUUCCAUCAACUUUCCUAGGAAAAAAUUCUCUGGUUUUUCUUAAUCAUAUCAUUUACUUUUCUUAAGUCAUAUCAUUUAUUUUUAGUAGCAGAAUACUUGAUCUUGAUAGCCAUUCUUUCUUAAUUUCCAUCAACUUUCCUUAAAGGAUACCUUUCUGUUAAUAGCGAAACCUCUGAUCCUUAAGAUAGAAAAAGAAAUUCUCUACUUAUGUAUCAGUUGGUUCAAAAUCAAUAUCGCGAUGUUGUUUGCGGUCUUUUCUUUCUCUGUCUUUCCCUCUAGUUCAUUUUAAUUUAUUUGUAUUCCUUUCUUUGACAUUUUUAUUCAUUUUAUUCAUAUAUAUACAUAUAUUGUUAAGCAACAGGCAAUGGUUGCAGAAGUGGGUCUGGCUGCUUUUUCCAGCAUCGUAUCAGAAGAUGCAAAGUCACUGUUCAAACCGAUUAUACGGCAGAUCUCUUAUGUGUUCAAGUACCAGAGCUACAUAGAUGGCCUAAAAGAUCAAGUGAAACAGUUGGGAUAUAAAAGAGAAAGGGUGGAAAUACCCGUUCAUCAGGCUACUCAACAAGGAGAUGAGAUUUAUAAGGAUGUUGCAGACUGGCUUAAUAGCGUCAAGGAAUUCACUCAGGGAGCUGCGAAAUCCAUCACUGAUGAUGAAGAUAGAGCUAAGAAGUUCUGUUUCAAAGGAUUGUGCCCAAACUUGAUUUCUCGUUACAAGCUCAGUAGACAAGCAGCAAAGGCCGCAGAAGCUGCUGCUAGUCUCAUGGGAAAAUGUAACUUCUCUAAUGUUUCCUACCGUCCUGCUCCAAAGCGGGCAGAACAUAUGCAAGUGAAAGAUUUCGAGGCCUUUGAUUCAAGAAUGAAAGUAUUUGAAGAUGUUGUGGAGGCGUUGAAGGAUGAUAAGCUCAAGAUAAUUGGGGUCUACGGGAUGGGCGGCGUGGGUAAAACCACGCUAGUCAAGCAAGUUGCAAGGCAAGUUAUGGAAGAUAAGGUGUUCGACAAGGUCGUUAUGGCUGAGGUAACACAGACCCCAGAUCAUCAGGAAAUUCAAAAGAAACUUGCUUUUGACUUAGGCAUGAAAUUUGGCUCGGAUGAGAAUAAAUUCGAAAGAGCAGAUCGAUUACGUGAAAGAUUGAAGAACGAGAAGCAGGUCCUCGUUAUAUUGGAUAAUAUUUGGAAAAAACUCGAGUUCGAAAAAGUUGGAAUUCCUUGUGGGGAUGUUGAUGAGAAAGAUACAAAGGAUGAUCAGAGACGAUGCACAAUAAUAUUGACGUCUAGAAGUCGAGAUUUAUUGCGCAUUGAUAUGAAUUCUCAGAAAAAUUUCCCGAUCGAUGCUUUGCCACCAAAAGAAGCAUUGCAGUUAUUUGAAAAGAUAGUGGGUGAUUCAACUAAAAUAUCUGCUUUUCAAAGUAUAGCAAAUGAGAUCGUUGAAAGAUGCGGAGGUUUGCCUGUUGCACUGAGUACAGUUGCAAAUGCUCUGAAAACUAAGGAUAGUUACUUUUGGAAAGAUGCAUUGAAUCAGCUAAGAAGAUCGGAUGCUAGAGAAAUUCAUGGCAUGCAAGCAAAUGUGUACACCUCCAUAAAAUUGAGUUAUGACUUCUUGGAAAGUGAGGAGGCAAAAUCUCUGUUCCGUCUUUGUAGUCUAUACAGUGAAGGUAAUGUCAUACAAGUUUCUGACUUAUUGAGAUGUGGUGUGGGUUGGGGUUUGUUUGAAAAUGUUUACACAUUGGAAGAAGCAAGGAGUAGAGUGCAUCGGUUGAUCGACAACCUCAAAUCUUCAUGCUUAUUGUUGGACGGUGAUGCUGAAGAUGAAGUUAAAAUGCAUGACGUCAUUCAUGUUGUUGCCGUAUCAAUUGCCAGAGAGGAGCGCAUGUUUAAUGUUCCAAAUGUUGCUGACUUGGAGAAAAAGAUGGAAGAGACAAUACAGAAAGAUCCAAUUGCUAUUUCAUUACCUCAUAGAGAUAUUCAAGAGCUCCCUGAAAGGUUGCAAUGUCCCAAUCUCCAGUUAUUUUUGUUGUAUACGGAGGGUAAUGGCCCUAUGCAAGUUUCAGACCACUUUUUUGAAGGGAUGGAAGGACUCAAAGUUUUACAGUUUCCUGGAAUUGGCUCUUCUUCAUUACCUUCAUCACUUGGUCGCCUCAUUAACCUUCAAACAUUGUGUUUAGACUGGUGCGAACUAGCAGAUAUAGCGGCAAUUGGACAACUAAAGAAAUUAGAGAUUCUCAGCCUCGCAUAUUCCAAUAUCAACCAGCUACCAGUUGAAAUUGGACAAUUGACGCGGUUACAAUUGCUAGAUUUGAGCAAUUGUUGGUGGCUUGAGGUGAUAGCACCGAAUGUCAUAUCAAAAUUAUCUCAAUUAGAAGAAUUGUAUAUGGGUAACGGUUUUUCAGGGUGGGAGAAGGUUGAAGGAGGAAGUAAUGCCAGUCUUGUCGAAUUGGAGAGGUUGACAGAGCUAACUACUUUGGAGAUAGAAGUUCCGGAUGCCGAAAUUCUGCCGCCGGAUUUUGUCUCUGUGGAAUUGCAAAGAUAUAAGAUACGUAUAGGAGAUGGGCCCGAAGAUGAGUUUGACCCAUUGCUCGUCAAAUCUGAAGCAUCAAGAUUGAUGAUGCUCAAGGGGAUAAAAAAAGUUAGCAUUCUUCAGGAGAAUGAUGGGACAAAAAUGUUGCUGCAGAGAACUGAAGAUCUCUGGCUAGAAACAUUGGAGGGUGUUCAAAGUGUUGUUCAUGAAUUAGACGAUGGGGAAGGUUUUCCACGAUUGAAGCGUCUUCUCGUAACAGACUGUUCUGAGAUUUUACAUAUUGUCGGUUCAGUUAGGGUUCGUUGCGAAGUCUUUCCCUUGCUGGAGGCAUUGUCUCUUAUGUUUUUAACUAAUUUGGAGACGAUAUGCUACAGCCAACUCAGAGAAGAUCAAUCCUUCAGCAACUUAAGGAUUAUAAACGUAGAUUCCUGUCGAAAAUUGAAGUAUCUCUUCUCAUUCUCUAUGGCCAAAAACCUAUUGCGGCUUCAAAAAGUAAAAGUGGAAGACUGCGAUGAUUUGAAAAUGAUUAUUGGUAAGUGUUGAAAUUAAUUAUUGGUAGGAUUAUUGACAUUGACUCUUUCUUUUUUUCUUUUUCUUUUUUUGGGGAAAAAAACAACGGAUGUUUAUUAUAUAUUGUUUUGGUUCAUUUAUAGGGCCCGACAUGGAGAAACCAACAACAACUCAGGGAUUCAUAGAAAUCAAUGCAGAGGAUGAUCCUGUUCACCAGGUAAUAAUUUUCUGUUUAAUAAUUAAUUAAUUAAUAUAUUAUCACGAUUGAGCUUCAAUCAUCGAAAGAAUAUUAUAUUAGAAGUUGUAGUUGAAGGAACAAAAAUGUAUGGUUUUUCUUUGCAGGUUACUUUUCCACGCUUGGAGGAACUGGAACUUGUCAGUUUAACAAAUAUCAAAAAAUUAUGGUCCGAUCAAUUUCAGGGAAUAUAUUGUUGUCAAAAUUUAACAAAAGUGACCGUGUGGAGUUGUCAUCGUCUGAAGUAUUUGUUUUCAUAUUCUAUGGUUAAUAGUCUUGGGCAACUCCAACAUCUUGAGAUUCGUAAUUGCCGGUCAAUUGAAGGGGUAGUCAACACCACGACGUUAGGAGGAAGAGAUGAAUUUAAGGUUUUUCCCAAACUACACUACCUGUCGCUCCAUUGGCUUCCAAAACUAAGUAGCUUUGCCUCACCAGAAGACGUCAUUCACACUGAAAUGCAACCUCAAUCCCUCUUUGAUGAAAAGGUUUUUUUUCAUUGAAUUUUUAAAUUCUCUUUUCGUUGAGUCUUCAAAUUUAAUUAAUAUACAUCUCUAAUUGCAUUGAAUUUUUAACUUCAGGUACGACUCCCAAGUCUGGAGGUAUUAAAUAUUAGUGAGGCGGAUAAGUUGAGAAAAAUAUGGCACCACCAGCUUGCUUCGAAGUCUUUUAGCAAAUUGAAAAAAUUGAAGAUAUCUGGGUGUAAUAAUCUACUGAAUAUUUUUCCUCCAUUGGUAAGAUUGCUAUAUUCAUUUUGAAUUUUUAUUUCAAGUAACAUUCAACAAUUAUUUUAAUCAUUUUUGUGUUUACAAAUAAUUUUCAUUCACAAAUUAUUUAUUGCAAGUAUUUUACUUCAAACUUCAGGAGGGCAAAAAAGUAGUGUACUUCAAAUCACCAUUCUGAACUCUGCAUUGUCAAUCUAAUUUAUAGGUUCACCCGCAUUAAAGUCAACGAUAUAAUUGUUUUAAACACGAUUUAACAGCAUAAUAUAAUUCAAUUUAAUUGUUUUUUUCCUUAAAUCCUAAUAAAUAAGAUUUUUAGAAAUUAAAAGAUACUUAGUUACUCAGCUUUUAAGCUCACAAAUUCAUAUAUAUUUCUCUUUUCCUUGGGUCUUCAAAUUUCGAUUUAAAAAAAAAUAAAAGAAAAGUGUUCAAAUGUAGUUAAUAUCUCUAGUUUAGUUAUGAAUUGAUUACGCCAUUGAUUAAGCACAAAUUCAUGAUGGUCAUUUUGAAUCGACCGUUGAUUAAAAAAAUUCCUCAAAUAUUCACUCUAUAACAGUCCCAUGUUGAUGGCGUUGGGAAGUGUUUUCCAGAAAUGUUUUUCCAUUUUUAAAAGCAUGAAUAUCGGGAAAAAAAAAAGGGAAAUACAGCGUUUUAGUUUAGUUAUUUUAAAAAUAGGCAUGUUUGAAAAUUAAAAAUUUUAAAAAACUAGCAUCAAGAUGAAAAAUGAAUUUAGAAUAUUUAAAAAUUACCUGAAAUUCUUUCUCCGUUCCUAAUACUAAAUAGUGUAAAUGCAUUUUCAUUAUCUUUGUUUUUCUGGACUUCUAUUUAUUUAUUUUUAUUUUUUCUUUUUUUUCUUUAACAAAAAAUAUCUAGUAGACAUUCAUGGUUUGUUAUUUUUCAUAAAACAAUUGUAUGAUUUUGACAUACUUUGAAUCUAGUUGAAUGCUACUCUUUAUUUUCAGGUUGGAAUUCCCAAUAGUCUAGUGAAUCUUGAUGUAUCAGACUGUGCAAAAAUAGAAGAAAUCAUAGGACAUGUUGGAGAAGAAGCGAAGGAGAAUCGUAUUGCUUUCAACGAAUUAAAACUUUUGGAACUUGAUGAUUUACCAAGGCUUACCAGCUUUUGUUUGGAGAAUUACACUCUUGAAUUCCCAUCAUUGGAACAAGUUUCUAUGACACAUUGUCCGAACAUGAAGACUUUUUCUCGGGGAAUCUCAUCCACACCAAAGCUAUACGUAGUGCAAGUGACUGAAAGGGAAGAGGGUGAACACCAUUGGGAAGGCAAUAAGCUUAAUUCCACUAUACAAAAGUGUUACGAAGUAAUGGUAUGUGUUAAUCGAUUCACUUUACGAAGUAAUGGUGUUACGAACACCAUUACGAAGUAAUGGCAAUAAGCUUAAUUCCACUAUACCACAUUUAAACAUAUACACCUGCGUUGUAAAUAUAUUUUUAGAAGUUAAAGCACAAAACAUGUAAGUUUAAUGUAUAUAUAUAUCUAAUGCCUUUCAAAAAAAGAAAUUUAUAUAUAUCCAGUGCAAUUGUUUUGGUUUAUGCAGAUUGGAUUCCGUGACAUAGAGCAUUUGCAACUCUCACAUUUUCCACGCUUGAGAGAAAUAUGGCACGGCCAAGCAGUGCCUGUCAGCUUCUUCAACAAUUUACGACAACUGGCUGUGGAUGACUGCACGAAUAUGUCGAGUGCUAUUCCUACCAAUCUGCUACGUUGCUUGAACAAUUUGAGAUGCCUGGAAGUGAGGAAUUGUGAUUUAAUAGAAGAGGUGCUUCAUUUAGAAGAGCUAAAUGCUAAGGAAGAACAUAUAGGCCCCCGGUUUCCUAGGCUUAACAGACUAAGGCUCAUUGAUCUUCCAAAACUCAAAAGAUUCUGCAACUUCACUGGGAAUAUAAUUGAACUGUCUGAGUUGGAGAAUCUAACUAUUGAGAAUUGCCCUGAUAUGGAAACAUUCAUAUCCAACUCUGUAGUGCAUGUGACAACAAAUAACAAGGAACCUCAAAAAUUAACAUCAGAAGAGAACUUUUUGCUGGCUCAUCAAGUACAACCCCUCUUCGAUGAAAAGGUGAUUAUUAUUAUUAUUAUUAUUAUUAUUAUUAUUUUCCCCUUCACUUUUGUUCGCACAGAUGUAAUUUCAUUAGAAUCAAAUCAAAUUUUAUGACUCAUCUUUUUGCAUGUCAUCUUGAUUCAUAUAUGAAUUAACAAUACAACUACAGUUAUGAACUAACUUUAUAGUAUGAAUUAAAAAAAUGUCUUAAAUUAUUUCGAUGACUGGUAACAUGAGGUGAUGAACUAUAUCAAUUAUGCUUGUCGCAUCUCUGUUUUCCUAGCUAAUUCAUAUUGGAUUUAGUAUCAGAUUUCAUUUAUGUGUUUCAAAGGGUAAUCGAUUUGAUACUUAUAUUUGGGAUCCUACUGCAAAGCAUACUAAUUUGGAAAUAAAAUAUAAAAUGCCGUGAUUAAUCUUGUCCAUAAAAUAUGCAGGGGAAGACUGCAGAGAUUGGAUACAUACUUUCAUUUACAACUUAAUUUUGUUGAUUUUCAGCUUACAUUCCCUCAAUUGAAGGAGUUAAAGCUAUCUAGAUUACACAAAGUGCAGCAUCUCUGGAAGGAAAAUGACGAAUCCAACAAAGCGUUUGCAAACUUGAAAAGUCUAGAAAUAUUUGAAUGUAGUAAGUUACAGAAAUUAGUACCAGCUUCGUGGCAUUUGGAAAAUCUUGAGGCUUUGAAAGUAUCGAAGUGUCACAGGUUGAUAAAUUUGUUGACGCUCUCAACAUCUAGAAGUCUGAUAAUUCUUCAAAGUAUGACGAUAGCUGAUUGCAAAAGGAUAGAAGAAAUCAUACAGUCGCCGGUUGCAGAAGAAGCGAAAGAUUGCAUUGUUUUCAAGGAAUUAAAGUACUUGGGACUUGAUUGUUUGCCAAGCCUAACAAGCUUUUGUUUAGGUAAUUACGCUCUUGAAUUCCCGUCCUUGAAACAAGUAGUUGUGAGAGAGUGUCCAAAAAUGAUGAUCUUCUCUCAAGGAGUCUUAGACACACCAAUGCUAAACAAAGUGAACGUCACCGAAGAAGAAAAAGAUGAUGAUGAUGAAGGAUGUUGGGAAGGCAACCUCAAUGACACCAUAAAAAAAUUGUUCAAUGAAAUGGUGAGUAUCAAUUAAGUUUUGGUGCUAUUUAGAAAAUUAUUUUAUAGAAACUAAUGUAAUAUAAUAUGAUUGGUUGACUGAAAAUAUAUAAUAAUAAAUAAAUAAAUAAAUUAUGAGGGCUAUGUAAUGUUUUUGUUUAACCAAUCAUAUUAUGUCGCAUUAGUUUAUACAAUAUUGUUUGUGUACAAGAGUUGUAAUGUAUGCUUGCUUACACGAGUAAUUACAAAAUGUGCAUAAUUCUAAAGAAAAGAUUGAGCCAACCCUUCAGGUACAGUGAAGAAGCUAUCUCGAACCAGGCCAAUCUCGUGUACAUGAUUCAACUUGCUCGUUCUCCUGUACUUGAAUAAUUUGGUUCUAAACGCAUUUACAACUUUUUUGUCAUGCUAUAGACAUGCAAGACACUUUGGAUUUGUUUGAUGCAUUCUUUGUUUAAGGAAGGACUUGAAUUGAUGUUUCAUGUUUCAUGCAAUUUUCAAUUAGAUACUGUUUAAACUUCUGCAUUAUUCAUUCAAUCGGUGUUUUAAGCAUUUGAUUUCUAACUAGUCCUGAUAGAAGAUCAUUAGCUGAAGAAAACAUCAUAACAUUUGUGGCAUUAUCAGAAUAAGAAUAGUUUUAUGAGUAUAGUAAAAUUAACUAGACCAUUAUUAAAAGGAAUUAAUCCGUCAACUUUAAGUAAACUUUAGAUGAUGGUUCUGACCUAAACCAUUUUAAUGCUUGGCAAAAUCACAUCCUGAGCAUAGAGUAAAGAAAGUGGCAUACAUGGUAAUCAACUUCAAGAAGCUCUUCGAAAUGCAUAAUACUGUUGGGGAGAAAAGAAAAAGAAAGAAUACAAAUAAAAAGAAGUCACACAUCAUCAGCAGUUUUUCGGGAACACAAAAAUGUUAUAAUAACUUUUCUUGAUUGCCACCCACAUGCUAAACUGAUCAAAUACAAAACAGGAUACAGAAAAUCUCUAACCUUUUUGGCACUGAAGAAGACGCCAGUGCUUUCAAAAGAAAAUGCUUGAUUGUUGGCAUUCUGGUUUGAAAAAUAUGAGUCCAAUUCCUGUGUCCAGUCAUGUACCAAAUCAGGACGACGUGCAAGUCAUACAAAGAUGACAAAAAUACAGUAUAAAUUGCGUCAAACCAAUUCAAGUCAAUUGGAGAAGUAAAUCAAGGACCAUUUGCAAUAGUUGUUCUCCACAUCAAAUUUGGGUGUCCAUCGUCUUCAUCCUCUUGUGCACUGAACCUGAGAGUCCACGAGAAAUACAUAUAAAAAUUAGGCAUGAUUGAAAUUGAUAGUAGUACAAAAUGGAUAUAAACAUCACGAUGAACAAAUUAAAUUGUUCCCUGUCAGACAAAUCCAACCUGCAAGCUUAAGCUCUUAAGCUAGACCAAAUCACACUGCAAAUAACAAGACAUAAGGCCAAAAAAAGAUAAUAUGUAUCAUUCAUAUGCUUCGCCCUAUAGAAAUGAUUUGGGCCAUAGGUCAAUUAUGUUAAAAGCAGCGAUACUAAACCCAAAAGAAGAGAGGUGAGGCGAGGGAGUGGUGGGUUUUUUUUUUUUUUUUUUCAUUUAUAUAUUUUUACCUUAAACCAAAUGACCGGUUUUACAGGUUUCUGGUUGUUUCAAAUUUUUUUAUUGCUUAAUAAUGAAACAAAUCUCAGCCAUUAGAUCACUCCAUUUAAUCCAAUGGUCAGUUUUUGUGCAUGUAUCAGAUGCACGCAUGUAUUGUAGCCGCCCCAUUUUCCUUUUUAGUUGCAAAACCUCGUUCGAAAGCAACAAUGACUUUCACUCAAAGUAAAUGAGAAAUUACAAUGAAAAUGGGAUCAGAAAAAGGUUGAGGUGAAAUAAAACCAAAGGGAUGAUGUUUCUGCUUUCCAGCUUUGGGAAACGGCGUGGAUGGAGCACGUUCAAUACGAAAAACUUCAUUAGCUCACGCGCUGCUCAGCUGAUUCUUAACAGAAAAUGAUUUAGUGGAAACGGCGUGGAUGGAGCACGUUUAACAUAUCAGUUUAAGUAACCACGUGAGAAAGCAUGUGAUGAAGGUUGUUCCGAGUUCGUUGAAGGUUGUUAACCACGUGUCAAAACAAAGUGUUCAUACUGGAAAGAAACAAAAUAUUAAUAAAUAAACCAUUAAAAAGAUUAUCUGAAAAUUAUGUUUAACUAGGCCAAUUCAAUUAUCGAGCAGUUUGAUAUAUUAAAUGAGCUAGAACAGUAGCCUUUUAAUUAUUUCACUUACUAUUAUCGAACAGUUUUAUAUCAUUCCCUAUCUUAUAGUAAAGGUAAAAGAACAGAAAAGGUAUAUUGCAUUAGAGUUCGUGUACUUCUACCUUUUAGUUUAUUCUUCAUUUUAUUAAAAUGACAGAUUCCUCAUUAAAAAAGGUCACUCUACAUAGUAUGUGGGUGUAUGUUCUUUUAAAAAGGACUGAGAGAAAAAUAAAUGUGAAAAACAAGUAACAUCUGAAGAAGAAAGUGAUGCUGACACAUUAACGACCACUUGAUUUUGUAGGGACUGCACAUAAUUGAUAAUUUCAUCCAACAUGAGACCUUUCCAAUUACCUAAUUUUAUACCAAACAACAUGAAGUUUAUAAGAAAUAUUAAAAACACAAAAACUCGUUAUUUGUUUUAAGACAGGAAAAAGUGAAUAAAAAACAAUAACAAAAAAAAGAACUCAAAUUACUUAAUUACCAUAGCUAUGAACAAGUUUUUGCAAAAUUUUCAUCCUCUCACUAACUUUCUCUCUUCUUACCUAAAACCAAAUAAUGACAAGACAACUGCCCAUUAGACUAUGACAAAAGUUGGAAAUUAAAAUAAUAUAGUAGGUUAUUUUGGAUAAAAUUAGAAAAAGAAAGUUUGAAUUUGUAUUAAUAUACUCACCCUUUCUGUUAACCCCUAUUUGAAGGGCCGAAAGAGUAGUAACAGUAGCAAAAAAUUCAAAUAAUAGAAAUCAGAGUGCCCACUACAUAUAAAUGGAUCUAAAGAAUAGAUUAUAUAAUAGCUUGUUUCUUAUGAAUGAUACAUGUGAUUCCACAGAUAAAAAGAAAAUAAAAAUCAAGUAUGUGAAUUAAAAAAAACACCUAACCAAUAGGGGUUAGUGAGAUAUUUUAGCUAAAUAUCAGUUGACAGAAUCUGACCCACAAUAAAAAUUGCUAUCUUUUCACAAUGGGAAUCUGAAUUAUAAAAUUACUGAACAAAACUUUUAACACCUACAAGUCCAAAUAACAUCAAAUAAAAUGCCUAACCAGCUGUUAAAUAUAAAAUGUCCAUGUAGGACUAAAGCCCUGUGGCUAAUCCUUCAAAGUUCCAAGCAACAAUAUGAUAAAAACAUAAUGCAUAAUAUAUAAGGAGCUUAUCUGUAAAACUUCCAUACAAUACUUAUCAUAUUAAACAAUGUACAUAAUGAAAUAUUGGCUUAUUUCUACAGAAUAUUACGAUCUAAGUACACCAAUUUCUCAAGCAAUGCCAUAUAGAAAGAUACCGAAGAAAAAAGGAAAAUAAAAAAUCGAAGUAUGUUAGUUAUGAUUUCAACUUUUGAACUAAAAGUCUGUGACAAAUUUUGCUUCGGGAAAUACUAACAAACACUUGAGAAAAACUAAAGUGUAUCACACUUGAACCGUAUAUAAAGCACAAGAAUAAAAACAACAAGGGGCAAAAAGAGGCUAGAUGUAUCAUCUUCAUUAGUUAAACAACAUAAAUAGAAUCAAAAUAUUAAUGCAUACACCAAAACCUUCAAAAUUCUCUAAACAUUCAAUUUUUUUCAGAGUAAGAAAAUAAAUUUAUAAGAAAUCGAGAAUGCGUAUUUGUUGCGGUAUUUUAUCAAGCAAUUAGCAUGCAGCAAUGUAAAUGACAAUUAAAACAUGUAAAUCUCUGUACUUUGAAAGCUCACCUUCGUUAUUCAUCCAAAGAGAAUAUAUAGGGCAUGUAAGCUCCUUCUUUGAUAUUUAUCCCUAUCGUUCAAUUAUUUUGUUUUCAUCAAAUUCCGUUAGCUCAAGUGGAGACAAAGCAAUACAAAUGGUGCAUUUAGAAGGUACAACUUUAGAAACCGAAUUUGUGCUUGCAACAUAGGAGAAACAGGGGCUCUCCUUCCAUUUUCCUGGUUUUGUGUUUGGUGAUUUUAAAAUUUUAUAUCUAUAUUUACGAAAAAAGAAAAGAAGUUUUCAAAACUAUUUUUUUUAUACAAGUUCUGUGUCAACUCAAAAAUUGCUCAUGACCAAAAAACAUCUAUGGUUCUUCAGUUACUCAAAAAUUCCUCGUUUUUGAGUUACUUUUUUUUUUUUUUUUAAUUUUUAUUCUCAAGUAAUUUUAUCAUGGAAUUGUUAAUUUUUAUUGAAUGUUGAACAAGCCUUUAUUUCUUUUCUUUCCCUUUUAAUGAAAUUAAAUAAAUGGUGGGGAUAUACCCUACAAAUUAUUGUCUCCACCCCAUAUUUAGUAUUGCUUUUACCACAUGAAAAAUUAAUUUUAUACGAUAAAUUUAUUUACUUGAAUAUUAAACCAUAUCAUGAACCAAUUGACAGGUUGAAGAAUUAACUUUCAAGUUUCAACAUUAUAAGAUUAAUAAAUAGCAUAAACAAAUUUUUAUUUUCAUUUAAAUUAAUCUAAUCCUACCAACUUCAUUUGGAUUUCAUAGUUGUUGGUUUCAUGUAUCACACGAAUUGUUAGGCACCAACUAACACAAGUAUAUGUUACUCAAGCAUCUCACUUGAAUAAUAGUCUAAGGAACUUUGAUUCGGAUGGUAGAUAUUUAACUAACUAAAACUAACAUUCUUAACUCAAAGCUCAUUUACUAGUAAAAGUAGAACCUUCUCCGUCAGCUUAUCUUGUUCAUUAUAUAACAAAAGAUAUUUAGUGAAAAAAAAAAAUUGGAGGGGGGGGGGGGAGGGGGAGACUAUGAUAAUAAUUAUGUUCAAGAUCUAGCCGCUAGGGAUAGAUUUGGCUAUGACUAUUUGUUGAUCCAGUAAUUAAUUUGAACAAUAUUGUUAAUUUUAGUUGAAACUGGAAUGAAUUUUGUGAAAGAUGCUUUCUCAUAACUAACCAACUAAAACUAACAAUCAAAUUAUCAAAAUCAGAGCUCAACUACUAGUAAAACUAUAAAAGUAAAACACUUGCUUCUCCAUCAAGUCAUCUCUUUAUAUAUAACAAAGAAUGUUUUAUGAAAGAUGGCAAAAGCAGUCAAUAACAAUUAAGUCUCAAAUAAUUCAUAAAAGAUGUCAAGCUCUGUUGCGAAUGCUGCUGAGGCUGAGAUUUGGAUUGUCCCAUUCUUCGGUAAGGGACAUAUGUUUCCAUGCAUUGAAUUAUGCAAGCAAAUCACUUCUCGUAAUUACAAAUCUACCCUCAUUAUUCCCUCUCACGUUUCCGCCACCAGCAUCACCCCUUCUUUUGUUCACCAAUACCCUCUAUUUGAAAUUACUGAAAUACCCUCCUCAUCUCCACUACUACCAUCGCCUCCUUCUUACCUCCAUGUUGUCAUGCACAACCAAAUGCUUCAGGGUCUUCGAAACCUCCUUUCAACCCGGAACCCGAAAGCCGACCUGUUUGCGUAGUCAUCGGCGUUAUGAUGGGCUGGACGGCUGAUGUUUUCAAGAAUUUUGAAGUUCCCAUUGUUGGGUUCUUCACUUCUGAUGCUUGCUCAGCAGCUGUGGAGUGUGCCAUGUGGCAGGCUCGCAUCCAGGAUGUCAAACCGGGAGAGGCCCAUUUACUUCUUGGGUUACCCAAGGAUGUUGCUUUAUUCCAAUCAGAUCUUAAACGCAGGCCUCACGGGUCCCUUCCUGGUGGCCCACAACCUUUGUGAGGUGCACCCGGUUCAGAGAAAAUAGGUCCAUCAGAACCGAGUGAUCAACCACACUGGAUGAAGCAAGUGGAGGGAUCGAUGGUGUUGAUGCUAGUGUGGGGAGUGGGCCCAUUGUUACCUGAACAAUUUUACAAAUCGACCGGUUCAGUGCUUCGUGAUUGUGAGAUGAGAACCAACCGGCGGAGUUCUAACAUGACCAAAGAUGAGAUCAUUCAAUGGUUAGAUUUGAAAUCAUGUGGAUCAGUGUUAUACAUGUCAUUUGGUACCGAAAUGGGUCCCACCUUAAAUGAUUAUUCAACAUUAGCCAAUGAUUUAGAAGCAUCAAAUCCACCGAUUAUUUAGGUAAUUCAAACUGAUGUAAAUAGAUUGGAUCCUCCACGUCAUUUAACCAGCUUAUUUUCAUAGUGGUUUAGAUAGUAAAGCCGGUAAAAAGGGUUUGAUAAUAGAUGGAAUGGCACCACAAUUAUUGAUGCCGAGUUAUCAAUUAAUAGGUGGAUUUUUAUCUCACUGUGGAUAAAAUUCAACUGUAGAAGCAAUUGGCUGUGGGGUCUCAAUUUUAGCAUGGGCAAUUAGAGGUGAUCAACGUUACAAUGCCAAAUUGGUGAUCAAUCAUCUCAAGGUGGGGUGCAUGAUCUCUGAUGAUCAGUCGAAAUUGACUUAAAAGGAUGAUAUAGUGAGUGGUAUAGAAAAGCUUAUGAGUAGGGUUGGGCAAAAUAUCCGACCCGAUCCGAUCCGAUCUGACCCAAAAAAUAUCGGGUUCAGAUCGGAUCGGAUUGUUAACAAAAUCCAAUCGGAUGUAACUUUGCCAACCCGAUCGGAUCAUGAUCGGAUCGGAUGAAACCCGAUCCGAUCCGAAAACCCGAUCGGGUUGGCUUAAAAAAAAAACUGUGUAACAAACUAACAAAGUGGCAAACACAACAAAAUCGGAUUCACACCACACAAAAAGCAAAUCUUAGAUCUAAAUUAAAAUAAUCUGUAAGUGCACACACACACACUCACAUCACACACGGUCACACACAAAUAGAGGUUUGGCCUCGGAGAUCGGAAAUGUUGAGAUGCCAAACAACGAAGCAGCAGCCAACAGAUUGGAGAUACAACCGCAAGAAGCAGCAACCAGCAGACCGGAGAUGCGGCCGCGCGAAGCCGCGAACCAGCAGCCAGCAAUCACCGACGUGAUCGUGCGAAGCCAAACCAUCGGAGAUCGGAGAUGUCAGCGAAGCAGCGGUGAGCAGAUCGGAGAUGCAACCGCAAGAAGCAGCAGCCAGCAAAUCGGAGAUGCAACUGCGUGAACCAGCAGCCAUCAGUCACCGACGCGAUCGUUCAAAGCUAAGCCAUCGCUGCAACCGCAACGUGCCGAUGGAAUCUACUACACCUCGACUGCUACCGCUUGCUGCCACUAGCUUCACCGGUUACCACAACUGCUACAACUAAAUUCACCUCCACAUUCACUGUCACCAAGUUUUUGGUGGUAUUGACUAUAUUGUUUUAAAUAAUUUAAUUUAAAAAGCUUAAAACAAAACUAUAUCUUGAGAAAAGGUUGAUUGUUUUACUUGAUUGCUUCUGAAAUUAACCCAGAAAUAUAGAAUGGAUAUAUAACCCGAAUGCUUUUAAAUCUGAAUCUAAUCCGAAUUAAUCCGAAUUUUCGAUCCAAUCCGAUCCGAAUUAUAUUCGGAUCGGAUUGGAUCGGGUUAAUAAUUCGGAUUGAGUUCGGAUGAUUUUUUCCCCAACCCGAUUGAUCCGAAAUUGAUCAAAUCAACCCGAACCCAAUCCGAAUCCGAUUUUGCCCACCCCUACUUAUGAGUGAUCAAAGAAAUUGAAAAACGAGCUCACAUGCUUCGCCGUGUAUUUAAUCAUGGCUUUCUUAUAAGUCAAUGACUUCUUUAAUAUAGUGUUUACUUUUUGGAGUGAGAGUGAGGAGUGUGGAUUCCUCUUACUCCAGUGUUUACUUACAAUUUUCAAAGGGGAAGUGAGAAUUCCACUCCGUGGAUCCCACCUAAUUUUGGAGUGGGGGAGUGAGAUUCCCACUCCCAUGGAGGAAGGUGGGAGUGGAAAUUCACUCGCCUCUCUUCCUUUUUCACCCUUAUAUUUAAUAAAAUAAAAUAAAUAAUAUCAUAUUUAUUUAACUUAUAUUAUUAUUUUAUUUUAUAAAUUACAUUUAUUAAAAAUAAUAAUAUUAAACAUAUUUAUUUUAUUAAAUUUAAUAAAAUAAGUAAAAUCAUAUUUAUUUAAAUAAUAAUAUUUUAUUAUUUUAUAAAUUAAAUUUAUUAAAAAUAAUAAUAUUAAACAUAUUUAAAAUAAUAUUAAUUUUUUGGUUAAAAAUAAUAAUUUACAUUGAUUCUAAGUUAAAAUUACUUAAAAAUAAUAUCAUUAUAUUCAUAAAGAAUUAAUAAUAUUACUAUAUUCUAUUUUUAUUUGAAAAUAUAAUAUUAUUAUACUUAUUUAAAAAUAAUACUAUUAUAUUUAUUUAAUAUUAGUAAUUAAUAAUAAUAAAUAUUUUAUUCUAAAAAAAUUAAUUUUGUACUAUAUUAUCAAUAAUAAUGUUUCAUUUGUAUUGUUGUUAUUAAUAAUUUUUUAUUUAUAUAAUUAAAAUUAAAAUUAAUAAAAUAAUUGUGAUUUACAUAGUUAAGAAUAUUAAUAAUUAUUAUUAAUUUAAAAAUAUAAUUUUUAUUAAUUUUGUAAUUAAUAACUAUAAUUCUUUAAGAGUAAAGCUGUAAUUUAAAAUCAUUACUCACAAUCUAAGACAAUGUAAACAAAUAAAUUGGAUUCUGAUUUCAAUUCCAUACUUCCAUUUCAGUGUAAGUAAACAACAUACUUCGACUCCCACUCCACACUCCUAAUCCCAGGAUUCUCACUUCUCACGAUUCUCACUCCAACGCAAAAUGUAAACGCUACCUAAAUGCUUUCAAAUAUCUUGUUAACCAGAAAUCAAUUUAACAAAAACAAUUACCGUGUAUAUUAUUAACGAAAAGGCUUUGAUUCCGUUGGCUUGGGUGUAAAUAAAUCGACUUUAUCAAGAACAGACAUCUCAGCAACUACAUAAUAAUAUAUGUAAGCUUUUGUUAAUUGACUGCAUUAAAUCAUUAAAUCAAAAGCCUUACAAAGCAUCUACAAUAAAAAGAUGGCACAUCCUCCAUCCAAACGACAAAAACAUGGACUCGCAACGCAAUUCUUGCUAAUUAAUUAAUAGGUAGUCAUAUUCCUCCGAGCAACAAAAUGAACAUCAAAUUGUUGAUGAGGCACCAUAUGCACAAAAUGUUGAUAUUGUUUAAUGUUUAAUAUUAUGGGAAAGUUUUAAUAGAUCUUCAUUUCCCUUACAUAUUGUGAGCUUAUAACCAAAAAUGGGACUAUAUGGUUGUGUGACAAACAAAAAGGGAAAUUUUUUACUAUUCGGCUAAAUUUUAAUGUCAAUAAUAUAGGAUCUGAAUUCACUUUAAUAUGAUAUCGACAUGUGUAGAAAAUUCCUUAAGUAAAUAGAUUUUGCAUAAAAGGUAUCGACCCAGAGUCAGAGGAAAAUUAAAUAGAAUGUCUUUUAAUACAACAAUCACUGGUGACCCUGUUUGGGCAUAGUUUGAGAGUACUAAAAUAUCUACUGCCAACUCUAUUCUAGUUGAAAGGCUAUCAAGGCAAAUUGGUCGCAUUGUUGAUGAUGAGGAAAUAGAGGUUGGAUUCAAGAAGAAGAAGAUUAUGGUAGUAAUGUUCUUGAAGGUCGAGAGAUGGAGAGAUUGAGAAAUAAUAGUGCAGCAAGUUUAAUGAGUGGAUAAUAUUAUGGUCAUAUGUUUUUUUUUUUUACACACAUGUAUAUAAUAUUAUAUUUCUAUGAACUAGUUUGAUUACAAUGAUUUUAUGUACAUAAAAGUUUAUAUAAAGAUUAAAUUUUUGCAUUUUCUUUUUUGCACUUAAUUUAUUAAUCAAACUAAUGAUAUGUUAGUAUUUGUUAUAUCACGAACUACAUAACAAAUUUUUUAGUUAAAAAGAUAUUGAAGUUAAUUUUAUUGCAAAUUAAAAUAGUUAAUAAAAAAUUAUUUAAAUAUGUAAUAAAGAAAAUAGAAUAUGCUCUUAAAAAAUCUUGUAAAUAAAAAAAGAUUUAAAUAAUAAUAUUCUAAAUAAAUUACAAACAAGUAAACAAGUACAUUUUUGUCAUUGUACAUGAACAUUUUACACUUUUAAUUUUCAUUUACCAGAUUUGUAUAGUAAACCGUUUAAAAAUUGAUUGUCAAAUAAUCAUCAUUUACCAAACACCCUAAUAGAUUAUUUGUAAAAUUAUUUUUUUGUUCAGAAUCAAGGUAGAAAUUAAUUCUUGGAAAGUAAAGGAAAUCUCAAACAUACCCUCAAUCAACCAUGGGAAGUUAUUUAAGUUGUAGUAUCUAAUAAGUUCUAUUAAUAGUGAGCGCACAUAUCAAAUAUAUAAAAAUAAGUAUUUUAGUUAUUAUCCACCUGUUCCCUUGAAAUCAAUCUCAGUUUUUUUUUUCUUUUACCUAAAAUUCCAAGAAAAAUAUAUAAAAGAAGAAGAACUUUUUUUUGGGGGGGGGGGGGGGGGGGGGGGGGCGGGGAUUGGGGUGGGGGAGGGGGGAGCUCCUCUGUUUUCAUUCCAUUGUUUUGAAAUUAUCUAUCAUCAGUAUAAAGUUAUACUUUUGAAUCAAUAUGCUUUGUGACUCGAUAAUUUAGCAUAAUAAAAAAAGAAAAACACACUUACUCACAUCCCGAUUGAAUCUUAUCUCUAAGGAUAAGUAAAAAAUUAUUGUUCCUCUUUUUCUUUUACGGUUUGUUUACGAAAAGAAAACACUCACACCUUCAAGAUAUUUAUAAGUAGAACACUUAAGUUUUAAGAAUAAUACACCCUAAUUUGAAAAAAAAUGAAUACAUGUAUCAUAUUUUAUGUUUUUUUUUUAAAAAAAUUAUUUGAUGACAUUAUGAGACUCUAUAUGCCAAGAUCUAUGUGAUGGUGAGAAUGGUUUCAUAAAAGAAGCAAUAGUAUAACCGCACACAUGGCAUUGUUUGUAAUGACUAAAAUUAGAAGAGAGUCUAUGUAUCUACUCCUGAAACAUUAAGAAUUUAACUAUUUAUUAAUUAAAUCAAAAUUUCAAGAUCAUAGUGUCGUUUUACAUAAAGAACCCAAAUACUAAAUCUAGCUAAUAAAGGAGAACGGUUUAGAUUAGUUGCUUGGACUUCCUUGUCUCGGGGCUGUGUGGUCAAGCCUGUCCAUCAGGCGGAUUCAGAUUUUGAAAGUUAUCUGAAUCUUCUUCUCUAUGUAAGCCUAUACAAUGAUUUUGUGAAAGACAUAUGCAAAAACAGUACCAGUAAGCAUAUUUAUUUAUCAAAGAUGUCAAGCUCUGAUGCUCAGAUAUGGAUAUCAAAGAGAGAGAUUGAAAAAGAGAGAGAGAGAGAGAGGAUAAUCAGGGACUCGUCUGUUAUCAUUCCCCUGUUUUUCAGUUUGGUGAUUGGAAGUAACAUUAUUUGCGUGUACUCUUUAUUUAAUUUAUUUUUCAAUUUUUUAAAAAUUAAUUAUUGUUCUUCUCAAAGCGUUUAGUAAAUUAUAUGAUAAUCUGAUCAAAUCUCUAACAUUAAUGUCCGCAUAAUCUAGUAAUGAAACUUAUAAUUUUAUAAUAAUCAAAUUGAAGAUUUCUUCACGCUGUUUUGUAUGAUGACGAGUUUUUAUUUUUCUGUUAAACAUAAGAUCAUUUUCUAAUAAUGUCCAUCUGGAAUUAGUAAUAACGAAGCAUCAUUUGUGGACAGAACAAUUGAAAUAUCAAGUCACUAUUGAUCCCACUUUGAUGAUUGCACUUUAGUUUCUUUCUAAAAUGUCAUUCUUCAUUCAAGCUUUUACUUUAUCUUUUAUCAGGUAUCUUACAAAGCUUUUCCCUCCUAAUAAGCUCUAAUAAACCAAUGUGCUUUUCAAUUUCGCAGGAUACAAGUAACGUAUAUGCCAAAAUUAUUCAAGCACAACAAGUAUUUAUUCGUCGAAAACUUCAACUUAAUUAUUUCAUUAGAAAAUAUGAAACGCAGAGCCAUAAACUAGUGUUUUCUUCAACUUACUUGGGUUAAAUAAAAUUUUUUCAGUAUUUUUCCCGAUCCAUUUCUUGUAUCUCACUGCAUGCUUUAUUAAAGCUUCGUCUUUGUUCUUGAUUGUGAACUUCAAGAUUAAAUCUUAAAAAUCGGGUAUAAAAGGGGUGCUUGAUUAAGUCUUCUUCUUUUGCAAUUCAUUGUUACGGCUCUUUUCAGCUUUUUACUCACAAAUUCCUCUGACGUUAACAGUGAUCUAUCGCUCACUAAAAUUGUUCUUCAUAAUUUCUUUCAAUACCAGUUCUUAAUAUUCAAGGCGAAUAGAGAGCUCAUCAACUCUCUGAUCCCAAAUAAUUAAAGAGGUACACAUGCUCCUAAAUCCUCUAAUAAUUUCUUUUAACAGCAGUUCUUAUUUAAUUUAAUUUCCGUCUAUUUUCCAAGAAAAAUUUCUCCGGUUUGUCUUAAUCUUAUCAUUUAUUUUGCUUGAGUUGUAAGUUAUUGUUCAUUUGUAAGGUCUGUGUUCUUAUUACUAGCUUUGGUUAAUUUGAAUCUAUCUUCCCCAAUAAAAAAAAAAAAGAAGUUUUUAAAAAAAGCGCGGGUUUUUAUUCGGACCCUUAAAACCUCUCUGUUAAUAGCAAAGAAAGACUCUAAUCCUCGAGCCAGGGGGAGUAAAAAAAGAACAAAGAAUUCUCUGUUUAAGUAUCAAUUGUCUCAAGAUCAACAUUGUUUUUUUUCUUUUUCUUUUUUUUGUUAAUUUGUUUGUUAUUUUAUUAGAUUUGCUUUUAAUCUAAUUGUGCUUGAGGAUUGAAGAUGAGUGAGAAAUACCCUUUUUUUCUGAAGCAACCUACAAAUUUUAGAAUAGGGUAAGAGUAUUAGAGAUUCAAUUAAUCAAAAAAAGUUAUUUACAUUCGUCAUUUGCAAAAAUGUUUGCAUUAGAAUUUUUCUAGCAUUCAAGAGCAUUACAUAUCAUCAUGUCACAAAAUAGCCUGAAAAACAAGAUAAAUCAAUUAGAGCAACUUGCUCUUUAUUGAAUUUUUUUUUUUUUUGUUUGGUUUGCCCGAAAUCCCAGGGAAAAUAUUAUAUAAGAACAAGAGUUAAGAUCAAAAAAAUGUAAAACAAGUUUCCUCUGUUUUCGUCCCCCCCCCCCCCCCCCCCCGGUUUGAUGAUUGAAAUUUUUUUUAUCUAAAUUUUAUGAUUUUCCGUUGGGGUUUUAUUAAAUAAAAAAUAAUUAGAAAAUGUAAUUCUAGAUUUACCCUUGUGCAUCGAGUGAUUAUUAUUAUGUUCUCUUAAGAUUUGAUAGUGCAAUUUUGUGUGAUGUGAAUUUCAUGUUUCUGUUAAUCAAUACAAACACAAUUUGUAAGUAAUGGCCAUGUGGAACUUAAUUAUAACCAAGCAUCAUUUGUGGAAAGAACAAAUGAAAUAACAAAAAAGCAGCGUUGGCAAUACAAUAUCAAACUUUAUUUAUUUAUUUAUUUUUGUUUUUGUUCUUGAAUAUGCAUUAAUCAAAUCAUAUAUUGUUGAUCUUACUUUGAUGAUUUGCUGUUCAGUUUCUCUCUCAAAUGAUUUUUGUGUGUUUCCGGUAUCUGCUUUUAUGAAAGAAGCCCUAAAGUGCAUGUGGAUUUUUAAAAAAAGAUUGCAUAUAAUUAUCCUAUACGUGCGUAAACAGGGCAACAAUAACCAAAUACAUGAUAUAAAAAAGGGGUGCUUGAUUAAUGCUUUUUCUUCUGCAAGUCAAUGUUAUUAUUCUCAUCAACCCUUUUCUUACACAUUCCUCGGCAGUUACCGGUGAUCUUUUUGCUCUUUGAGGUUGUUCUUAAAUAUUCAAGGCCAAAUAGAGAAUCUCACCAACUCUCUAAUCCCAGAUAAUUAAAGAGGUGCACAUUUUCCAAAUCCUCUAAUGUGUGUGUUUGUGUAUAGUAGAUCUUUGAUCUUGACAUCUGUUCUUUCAUAAUUUCCAUCUAUUUUCCAAGAAAAAAAAUUUCUCUGGUUUGUUUUAAUAUUGAAUUUACUUUGCAUGAGUUUUAAGUUAUUGUUCAUUGUUAAAGCCUGUGCUCUUAUUAUUUCGUUUGGUUAACUUGCAUUCUUCCCCCCCCCCCCCCCCCCCCCCCCCCCCCCCCCCCCCCCCCCAAAAAAAGAAAAAAGAAAAAAGAAAAAGAAAGUUUUUAAAAAGAUUAUAGGUUUCUACUCAGACCCUUGAAACCUUUUAGCUUUCCGGUAAUACCAAAAUCUCUAAUCCUCCAACAAAUGAAAGCUAGGAAAAAAAUGUCCUAAAGUUUAAUAUCUGUUGCCUUUGUAUCAAUAUUGCCAGUUUGUUGUCUUUUAUUAUAUUGCUUGUUUGUCAUUUUAUUUGAUUUACUUUAUAUCUAAGUUUACUUGAAGAUUAAAUAUCAGUAGGAAAAGCCCUUUUUCUAAAGCAACAUACAGAUUUUAGAAUAGGGCUCAGCCACAUGAAAAUGUUUACAUUGUAGUAUCUCAUAUCAAUAAUCUAAAAACAGCCAAUCCAACAAGUUCAAAUUCAGUCAAAUCUAAAAAUGAUUGCUUUUAAGGAGUACAUGAUAGCUAUUAAAAAGAUCUUUUAGGCAGAAUUGAAAUGCAGUCAAUCGUAAAUCAACCAAUCCAACGAGUUCAAGUACAGAGUCAAUUGAACAAAUUCAUCACUUGCAGAAUUAAGCUUAUCUUCCGAAAUUGAGUUGUUUCCAUUAGAAAUUUUCCCAUAGUCACGAGCACUAUCAUCAAAACAAGAUUAUUUGUAUAGGAACAAGAGUUAAGGAAAAAAAAAAAAAGGUAAAACAAGAUUCCUCUGUUUUCAUUCCCAUUUUUUUUCCUUGGUGAUUGAAAAAUUUUAUCUCUAAAUUUUUAUAAUUUUCCAUUAAGAUUUAUAUUUAAAUAAAGAAUUAAAAAAAUCUAAUUUUAAAUUUAUGCAUUGAAUGAUUAUUAUUAAAUUCCCUUAAAAUUGGUUACAAUAUCAAUUAAAUAACGCAUAGAGUUAUUGAUCACUUUGUUAAAAAUGAUCAUGUGUUCUAUUUAUAUAAUAAAACAAAAGAUGGGGUCACACUUAAGUCUUGUUCUUUUACAAUUCAUUUGUAUUACUCACUCUCAUGAACUCUUUACUUACAUUCGUCUGCAGUUAAUAUUCAUCUUCUGGUCGUUCUUAUAUAUUCAAGGCCAGCAGUGAAGGUCAUUAACUCUUUAAUAAUUAAAUAGGUACAAUUGUCCAAGAAAAAAUAGCCCUUGUUUGUUUUAAUCUUGUCAUUUAAUUUUCUACGUACUGUUCAUUGUUAACUUCUGUGUUCUUAUGUAAUAUUAGCAAUGGUUAAUCUGCAUCCAUCUUACAAUUUUUUUUUUAAAUUGUUGGUUUUCCAUUCAGGCCCUUGAAACCUUUUUUUAAAAAGUUGUUGGUUGUCAUUUCUUUCUCCGUCUUUCCCCUAGUUCAUUUUAAUUUAUUUGAAUCUAAUUUUUCCAACAGCUAAUAUAUAUAUAUAUAUAUGUAUGUAUGUAUGUAUGAAAGCAACAGGCUAGGCAAUGGCUGCAGACCUGGUUUCCACUACUUUUUCCGGCAUUGUAACAGAAGGUGCAAAGGCAUUGUUCGAACCGAUUAUGCGGCAGAUCUCUUAUGUGUUCAAGUACCAGAGCUACAUAGCUGAGCUAAAAGUUCAAGUGAAGGAGCUAGAAUAUAAAAGAGAAAGGGUGGGAAUACCCGUUCGUGAGGCUACUCAACAAAGAGAUGAGAUUUACAAGGAUGUUGCAGACUGGCUUAAUAACGUUGAUGAAUUCAUCAGUGAAGGGGUUGCAAAAUCCAUCAUUGAUGAUGAAGAUAGAGCUAAGAAGUCCUGCUUCAAAGGAUUUUGCCCCAACUUGAUUUCUCGUUAUAAACUUAGUAAACAAGCAGCAAAGGCCGCAGAAGCUGCCGCUAGUCUCGUGGGAAAAGGCAACUUCUCUAGUGUUUCCCACCGUCCUGCUCCAGAGAGUACAGAACAUAUGCAAGCGAAAGAUUUCGAGGCCUUUGAUUCAAGAAUGAAAUUAUUUCAAGAUGUUGUGGAGGCAUUGAGGAAUGAUAAGCUCAACAUAAUUGGGGUCCACGGUAUGGGCGGCGUGGGUAAAACCACGCUAGUCAAGCAAAUUGCAAAGCAAGUUAUGGAAGAUAAGGUGUUCGAUAAGGUCGUUAUGGCUGAGGUAACAGAGAACCCAGAUGUUCAGAAAAUUCAAGACAAGCUCGCUUCCGAUUUAGACUUGAACUUUGACUUGAAUGAUAGCAAACCCCACAGAGCAAAACAACUUUGUCAAAGAUUGACGAAAGAGAAGCGAGUCCUCAUUAUAUUAGAUAAUAUUUGGAAAAAACUUGGGUUGGAAGAAAUUGGAAUUCCUUUUGGGGAUGUUGAUGAGAAAGAUAGAAAGCAAGAUCUAAGGAGACGCAUGAUAAUAUUGACGUCUAGAAGUAAACAUUUAUUGACCAAUGACAUGAAUUCUCAGAAGAUUUUCCUAAUUGAAGUUUUAUCAAAGGAAGAAGCAUUGCAAUUUUUUGAAAAGAUCGUGGGCAAUUCCGCAAAAGCAUCUGCUUUUCAACCUUUAGCAGAUGAGAUUGUUGGAAAAUGUGGAGGAUUGCCUGUUGCACUGAGUACAGUUGCAAAUGCUCUGAAAAAUAAGAAGCUUCCCGUUUGGAAGGAUGCGUUGACUCAGCUGCGAAAUUCUAAUCCAAGAGAAAUUCAUGGAAUGGAUGCAAAUGUCUGCUCUUCCAUAGAAUUGAGUUACAACUUCUUGGAAAGUGAUGAAGCAAAAUCUUUGUUCCUUCUUUGUACUCUAUUUGGUGAAGGUACUCCUAUACAAGUUGCUUCCUUGUUGAGAUAUGGUAAGGGUUUGUUUAAAAAUGUUCGCACAUUGGAAAAUGCAAGGAAUAGAGUGGACGCAUUGAUCGACAAUCUCAAAGCUUCAUGCUUAUUGUUGGACGGCGAUGCUGAAGAUGAAGUUAAAAUGCAUGACGUCAUUCAUGUUGUUGCCGUAUCAAUUGCCUCAGAGAAGCUCAUGUUUAGUAUCCCAAAUGUUACCAACUUGAAGGAAGAGAUAGAAAAGAUCAUACAGAAAGGUGCAAUUGCUAUUUCUAUACCUUAUGGAGAUAUUCAAGAGCUUCCCGAAAGGUUGGAAUGUCCCCAACUCAAGUUAUUACUGUUGCUUGCAAAUGGUGAUAGCUAUUUGGAAAUUUCACACCUCUUUUUUGAAGGGACGGAAGAUCUCAAAGUUUUAAGUCUUAGCGGAAUUCAUUUCUCUUCAUUAUCUUCAUCACUUGGUCACCUCAUUAACCUUCAAACAUUGUGUUUAGACUGGUGCCAACUAGAAGAUGUAGCGGCAAUUGGACAGCUAAAGAAAUUAGAGAUUCUUAGCUUUCGAUAUUCCGACAUUAAGCAGUUGCCACUUGAAAUUGGUCAAUUGGCGCAGUUACAAUUGCUAGAUUUGAGCAAUUGUAGCAGCCUUGUAGUGAUAGCACCAAAUGUCAUAUCAAAAUUUUCUCGAUUGGAAGAACUAUAUAUGGGUGACAGCUUUCCGCAGUGGGAUAAGGUUGAAGGAGGAAGUAACGCCAGUCUUGCUGAAUUGAAGGGGCUGUCAAAGCUAACUACUUUGGAGAUACAAGUUCAGGAUGCCCAAAUGCUGCCGCAGGAUUUGGUCUUUGUCGAAUUGCCAAGAUAUAGGAUAUGUAUAGGAGAAGCGUGGGGCAUCUGGCGCGCUAAUUCUGAAACAUCAAGAUUGGUGCAGCUCCAUGGGUUAGAAAAUGUUAGCACUCUUUUGGAGAAUUAUGGGAUGAAAAUGUUGCUGAAGUUAACUGAAGAUAUCCGUCUAGAGGAACUGACGGGUGUUCAGAAUGUUGUUCAUGAAUUAGAUGAUGGGGAAGGUUUUCCACGAUUGAAGCAUCUUUGGGUAGAAAGGUGUUCUGAGAUUUUACACAUUGUCGGUUCAGUUGGACGGGUUCAUCGCAAAGUCUUCCCCUUGCUGGAGUCAUUGUCUCUCUAUAAAUUGAUCAAUUUGGAGGCCAUAUGCCACAGCCAACUCAGAGAAGAUCAAUUUUUCAGCAACUUAAAGAUUAUAGAAGUAGAAUCCUGUGAUAAAUUGAAGCAUCUUUUCUCAUUUUCCAUAGCCAGAAACCUACUGCGGCUUCAAAAGGUCAAAGUGGCUUCCUGCAAUAAACUGGAAAUGACUGUUGGUAAGUGUUGAAAUUAAGUGUUGGUGGAUUUAUGGACUUCGCCUCAAUUAUUUUGAAAAAAAAAAGACAACGACAAAGAUUAAUUAUGUAUAUUGUUUUUGUUUGUUUACAGGACCCGACAGGGAGAAACCAACAACUUCUUUGGGAUUCAACGAAAUCAUUGCUGAUGAUGAUACUGCUCCAAAGGUGAUAAUUUUCUGUUCAAUAAUUAAUUGAUUAAUUUAUUAUCACGAUUAAUCUUCGAUCAUCAACAGAAUAUUAUACUAGACGGUUGUACUUGAAGGAACAAAAAUGUACGGCUUUUCUUUGCAGGUUCUUCUUCCGAGCUUAGAGGAAUUGAAUCUCACGGAAUUAAGAAACAUCAAAAAAUUAUGGGCCGAUCAUAAUCAAGGAAUGUACUGUUGUCAAAAUUUAACAAAGCUGUACGUGAGAAGUUGUGAUCGUAUGAAGUAUCUGUUUUCGUAUUCUAUGGUUAAUAGUCUUUUGCAACUCCAACAUCUUGAAAUAUGGUCUUGUGAGUCAAUGGAAGGGGUAGUCGACACCACGGGGUGGUCAGAAAGAGAUGAAGGAAAGUUGAUUGAAUUAAAGGUUUUUCCUAAACUACACUCCCUGCAGCUCUAUUGGCUUACAGAACUGACAAGCUUCGCCAAUACAGGACAUAUUCAUUCAGAUUUAGUUGUUGAAUUCCCUUCUUUGCUAAACCUCGAGAUUGGUAAUUGCAGUAAUAUGUUAAGAUUCAUCUCUACGAGCUCACCAGAAGACACCAAUCAUUCUGAAAUGCAACCUCCUCCUCUCUUUGACGAAAAGGUUUUUUUUUUAAUAAAUAAAAUUAAUUUUAGUCACAAUACUUAAUUUGUCUUUUCCUUGAGUCUUCAAAUUUAGUUAAUAUCCGCCUCUAAUUUAGUUAUCAAUUGAUUAUGCCAUUAAUUGAUUAAUUAGUUAUUUAAUCUUUAACUUCCAGGUACGACUUCCUAGGUUGGAGGUAUUAGAUAUUAGCUGGAUGAAUAAUUUGAGAAAAAUAUGGCACCACCAGCUUCCUUCGGAGUCUUUCAGCAAAUUGAAGAAUUUGGAGAUAUAUAAGUGUCAUAACCUAAUGAAUAUUUUUCCUCCAUUGGUAAGGUCGUUGUAUUCAUUUCGAAUCUUUUUUUUUUUAAAUUACAUCCAACAAUAUUUUAACCAUUUUUGGGUUUACAAAUGAUAUUCAGCCACUGAUUAUUUAUUUCAAGUAUUGUAUUUCGAACCACCACUCUCAAAUCUACAUUUUAAGUCCAUUUUUUAGGUUCGCCAGCAUUAGAAUCAACAAUAUAAUUUUUUUAAUCACGAUUCAACAUCAUAAUAUAAUUCAAUUUAAUUGUUUCUGCUCAUAUCUUAAUAAGUACAAUUUUCAAAAAUUAAAGGAUAGUCACUCAUCUUAUAGGUUCACAAAUUCAUCUAUAUAUUUCUCUUUUCCUUAAUUCUUCACAUUUCGAUUGGAAAAAGAAAAAAAGAAAAGAAAAGUCUUCAAAUUUAAUUAAUAUCUCUUGUUUAGUUACGAACUGAUUAUGCCAUUAAUUAACCACAAAUUCACGAUUAUUUACAACUGAUCCUUGAUUGUAAAGAAAUUUCCUCGAGUCUGGAAGUACUUAAUAAAGAUCCACUUUAAUUUUGUUUCCAAAAUUAAAUAUACAUAAAAAAAAGGGACCAAGGGAAAAGGGAAAAAGCGGCAUUUUGGUUGAUUUUUUUUUCCCAAAAGGAAUAGUUGAAAUUUGCAAAUUUUGUUUAAAAACUGGCAUCAAGAUGCAAAAUAAGUCUAAAAUAUUUAGAAAUUGCCUUAAAUUCUUCGUACGUUCCUAAUACUAAAUAGUGUAAAUGCAUUUAAUAUCUUUGUUUAUCUGGCUUUUAUUUAUUUAUUUAUCUUGUUGCUUUUUUUGUUUAACAAAAAAUUAUCUUGUAGACAUUUCAUGGUUUGUUAUCUUUAUAAAACGUAUAAUUGUAUGAUUAAACAUACUUUGAACCUAGUUGAAUGAUAUUCUUACAUUUUUACUUUUUUAAUAUACACACACUUUUGCUUAUUUUCAGGUUGGAAUUCCUAGUAGUUUGGUGAAUCUUAAAGUAUCGAAGUGCCAAAAAAUAGAAGAAAUCGUAGGACAUGUUGGAGAAGAAGUGAAGGAGAAUCGUAUUGCUUUCAGCGAAUUAAAAGUUUUGAUACUUAAUUAUUUAUCAAGGCUUACCAGCUUUUGUUUGGAGAAUUACACUCUUGAAUUCCCAUCACUGGAACGAGUUUCUAUGAUACGUUGUCCAAAUAUGAAGACUUUUUCUCAGGGAAUCUUAUCCAUUCCAAAGCCAUGCAAAGUGCAAGUGACUGAAAAGGAAGAGGGUGAACUGCACCAUUGGGAAGGCAAUAACCUUAAUUCCAUUAUGCAAAAGUAUUACAAAGAAAUGGUAUGUGUUAAUCGAUUCACCCAAAUUGUUUAUGCAUCUCCCCUGCAAUUGCACAUUUAAGCAUAUACCCCGGUCUUGUAUAUAUAUUUUUAGAAGUUAAAACACAAAACAUGUAAGUUUAAUGUGUAUAUAUAUAAUGCCUUUCAAAAAAAAAAUUGUAUAUAUCCGGUGCAAUUGUUUUGGUUUGUGCAGAUUGGAUUCCGUGACAUAUGGUAUUUGCAACUCUCACAUUUUCCACGUUUGAAAGAAAUAUGGCAUGGCCAAGCACUGCCUGUCAGCUUCUUCAACAAUUUAGCACGGCUGGUGGUGGAUGACUGCACGAAUAUGUCGAGUGCUAUUCCUGCCAAUCUGCUACGAUGCUUGAACAAUUUGCGACGGCUGGAAGUGAGGAAUUGUGAUUCACUAGAAGAGGUGCUUCGUUUGGAAGAGCUAAAUGCUGACAAAGAACAUAUAGGCCCCAUGUUUCCUAAGCUUUCCAAUCUAAGGCUCAUUGAUCUUCCAAAACUCAAAAGAUUCUGCAACUUCACUGGGAAUAUAAUUGAACUGCCUGAGUUGAGAUAUCUAACUAUUGAGAAUUGCCCUGACAUGGAAACAUUCAUAUCCAAUUCUACAUCUGUAUUGCACAUGACAGCAGAUAAUAAGGAAGCUCAAAAAUUAAAAUCAGAAGAGAACCUCUUGGUAGCUAAUCAAAUACAACAUCUCUUCGAUAAAAAGGUAAUCAUUAUUAUUAUUUUUCCCUUCACUUUCAUUCGCAUAGAUGUAAUUUCAUUAGAAUCAAAUCAAAUUUAAUGACUUAUCUUUUUGCACGUCGUCUUAAUUUAUAUCUGAUUUAACAAUAUAAUUGUAGUUAUUAACUAACUUUAUAGUAUGAAUUAAAAAAAUGUCUCAAAUUAAUUAGAUGCCUAGUGACAGGAGGUGAUGAACUAUAUCGCAUAAAUUAUGCGUGUUAGAUCUUUGUUUUCCUAGCUAAUUCAUAUUGGAUUUAUGAUCAGAUUUCAUUUAUGUGUUUCAAAGGGUAAUCGAUUUGAUACUUAUAUUUGGGAUCCUACUGCAAAGCAUACUAAUUUGGAAAUAAAAUAUAAAAUGCCGUGAUUAAUCUUGUCCAUAAAAUAUGUAGGGGAAGACUGUAGAGAUUGGAUACAUAUUUUCAUUUACAACUUAAUUUUGUUGAUUUUCAGGUUGCAUUCCCUCAAUUGAUGAAGUUAAAGCUAUCUGGAUUACACAAAGUGCAGCAUCUCUGGAAGGAAAAUGCCGAAUCCAACAAAGUGUUUGCAAACUUGAAAAGUCUAGAAAUAUUUGAAUGUAGUAAGUUGCAGAAAUUAGUACCAGCUUUGUGGCAUUUGGAAAAUCUUGCGACUCUGGAAGUAUCGAAGUGUCAUGGGUUGAUAAAUUUAUUGACACUCUCAACAUCUGAAAGUCUAGUGAAUCUUGAAAGAAUGAAGAUAACUGAUUGCAAAAUGAUGGAAGAAAUUAUACAGUCGCAGGUUGGAGAAGAAGCGGAAGAUUGCAUUGUUUUCAGGAAAUUGGAGUACUUGGGAAUUGAUUGUUUGCCAAGCCUAACAAGCUUUAGUUUGGGUAAUUACGCUCUUGAGUUCCCGUCCUUGGCACACGUAGUUGUGAGACAAUGCCCAACGAUGAAGAUUUUCUCUCCAGGAGUCGUAGACGCACCAAAGCUAAACAAAGUGAAACCCACCGAAGAUGAAGAUGGUGAUGAUGAAGGAUGUUGGGAAGGCAACCUCAAUGACACUAUAAAAAAAUUGUUCAAUGAAAUGGUGAGUAUCAAUGAAGUGUUGGCACUAUCUAGUAAAUUAUUUCUAUUUAAUGUGGCAUAAUAUGAUUGCUUGACUGAAAAUAUAAAAUAAUAAUAAAUAAAUUAUGAGGGUCAUGUUAUGUUUUUGUUUAAUCAAUCAUAUUAUGUCAUAUUAGUUUGUACAAUAUUAUUUGUGCACAAGAGGCUGUGGUCGUAUCAUUACUCUUGCCUUAUUAUUAUUAUGGUUGUAAUGUAUGCUUGCUUACACGAGUAAUUACAAAAUGUGCAGAAUUCUAAAGAAAAGAUUGAGCCAACCCUUCAGGUACUGUGAAGAAGCUAUCUCGAACCAGGCCAACCUCUUGUACAUGAUUCAACUUGCUUGUUCUCCUGUACUUGAAUAAUCUAAACGCAUUUACAAUUAUUUACAGACAUGCAAGACACUUUGGAUUUGUUUGAUGCAUUCUCUGUUUAAGGAAGGACUUGAAUUGAUGUUUCAUGCUUCAUGCAAUUUUCAAUUAGAUACUGUUUAAACUUCUGCAUUAUUCAUUCAAUUGGUGUUUUAAGCAUUUGAUUUCUAACUAGUCCUAAUAGAAGAUUAUUGGCUGAAGAAAACAUCAUAACAUUUGUGGCAUUAUCAGAAUAAUAAUAGUUUUACGAGUAUAGUAAAAUUAACUCGACCAUUAUUAAAAGGAAUUAAUCCGUCAAAUUAACUUUCUCAGACCAGAACCCUUUAAGUUAAAAGAAUUUCGUGAAGUCAAGACCAUGUUAUAGAUCUUGUGGAAAUAAGUGAACCCAUAAAUGUUUUCACAGCAUCAUAAGAAAAUCAUUUUUUUAGUUGUUGAGUUUUAAAAGUAGUAGGCUAUUAAACAAUGACAAUUAGUGCGGUCGCAGUUGGGGAUCGAGUAGUUCACUUGAUUGCGAGUAGAAACCAACUUCAAUACUAUUACACUCAUUCCAAAAAUAGUAACUAAAGAAUUAUUAAGUUUCCUAUUAAGUAUUCUUUAUUUUUUAAUGCAAAAUUCCUAUUCGAAAACACCAGUGACUUUCUUUCAAAGUAAAUGAGAAAUUACAAUGAAAACGGGAUCAAAAUACAUGUAUGCAUACCUAAAACAAAUGAUUUUUUUUUUCAAUUAAAAAAAAAACAGUUGAGGUGAAAUGAAACCAGAGUCAUGAUGUCUCUGGUUCCAACUUUGGGACAAUAGCAGACUUGAGUUCUAUAUAAGAAACACGUACAGCUCCAAUCAGCCGCUCCGGUAAUUCAUCUGUAGUAUUUGCCUGCAUACACGAAGCAUUAUACCAUUCUGAAAAUGAUUCUUGAGUUACUAUUCAAGUAUGCAAAUAUGCAAAUUGCAGUACAAUAUCUCAAAAUCAUGUCUCUUCCCUCGUGUCAUUUAGAAGUGGGGGAAAAAAACAAUCAUACAUACCUGCACAAGGAAAGCCAUGUCAACCACCAAUGCCGUAAUUACACCAAUUACAAGGCCCAAAACUCCAUUAGCAACUCUAGAAGAACACGUCAACAUCAAUCUACAGAAAGAUGAACAAUGUUAAACCAUGUUAAUGGUAUUGAACAAGCUAUUUGAAAGGGAACACAUCCCAUGUACUAUAGGAAUUCGAAGAGCAUUUAUUUCUAACUACUUAGGACCGCGGAUAUAGUUACAAUCAACUGCUUUUCCUAAUAAACAAGGGGUGCUUCCAUCACUCUGGUGCAUGAUCCAUGACUAAGCCCUAUAUUUAAGUCAUAUUGAGGAAACAUAAGAAAAAAAUUCCAGAAAAAGUAUCAGCUAAGAAUUAAAAUUAAAUUCAUCAAAAUGAUCUCAAUCACUAGAUUUUUUACUGUCACAGUAUGUUUAAAAACUUGCAGAAGGCCCAAAGAGAACUUAGGACUGAACCGAGGGAAAAACAAGACGGUGUAUUUAUUUUAUUUCUGAAUGCCAACAAUUACAUUGGGAUACAGAAAUUUUAGGUAAUUUCCUCACAUAUUACAUCAGAAGAGAGGAAAGGGGAAAGAAGAACAAUAAAUGUUCUAUUCUGACCAAAGCAUAAAUGAGAUGAUUGAAUCAAGAGACUAUUACAUUGGAAGCCAGUCCAGCUGAAGCCUAUGAUAGAGAAUAGCCGUAUGACCAUCUACCUCUUCAACUAAGCUGCGAUACAGAAGACUACAAUCCCACCUGCACAAAACAUGAAAAACGGUGUACGUGCGGCAAGAACUUUGAGAAAGGUACAUAAAAAAGAUCUGAUGGCCAAGAAAUACAACAAUUGUACAACCAAAAGAGGUAGAAAUCCAUGUCUAGUACACUGCCCUCUUCAAGACCUCUAAAUACUGAGUCAAAUUGAUAGGAAUUUCAUGGAAAUAACUAUUCGACAAAUGAUCAGCCUUGCUGGCCUUUAUAAGCCAACGCACAGAGAUUAUGGAACAAUGCAAUGGUGCAAACCAAGAAUUAUUAGGGUACAGACAGUAAAAUUAAAUAGAAUAAUUUGAACACAUUACUAGCAAACCUUGCCAAGAGACUUGUUAAAAUCUAAUUCGCAAACCAGCUAGAUUUGCUAGGAAACAGGUAAUUUCAGGCAGCACGCCUUCUCCUGUUUUAGAACACUCUUUUAUGUAAUAGUGACUUCAAAAGUGUAACAUGUUUCGAAAAAAAAAAAAAAAGAGGAAAGAACGUAUUUGACACUUCAUGAAAUGGCUAAGAUACAAGCUUUAAUCUAGUACAACAAAUUAAUAUAACUAACUUCAACCAUCAAUUGAUCUAUAGUUCAGCAACAAAAAAUAUAGAUAGCUACAUCUAUUUUGUCUUCAUCAAAUACCAUUAGCUAAGUGGAGAAAAGUUAUAAAAAUGAGUCCUAGUCUUUCUUUAUUAAUGAAGCAAUCCAUCAAACUUCAAAAGCUAUUUUCAUUUCCACAUUCUUCAUAUACUUAAGCAACAAAAGUUUGUAAUAAUCUUUAGAAAGCACCAUGCAGAUUAAUUAAAUAUAUUCAAAAAGGCACAUACAGAAUCGGGACUGGAGACAAUGUGAAUUUCACAGCAUACAAGAGGAAAUAUAAUACUCAGCUUACACAGACAGCCAAUAUAGUCUUGAUUAUGUUAAAGUAACUAAAAAUAAAAAAUAGAAAAGAAGCAUACUCGUAUCGUGUCCCAUCCAUGCUCAUUACAAGUUCAAAUAUUUCUUCACAGCUGGCCUUCAUAACACCAACAGCCUUCAUUGCUCUACUACAGCUUCUCGGCAGCAUUAAGUAAACUUUAGAUGAUGGUUCUGACCUAAACAAAAUCACAUCCUGAGCAUAGAGUAAAGAAAGUGGCAUACAUGGUAAUCAACUUCAAGAAGCUCUUCAGAAAUACAUAAUUCUGUUGGGGAGAAAAGAAAAAAGAAAGAAUACAAAUAAAAAGAAGUCACAAACAAUUCAUUUCCUGCACUACACAUCAGCAGCAGUUUUUCGGGAACACAAAAAUGUUAUAAUAACUUUUCUUGAUUGCCACCCACAUGCUAAACUGAUCAAAUACAAAACAGGAUACAGAAAAUCUCUAACCUUUUUGGCACUGAAGAAGACGCCAGUGCUUUCAAAAGAAAAUGCUUGAUUGUUGGCAUUCUGGUUUGAAAAAUAUGAGUCCAAUUCCUGUGUCCAGUCAUGUACCAAAUCAGGACGACCUGCCAGUCAUACAAAGAUGACAAAAAUACACUAUAAAUUGCGUCAAACCAAUUCAAGUCAAUUGGAGAAGUAAAUCAAGGACCAUUUGCAAUAGUUGUUCUCCACAUCAAAUUUGGGUGUCCAUCGUCUUCAUCCUCUUGUGCACUGAACCUGAGAGUCCACGAGAAAUACAUAUAAAAAUUAGCCAUGAUUGAAAUUGAUAGUAGUACAAAAUGGAUAUAAACAUCACGAUGAACAAAUUAAAUUGUUCCAUGUCAGACAAAUCCAGCCUGCAAGCUUAAGCUCUUAAGCUAGACCAAAUCACACUGCAAAUAACAAUACAUAAGGCCAAAAAAAGAUAAUAUGUAUCAUUCAUAUGCUUCGCCCUAUAGAAAUGAUUUGAGUCUACAUAAGAAAAUUUUUUGAGCUUCCCGAUCCACGAAUAAUAAUAAAUCUCCUUAAAAUAAUCUUUUGUAAAUAAUUUUAUUUUUCUUGACACAUGACAAGCACCUUCAUAUAGAGAAGAAAGGAGAAUCUCAAAUUCCACCCGCUCUCAGAACACCACAUCAAAGCUUCGUAUCAGUGAACAUGGAAGAAGAAUAAAAGAAGUAGCUCAAAUCCUGUAAAAAAGAACCUUGGACUUCGACUCUUGUCAAACAGUUGACUCCGACUGAAUAUAGGAAGAGUAAUUGAGCAAGCAUAGAUCGGCCAAGCUUAAGCAAGCGCAUAGAUCGGCCAAAUUUGAGCAAAGCCGAGAGAGAGAGAUGAUUGUGGUCAAUUUACAGCCGCAGUUGAUCGUUGCCGACUCGUGCCGCCGUUGAUGGCCGUGGAACAAGAAGAGAGGUGAGGUGAGGCGAGGGAGUGGUAAGGCGCGUGACGCGAGGGCGUGGGAGUGGGAGUGGGAGUGGGAGUGGGAGUGGUGGUUUUUGUGCAUGUAUCAGAUGCACGCAUGUAUUAUAGCAGAGUUGAGUUCAAUACGAAAAACACGUACAGCACCAAUCAGCCACUUCGAUAAUUCAUCUGUAGUUGUGAGAUGAUGAAUCAAGUUUGGUUCCCAGAAACGGCUGCGUUUUGAAGCCGUAAAAGCUUCAUUAGCUCACGUGCUGUUCAGCUGAUUCUUAACAAAAAAACGAUUUAGUGGAAACGACAUGGAUGGAGCACGUUUUACAUAUCAAUUUAAGUAACCACGUGAGGAAGCAUGUGAUGAAGGUUGUUCCGAGUUCGUUGAAGGUUGUUAAGCACGUGUCAAAACAAAGUGUUCAUGCUGGAAAGAAACAAAAUAUUAAUAAAUAAACCCUUAAAAAGAUUCUCUGAAAAUUAUGUUUAACUAGAACAAUUAUCUAGCAGUUUGAUAUAUUAAAUGAGCCUGUUAAUUAUUUCACUUACUAUCUUAUAAAUCCUCUCAAAAUUACACCGCUGCUCUGACCCCAAGUUCCAUUAUCAAUUAUAUCAUUCCCUAUCUUAUAGUAAAGGUAAAAGAAAAGAAAAGGUAUAUUGCAUUAGAGUUCGUGUACUUCUACCUUUUAGUUUAUUCUUCAUUUUAUUAAAAUGACAGAUUCCUCAUUAAAAAAGGUCACUCUACAUAGUAUGUGGGUGUAUGUUCUUUUAAAAAGGACUGAGAGAAAAUACAGUAGCACGUAAAAAUGUGCACCCAGCAGCAGAACCAUAUUAAUCCACAACAGCGCAAAAUAAAUGUGAAAAACAAGUAACAUCUGAAGAAGACAGUGAUGCCGAAACAUUGACGACCAAUAUAGUGUCUUGAUUUGGUUAAUUAAAUAUAUUUUUGUUAUCAUCCACCUGUUUGCUUUAAAUAAUUUUCAAUAUUUUUUCGUAUGCCUGAAAUUCCAAGGAAAAAUAUUUGUAUAAGGACAAGAGUUAAGGGGGACAAAAAUGGAAAAAAUAGGGCUCCUUUGUUUUCAUUCCCCUGUUUCUCCGUUUGGUAAUUGCAAAAAUUUAAAUCUAAACUUAUGAUGCAGGCUACAAGGUAGCUGGUGGACGAUUAAUAGGGUCUAUCUUUUGUUGUUAAUUAGGAAUUUAAUUUGGAAUUUGUAGUGUGCGCCUUAUCUAAGCAGACUUCCUAACAGUAAUUAAAUAAUCUAAAUUUAUGAUGCAUUAGGAUAUGAUUGUGAUAAAUUAGCUUUUUUCUCUGUAUUCUAUGAGGCUGAUUAUUAUUUUAAUUUAAGCCACACCUUUAAAUUCAGUUUUCGCAAAACUGACAGGUAGCUUGGGUGUAAAUGAAUAUACAUUAAUGAAGAACGGACAUGUGGAGUACCGAUAUACUAGCAUAAGUAAUGUUUAAUUUUAAUGUAUAAAACAAUGGUGCAUUUAGAAGGUACUACUGUAGAAAUAAAAUUUGUGCUUGCAACUCAUUUUUUAAUUCCCCUUUUUAAUAAUAAUCAAAAGAAAGCAGAGGAGAAACAGGGGAUUUUCCAGUUUUUUAUUCGGUGAUUUUUAACUUUAUCAUGGAAUUGUCAAUUUUUAGUUGAAACUUAUCUAAAUCGUCCUCUCUAUAUAAGCGAAUACAAUAAUUUUGUGAAAGAUAUAUGCAAAAACAAUACUAAUAAGUAUAUUUAUUUAUCUAAGACGUAGAGCUCUAAUGCUCAGAUAUGGAUAGUCCCAUUUUUUGUUAGAGGCAUCUCUUUCCAUGCAUUGAAUUAUUGCAAGCAAAUCGCUUCUCGCAAUUACAAACCUACCCUCAUCAUUGUCUCUCACGUAUCCAGCACCACAGUUACCCAUUCCUCUCCUCACCAAGGCACACAGAUUACAGGACAAUGCAGCGAUGCCAACCAAGAAUGCUUAGGGUAAAGACGGAAACAUAAAACAGAAUAAUAAAAAAAAAUCUAUUCCGUAAACAUAAUAAUUAAACAGAAAGUGGUACGUUCAGACAAAACACCUGCUCCUGUUUUAGAAAAGAGCUCCUCCGUUUUUAUUUCUCUGUUUUACUGUUUGGUGAUUGCAAAAAUUUUUGUCUAAAUAAUGCAUAGUAGAGUCAAGAAUAAAUUUAUGUUAAAACAAAGAAACAUCAAAGAUCCCCUGAUAUUAUUAUCCAGAACAAUAUGUUUAUUGGGCCGAAAUGGGCUAACAUACAUGGGUUCAAGCUUGCAAAAUCCACAUUUAUGUAUAAUUAUAUAGUAAUUAAAUACUGAACUUGAACUCAUACAACUCUUCAAUCAUUUGGAUUUCGAAUCUGUGUUAAUUGAACUAAAUACUGUCAGGCAUUCGAGUAAACACAUAAAGAAUUCAUGAUUUAAUGUCGUUCUGAAUUUUGACUUCAUAAUAUUCCAGCUACCGUUGCAGUUUCUAUUAUUGUGUGAUAAAUAUGAAUGAUGUCUUAGUAUAAAGACAUGUCUCAUUAAUUAUACCUUAUAGAAGAGAUAUCUUUUUAUACUAAAACUAUAUAGUGAAAAGGGGUCCGCCUAAGUUACGUUAAACGUAACUUACGGCCUGGCUGUAAAACUUCAUCCAGCCCCCUAUAUUCGAUAUUAUUUAUAUUAUAUUUGUGAAUAUUAUAAAAAUUUUUGAUUUGAAAAAUUUCGUUUAACCCCUUACACUCAAUUUUAUUUUAUUAAAAUCCUAGAGUACGAAUUUGCCUCCUAUAAUUUUAAAUUCUCAAAAUAACCUCAUUUAAUUAAAAAAUAUAAUUAUUAUUAAUUGAAUUAUAAUUAUAACUAUUAUUUUAUUAUAAUUAUAAAUAUAUUUAUAUUUUUUAAAUAGAUUAUUGUUAUUAUUAAUAACAAGAAUAAAAAGUAUUACAAUUAAUUAAUCUAUUAACAAUAAUUAAUAAUUUUUUAUUAAAUUGUUAAUAAUAAUUAAUGAUAAUUAUUAUUAAUAAUUAAGUUUUGAAUAAUAAUAAUAAUUAACAAUUAUCAUUAAUAGAUUGUGACUGACUCUGAACAAGUUGUCCGAUAUUUUAUAUCAUAUUGUAUGCAUUCACUUCUGGCUACAAAAAAAAUUAAAGAAAUAGCUUUCUCUUUAACCAAACAAGAGAUUUAACAAAAUCAUAAACACACGUUUCUCAAAACUAACAAGGACUUGGACAAUUAUGGCACUAAGUAGUACUGCAAUUAAUAUCAGUGAUGAGAGUAUGUUGCUACUUUGCUAGCUAAGCCUAGGUGGGCAUUGGCAUUCCUAGGACUCUGAACAAUUAUCGUUAAUUUUUAAAAAUCAAUUAUUAAUAAUAAUUAUCGUUAAUUACUACUAUUAUUAAUUUAAUAAAAACUAUUAUUAAUUAUUGUUAAUAGAUUAAUUAAUUGUAAUACUUUUUAUUCUUGUUAUUAAUAAUAAUAAUCUAUUUAAAAAAUAUAAAUAUAUUUAUUAUUAUAAUAAAAUAAUAAUUAUAAUUAUAAUUCAAUUAAUAAUAAUUAAAAUUUUAAUUAAAUGAGAUUAUUUUGAGAAUUUAAAAUUAUAGGGGGCGAAUUCGUACUCUAGGGUUUUAAUAAAAUAAAACUAAGUGUAAGGGGUUAAAUGAAAUUUUCUAAAUAAAAAAGUUUUAUAAUAUUCAUGAAUAUAAUAUAAAUAACAUUGAAUAUAGGGGGCUGGAUGAAAUUUUAAAGCCAGGCCGUAAGUUACGUUUAACGUAACUUAGGCGGACCCAGUGAAAAGAUAUCUCUUCUAUCAGGUACAAUUAAGUAUGGUUGCUUGCAAAGAAAUGUAAAUAUAAGUCAUAAAACAAAGUCUCUAUUAUUUGAAGUACAAUUUCAUUCACAUGUUGCACAUGAGACUUGAGCAACCACGAUGUGCAGAAGACACUUUACAAUGAUUUUGCUUGUUUUUUUCCUAAUCAUUUCUGUAAUUGAUUUUGUUAGAAAAUGUUAGUAAUGAUUAAAUUACUUUAAAAAACACACUCACACAUCUUAACUGUAAAGGUUCAGAAAAUAUAUCGAUAAAGGUCAGAAGUAUCUAAUAAAAGUUGGCCAUAAACUUCAAUAUCCAAAAUUGCUUUAAUAAAGUAGCUGCAGUAAACAAAAGUCAGUAACCAUAGGCGACAAUAAAUCACAAUCAGCAACUAGGUCUCCAAAUCAAAAUAUAAUGGAUUUGGUUAAGUCUUCUUUCGAAAAGCUCUCUCUCCUUUAGAGAGGCUUGAAUGGAAGUAUUGAGGGGUCGUAAGGACUCAUGUGUUCACUCCCUGUGAGUGGAAGGUAAUCCAAAAAAAGUCAGCUUUUGGGGUUGGUGAGCUGGUUGAGAAAGCUUCGAAAGCAAAGUUCGUGUAGAGCGUUGGGGCACGAUUUAAAGCUAGUGAGCCUAAAUAACUUACUACCUAUCCAAGCAUUAACUACCAUGGAUACUGAAGAGCUAAUUCGUAAGUGUCAAGCAAUAACUAUCACAGAGGAAGACAAAGCCAAAAUAACGCUGGAGGUGAAUUUGGAAAAAAAGAAAGAACAAAUGAUGGCAGGAUGCUUAGUGGGCAAAGUACUUCUCACAAAGGGAGUAAAAAAAGAUGGACUUAAGGUUGCGUUACAGCAGGUGUGGAGGACUUUCAAAGAAGUCAAGAUCGAAAGCGUGGGAAACAACAUCUUCAUGUUCAAAUUUGCUGAAGAAGCAGACAAAAAACGAGUUCUCAAAGGGGGACUAUGGCACUUCGACAGGGCCUUGAUUGUUCUCGCUGAGCCAAGGGGGAUUGGGGAAGUCGCAAAACAAUCUUUUAUUCACACAUCCUUUUGGGUGCAUAUUCGUAAUAUCCCACUGGCGUGUAUGGAUAAAGAUUUUCUCCGAGACUUGGGCGGGAAGAUUGGAUCAGUAUAGGAGGUUCAAACGGAUGAUAAUGGAGACUGUAUUGGGGAAUUUUCCAGAAUAAGAGUCUCAAUUAACAUAACACAGCUGCUAGAGAAGAUUUUAUUUCUAAAGCAAGAAGGUGAAACUGAUAUCCCAAUGCCGGUGGUAUAUGAACGCUUGCCAGAUUUCUUUUAUUGCUGCGGAAUUAUUAGACAUCAAUACAAAGAGUGUGGCAAGUACCAAGACCAACCAAGAGAAGAUCUACCAUUUAGGAGUUGGAUGAAAGUGAUUACGGUAGGGGGUUUUACAAAGAGGAAUUGGAACAAGGAAAGGUGGAACUAUGGGGCUGGUAAAUCGGAUGAAAAAUCAACAAGCUCAGGAACUCACAACUUCCCGCAACAGCAAGGGCAAAACCAAGAAAACUCGAUAGGGGCAAACGGGUCAGUACCCAUUGAGAAAGAAAUGGGGCAAACCAUGAAGCAUGCCAAGAAGGAUGUUAUAGGAGGAGUAGCUGAGCAACAAUUAAUGCGAAGAGUGAUACAAUCAGCGGAAAAAAAGUAAAAUGAUGGCAACAAGCAAGCUGGGGAAACUGGCAAUGCAACAACCCCAAGGAAAAUGGGCACACAAGCGGGAAAUGGCAUUCCAAAAGAGAGGGAAAAAAUGCAGAUAAGUCAUGAAGAGGAAGCUGAAAUAAACAAUGGGCCGGAAGUAUCUCAACUACAGCCCAAUAAAAGGAAAUUGAAGUAAUUAACUAGAGAUCUAAGCGAGGGGGGGGGGGGAAAUUAAGUUACGAGUUCAAAAAAGGCCUAGGGGGAAAAAAUUUGGGCAAAGCCCAAGGAAAAAAACAAAGCUCUCUAGCCCCAAUAAGCUUGAGACUAAAAACCUGGAGCAUGUCUCUCCAACAGCAACGCUUCAGCUGGGUUAGGAACUGUUGGUACUGGAAGAAGUGGUAGUCAUGGAAGCAAACAAUAUGGAGAUAUCGGCGGAGGCUGGUGGUCAGCCCCCCCGGAAGCUAUGAAUAUUCUCAGUUGGAAUGUUCGGGGUCUGGGGAAUCCCCGAGCAUUUCAAGCCUUAAGAAAAAUCCUCCAAUUGCAUGGUGCUCAGCUAGUGUUUUUGUGUGAAACAAAGGUAUCAACCAUGCAAAUGAAUGUGAUUGCAAAUAAGCUGAGUUUUGAGAAUUGCCUCGCGGUGAACUGUAAAGGAAGAUGAGGCGGAAUAGCAAUGCUCUGGAAGUCAGAUAUUGGUGCAAAUCAAUUCAUACAGUCAGCACCACAUUGAUGCCGAAACUCAAAUGCCAAAUGGAAAUCGAAUGCGAGUUACAGGAGUGUACGGACAUCCGGAAACAAGACAGAAAAAACACACUUGGAUGCUCCUCAGGCGGCUGGCAGUUUUAUCUUCUAGCCCUUGGUUGUGUUGUAGAGACUUUAAUGAAAUUUUACAUCCAGAUGAGAAGAGUGGCGGCAAUGACAGGAAUGUGAAUUUAAUUAAUGAUUUCAGAGAAGUUUUGAGAGAUUGUGGCUUAAAGGAUGUUGGGUAUCGGGGGUACGCUUUUACUUGGAAUAAUGGAAGAUAUGGGUAGGGAUUCGUGGAAGAAAGGUUGGAUAGAUUUGUUUGCAAUAAAGCUUGGAGUGAUAGAUUUGUGGAUUAUGCAGCAAGCAACCUUGACACAUGGACUUCGGAUCAUUGUCCCAUGCUGAUGGCUGUUUAGGAGAGAAGUGGGGGCAUGAACCAAAGGGGUAGACAUUCCUCACGAAUCCAUUAUGAGGAUAUGUGGAGCUCGUAUGACUUGUACAAAGAGAUAAUCAAGGAGGAAUAUAAUUUGUAUAGAAAUUAGAAUAGUGAAAAUCCAGCCCAAUCCUUUCGAAAAGCAACAAAAGAUUCGAUGGGUAGGCUGUUGGGGAGGAGCAAGUUGGUGAGGAAAUUCGGAAGGUGGAGAAGCAAAUCCAAAAUAUCCUCAUGGAUGAAGAAAUCUACUGGAAGCAGCGCUCAAGAGCAGAUUGGCUCAAGGAGGGGGACAAAAACACAAAAUUCUUUCACGGCAAGGCAUCGACUAGAAGGAAAAAAAAAAACAAAAUUUUGGGGAUUGAAGAUAAUUUCGGGAGAUGGAUUGAAAAGCCAAAAGAAGUGGAGCAUGAGUUUUGCAAUUAUUUCACCAACCUUUUUACAUCAACCCAGCCGAGACAGGAUCAAAUUGCAGCAGCCUUGAAAGGAAUAACUCCGAGAGUUUCAGCCAGCAUGAAUGAGAGUUUGGAGGAACCGUUUACAGCCGAGGAAGUCUUGGAAGCUUUGAGUCAAAUAAAGGCUUCGGGGCCGGAUGGUUUUCCAGCAGUGUUUUACCAAAAGCAUUGGCAUACGGUUAAGGAGGGAGUGCUCACCACUUGUCUGCAUAUCGUCAAUUCACAAGGUACCAUAGGCCCUCUAAAUCACACUUACAUUGCUUUGAUACCAAAAAUCGGGAAGCCUAGGAAAGUGACAAACUUUAGGCCUAUUAGUUUGUGCAAUGUUAUCUAUAGAAUUGUAGGUAAGUCAGUUGCUAAUAUAUUUAAGCAAAUUCUGCACAAAAUCAUCUCUCUAUCGCAAAGUGCCUUCAUCCCCAAUAGGUUGAUCACUGACAACAUCAUAGUUGGCUACGAAUGUUUGCACAAGAUAAGGCAUUGUAAAGGAAAGCGAAAUGGAUUAAUUGCAUUAAAGCUUUAUAUUAGUAAAGCUUAUGAUAGAUUGUAAUGGAACUUCCUAGAGCAAACUUUAAAACAACUAGGCUUCUCGCAUCAAUGGAUUAGCUUGAUCAUGGGGUGCAUUAGUUCAGUUUCCUUCUAUGUGUUAAUAAAUGGCUCAGUGAAAGGCUUAAUUAAACACCAAAGGGGCAUAAGACAAGGUUGCCCCCUCUCUUCGUAUUUGUUUAUUACAUGUGCAGAGGCUUUUUCUUCCUUGCUGUAGCAGGCUGAGCAACAACGGCUUAUUCAUAGGCUAUCAUUUGGAAACGAUUUGAAGAUUUCGCACCUUCUAUUUGCUGAUGACAGCCUUAUCUUCAGCAGAGCUUCCAUGGCUGACUGUCGAAAUCUGAAGAUGAUCCUUGAGUGCUACUCCACAACUUUCGGUCAAAUAUUUAAUUUCGAGAAAUCUUCUCUUUUUCUUAGUGGCAAUGUACAACAAGAUCAAGCUGAGGCAAUUGGGAAUCUCUUUUAGCUCAAUAUUGUGUAAAGACAUAAAAAAUAUUUAGGCUUGCCGUCUAUGAUCGGGAGAAAGAGAAGCAGCUUCUUCAAUGACAUCAAGCUGAAGGUUUUCAACAAGAUCUCAAGCUGGCAGCAUAAAUUUUUUUCUUGUGGAGGGAAAGAAGUCUUAAUCAAAGCUGUUGUGCAAGUCAUCUCAGCCUACGCAAUGAGCGUUUUUAAAAUUCCGAUGGGAGUUUGUGAUGAUAUUUAAAAAAUGGUGGCAAAGUUCUAGUGGGGCUCCAAGAGGGAAGGGAGGAAUAUUCAUUGGGCGAAGUGUGAAAAGAUGAGUCAAGCUAAGUGUAAUGGAGGGAUGGGAUUUCGUGAUUUUUCAAGCUUCAACAGAUCCCUUCUAGCAAAGCAAGGCUGGAGGAUUCAGCAAUGUCCAAACUCGUUGGUGGCUAGGGUCUUGAAAGCCAAGUAUUUCUAGUCAAAAAAUUUCUUGGAUGCAAAGCUCAACUCAAACCCUUCAUAUAUUUGGAGAAGCAUUCUUUGGCGAAGGAAAAUUAUUUGCUCGGGCUCUAGGUGGAGAGUUGGCAAUGGUCAGAAAAUUCAUAUUCAUAAGGCUAACUAGAUUCCACAACCUUCAACAUUCCAGCCAAUGGUUAAGCCAACUUUUCCUUCGAAUGCUAUGGUCUCUGAAUUAAUCAAUGAGGCAAACUACUGGGAUGAGAAGAGGAUUUAUGAGCACUUCGAAAAAAUGGAUGCUGAUUUAAUUACUAAGAUUCCUCUGCCUAGAAGACCAAGGAAGGAUGAGCUAAUUUGGCAUUAUGGAAAAAAUGGCCAGUUCUAGGUUAAAAGUGGGUACCAGACAACUCUCCAAAUAAAGUUUCUAGCCAUGCCUUCAAGCUCAGUGGCUUCAAAAAAUGAAUGGAAUAUUAUUUAGUCUCUUGCUUUGCCUCAAAAGAUCAGAAUUUUUGCAUGGAGGGCAGCCAAAAACCUACUCCCCUCAGCUGAGAAUUUGUGGAAGAAAAAGAUAAUCCAGGAACCUACUUGCCAAGUGUGUAAAAUGGGAAUGGAAAAUGUAUUUCAUGCUCUAGUGGCCUGCAAAUCGGCUAAGAAAGUAUGGAGGCUAAUCUAUUUUGAAGAUGAUAUUAAUGCUGCUCACAGUCAAGAUAUCUUCAGUUUGCCGCAUGCUAUGAAAAGAAUGAGAAGCAAAGUUGACCUGGAGCUGUUGGUAACGAUUUUUUGGGUUAAAUGGAAUGCUCGGAAUCAGUUGCUAUUCAAAGGAAAAAUGGAGACCCCCCAUGUAACACCCUAGGCGAAUCCCAUAUCGGCAAAGCACAGGAGAGAUGCUGGGUUUAUAAGAAGUGAUCCACACCUUAAUUGGCAAGACGCGUUUUGGGGUCUAUGGGCGCCCCAAGAACAAAUCCGUGCAGGCCUUGUUAAGGCCCAAAGCGGACAAUAUCUUGCCAGGUCAUGACCCAACCCAGACCUGGCAAGAUAUUGUCCGCUUUGGGCCUUAACAAGGCCCGCACGGAUUUGUUCUUGGCGUGCCCAUACACCCCAAAACGCGUCUCAUGCUCCUUCUUACUCUUAGAGUAAAUUAAUAUGUCAUCAAUAAAGACAAUGACAAACUGGUCAAGAUAAGGUUGGAAGAUCCUAUUCAUCAAAUCCAUGAACGCUGCAGGAGCAUUAGUUAAUCCAAAAGGCAUAACUAAGAACUCAUAGUGUCCAUAACGAGUUCAAAAAGCUGUCUUCGAUACAUCCUCACUUCUUAUUUUCAAUUGAUGGUAGCCAGAUCGUAAAUCAAUUUUAGAGAAUACCGCUGCACCUCGUAAUUGGUCAAAGAGGUCAUCAAUUCGAGGAAGAGGGUAUUUAUUCUUGACAGUAACCAUAUUCAACUGCCGGUAGUCAAUACACAACCUCAUUGAACCAUCUUUCUUCUUUACGAACAAAACGGGAGCACCCCAAGGCGACACACUAGGACGGAUGAAACCCUUAUCUAGUAACUCUUGUAGCUGGACCUUUAGUUCUUUUAAUUCAAUGGGUGCCAUCCGAUAUGGCGCCUUGGAUGUAAGUGUAGUACUAGGAACUAACUCUAUAGUAAACUCAACCUCUCUAUCUGGGGGUAGACCAGGAAGAUCCUCAGGAAAUACAUCAAUAAACUCCCUUACAAUAGGUAUGUCUUCAAGGCACGCCCCAUCAGGAUGGUCAGCAAUUAUAUACGCUAAAAAUCCUUCACACCCCUUCUUUAGCAUUUUCACUGCCGUCACCAUAGAAAUCAAAGCUUUAUAACUCUUAUGAUUCCCUUGAAAAUGAAAUUCUUCCUCGCCAGGUAGGCGAAAAAUAAUUUCCUUAGCAAAACAAUCUAUUGAAACAUGGUAAGGUCCUAACCAAUCCAUCCUCAAAAUCAAAUCAAAAUCAUGCAUCUCUAAUGGUAGGAGAUCCACAAGGAAUUCUCUAUCACACAAUCUGAUCACACAUGACUUAUAGACAUGAUCUAUUAACUGGCAAUCCCCCAUAGGGGUACUAAUUGUCACGUGAACACCGAGUGGCGUGAUAGGCACAUCAGCAUAACGGGCAAACACACAAGAUACAAAUGAAUGUGUAGCACCAGGAUAAAAAGGAACUUUGGCUUCUCUAGAGAAUAAGGACAAUGUACCUGAUACUACAUCAUUGGACACCUCAGCAUCUUUCUCCGUUAGCGCAAAAACACGCCCUUGCACCUUCGGUUUCUUCCUCUGCCCUUCGUUAGUCGGAGUAUUUGUAGUCUCGCCACGUCUCUUUGGGCAAUCCAUAAUCCUAUGCCCAGAUUCUCCACAAGCAAAACAAGCUCCAGUUUUCCAAUGGCAUUCACCAGGGUGCCUCCUUUCACAAUGUCGACAAAUGGGGUAAUUUCUCCGAGCAGUGUCACUAGUAACACCCUUGUUAUCCCAUUUGUUACCUCCACCAUUAUACUUCUGGGAGUGAGUGCCUUGCCUAUAGGAACUUCCAUUUCGCGGUCCACCUUGUUGAUUCUUCUUAUUUCUCUGAUACCAUAAUGUCAUGACCCAACCCAGACCUGGCAAGAUAUUGUCCGCUUUGGGCCUUAACAAGGCCCGCACGGAUUUGUUCUUGGGGUGCCCAUACACCCCAAAACGCGUCUUGCCAAUUAAGGUGUGGAUCACUUCUUAUAAACCCAGCAUCUCUCCCGUGCUUUGCCGAUGUGGGAUUCGCCCAAGAACAAAUUCGUGCGGGCCUUGUUAAGGCCCAAAGCGAACAAUAUCUUGCCAGGUCUGGGUUGGGUCAUGACAUUAUGGUAUCAGAGCGGCUCCGCGUGUCCUCUUGAGCGAUGGUGGGGCAAACCUCAGCGAGGACGCUGAGUCCCCAAGGGGGGGUGUAUGUAACACCCUAGGCGAAUCCCACAUCGGCAAAGCACGAGAGAGAUGCUGGGUUUAUAAGAAGUGAUCCACACCUUAAUUGGCAAGACGCAUUUUGGGGUGUAUGGGCACCCCAAGAACAAAUCCGUGCGGGCCUUGUUAAGGCCCAAAGCGGACAAUAUCUUGCCAGGUCUGGGUUGGGUCAUGACACCCCAUAUUAUGGUAGCUAAAGUUGAAGCUAUGAUUGCAGCUUAUAAGAGGGUGCAUUCUUCAGUUGAGGCUUCCAGUGAAACAGAGCAGAGGGUACCUCUUCAGACAUGGAAUCCCCCUCAAGAUGGUUUUGUAAAAGUCAACAUUGAUGCAGCUAUCAACUUCAAAAAGAACCUUGUAGGGCUGGGGGCAGUGAUUAGAGAUGAUUCGGGGCAUGUUACAGCAGCUGCAAUCAAGAUUUCCAAGUUUCAUGGAGAUGUUUCUUAUGCUGAGGCAGCAGCUAUGGAAUGGGGUAUGUUGGUGGAGAGAGAAGCUAAAGUGAAAGUUGUAAUCGUGGAAUCAGAUUCUCAAGGUGUGGUCAGUUUAGUUAACAACAAGCAGGGCUGCAGAUCUGAGAUCUAUUGGGUUGUUUCGGAAAUUCAGAAGUUAGCGGAAAACUUCGAGUGUGUUAGUAUUAAGUAUACAGCCUAGAUCUUGUAAUGUUAUUGCCCAGUCUUUAGCUAAGUUAGCUCUAGAAAAACGCGAGACUGUUGUGUGGAGGGUUCAUACCCUUCACAAGUGAUGUAUUUCCUUUCAUCGUUGUUUUAAUUGAAAUCUAUUUUCAAAAAAAAAAAAUCACAAUCAGCAACUACAAUGAUCCAAAACCAACAUAGAAAGACCUAGAAAUAGUAAAAAAUAUUGCAAUAUAUUAAAGAAGAUUAAUUCAUCAGAGUGCCCACAACAUAUAAAUGGAUCUAAAGAAUAGAUUAUAUAAUAGCUUGUUUCUUAUGAAUGAUACAUGGGAUUCCACAGAUAAAAAGAAAAUAAGAAUCAAGUACGUGAAUUAAAAAAAUACCUAACCAAUAGGGGUUAGUGAGAUAUUUUAGCUAAAUAUCAGUUGACAGAAUCUGACCCACAAUAAAAAUUGCUAUCUUAUCACAAUGGGAAUCUGAAUUAUAAAAUUACUGAACAAAACUUUUAACACCUACAAGUCCAAAUAAUAUCAAAUAAAAUGCCUAACCAGCUAUUAAAUAUAAAAUGUCCUUGUAGGACUAAAACCUUGUGGCCAAUCCUUCAAAGUUCCAAGCAACAAUAUGAUAAAAACAUAAUGCAUAAUAUAUAAGGAGCUUAUCUGUAAAACUUCCAUACAGUACUUAUCAUAUUAAACAAUGUACCUAAUGAAAUAUUGGCUUAUUUCUACAGAAUAUUACAAUAUAAGUACACCAAUUUCUCAAGCAAUGCCAUAUAGAAAGAUACCGAAGAAAAAAGGAAAAUAAAAAAUCGAAGCAUGUUAGUUAUGAUUUCAACUUUUGAACUCAAAGUCUGUGACAAAUUUUGCUUCGGGAAAUACUAACAAACACUUGAGAAAAACUAAAGUGUAUCACACUUGAACCGUAUAUAAAGCACAAGAAUAAAAACAACAAUGGGCAAAAAGAGGCUAGAUGUAUCAUCUUCAUUAGUUAAACAACAUAAAUAGAAUCAAAAUAUUAAUGCAUACACCAAAACCUUCAAAAUUCUCUAAACAUUCAAUUUUUUUCAGAUUAAGAAAAUAAAUUUAUAAGAAAAUCGAGAACGCGUAUUUGUUGCGGUAUUUUAUCAAGCAAUUGGCAUGCAGCAAUGUAAAUGACAAUUAAAACAUGUAAAUCUCUGUACAUUGAAAGCUCACCUUCGUUAUUCAUCCAAAGAGAGAUAUAUAGGGCAUGUAAGCUCCUUCUUUGAUAUUUAUAUAUUUUGUCAUAAAAGAUUAUAUAUUGUCCGAAAAGAGCUAACUUUGGACAGGCUUUUUAUGCCAAAAAAAAAAAAAAAAUUCUUUUGUGACUAUUAUAAAGUUCGUCAAAAAGAAAUUGAAACAGGGACCAAGUAAUGUCUCAAAAAGAAAAAAAAAUGGUUAUCAAAUAUAAAAUUAUUCAAGACAAAACAUUCAAUGACUAUUGUUUAAUUUUGUCACUGUAGGUAAUUAUAUAUGAUAAAAAAAAAUGGUCUUAAAAUUAGCCAAAAGAACAAUAAUUUUGGCUACUAAUAUUUUGUGUCAUAGAUUGUGUAGUCAAUUUUACACCCCUCUUUUAGUUACCAAAUAAUUUGGUCGCCUAUAAUUAUAUUUCGUGACUAUUUAUUUUGUCAUAAAUAGUGAAAUAUUGUCUCAAAAUAAUCACUUUUGGAGGGAAGAUUUUGCGCCAAAAAAAUAUCUUUUGGUGACUAAAAUAAUUUUUGUCAUAAAAAAAAUUAAUUAAUGACCAAUGAACAAGUCUCAAAAUAAAAAUAAUUGGUUACAAAAAACAAUAUAAGUUAGGACAAGACUAUUAGCUACGAUUUUAAAAAUUUGUCACAAUAAAUACCAUUUUGUGACCAAAUUUAAAGUUGUAAAAAAUAUCAUCUUAAAAAAUCAAAUUUCUUAUAGUGGCCGAGGCCUAUGAUAGAGCAUAGCUCUAUGCCCAUUUACCUCUUCAACUGCCAUAGAGAACUAGAAUCCCACUUGCACCCAAAACAUAAAAACAAUGUACACUUGGCAUGAACUCUGAGAAAGCUACGUAAAAAUGAUUUGAUGGCCAAGGAUUACAACAAUUGUACAACCAAAAGAGGUAGAAAUCCAUGUCUAGUAUAGUGCCCUCGUUAACACCUCUAAAUACUGAGUCAAAUCAAUAGGAAUUUCAUUGUGGGAAAAAAAAAACUAUGCUACGAAUGGUCAGCCUUGCUAGCCUUUAUAAGCAACGCACACAGAUUAUAGAACGAUGCAGUGAUGCAAACCAAGAACUAUUAGGGUAUAGACAGUAAGAUUAAAUAGAAUAAUUUGAUUCCAUUUCUAGCAAACUUUGCCUAGAGACUUGUUAAAAUCUAAUCAGUAAACCUGCUAGAUUUGACAGGAAACAGGUAAUGUCAGGCAAAUCGCCUUCUCCUAUUUUAGGGCACUCAUGUAUAAUAGUGACUUUAAAAGUGUAAACAUAUUUUGAACAAUUUUAAGGAAAUUAAAACUAUAUUUGACACAUCACGAAAUGGCUAAGAUACAAGCUUCAAUUCCAGUACAACAAAUAUAACUUCAACUGUCAAUUGAAGGAGCGAGAUAAAGAGGAGAGACACGAAGCAAUAUACCAUUAUGAGAACAUUGCAGCAUACAAAAGUGUAAACGGCAGAGCAAUAUCUCAAAAUCAUGUCGUUUCCGAUGUGUGCUCAUUUGAAAGUGCAGAAAAACCACUCAAACAUGCCUGUACAAGGAAAGCCAUGUCAGCCACCAAUGUCGUAAUUACACCAAUUACGAGGCCCAAAACUCCAUCAGCAACAGUAGAAGAACCGAUGUCAACAUCAAUCUACAGAAAGUUUCUAGCAGUCACGAGCAUUAUCACGAUCAUCGUGCCGCAGAUUGCCCUAAAAACAAGACAAAUCAAUUUGAUCAGCUUGUUCUUCCUCUAGAGCUGCGAAUAAUUGAAAAAAAAAAGAUUAAUUCCAUAGAAAUCCAUUAAUGAGGACAUUAAUCCAAUAUAUAAAAAUGAAUAUUUAAGUUUGAAGCUCCUAGCUUGAAGCUUUCCAAAUAUAAAGUUACAUAGUGAAGGACAACAUUUGUCCAUGAGGUUUCUAAAAUGGCAACUUUUGCACAGUAAAAUUAAAACGGACGGCGGAAGCUCUAGAAACCUCGGAUCGGCUUCAUUCAAAAACGAAAAUCACGAGGAAAGAUUUAAGUUUAAUUAAAUCACUUUUAGUUUCAAAAACGGCUUCGUGAAGUAGAAGAAAAAGACUGAAAACAGCACGCUACGAACACUGUCCAGAAAAUAGAGCUCUGCACGAACAGCUUCUGUUUUGCCACGAUUUGAGAUCCUUAAAGCACCCCAAUUGUGAUGCCUCUAAUUAUUCCACACUUAGAAAUGUUCUAGGAGUUCAUAGGAUUUGGAAUCUCGAAAUUUCGUUUAGAAAUGAAAGAGAUAAUGAAAAAACAUGAAUGCUAGUUCAUGAUGAUUCAUUCCAUCAAAUAAAGCUACCAUUAUCUCUAAUAAUGGCACCAAACAUUAUCAUGUGCUAGACCCACCCACUUAGUUAUUAUUUAUUGAAAGUGAUCUUAUCACUUAAAUAAAUUAUUUAAUCAAAUAAAUAAAUAGCUAAAUUAAUUAAUUUCGUAAUUAAUUAAUUAACCCCAUUUUGAUCAAAUCAAAUGGUUAAAUGUGGGCUCAUUUUGUGACAUGUUCUAAUGCUUUCUCUUAAUCCAUAUUAGAUCUAAUAAAAGCCCAAAAUUCUAAACCCAAAAUUGGUCUAGAAGUCCAUAAUCAUAUAUGAACCGGAACAUGUCCAAAAUGGUCAUUUUACGUGCUUGAUAUUGCAUAAUGUUUAAUGGGGAUUUAUGAAAUUUAUUUUGUUCCUUAAACUAUUUAUGGAACAUCUAAAUUUCUAUCUUAAAUCAUAUUUAAGAUAUAUUUAUAUAUAUAUUCAUUCUUAAUGAAUUAUAAUAUAAAUAUUGAUUUUCCUAAAAUUAGGAAAUUUAACUUCUCAUUUUCUAGUAACUCCUUUUUCAUUUCUAUUUAGUGUGUGACCUUUCAGGUUCUUAGUUAUAAGGUAGUAGAACUAUUUUAAUGAUAACUCUUUAUUCAUUAAAUGAUGCUAAACUCUUUAGUAAUCAAUUAGAACUUUUCUAAUGACCUUAAGAUGCAUAGCUAAUAGGCUUUACCAAUAUUGAUCUUAAGGUUUCUAUAAGUCAUGAGUGACACCUAGCAGUAUAUCACAACUAUCCAAAUAACAAGAAUUGUUGGAUCUAUAAAACCUAUUUUAUUGUAUCUCUAUGUCUUGGUCUCUUCAUCAUCCAUGUCUAGAGAAAAGCACGGCUUAUGGUUUAUUAUGUUAAGCAGUUAUGAUUUAUCUCAAAAUAAAUCUAAAUGAACUUAACAUGAAAAUAUAAUUUGAACUCCUUCAAAUAUAUUUCACCUUGGCCAAGGAUUUCUCAUGCCAAUUCAUAUUAUCUCAUAGGGACAUCCUUUUUGUAUAUUACAAAGUGAUUAAUUCCAUAUUAGCCAUACACUUGUCUUCAUACAUAACCAACCAUGACAGCUAUUGCUAGAUCUCUUCCGUGAUUAGGAAUCCAUGAUUAUGCUUUCACAUAUCAGAGAUGUCUAUGUAUAAGACAUCUGUUAUGCCUCAAGUCUAAAGACCAUUAUUAAACAUAGUGUCUAUUACAAUGUAUAAUAAGCCAUUAACACUCAAAACCAUAUGACUUACUAUAUUUGGUCAUGUUCAGUAAACUCGUUCUCUCAACAAGUACCUAUGUGUUUGACUUGACAUGUCAUGUCAAUGAUAUGAAACUCACCAUCCAUUUUAGUAUCACAUACCAUAAGGAGUCAUAACACAUACUAGUGUUUAUAGGAAUUUAUAAUGUCCAAUCAUAAAUCCACCACUAGGAACUAUUUUAGAAGUAUAGUACAAAGGAUGCACGUUUCAUACUCUCGACAAACUCGAGAAUGUGUUCCUUAACUAUUUUACUUCUUGGACUAUAUUCAUUAAAUUAAUUUAUGAAUGUUGAUAACUUUGCCAUUUUAUAAAUAUCAAAAUGCUAUUCAAAUACAAUAAUUCCCUAAACAAACAAACACCAUUUGAUUGGCCUUUAGGGCAUAUUACUAACACAUAGCCCUUAGAAGGCCGAUUGCAAACAUCACCUUUCCCGGGGAUGGAGAGGAGGACGUCCUCAAGGAUAUUAUAAAGGGUUCUUAGUUUGAGUAGGUCAGUAUGGGUAGUGGCACACUUGAGGUAGUCAAUGGGAUAAGAAUCGGCCUCCAUCCUAUAGCCGAGGUUUCUUUUCUUAGAGGGUCGGCUCGGCUCAGAACUAUUCUCCUUGUUAUCACUUUCUUUUUCAGGGAUCCCAGCCCCCUCAGAACUGUGAUUCUCACCAGAAGCCGAUGCUUGUCCACCGCGAUUUCCCAUAGGUUCACAAUCAGAAGGAGGCAAAAUGGCCUUUGGACGGGGGUACUCAAGGGUAUCUCUAUUAUAAGAGGGACCUAUGUUACUGGAAGGAUUUUGGGGAUCAGUGGGUCUUAAUAAAUUGGGGUAUGAAUCUAUCUCUUCAUCACUCUCAUUUACAAUUAUUUUUCCCCUUCGUCUUGACAUAGUGAAGUCUUAAGAGAAAAAUAUAACAAAUUUAAGUAUAUGGGUACAAAAGUGUUGAGUGCGGAAUGCAGAAUCAAGCACACCAAAUAAUUAUAGAAAAAUAAUUGACACAAAAUUUAUGUGGUUCAGUAAUUAAACCUACAUCCACCGGAGCAAGAGAAAAAUAAUUGUAUUAUUAACAAUUAUUUGAGUACAAAUUUGAGUAAAGAAAUCUUACUUUCCCAUAACCCAAAUACACCCAGUACUCUCACACACACACUCUCCAAUUGCUCACACUUUCAGAACUCUCAAAAGCUUAAAAACUAAUAAGCUUAACAAAUUUUUUGGGAUACUUUAGAAUGAAGAAAUGACUUUAAUUUAUAGGCUUCAAGCUUGCACUAUUCCACUUAAUCCCUCUGCAAUUUGUCAAUCUUCAUCUCCAUCAAUUUGACAAAUUUUGCUAAAUUUUCCAUUUUUCUUCAUUUAGUGCAGGAUUGUCAAAUGCCAAAUAUUUUACAGCUUGCAGUUUUGGUGCCGACUUUGAAAAAACAAAAGCAAUGCAUGUGGCUCACUUUUCUUUUUCAACCAAUUUGAAAACACUCAUUGACUUUUCAACAAUUUUCCACCUCGGCGAAGAUUUGUUCAAAUAUGAGCCGACUCCCAACCAAUCAUCAUCCCCAAAGUGGCUGCAUCUCUGUGACUGCUACGUACACAAAAUUUGGGAUCAAGCCAACCGUAGUUCAAAAUUCCUGAAGGACAUAACUUAACAUAAUCGAAGGAUUUGAAUUAGUCUCAAGCAUUGUUGAAACUUAACUCCAGAAAUCACCUUUGUCAACAUAUCUGCUGGGUUAUCCUUGGUAUUGAUCUUUUUCAACAACACAUCACCACCCUCGAUAAUCUCUCUCACAUAAUGAUAUUUCACAUCUAUGUGCUUCGACCGAGCGUGAUAUGUUUGAUUUUUCGCGAGGAAUAUCGCACUUUGGUUAUCACAAAAGACCGCAAUGUUCUCUUGGAUUACUCCCAAAUCACAAAAUAAGCCUUUCAACCAGAUAGCUUCCUUUACAGCUUCAGUUACUACCAUAUACUCUGCUUCCAUAGUGGAUAGAGCAAUUGUCGAUUGUAGAAUCGACCUCCAGCUAACUGAUCCUCUACCCAAUGUGAAUACGUAGCCAGUUGUUGAUCUUUGCUUUUUAAGGUCUCCGGCGAAAUCAGAAUCACAAUACCCAACACAUUGUUGACCACAAUCCUUUUUUAACAAUAACCCAACAUCAACUGUCCCAUAUAGAUAUCGGAGAAUCCACUUUACCGCAAGCCAUUAAUUUUUACUCGGAUUGUGCAUGUACCUACUAACCAUUCUCACUGCUUGAGAUAUAUUGGGCCUUGUGCAUACCAUAACAUACAUAAGACUACCCACAACACUAGCAUAUGGAACACGAGCCAUGUAAUCGCGCUCCUCUUGAGAUUUAGGACAUGAAGAAGAGCUUAAUUUGAAAUGAGGAGUUAGAAGUGUACAUACCAGUUUAGUUUUGUCAUCCAUACCGAAUCUUUUUAGCACUUUCUUCAAAUAAGACUUUUGAGUCAACCAUAUGCUCCCAUUCUUCUUGUCUCUAUGAAUUUCCAUCUCAAGUAUUAUAUGUGCAUCACCCAAGUCUUUCAUCUCGAACUCAGAAGCCAGCUGCUUCUUUAAUCUUUCGAUCUCAUCUCUAUUCUUCAAAACUAUAAGCAUAUCGUUGACAUAGAGUAACAAAUAGAUGAAAGCUCCAUCUAUUAGUCUUCUAAAGUAAACACAAUGAUCGUGUUCACUUUUGGUGAAUUUCUGCCCUUGUAUAAAUUAAUCAAAUCUUUUAUACUACUGCCUUGGCGAUUGCUUCAGUCCGUAUAAAGAUUUAAUCAACCUACACACAUGAUUCUCCUUUCCAGUAACUUUGAAACCACAAGGCUGAAUCAUAUAGAUUUCCUCCUUCAAAUCUUCAUGUAAGAACGCCGUCUUAACAUCCAACUGAGCCAACUCUAACUCAUAUUCUGCAACUAAGGCAAGUAGGAUACGAAUGGAAGUAUGUUUUACAACUGGAGAGAAAACUUCAUUAUAGUCAAUACUUUCCUUUUGAGCAAAACCUUUUGCCACGAGUCUUGCCUUGUAUCGAGGAGUUGAUUGAUUUGGAGAUCCUUGCUUUUUGGUGUAGACUCAUUUAUUGCCAAUAGUCCUUUUCCCUUUUGGUAACUUUACAAGUUCCCAAGUCUGGUUUUGAUGGAGAGAUUUCAUCUCUUCCUCCAUGACUAACUUCCACUGAUCACUUUCACUGCUGCGUAAUGCUUCACCGAAAGUGUUGGGGAUGUCAUCAUCAAUAACUGAAAGUGCAUAGACUACCACCAUAUCUUUAGUAAGCCAUCCGGGUUUCUUUAUCUCUCUUCUUGGUCUCCUUGUUACUAUAAAAUCAUCAUUAUCUACAGCAUCAAUUGUUUCUUCAUUUUGUGGGACAUCAGAAGAAAUAACAUAUUCUUCAACUCUAGGUAUCACCUCCAUAGUUGAACCCUUAUUUGAUGUAGAACUAACUGGUACAUAUGGAGUUGUAUCAAACUUCACCAGCUGCAAUACCUCUUUGGUUUUGUUUUCCAUUUGCUGAGAACUUGAAGUUUUCAUCAUUGAAACUUCAUCAAAUGUGACAUCUCUGCUACACACAAACUUUUUGUCUUUGAGAUCCCAAAACUUAAAGCCAUUUACUCUACCUUUGUAUCCCACAAAAAUAGCUUUUCUAGCACGAGGAUCCAGUUUACCAUCUUUGACAUAAUAAUAAGCUAGACACCCGAAUAUACGAAGGGAAUUAUAGUCUUGUGCAUGCUUUCCAGACCACAUUUCUAUAGGAGUUUUACCUCCAAUUAUAGCAUAAGGCAACUAGUUUACCAAGUGACUUACGUAGUUCACAGUUUCAGCCCAAAACUUUUUAUCUAAACCAGUAUUAGAUAACAUACACCGUACUUUCUCCAGUAAAGUACGAUUCAUACGCUCAGCUACACCGUUCUAUUGCGGAGUAUGUCUCACUGUGAAAUGUCUUUUAAUACCGUCGUUCUGGCAUACUUACAAGAAUGGAUCAGAAGUAUAUUCACCCCCAUUAUCAGGUCGUAAUACUUUGAUUUUUCUGUCAGUUUAAGUCUCCACCAAUUUCUUCCAUUUCACGAAAAUCUCUAGAACCUCAACCUUUGCUCGCAUGGUGUACACCCACACACGUCUAGAGAAAUCAUCAACAAAUGUAACAAAAUAAUGGCUUCCACCAAUUGAUGUAGUCUUGGUUGGUCCCCAUACAUCACUAUGAACAUAUUCAAGGAUUUCACGAGUAUCGUGAUUAGCUGUACCAAACUUGACCCUUGUUUUCUUGCCUACUACACAAUGCUCACAGAAAUUUAAUUUAUAGGUUUUGGUACCUUUUAAGAGUUCGUGCCUCAUCAGAGUUUGCAAAGACUUUUUGCUAGCAUGUCCUAGUCGUACAUGCCAUAGCUUGGUGGUGUCACUAUGCGCCUCAAUAAUAUUUGCUUCAUCAGUUGUACCUCCCUUCAAAUAGUACAGAUUGUGACGCCGAACCCCUUGUAGAAUCACCAUAGCCCCAUGUGUAAACUUCAUUAUACUAUUUUCAAUGGUAGCCUUGUAGCCUUUAGCUUCUAGAGCACCCACAGAAAUUAGAUUUUUCUUUAAAACUAGAACAAAUCUAACCUCUUUGAGUUCUCUGACCAUUCCAUUAAACAUUUUGAGCCGAAUUGUUCUUAUCCCCAUUGUGCGACAAUGUUGAUCAUUCCCUAUCACAACUGCACCGGAUUUUAGAUUACGAGUAUUCGUAAACUAUUCCUUAAUAGGACACAAAUGAUAGGUUGCUCCAGUAUCAAGUAUCCACUUACUCGAACUAGCCACGUAUGCUGCAAGAGUAAUACUUAGUGAAUAAUCAGAAUCUUCAUCUUUCGUGCCAUGUUUGCUGCUGUUGGUUUUUUCCCAUCUCUGUUUUGAGCUUUUAGACAAUCUUUCCUCCUAUGAACCUUUUCAUGACAAAAGGCACACUCGUCUCGAGCUAUAUCUCUGCUUCUCGAUUUGGAUCGAGAAUUCUUUCCACCACCCUUUUUCUUUUUCUCCAUCGCCCAAUCUUUACUCACCAAAACUUCAGACGAUACUCGUUCAGAAUUUUUAUUAUUAUUCUGAAUCUCCAAGUUAGUCAAUGCUGUGCAAACAUCUUUGAAGAUGAUCACGCUUUUCCCAUAUAUCAAGGUAGUCACAAAAUGGCUAUCUUCCUCUGGUAGUGAGUGUAACAGAAUCAUAGCCUUGACUUCAUCCUUAAUAUCUUCAUCAAGAUUCUUCAAAUCAGCAAGUAACUUUUCAAAUCUCGAGACAUGAUCGUGCAUUGAUACCCCAGGCUUCAUUCGAAAGCCAUAUACUUGGCUCAUUGCAUGAAGACGAUUUUCAGGACUUUUCAGCCUAUACUUCUUCUCUAAUGUAUGCCACAAAGUCACCGCACACUCCUCAACUUUCACCAAGUAUUUUACCUCCUUGGUCAAAUAAGAUCUGACCUGACCACAAACUUUCUCGUUCAUACGAUCUCAAAUUUCUUCAUCAUACAAGUGUAUUUUAUUUUUCAAAACAAUAUCGAGAUCGAUUUGAAUAAGGGCAUCCAUAACUUCGCGCAUCCACAUGCCGAAAUUGAUUUUCCCAUCAAACUUUUCAACAUCGAUCUUCUGGCCUCCUAUAACAGGUGCUGAAUAGCGAUUUUACAAGUCUCGUCUCCCACUUGAAGUGUCUUCUAAAAUAGUCUCGAUAGAUCUCUCCUUAAUUCUGGAAGUUUCACCUUAUACCAUUUUCUCAACGAACUAUUUCCACUUGAAAAACAGCCUCUAUGAUGUUAAUUUCGCGUGAAUAAAUGUCCCAGGAAAGUUCCCUAAAGACUAGACGGGAACUCGGUCCUAAUUAAAAAUCGGAAUCCUUAGACUCUUAUCGCCUUUGUUGACAGAACUUUCAUAGACAUGUAAAAAUACACACUACUUACAAUAGACUGUCUCCCAAGUACAAAUGGCCGCCUCCACCGUAUUCGUGAAUAGUACUGUAUAUGUGAACAAUACAGUAUACUGGAAUAGUACUGUAUAUGUGAAUAGUACUGUAUCCCCCCAAGUACGAACCGUCGGCUCUGAUACCAGUUGUUGAGUGCGGAAUGCGGAAUCAAGCGCACCAAAUAAUUAUAGAAAAAUAAUGGGCACAAAAUUUACAUGGUUCGGUAAUUAAACCUAUAUUCACCGGAGCAAGAGAAAAAUAAUUGUAUUAUUAAUAAUUAUUUGAGUACCAAUUUGAGUAAAAAAAUCUUAUUUUUCCAGAACCCAAAUACACCAAGUACUCUCACACACACUCUUGGUAGUGUGUCUUUUAUGGGCACGAUCUGACUAGAAAAGAUACCGACCAGAAGUUCAUACUGACCAGGUACUUGUCACUCAAAGAGAGGACGUGAUCUCACAAACACGCGACAAUUUCACCACGCCCCAAACCGCUGGGAAAACACGACGCCCCACGAUUACCCACGUUCGGUUGUUGAAGACCCAUUAAGGCCCUUAACCACCCAAAUAUGACGAGCAUGGAAAAUACCCUGAAAAAGUGGGAUGAUUGCCUAUAAAAAGCGGAGAAAUCAAUGAAGAGGGGGAGAGACAAAAAGAGAGAGAGGGGAAACUCUGUCAAAUUGACUCCAGGCAUUGUUACAUAGCCACCUUAAAUACAUUUUAUCUUAAGAACAUCGCAAUGAAUGUGUGUGAGCAUAAAUCAUAUAGUUUUCCCGUAAAUUCCAUUUCCUGACUUAAGUAUCGGAGGGUUUAUGCCGGAAAAACCAUCAGCGUCUCUGAUUUGUUUUUGUGAAUGCAGGUUUAGAAAGAAAAGGGAGAGUGAUUCGGUUCCCAGGAGCUCGGGCAAUUACUAUAGCUGGUGGAGCGCAACCUCUUCUUCAUUGUCAACACACUUGUUGAUGAUCCCAUCUGGUCGGGCAAAAGGCGACUAGAUUUCAGCAUCAACAGUACGUUCAGACAAAACACCUACUCCUGUUUUAGAAACGGCCUCCUCUAUUUUACUGUUUGGUGAUUGCAAAAAUUUGUCUAAAUAAUGCAUAGUUGUAGAGUUAAGAAAAAAAGUUAUGUUAAAAUAAAGAAGCAUCAGAGAUCCCCCGAUAUUAUUAUCAUCCAGAACAAUAUGUUUAUUGGGCCAAAGUGGGCUAACAUACAUGGGUUCAAGCUUGCAAAAUCCACAUUUAUGUAUAAUUAUAUAGUAAUUAAAUACUGAAUUUGAACUCAUACAACUAUUCAAUCAUUUGGAUUUCAAAUCUGUGUUCAUUGAACUAAAUACUGUCAUGUAUUCGAGUGAACAGAUAAAGAAUUCACAAUCUGUUCUCAAUUUUGACUUCAUAAUAUUCCAGCUAUGGUCGCAUUUCUAUUACUGUAUGGUAAAUAUGACUUUUAAAUAAUUUUUUUGACAAAAUUAGUCAAGGUGCCAUAUGUGUAUCAAAUAAUAGUUGAUAAAAUCAUCUUAUAUUUUGAACUACAGAAGUAAGUAUUCAUCAAACACUUUAUAAUUGUCAGUCAAUGUUUAUGUGAACGUGACCGAAAAUGGUUACUAAGUGCAUGUUUGGGAGUUAGGAUUAAGUAUGGGAUUAGAAUAACUUUGGUAUUAAAUAUUUUAUCCCAUGUUUGGCUACUUUGCUUGGAUUGGAUUAAGGAGGACUAAAUUUAAAUUUAGGGCUUAAAUCAUGGGAUUAACAAUCGCAAUUUAUAAGUGGAUUUAGAUGGGAUUAGAAUAAGAGAAAAAAAUUUUGUUCAUGUUUCUUUCAUAAAUAACACUAUUUUUUAUUUGAAACCUAAAAUUUAAUUACUUAAUUUAUUAUUUUAUUCAUGAUUUACAUGAAUUUAUUUUUUAUUUUAUUUUUAUAGUCUAAUUACAUUGGUACUUUACUCCAACAAAAUUAACUAUUUAAUAAUUUGUUACAAUAAUUGAUUGUAUUAAAUUCAAUAAUCAACUAUGUAAUAUUAAAAAUAAUCAUAGAAAUUAAUAAUACAAAUAAAUAAUUGAUUUUGUAUAUACAUUAUUUGCUAACUUUUUGAUAAAAUAAAAUAUAUCUAAAAUAUCCGAUAAAAAUUAAUUAAAUAAUUAAAUAGUUUUAUUAAUUUAUAUUUGUUUAUUAUGAAUAUGACUACCCAAUAACUAAUUUACUACAUAUUUAAUGCUAUUGUUAAUUAUCUUUAAAUUAAUUUUAAUUAUUACUUUUAAAUAUUCUUAACUUUUUUUUUGUAUUUAAAUAUGAUUUAACAUUGUCUAAUUCGAUAUUGUACCAAACAUAGUACAAUAUAUAAUAUAAUCUAGCUUAAUCUAAUCUAACUUAAUCCAGUCCAAUCUUAAAAAUUAGCCCAAUUCAAUUCUACGUGUCAAGCACAACCUAAGAGUUCCUAGUGUUAAAAAUUUAACAUACCCACGAUCCAUUAAUGGGAUAAUUUAUUUUAUAAUAAUCAAAUUGAAGAUCAAUUUGUACGAUGAUGAGCUUUCAUGUUUCUGUCAAACAUGAAAUAAUUUUGUAAACAAUGGCCACGUGGAACUUAUAACCAAUCAUCAUUUGUUGAUAGACAAGUGAAAUAACAAAAAAGCAGCGGGUUUGGGCUUUCUCCAGGAAUCGGCUUAACACAAACAAUGUGGGGUUUCUUGAUCUUCUUAAAGAUCAAGCAUAUACGUAUACAUGUUCUAUACCUAUCAAUCAUUCCCCUAUUCUUCGGUUUGGUGAUUGCAAAUAACAUUCUUUGCAUCUACUCUUUAUUUAUUUAUUUAUUUUUAACUCAUUAAUUCUUGUUCUUCUUAAAGCGUUUAGUAAAUAUAUCAUCACCGGGUCAAAUCCCUAACAUUAACGUACACAUAAUCUAUUAAUGAAAUUUAUUAUUUUAUCAUAAUCAAAUUGAAGAUUAGUUCAUGCAGUUUUCUAUGAUGAGGAGUAUUCACUUUUCUGUUAAAUACAAGAACGAUUCGUAAAUAAUGUCCAUUUGGAACUAGUAAUAACGAAGCAUCAUUUGUGGACCGAAUAAAUGAAAUAACAUUUUAGUUUCUCUCUAAAAUGUCAUUCUUCAUUCAAGCUUUUGCUGCAUCUUUUAUCAGGCAUCUUAUAAAGCUUUUCCCUACUAAUACUAAUAAACUUUGUAAAUCAAUAUUCUUUUCAAUUUCACAGGACACAAGUAAUGCAUAUUCAAGCACAACAGGUAUUUAUUCGUUAGAAACUCCAACUUAAUUAUUUCAUUGGAAAAUAUGAAACGCAGAGCCAUAAACUAGUGCUUUCUUCAAUUUAAUUGGGUUGAACAAACUUUUUAAUGUAUUUUCCCCAAUCCAUUUCUUUUAUCUCACUGCAUGCUUUAUUAAAGCUUUGUCUUUGUUCUUGAUUGAUGACCUUCAAAAUUAAAUCUUAAAAAUCGGGUAUAAAAGGGGUGCUUGAUUUAAGUCUUCUUCUUUUGCAAUUCAUUGUUAUUGCUCUUUUCAGCUUUUUACUCGCAAAACUUCUUACUCACAAAUUCCUCUGCAGUUAACCGUGAUCUUUUACUCAUUAAAAUUGUUCUUAUUAAUUCUUUUUUAUAGAGAGAGAGAGAGAGACUCAAAGAGAAUUAAAAAAAAAGUAAUUCUAAAUUUUUGCUUGUGCAUUGUGUGAUUUUUACCAUUUUUAAAGUUGGUGAUUUGUAUUGAAUAAAUAAAAUAAUAAAUAGAUUUAUGGACUACUCUUUUUUGUUAUAAUAAACAUCAGAGGUCCUUUCCUGAUGUUUCAUUCCAUAAGAAUAAAUUAUAAUUUUAUUGAUAUAGUAACGUCAAUAAUAGAAAUCCUAACAAACAUACAAACUUUAGAUUAUGGAUUAAAGCACUACAAGGUGAAUGGAUCACAACAAAUUAUUUAUACUACAAGGUGAAUGGAUCACAACAAAUUAUUCUGACGAAAGCAUAAACAAGAUGAUUGAAUCAAGAGACUAUUACAUGGGAAACCAAUCCAGAUGAAGCCUGUGAUAAAGAAUAGCCGUACGCCCAUUUACCUCUUUAGCUAAGCUGCCAUACUGAAGGAGGCAAUCCCACCCGCACAAAACAUGAAAAACGAUGUACACGUGGCAUGAACUUUGAGAAAGCUACAUAAAAAUGAUCUGAUGGCCAAGGGAUACAACAGUUGUACGACCAAAAAGGGUAGAAAUCCAUGUCUAGUACACUGCCCUCUUCAAUACCUCUAAAUACUGAGUCAAAUUGAUAUGAAUUUCAUGGAUGAAACUAUGCAACAAUCGAUAAACCUUGCUGGCCAUUAUAAGCCUAUGCACACAGAUUAUAGAACGAUGCAGCGAUGCAAACCAAGAAUUACUAGGGUAUAGACAGUAAGAUUAAAUAGAAUAAUUUGACUACAUUACAAGCAAACUGUCACGGACCGCAAUCGUGGCACCCAAGAUAUGCGCUUGUACGCUAGUGUCGAUGAUGGUUGUUGAUGCUGAAAUCUGCUCGCCUUUUGACCGACCAGAUUCUUUCACCAACGUUUGUGUUAUCUACUGUUGCUCGUUCACUGGGAUUGGAUUCGUCCUCCUUUCUCUCAAUAGACCUGCGCUCACUAAAAACGGAUCAGAGACGCCGGUGGUUUUGCCGGCGUAAACCCUCCGAUGUCUAAGUUAGCUCAAGGUGUUUACGGGAAAACAGUGCAAUUUAGAUCUCAAAACGGUUUCUAAAUUAUUCGGAGUUUAUAAGAAAAUGGCCUGAUUGUAAUUUGGCAGCGUUUUCCCUCUCUCAAUUUUUUCUAUCCCCAUCUUCAUCGAUUUCUUCCUCUUUUAUAGCCGUUGUCCCCACGUUCCCAUUUGCCUUUCACCCUACCUUUUUCGGGUAGUGGCAGCCUCUCAUGGAACUCUAACCGCUGCAUUACGGGCAAACGUGGGAUCUCGCAUCCUCCGCAACGGUUCUGGGAACAGCGCAACUACCGCGAUUCUGUGGGAUCUGUUCCCGCUUUUUGGGGGACGGGUACCGGCUCGGUAUAUACCUCUGGUCGGUAUAUUUCCCUGGUUGGUAAUCGCCUCUGGUCGGUUCAUGCUUGUCCCCGUGUUCUGCUCGCACCAUUUGGCUAAGAUGAUCCAUGCCGGGGUGGAGAUUAGUAGCAUGGCCGACCUGGUGCUUUUAUUUACUUAACAAUGGUUGUGCUGAUUGUUGGAGACGUGCUUCAGGGGCGUGCGUGUUGGGAAUACAAUGCCCUAGACUCUUUGGAGUUCAGGCAGGCCGACCCGGUUGAGUUUGGGGAGCUUGUCGCUAGUCAAGGACUUAACGCUGAAGAGGGGUCUAGGAAAAUCCUGACGCACACUGGUUGGGAAUUGAAGCCGUUCUCCUGAUGAGCCCAAGGCAGGGCGAAACCAGUUGACAUUGUGUCACUUCCUCUAGGCUUACUCUCGUAGUAUGGGAUGCGGGAGUGCCGCACGGGCUCGAAACCUCUCGUCCCGUGACAAAUGGUAUCAGAGCCGCGCUUGUCAUCUCUCGAAGCCCUCGUCGCGAGCUCGCCAAGCGCUCCAAUGCCGCACCACGCGGGUCCCCACCCUUUCAGAUACAAGAGUUGACAAGCGGGACGAACAGGCGGGUUCUCACACCCCCAAGCGUUCGCACCAAGUGGAUGGUGUCUCCAUGCGGGUCCUCUCCAUGGAUUGAGGACGUGCAUGUAGGCAGGGAGUUCAUGGGUUGAGUUUGGCAAGUCGAUCUUCACAUUUUUGCGUGGAAGUGCACACUUGCGAGGCGUACUCCUCAUGCACGAGGACGUGCAUGGUUAUGGCGGUGGGAGAAUGUCACGGACCGCAAUCGUGGCACCUAAGAUAUGCGCUUGUACGCUAGUGUCGAUGAUGGUUGUGCUGAUUGUUGGAGACGUGCUUCAGGGGCAUGCGUGUUGGGAAUACAAUGCCCUAAACUCUUUGGAGUUCAGGCAGGCCGACCCGAUUGAGUUUGGGGAGCUUGUCGCUAGUCAAGGACUUAACGCUGAAGAGGGGUCUAGGAAAAUCCUGACGCACACUGGUUGGGAACUGAAGCCGUUCUCCUGAUGAGCCCAAGGCAGAGCGAAACCAGUCGACAUUGUGCCACUUCCUCUAGGCUUACUCUCGUAGUAUGGGAUGCGGGAGUGCCGCACGGGCUCGAAACCUCUCGUCCCGUGACAAAACGCUGCCUACAGACUUGUUAUAAUCUAAUCAGUAAACCUAUUCGACUUGCUAGGAAAAAAAUAGGGCUUUUUUGUUUUCAUUCCCCUUUGGUGAUUGCAAAAAUUUAAAUCUAAAUUUAUGGUGCAGGCUACAUGGCACCUAGUGGAUGAUUGUUAGGGUUUGUCUUUUGCUCUUAGUUAGGAAUUUAAUUAAGAAUUUAUAGUGUGCGCCUUAUCGAAGUAGGUUUCCUAAUAGUAAUUAAAUAAUCCAAAUUUAUGAUGCAUUAGCAUAUGAUUGUGAUAAAUAAGCUUUUUAUGUAUCCUGUAAGGCUAAUUACUGUUUUAUUAGAUUCUCUUGUUAGUCUUGUGAAUCAACGAGAUUUAAUUAGUAGUAGAUAAUACUUUAGGCUUCACAGGCGCACUAUUUUAUCCGCUAAAUCAAUUUUUUUUUUAAAUUAAAAACAAUUCAUCAAACACUUUAUAGUUCUAACUUUUAAGCUGGUAAACACUUUAAGCCACAACUUUAAAUUCAGUUUACGAGAAUUCCUAAUAGUCACAGUGGCUUGGGUGGAAAUGAAUAUAAAUAAUGAAAUACUAUCUAAGCAACUCAAGGGCGGUGAAUUGAGUUUCUAAAAAUUUUGUAAAACUUAAUUCAAAUAUGAAACGAAUUAAAACAACAGUAAGUAAAUCAACCAAAAUAUAAAAAGAUAGGGGAAGAGAGAUUCAAACACAGAGAUUUUUAUGUGGUUCGGCCAACCUCGCCUACAUCCACGCCUCCAAGCACACCGAGCUUGAGGAUUCCACUAGUCAUGCCUUUAAGGCUUCAAGAACACCUACAAUUGACUUCAAAGAUGUCAAUCAACCUUUACACCAAGAAAUUAUCCUCAAUCUCUUAACCCAAGUGUAUCCUAACACUUACAAUUUCUCAAUUUGAUUUAAAAAUAAAUACAAAAUAAAUCUCUCUCACACAAUGUGUUUGAUUACAAAUGAAAUUCUAAAGUGUGAAUAAAUGAGAUGUAUACAAGAAUUUAAAACUCAAUGAAAGUUGUAUGCUCAAUAAUUUGCUCAAUGAUAAUGGUUGGAAUCGUUGUUAUUUGAAUUUGAUUGAACUUAUUUAUAGUUGGAGCUGAAAUAUAGUCGUUAUUGACUUUUUGCUCAAUGUUGGAUUGCCGUUUUGACUAUGAGCAAGUUACCGUCGGACAAAAUUUUAAAUUCUCGGACCGUCGAUUUCAAGAUGUCGAAUCGCCGUUAAUGUCCAGAGGCUGCUCUUCAAUUCUGUUCAAUGUCGGCUAGCCGUUAUCAAGAGAUCGGUUAGCCAUUUGCUACAAUGACUGCUACAGUGAACUAUUUCUAAAAUUAUAAUUUGGCCCCAAAACUUUAUAAAAUUUACUAUGACCGAUAACUUUAUAAAAUUUUGUCAAAUAAGUCCAUUUCCAAAAUUUUAAGCAAUAUUUGCUAAUUUCAAAGUUCUCAAAACUUUUUCAAUUUAAAUCAUUAACAUGAAAAUAACUAAUAUCAUAAAAUUACUUUUCAUUGAAUAUAAAGCCUUAAUAUGAAAAAAAAAUAAUUUGAGCUUUUAAAUCAAGCUUAACCAAGUUUGUUAUCAUCAAAAUCAAUAUUAAAGAAAUAUUUAUGUUGACAAAUAAUGUUUAAUUUUAAUGUACAAAGCACUGGUGCAUUUAGAAGGUACUACUGUGUAAACAAAAUUUGUGCUUGCAACUCAUCUUUUCAUUCAACUUUCUAAUAAUAAUAAAAUAAUACAGAGGAGAAAUAGGGGCUCUCUUUCCGUUUCCCAGUGUUUGUGUUUGGUGAUUUUAACUUUAUCAUGGAAUUGUCAAUUUUUAGUUGAAAGUUAUCUAAAUCUUCUUCUCUAUAUAAGCGUUUACAAUGAUUUUGUGAAACACAGCAAAAACAAUAAUAAUAAGUAUAUUUAUUCAUCUAAGAGGUCAAACUCUCAUGCUCAGAUAUGGAUAGUCCCAUUUUUUGAUCAGGGACAUCUCUUUACAAGCGUUGAAUUAUGCAAGCAAAUCGCUCCUCAAAAUUACCAAUCUACCCUCAUCGUUACCUCUCAAGUACCCAUAACUAUAGUUACCCAUUACUCUCUUCGCCAAGGCACACAGAUUAAAGAAUGCUUAGGGUGAAGGCAGUAACUGUCCUGAAAUAUGACUUUUAAAUUUUUAUUUUUUUUUUACGAAAUUAGUUAAAAUGCCAUAUGUGUGAUCAAAGUUGUUAAAUAUCUUAUCUUUCAAAUUAUAGGAGUAAAUAUUCACCAAACACUUUAUAAUUUUUAGUCAAUGUUUAUGAAAACACGGCCGCAAAAUGGUUACUAAUGCUAGGGAUCAAUAAUCAAACUGAAGUUUGUACGAUGAUGGGCUUUCGUGUUUCAGUCAAAGAUGAAAUAAUUUGUCAAUAGUGGCCAUGUGGAACUUAAAACCAAGCAUCAAUUGUUGACAUAACAAAUGAAAUAACAAAAUGGCAGCGGGGUUGGCGAUACAAAAUCAAAUCUUUUUUAUUCUUUUGAUUUUUGAUUUUUUCUAUUGCAUUCUGCUUUCUUAAAAGUUUGGUCCAAUUAAAGAGAAUACGGAGCAAUGACUUGUAUCAUCUGUGGAAUAAUCCAUAGAAAUAUAUAUGUGAAGCACGCCAAAGAAAAUGGCGCUGAUGACAUACUCCUAAGAAUUGUUCAUACUGAGUCAUCCAUCAAUCAACGGGUGGAUUAUUAUCUCACUGUAGAUGAAAUUCAACUGCAGAAGUAAUCGGAUGUGGGAUCCCAAUUUUGGCGUGACCAAUUAGAGGUUAUCAAUAUUAUAAUGCGAAAUUGAUGAUCAAUCAUCUUAAUGUGGGGUACAUGAUUUCUGAUGAUCCAUCAAAAAUACAAAGUUGAUUCAAAAGGAUGAUACGGUGAGUGGAACAGACAGGCUGAUGGGAAAUCAAGCUAUUAAAAAACGAGCUCACAUGCUUCAUAUUGCAUUUGAUCAUGGCUGUCCUAGAAGUUCAGUGGCUGCUUCGGAUGCUUUCAAAGUUCUUAUUAACCAGAAAGCAGUUUAACAAAAACAAGUAUUGUGCAUAUUAUUAACCAUAUGCUUUCAAAGAUCAUGUAUAAGCAUAUCAGAGAUCUUGUUGGCUUGAAGAUCUUCUUUGGAUGCUUUCAAUACCUACACUUAUACUACCAUAUGUAAAGCCUUUGUUACUGAUUGCAUUCAAUUAUUCAAUUAAAAGUCUUACAAAGCAUCUAAAAUGGAAGAUGGAACAUCCUCCAUCCAAAAAACAAAACGGAAGUCAAAACGUUGAUAUUGUUUUAUGUUUAAUAUCAUGAUACUAGAACUUUUUAGGCUAAAGCACCUACCUGCUGUGAGCUUUACUACAAAAAAAUGAGACUAUUUAGUUGUGAGACAAAUAGAGAGGGAAAGUUUUUACCAUUUAGCUAAAUUUCGAUCUUAUGCAAAAUAAUAUAAUUCAUUUGUUAUUAUGACCUAACCAACUCAAAACAAAAAGGAUUAUUAUGGCCUAACACAGUUCAAAAUGCAUGCAACAAUGGUGUAUUUAAAAUGGAACUAAUGUACAAAUAAAAUUUAUGCAUCUCUUGGAGGAAGGCCUUUAGGCCAACAAAUGAAAAUAGUGAGCUCGCAUUUUCUAUUAUCAUUUUCACCACUUGAAAAAGAGAGGGAAAAAAAUUGAGAGGAAAAACAGGGCUCCCCUGUUUUCAUUUCCCAUUUUUUCAGUUUGGUAAUUGUAAAUAACAUUCUUUACUUCCCUCUUUAUUUUAUUUUUUUUUUAUUUUUAACUCAUUAAUUCUUUUUCUUAUUCUUGCUAAAGCGUUUAGUAAAUCUUAUGAUCAUCUGAUCAAAUCCCUAACAUUAACAUACCCAUAAUCUAUUAAUGAAAUUUAUUUAUUUUAUAAUCAUCAAAUUGAAGAUUUGUUCAAUUUUGUAUGGCGACCAAUUUUCAUUUUUCUAUUAAACAUAAGAAGAAUUUGUACAUAAUGUUCAGGUCGAAACUCGUAAUAACGACGCAUCAUUUUUCGACAGAACAAAUGAAAUAACAAAAAAGUAUAAAUCAAGUCAUUAUUGAUCCUACUUUGAUGAUCGAACUUUGGUUUCUUUCUAAGAUGCCAUUCCUCAUUCAAGCUCUUGCUUUUCUCUUUUAUCCGACAUCUUACAAAGCCUUGUCCCUACUAAUAAGCUCUGCAUAUCAAUAUUCUUUUCAAUUUCGCAGGAUACAAGUAAUGUAUAUGCCAAAAUUAUUCAAGCACAACAGGUAUUUAUUCGUUGAAAACUUUUAACUUGAUUAUUUCGUUAGAACAUAUGAAACGUAGAGCUAUAACUUAGUGCUCUCUUCAAAUUAACUGGGUUGAACAAAAAAUUUUAAAGUAUUUUACCCGAUCCAUUUCUUGUAUCUCACUGCAUGCUUUGUUAAAAGCUUCGUCUUUUGGUCUUGAUUCUGAACUUCAAAAAUUAAAUCUUAAGACUCGGGUAUAAAAUGGGUGCAUGAUUAAGUCUUCUUCUUUUCCAAUUCAUUGCUAUAACUCACACCAACAUUUUACUCAGACAUUCCUCUGCAGUUAACAGUGGUCUUUUACUCAUUAAAAUUUUUCUUAAUAAUUUCUUUGGAUACCCGUUCUCACUUAAUAUUCAAGGCGAAUAGAGAAGCUCAUCAACUCUUUGAUCCCAGACAAUUAAAGAAGUACACAUGUUCUAAAUCAUCUAAUAAUUUCUUUUAAUAGCUGUUCUUAAUUUCCAUCUACUUUGCAAGAAAAAAUUUAUCUUGUUUGUUUUCAUCUUGUCAUCUAUUUUGCUUGAGUUUUAAGUUAUUGUUCAUUUGUAAUGUCUGUGUUCUUAUUAUUAGCUUUGGAUAAUUUGCAUCCAUGUCUUUUCUUUGUUUGUGGGCUUUUAUUCAGACCCCCUGAAACCUUUCUGUUAAUAUAAAAACUCUAAUCCUUGAGCAAAAGGUUAAAAAAAGAAAAAGAAAGAAUUCUCUGUUUAGAUAUCAGUUGGGUUAAGAACAAUGUUGUUUGUCUCCUGUCUUUUCUUUGUUUGUUUGUUUGUUUAUUUUGUCAUUUUAUUAGAUUUGCUUUGUAUCUAAUUUUACUUGAAGAUUAAAGCUGAGCGAGAAAUGCCUUUUUUUUUUUUCUGAAGCAACCUACAAAUUUUAGAAUAGGGCCAAGAGUAUUAAAGAUUCAAUUAACCGCAAAAAGUUAUUUACAUGCAUCGCUUGCAAACUUAAGCUUAUCAUCCCAAAUUGAGUUGCUUGCAUUAGAAAUUUUCAUGCAUUCACGAGCAUUAUCAUCAUAUCACAAGAUAGCCUGAAAAACAAGAUAAAUCAAUUUGAGCAACAAGUUUCCUCUGUUUUCGUUCCUCUGUUUUCAUUCCCUGUUUAUUGAUAUUUUUUUUUUUUUUUGGCCUGAAAUUAAGAAGAAAAAAGUGGUAAAACAAGUCACCACUGUUUUUAUUCCCCUGUUUUUCGUGGAAAGAAUAAAUGAAAUUGAAAAAAAAAAAAGCAGCGUUGGCAAUACAACAUGAAACUUUAAAUUUUUAUUUUAUUUUUAUUUUUGAUUUUGAAUGUGCAUAAGUCAAAUCAUAUAUUAUUGAUCUUACUUCGAUUAUUUGCUGUUUAGUUUCUCUCUUAAAUGCUUUUUGUUUGUUUCCGGUAUUUGCUUUUAUAAAAGUUUUAGUCCUCAAUCAUUCGUUCAAGGAUUUGCUUUCUCUUUUAUUAGGCAUUUACAUUGCUCUGUCGAUCAAUAUUCAUUUGAAUUUCACAGUACACAAGCAAUGUAUAUACCAAAACUUAAUUAUUUCUUUAGAAUAUAUGAAAACGUAAGAGUUGUGAACUACUGCUUUCUUCUUCAACAUGCGUCAACAGGGCAACAAUAACCAAAUACAUGAUAUACAAAAGCGGUGCAUGACUAAUUCUUUUUCUUUUGCAGGUCAUUGUUAUUGCUCUCGUCAACUUCUUUUCUCACACAUUUCCCAGCAGUUACCAGUGAUCUUUUUUCUCCUUCAACUUGUUCUUACAUAUUAAAGGCGAAAUAGAAAAGCUCACCAACUCUCUAAUCCCAGAUAAUUAAAGAGGUGCACGUUUUCUAAAUCCUUUAACUUUUUUUUUUUUUUUUUUUAUAGUAGAACCCCUGAUCCUUGAUCUUGACAUUUGUUCCUUCAUAAUUUCCAUCUACUUUCCAAGAAAAAUUUCUCUGGUUUGUUUUAAUAUUAUAACUUAUUUUGCAUGAGUUUUAAGUUACUAUUCAUUGUUAAAGCUUGUGCUCUUAUUAUUUCCUUUGGUUAACUUGCAUGCUUUUCCCCAAAAAAAAGAAAAAAGUUUAUAAAAAGAUUAUAGGUUUUUACUCAGACCCUUGAAACCUUUCUGAUAAUACCAAAAACACUAAUCCUUUAACAAAAGAAAGCAAGAAAAAAAAAGGUCCUAUAUUUUAAUAUCUGUUGGCUUUGUAUUGAUAUUGCUUGUUUGUUGUCUUUUAUUUCAUUGUUUGUAUCUAAGUUUACUUGAAGAUUAAAGAUCAGUAGGAAAAGCCCUUUUUAUAAAGCUAACAUACACAUUUUAGAAUAGGGCUCAACCGCAUGAAAAUAUUUACAUUGUAGUAUCUCAUAUUAAUAAUCUAAAAAAAACCAAUCCAACAAGUUCAAAUUCACUGAAAUCUAAAAAAGAUUGCUUUUAAGGAGUACAUGAUAGCUAUUGAAUUUUGGUUAAAGAUCUUUUAGGCAGAAUUGAAAUUCACUCAGUCAUAAAUCAACCAAUCCAACGAGUUCAAGUGCAGAGUCAAUUGAACAAAUUCAUCACUUGCAGAAUUAAGCUUAUCUUCCGCAAUUGAGUUGUUUCCAUUAGAAAUUUUCCCGCAGUCACGAGACUAUCAUCAGAACAUGAUUAUUUAUAUAAGAACAAGAGUUAAGAGGAGAAAAAUAAGGCAAAACAAGAUUCUUCUGUUUUCAUUCCCUUUUUUUUUUUUUUGUUUGGUGGUUGAAAAAUUUUAUCUCUAAAUUUUUAUAAUUUUUCGUUAAAGUUUAUAUUUAAAUAAAGGGUUAAAAAAAUCUAGUUCUAAAUUUAUGCAUUGAAUGAUUAUUAUUAUUGGUUACGAUAUCAAUUAAAUAACAAAUAGAGCUACUAAUCACUUUGUUAAAAAUGAACAUGCGUUCUGUUUAUAUGACAGAGCAAAACACGGGGUGCACGCUUAAGUCUUGUUCUUUUACAGUUCAAUUGUAUUACUUACUCUCAUAAACUCUUUACUCACAUUCCUCUGCAGUUAACCGUGAUCUUUUGCUCAUUAAAAUUUUUCUUAUAUAUUCAAUGCCAAUAGUGAAGCUCAUAAACUCUGUGAUCCUGAAUAAUAAAAGAGGUGAACUUGUUCUAAAUGAUAGCUAUUCAACUUGGUUAAAGAUCUUUUAGAAAGAGUUCAAAUUCAGUCAAUCAUAACUCAACCUAUCCAACAACUCCAAGUCUAGAGUCGAUUGAGCAAGAUUCAUCACAUGCAAAAUUAAGCUUAUCAUACCCAAAUUGAGUUGUUUCGGUUAGAAAUUUUCCAGCAGCCAUAAGCAUCAUCAUUGUGUUUCCGUUAGGAAAUUGAGUUGCUUAUCAUACCCAAAAUAUUUAUAUAAGGACAAGAGUUAAGGAAAAGAUCCCUCAAGGAAAAGGUCCCUCUGUUUUCAUUCCCCUGUUCUUUCGUUUAGUGAUUGAAAAAUUUUAUAUCUAAAUUUUAUUAUUUUCCAUUGAGGUUCAUUUAAAACAGAAAAGAAUUAAAAAUGUAAUUCUAAAUUUACCCUAAUUCACGGAGUGAUUAUUAUUAUGUUAUCUCAAAAUUGGCCAUACGAAUUAAAUGACUAAUAGAGUUAUUGACAAUUUUGUUAAAAAUGAACAACCGAUAAGUCAUUAUCUUUUGCACUUCAUUCUUAUUACUCUCAUAAACAUUUUAAUCACAUUUCUCUGUAGUUAACAAUGAUCUUUACCCAUUAAAAUUGUUCUUACAUAUUCAUGGCAAAUGAAGAAGCUCAUCAACUCUGUGAUCCCAGAUUAUUAAAGAGGUGCACAUGUUCUAAACCCUUUAAUAGUUUCUUUUGAUACCAUAAUCUAAUCCUUGAUCUUGAUAAUAGUGCUUUCGCAACAUCCAAGUAAAAAUUUCUCUUGUUUGUCUUAAUCUUGUCAUUUAGGUUUCUCGACUUUUAAUUUAUUAUUCAUUGUUGACUUCUGUGUUCUUAAUAUUAGCAUUCGUUAACUUACUUAAAUCCAUCCUUUUCAACAGCCAGAAAAAUAUAUAUUGUUAAGCAACAGGAGAUGGCAGAAGUAUGUCUUGCUAUUUUUUCCUGCGUAUCAGAAGGUACAAAGACAUUGUCUGAACCGAUUAUAGGGCAGAUGUCUUAUGUGCUCAAGUGCCAGAGCUACAUAGAUGGGCUAAAAGACCGAGUAGAGGAGCUGGGACAAAGAAGAAAAAGGGUGGAAAUACUGGUUGAUCAGGCUCCUGGACAAGGAUAUAAGAUUUUUGGGGAUGUCACAGAGUGGCUAGGGAAAGUUGAGCAAUUCACUCAAGGGUAUGCAAAACACAUCAUUAAUGAUGAAGAUGAAGUUAGGAAGCCCUGCUUUAAAGGAUUGUCCCCAAAUUUGAUGUCUCGUUAUAAACUCAGUAAACGAGCAGUGAAGGCUGCAAAAUAUGCUGAAACUCUCUUGGCAACAGGCAACUUAUGGAUCAUGAGUAAUGUUUCCCACCCUCCUUCCCCAAAGAUGAGAGAAUUUGGCAACAUGAAAGAUUACGAUAUCUUUAAUUCGAGAAAGAAAAUAUUUCAAGAUGUUAUAGAGGCGUUGAAAGAUGAUAAGCUCAACAUAAUUGGGGUCUGCGGAAUGGGCGGCGUGGGUAAAACCACGCUAGUCAAGCAAAUUGCAAAGCAAGUUAUGGAAGAUAACGUGUUCGAUAAGGUCGUUAUGGCUGAGAUAACAAAGAACCCAGAUGCUCAAAAAAUUCAAGGAGAACUCGCUUCCGAUCUAGGCAUGAACUUUGACUCGAAUGAUCACAUAUACCACAGAGCAAAACAACUAUGUCAAAGAUUGAAGAAAGAGAAGCGAGUCCUCAUUAUAUUAGAUAAUAUUUGGACAAAACUUGAGUUGGACAAAAUUGGAAUUCCUUAUGGGGAUGUUGAUGAGAAAGAUAAAAAUGAUGAUCCGAGAAGAUGACGAUAAUAUUGACGUCUAGAAGUCGAGAUUUAUUGUGCAUUGAUAUGAAUUCUCAGAAAAUGUUCUGGAUCGAUGCUUUAUCAAAAGAAGAAGCAUUGCAGUUAUUUGAGAAGAUAGUGGGUGAUUCCACAAAAGCAUCUGAUUUUCGACCUUUAGCAGAAGAGAUUGUUGGAAAAUGCGGAGGAUUGCCUGUUGCACUGAGUACAGUUGCAAAUGCUCUGAAAAAUAAGAGUCUUGCCAUUUGGAAGGAUGCGUUGAAUAAGCUGACAAGUUCCAAUCUAAGAGAAAUUCAUGGUAUGGAUGCAGAUGUGUAUUCUUCUAUAAAAUUGAGUUACGACUUCUUGGAUGAUGAAGCAAAAUCUUUGUUCCUUCUUUGUGGUCUGCACCGUGAAGGUCGUCCUAUACACGUACAUUACUUACUGAGAUAUGUUAUGGGAUUGAGAUACGAUAAGGGUUUGGGUCUAUUUAGAAAUGUUUACACAUUGGAAGCAGCAAGGAAUAGAGUGGAUGCAUUGAUCGACAAUCUAAAAGCUUCAUGCUUAUUGUUGGACGGUGAUGCUGAAGAUGAAGCUAAACUGCAUGACGUCAUUCAUGUUGUUGCUGCAUCAAUUGCAGAAGAAAAGCUUAUGUUUAAUAUUCCAAAUGUUGCUGACUUUGAGAGAGAGAUGGAAGAGACAAUACAGAAAGGUCCAAUUGCUAUUUCUUUACCUUAUAGAGAUAUUCAAGAGCUCCCUGAAAGGUUGGAAUGUCCCCAACUCAAGUUAUUUUUGUUGUUUGCAAAGUACGAUAGCACUUUGCAAAUUUCAGACCACUUUUUUGAAGGGACGGAAGAACUCAAAGUCUUAGAUUUUACUGGAAUUCGUUUCUCUCCAUUACCUUCAUCACUCGGUCGCCUCAUUAACCUUCAAACAUUGUGUUUAGAUGGUUGGCGACUAGAAGAUAUAGCAAUAGUUGGACAGCUAAAGAAAUUAGAGAUUCUCAGCCUUCGAGGUGCCGAAAUUAAGCAGUUGCCACUUCAGAUUGGACAAUUGACAAGGUUACAGUUGCUAGAUUUGAGCAAUUGUAGCAGCCUUGUGGUGAUAGCACCAAAUGUCAUAUCGAAAUUAUCUCGAUUGGAAGAACUAUAUAUGGGUGACAGCUUUUCACAGUGGGACAAGGUUGAAGGAGGAAGUAACGCCAGUCUUGCUGAAUUGAAGGGGCUGUCAAAGCUAACUACUUUGGAGAUAGAUGUUCGGGAUGCUGAAAUGCUGCCGCAGGAUUUGGUCCUUGGGGAAUCGCUAAGAUAUAGGAUAUGAAUAGGAGAAGUGUGGGGCCGCUGGUCUGUUAAAUCUGAAACAUCAAGAUUGAUGAAGCUUCAGGGGCUAGAAAAUAUUAGCAUUCUUUUGAGGAAUCAUGGAAUGAAAAUGUUGCUGAAGAAAACUGAAGAUCUCUAUCUACAGGAACUGAAGGGUGUAAAGAAUGUUGUUCCUGAAUUAGAUGAUGGGGAAGGUUUUCCACGAUUAAAGCAUCUUCAUGUAGGAAAUUUUGCGGAGCUUUUACAUAUUGUCGGUUCAAUUCAUUGCAAAGUCUUUCCCCAGCUAGAGUCAUUGUCUCUUUUUGGUUUGCUUAAUUUGGAGAAGAUAUGUUACAGCCAAAUCACAGAUCAAUCUUUUAUCAACUUAAGAAUCUUUAGCGUACGUAAUUGUAACAAAUUGAAGCAUCUCUUCUCAUUCUCUAUGGCCAAAAGCCUAUUGCGGCUUCAACAAAUAAAAGUGGGUCUUUGCAACAACCUGGAAAUGAUUAUUGGUAAGUGUUGGAAGUAUUUUGAGGAAUUAUAAAAAGCUACUAUUACUUAAUGACAGAAGUUAAUUAUUAAUUUUGUUUCUAGGACUCAACAAGGAGACAAGUAAUUUCGGUUUUAAAGAAAUCAUUGCAGAGGAUGAUCCUGUUCAGAAGGUGAUAAUUUAUGAUCCUGUUCAGAAGGUGAUAAUUUUCUCUUUAAUAAUUAAUUAAUAUAUUAUCAUGAUUUAUUUCAAUCAUCAAAAGAAUAUUAGAGAGAUAGGGAGGGGGAAAAAAAAAAAAGCUUACGGUUUUGCUUUGCAGGUCAUUCUUCCAGGCUUAGAGGAGUUGGAACUUGAUAGAUUAGCAACCAUUGAAAAAGUAUGGCCGGAUCAGUUUGAGGGAAUGUCUUGUUGUCAAAAUUUAACAAAAGUGACCGUGGAGAGGUGUCAUCGCCUGAAGUAUCUAAUAAAUUUGUUGACAUUCUCAAUGCCUGAAAGUUUUGUGAAUCUUGAAAUAAUGAAGAUAGUUGAUUGCAAAAUGAUAGAAGAAAUCAUAAAAUCACAGGUUGGAAUAGAAGCGAAACAUUGUAUUGUUUUUAGGAAAUUGAAGUACUUGAGGCUUGAUUGUUUGCCAAGCCUGACAAGCUUUUCUUCGAGUAAUUACACUCUUGAAUUCCCCUUCUUGAAACAAGUAGUUGUGAGACAGUGCCCAAAGAUGAAGAUUUUCUCUCAAGGAGGACUCUUACACACACCAAUGUUGAACAAAGUGCAACUCACUGAAGAAGACGAUGAUGAAGGGUACUGGGAAGGCGACCUCAAUAAUACCAUACAAAAGUUGUACUACAAAGAAGUGGUGAGUAUUAAUUAAGCAUUGGUGCUAGGCCACUAGCUUUAUUUUAUGAAUAACACAGGAGCCCUAACCACAUAAAAAUUAUCUUAUAUAAAGUGGUGAAAUAAUAUGGUAGGUUGACAUAUAUAUACAUGUAUGUAUGUAUGUAUGUAUCCACGUAUAUGGCCCAUGUUUUGUUUUACAUUUAACCAGUCAUAUUAUGUUACAUCAAUUUUUAUAACAUUAUUUAGAUAAUAGUGUCUGAAACUGUAUCAUUAUUCUUGAUUUAAUUUUGUUAUUAGUUUUUUUUUCUAUUAUUAGUAUUAUCAUUAAAAGGUAAACGUUUUCUUACCCACCUCAUAAAUUAGCAUGCUUUAUUUUGUCUUUAACUUAUUGAAAACAUUAACCCACGCCCAUUUAGCGUUAAAAGUACAAAAUGUUUGCCGAAGAAUAUCAUCAACACAGGCCCCUAUUCACGCUAUUCUUUUGGAUAGUAAAUGGGGGUGCGUUGAUGUUAUCAUUAAUUUGGUAGACAUCGGGAAACUGUAAUAAUAUAAAAAACAAUUGUGUGUGUCUAGUGAAUUUUUUUUUGGUUUGUGCAGGAUAGAGUUCGUGAAAUGACGAAGUUGGAACUCUCAAACUUUCCACGUUUCAGAGAAAUGUGGCAUGCCCAAGCACUGCCUGUUAGCUUCUUCAGCAAUUUAGUAAAGCUAGUGAUGGAUGACUUCAAGAAUAUGACUACUGCUAUUCCAGCCAAUCUUCUACGGUGCUUGAACAAAUUAAAAAUUCUGGAAGUGAGGAAUUGUGAUUCAUUAGAAGAGGUGCUCCAUUUAGAAGAGCUAAAUGUUGAUGAACAUUUUGGCCCUCUGUUUCCUGUUCUUGUCCAGCUAGAGCUCAUUAAUCUUCCAAAACUCAAAAGAUUCUGCAGCUUCAUUGGGAAUGUUAUUGAACUGCCUGAGUUGUUGAAUCUGAACAUUGAGAAUUGCCCUAAUAUGGAAAUAUUCACUUGCAAUUCUAUAUCUAUAUUGCACAGGACAACAAAUAAAGAACCUCUGGAAAUAACACCAAAGGAGAACUUCCCGCUAGCUGACAUACAGCCUCUCUUUGAUGAAAAGGUGAUUGUUAUUAAGUUUUUUUUUUUUUUUUCCUUCGCUUUCAUUCACAUAGAUGUAAUUCUCAUUAGAAUUAAAAUUAAUUUUAUUUAAUGAUCUUUCUGUUGUCUUUACUCUUUAUAUCUAAUCUAACGGUUCUAAUGCAGUUAUUAACUAAAAUUUCAGUAUACACUCAUAAAAAUGUCAUCAAAUUAGUUAAAUGAUUGGUAACAAGGGGUGAACUCUAUCCAUAUUAUCUCUAUUCAGAUUUGAUUUAUGUGCUUCAAGGGUAACUAUUUGAAUUUUAUUUUUUGGUUCCUCCGCAACUAAAUACAAUUUGGAUAUAAAAUGCUGUCGUCAAUCUUUUCCAUGAAACUGCUUACGAAGACUGCCGACGUUAGAUAUAUGUUCUCAUUUACAACUUUUUUUUUUCCAGGUUGCAUUCCCCAAGUUACAUAUGUUGAACCUGUCUAGAAUACCCAAGGUGUCGCAUCUAUGGAAGAAAAUUUCCGAAUCCAACGAAGUUUCCAAGUUUUUGAAUACUCUAGUAAUAUCAGAAUGUAGUAAGUUACGAAAAUUAGUACCAUCUUUGUUGCAUUUGGAAUAUCUGGCGACUCUAGAAGUGUCGAAGUGUCACGGGUUGACAAAUUUGUUGACGAUCUCAACAACUAAAAGUUUAGAACAUCUUUUAGUAAAUCUUGAAAUAAUGAAGAUAGCUGAUUGCAAAAUGAUAGAAGAAAUCCUACAAUCACAGGUUGAAAAAGAAGAAGAAAUCCUACAAUCACAGGUUAAAAAAGAGGAAGAUUGCAUUGUUUUUGGGAAAUUGAGGUACUUAGGACUUGAUUGUUUGCCAAGCCUAACAAGCUUUUAUUCGGGUAAUUACACUCUUGCAUUCCCAUCCUUAGAAGAAGUAGUUGUGAGACAGUGCCACAAGAUGAAGAUUUUCUCUCAAAAAGGGCGCUUACACACACCAAUGUUGAACAAAGUGCAAUUCACUGAAGAAGAUGAGGAUGAAGGAUGCUGGGAAGCCAACCUCAAUGAUACUAUAAAAAAAUGGUACUACAAAGAAGUGGUCAGUAUUAAUUAAGCAUUGGUGCUAGCUUUAUUUUAUCAAUAAUACUAGAGUCUCAACCUCUUAAAAAUUAUUUUAUACAAAAUGAUGUGAUAUAAUAUGGUAGGUUGUGUGUGUGUAGCCCGCGUUUUGUUUUUUGUUUAACCAAUCAUAUUAUUUUAUAUCAGCUUUAUAACAUUAUUUAGACAAUAGUGUUUGUAACUAUAUCUUUACUCAUUAUUUAAUUUUGUUAUUAGUUUUGUUACUGUUAUUAGUAUUAUUAGUAGUAUUAUUAUUAAAUGGUAAAUGUUUUUACCCAGUACCCACCUCAUAAAUUAACAUUCCUUAUUUUUGUCUUUAACUUAUUGAAAACAUUAACCCAUGCACAUUUAGCUUUAAAAGUACAAAAUGUUUGAUUAAGAAUAUCAUCAACACAGGCUCCUAUUCACUAUAUUCUUUGAAUAGUAAACGGGGUGCGUUGAUGUUAUCAUAAAUUUGAUGGACAUCUGGAAACUGUAGUAAUCUAGAAAACAAUUGUGUCCAUAUAUAUAUCCACUACAGUUUUCCUCUUUUUUUGUGGCUUUUGCAGGAUAGAGUUCGUGAAAUGAUGAAGUUGGAACUCUCAAGCUUUCCACGUUUGAGAGAAAUGUGGCAUGCCCAAGCACUGCCUGUUCGCUUCUUCAACAAUUUAGUAAAGCUAGUGAUGGAUGACUUCACGAAUAUGACUACUGCUAUUCCAGCCAAUCUUCUACGGUGCUUGAACAAAUUAAAAAUUCUGGAAGUGAGGAAUUGUGCUUCAUUAGAAGAGGUGCUCCAUUUAGAAGAGCUAAAUGUUGAUGAACAUUUUGGCCCUCUGUUUCCUGUUCUUGACCAGCUAGAGCUCAUUAAACUUCCAAAACUCAAAAGAUUCUGCAGCUUCAUUGGGAACGUUAUUGAGCUGCCUGAGUUGUUGAAUCUGAACAUUGAGGAUUGCCCUAAUAUGGAAAUAUUCACUUGCAAUUCUAUAUCUAUGUUGCACAGGACAACAAAUAAAGAACCUCUGGAAAUAACACCAAAGGAGAACUUCCCGCUAGCUGACAUACAGCCUCUCUUUGAUGAAAAGGUGAUUGUUAUUAAGUUUUUUUUUUUUCCCUUUGCUUUCAUUCACGUAGAUGUAAUUCUCAUUAGAAUCAAAAUCAAUUUUGUUUAAUCAUCUUUCUGUUGUCUUUACUCUUUAUAUCUAAUUUAACGGUUCUAAUGCUCUUAUUAACUAAAUUUUCACUAUACACUUAUGAAAAUGUCAUCAAAUUAGUUAGAUGAUUGGUAACAAGGGGGAGAACUCCAUCCAUAUUGUCUCUAUUUAGAUCGGAUUUAUGUGUUUCGAGGGUAACUAUUUGAUUUUUAUUUUUUGCUUCCUCUGCAAAUAAAUAGAAUUUGGAUAUAAAAAGUUGUGAUCAAUCUUUUCCAUGAAACAUGCUUGUGAAGACUGCCGAUGUUAGAUAUAUAUUCUUAUCUACAACUUUUUUUUUUAUUUAAUUUUCAGGUUGCAUUCCCCAAGUUAUAUAAGUUAAAACUGACUAGAAUACCCAAGGUGUCGCAUCUAUGGAAGGAAAUUUCCGAAUCCAACAAAGUUUCCAUGGUUUUGAAUACUCUAGUAAUAUCAGAAUGUAGUGAGUUACGAAAAUUAGUACCAUCUUUGUUGCAUUUGGAAUAUCUGAUGACUCUAGAAGUGUCGAAGUGUCACCGGUUGACAAAUUUGUUGACGACCUCAACAACUAAAAGUUUGGUGAAUCUUGAAAUAAUGAAGAUAGCUGAUUGCAAAAUGAUAGAAGAAAUCCUACAAUCACAUGUUCAAGAAGAAGGGAAAGAUUGCAUUGUUUUUCGGAAAUUGAGGUACGUGGGACUUGAUUGUUUGCCAAGCCUAACAAAAGCUCAUGCCUUGUUGAUGGAUGCUGUAGAAGAAGGACUAUAUUGUUGUAGCAACAAGCCUGCAGAAAAUCACAGAAUACUUAUCUGUAUAUGAACAAAAACAAGUCUGAACCAGAGAGAAUGUUGUAGUAACUAUUGCAAAAAUCUAGAUCAAAUACAAACAAAACUGUCUAGAUUGUUCAUGUGCUAACUAAUAAAGUCUACUGCAGUCGAUACUGAACUACCACUAUCAUGUGCAGACAACAGAGUGGCAGGCAGCACAAAAGGGAAUGUGCUCCUAGGAUGCCAAAAAACACAAGUGUCCUAAUGCUUUUUAGUUGCCCAAAUCCCAAGAUAUAAAAGACCAUAUUUUAAGGAAAUACAUCAUCCACGACCGACACAUGCAAAGAGAACAGAAAGAGAGAUUUCAGAGUUGCAAUAGAGGCAUUUUUCGUGUUGAAAAAUGAGAGAUAAUAGAAGAUCAAAGCAUGACGUUUUGGGUCUUUUGUAUCUCAACGUUUUUUCUUGUAUUUGUUUAUUUUGUUCUCUCUCUGAUAAUGUAUUUAAUGGCAGACACUUGUGUUGUUACUGUUUCAAAGCUCAUCAUGAGCUAAACCUUAAUUUAGUUGGGUUUUGAAUAUGCUUAAUGGUUAUUUAAUUUACAUGUGUAUGUUGCUCAGAACCUGUUAUAGCAUUUUGUUUUAACUUUACUUAUUGUAAUUGCCUACCUCGGUUGACUACCUAUUUAGUGGAUAUUAGAUAAGAAGGAGCCUAAAAGGUUUGACUUAGUGGAAUAAAUUAAGAAAUACAUGGUUCUAGAUUAGGAUUCCCAAGUUGAGUUAAUCUCGAUUUGAAUAGGGCCAUGCUUAAUCUAAGAUUAGUGAAGAACUAGAUUUAGGGAUUCACCUUGUAGGGCAAAUAGAGUCUAAAACAUAAAAUGCUAUGUCUAAUGUUAGUUUAAUAACUAAUCACUAUUAGAUUACAUAUAGAUAUAAGAUAUCCAAAAAACGACAGUUGAAGACGCUAUAACAACUGUGUCUCAAUUGAAAGAUAUUCAAUAACCAAUAAGUGAGUUUAGAACCCGACUACCCUUUUGCCAUUUAGUAUAUUUUUUUGUUUGACUUUAGAUUCUCUUUAUUGCAUUCUAUUUGUUGCAUUGUUAAUUUCAUUAGAUCAUUAAUAUCAUCAUUUAUUUUCUUUUAUUUAGUUUAUUAAAAUUGCACUGUUAAGAUUGCUAUAGUAAGUCCUAUAACAUCAAUCCAUGUGGAGACGGUUUUGAUACUCAUCAUUAUAUUAUUUCUUGUGUACACUUGUAUAUUGACACUUUACCAAGUUUUUGGCGCCGUUGCUGGGGAUUGAGUGUAACACCCCAGUCUGAAAUCCAAGGGCAAAUAUGUCCAUAACUCACAUAUGAAUUUAAAUAACCCUUUACAAUCGAAAAAAAUUCAAACCUCCAAUAUAAUAGGCAGCGGAAUAAUUUGAAAAUUUUGUCAAACCAUCUAUCAUCCUCAAUUCAAGUCUACCUUCUCACUCAUUACGAAUCAUUCCUGACUUUUGGAAACUGAAUCACAAUAAACUAUAAUGAGUACAAAACUCAGUAAGCAAAUUAGUUUUCUUAUACUAAAAUACAUCCAUACUUAUACAUAAUGCAAAUGGAUGAUAUGUCAUGAUCUUUUGGAAAUACUAUAAAACAAAUUCAUAAAAGUCUCUUUCUGUCGCUUUCAAACUUUCUCAUUUUCUUUCAAUAAAAUACGUAUCCUACAAUGUGGCACUUUGUGCUGUGCGUGGCACUUUGCACCAUGCGUGGUACUUUGCGGCGCUCUGGCCCUCAAGAGGUGGCCCCCGCAUAGUCUCAAGAGGUGGCCCCCAAUGUAAAAUCUCAUAAAACAAAAAUUCUGUUUGCUAAAAUUCACUUGUUCAUUCAUAGAAAACUCAAUGCAUUUUCGUGCUCAUGCUAAUGAACCAUCACACAUACAUAUGCCCAUGUACAUAAUCAUGCCCAUUACAUAACAACACAUCACAUAAACACAUGAGCAGAGACAUAUAAAUCCAUAUUCGUACAUAUCAAAAUAGGUUUUUCAUACAAGUCAAACAUAUAUAUUAUUUAUUGUGAUUCGUUUUAAAGUCUAGUUUACUUACCUCUUGGUAUCCUCAUGCAACAAAUGCAUAUUGAUAUCAUCAACCUUAAAUCAUCAAUAAAUUUCUCAUAAGAUAUAAUCAAGUCUCAAUCAUAAACUCUAAUGUCCUGAAGUAUCUCAAUUUAAAUGUCCUCAAUAAUCGGCCCUCAAAACAUAACAGUCCAUAUUUCUCCGAUUUUUAAUAAACUAUUCUCUUAUUGGAAGAAUCUAAAAUUUUACCGACCAUAUGCUGACACAUUGAAAGUUCAUUGAUAAAUAUUUCGUAACAUAAUUCCUUCAAAAACUAUUGAAAAUAACUGACGUUUCAGACAUCAUCAAUACUGUCAAACAGUUUUCUAUUUUGAACACACUUGCUUUAAAAAUACAAAACAAUUUAUUGCUUUAUCAUAAAAUCAUGAACAUUUUUAGAAUCAUACUAUACAUAUAUAUAAAUCAUUGGUCCAAAUUUCGUAAUUGUUGAAGAAGUCUAGCUAUGGUAAAAAUAAUUUCGUAAUUUACGUUAUUCACUGAAAUCAUAAAUUUCCAGGUUUUCAGGCUUGAAUUUGAAAAAUCGUAAUUAAUUGAAAUCUUAUCUGAUUAACUUGAAACAAGUUUCAAAACAUUCUAAACGAUAUCUAGUUUAACAUACCCAAAAAUCAGAAUCAAAAUCAACUUGUACAAAUUACUAUGAUUUCCGUAAUAAUUCACUGUCAGCAUAUUUCUGCAAAAUCUUAGAUUUCUACUUCUAUUGCAAUAAUGCUUCUCCACAACAAUUUAAUAGAGACCAAUAAUUAAAACUUACCUCCAAAACUUCUCCCAACAAUAAAAACUUAAUUCCAUGUGUUGCCUAUGGCAGAACUAAGAAGAAGAAGAAGACUUCUUCUUUUUUUCUUUUCUUGAUUUUCUCUCUUGUCUCUCCAUCUCUCUCUCUCUCUCUCUCUCUCUCUUUUCUGUCGUUUUUUUUUUGCAACCGAUCCCUCUUUUCCUCUCUCUCUUAUAAUAAAAAAGACAUCUUGUUCUAUUUAUACUAGGGCAAAAAAGGAUCACUAAAAAUUAAAAAGAGUUAAAUACCCUUAGGAGAUUUGGAAUAUUACAUUGAGUGCAUAUUGUGAGUUUUUAAGUUAAUUUUUUUUCUUUUAAUUUGUUUGUUGUGUUAACAUAAUGCUUUAGCAACCCUUGCAUGCUCAAGUAUAAACCUGUUGAAUUUUAGUUUGAUCCAAAAAUUGAAAGAACUGCAAGGAGGCUAAGAAAAGAGCAUAGAGGUUUAGGAUCUGUUGCAGACAUGGAUGGUUUGUAAAAUGUGGGAGAUUUGAAUCCCCAAGGAGGAAUGAAUCCAAUUAAUGUUCAAAGAGAUAAUCCUCUUCCCAUUUUAGAUCUAGUUAAUGCACAAAGAGUUCAAGAAUGUCAGUACGGGUAGAUUGGUCAAGGGCAACUAGAGAAUAACAACAUUUUCUGCAUGACAGUUGAUAAAGAAAAUGUUGUUAGGGACUAUAUAGUGUUAACCCCUCAAACUAUAAAUCCUGGAAUAGUCAAACCCAAAGUUCAGGCUGCUCAUUUUGAGCUCAAACCAGUAAUGUUUCAGAUGUUACAGAAAGUAGGAUAGUUCAAUAGACUACCAUCAGAAGAUCUUCAUCUUCACCUUAAACUAUUUUUGAGGUGAGUGAUGCUUUCAAGAUUGCUGGAGCAUCACAUGAGGCAUUGAGGCUAAUACUCUUAAUUUUCUUUGAAGGAUCGAGUAAGAGAAUAGUUGAACUCUUUACUACAUGAUUCAAUCUCUACAUGGAAUACCUUAGCUGACAAAUUUUUGAUAAAGUAACCUACCAAGAAUGCAAAGUUGAGGAUGAGAUCACAUUUUUCCAUUAACUUAACGAUGAAAGCUUCUAUGAUGCUUGAGAAAGAUUCAAGGAGUUGUUUAGGAAAUAUUCUCAUGAUGGUAUCCCUUGUUGUAUACAGUUGAAAACUUUCUAUAAUUGUCUAAAUUCAAGCACUAGAUUGAUGGUAAACACUUCAGGAAGUGGGGCCUUGUUAUCUAAGUCUUACAAUGAGGCUUAUGAUAUUUUGAAAAGGAUAGCCAAUAACAACUAUUAGUGGCCAUCUACCAAACAAACUACAAUAAGAAGAAUAAUAGGAGUUUACAGUGCAGAUGCCUUGAUAGCAUUAUCAGCCUAAGUAACCUUAUUGAUAAAUAUGGUAAAGGAUAUAUCCACUGUUCCAGCAACUAUCAACAAAGUUGUUAAGGCAUCAUGUAUUUAUUGUGGAGAAGGAAAUUUAUUUGAUAGUUUUCUUAGAAAUCAUGCCUCAGUCAACUAUAUGGGCAAUUAUAACAGACAGAACCACAUCAACCCUUAUUCAAACACUUACAACCCUGGAUGGAGGCAGCACCCAAACUUUUCAUGGAGCAAUCAGAAUCAGAAUCAAUAUGUUGUAGAAUCUAGUGGACAAAAUAGACUUGCUCAACCAUUUAGAUUUCAUCAGCAAAAUCAAGGGCGAAGAGACACCAACAAUGAUCAACCCAACUCCCUUGAAGCCUUAAUUAAGGAGUACAUUGUGAAGAAUGAAACAUUUAUCUAAAGUCAAGCUAUUUCCUUAAGAGACCUAGAAAAUCAGAUGGGACAAGUUACUAUAGUAUUAGGUAACAGACCUCAAGAUAAUUUACCAGGCAAUACAGAGGACCCAAGAAGAGAAUGGAAAGAGCAUUGCAAAGUAAUUAACUUAAGAUCUAGAAAGGAUGUUCACAUUCUAGUUGGUGUACUAAAAAAAAGAGUUGAGCCCACUUCAAUCUAAGAAAAAACUCAAGUUGAAGAAGAUCCAUAACCCUCUACUUCACAGUACACAGGUGAAAACAGCAAAGCACACCAAUCCAAUACUUUACAAAAAAUGAUUAUCGAAUACCUAUUGAUGAAGAUCUUGCACACUAACCACACCAAUCCAGAACAUGGCAAAAGUGAAGCAGUUUGCACAACCUUCUACAACUCAGCCGUUUAGGCACCCACCACCCUUUUCUUAAAGGUUCAAGUGACAGAAACAUGACAAGCAGUUCAGUAAAUUCUUUGAAGUGUUGAAGCAAUUGUAUAUCAACAUCCUUUUUAUGGAAGGUCUAGAGCAAAUGCCAAAUUAUGUGAAGUUCUUGAAGGAUAUUUUGACAAAGAAAAAAAGGCUAGAAGAACUUGAAAUAGUUUCUCUAACACAAAAGUACAACCACAUGCAUCAGAAUAAGAUACCUCAGAAAUUGAAGGAUUCAGAAAGCUUCACAAUUUCAUGCUCUAUAGGCAAUAAAUACAGUGACAAGACACUUUGUGAUUUAGGAGCCAGCAUUAAUCUCGUGUCCUUAUCUAUAUUUAAGCAAUUGGGUGUUGGAAAGGUCAGACCAAUAAUAGUUACCUUACUACUUGCUGAUAGAUCUCAUGCCUAUCUAGAUUGAAGAUGUACUGGUGAAAGUAGAUGAGUUUAUUUUUGCAGUUGACUUCAUAGUAUUGGAUUUUGAAGCAGAUAAAGAAGUGUUUAUCAUUUUAGGUAGACCUUUCUUGUCUGCUGGUAAGACUCUAAUUAAUGUGUAAAAAGGAGAACCAACCGUGAGGGUUAAUGAUCAGUAAGUUACAUUCAAUGUGCUAAAUGCCAUGAAGAGUCCUGAUGAUGUUGAAGAUUGUAAUUUUGUUAAUGUUGUGGAUUUUACUAUAGUAGAAAGAUUAAACAGUUGCUGCAGCAGAAAGAUUAAACAGUUGCUGCAGCAAAGAAGAAAUCAAGGUUGCAAGAUUUAAAGAACUUGAUGAUAAACCUCAAGGCCUUGAAACAACUGACAUAACAUGGCUAGAAGAAAAACAACCCUUCAAAACUGAGAAGCAAAUUAAAUAUCUUGACCUUCAAAUAGGGAUAUAAAAUAUUCUAUUUCUUUUAUUAAGUCCUCAUAUUUUAGAAUUAAAACUUUUACCUUUACACUUGAAAUAUGCUUAUCUUAGUGACCGUGAUCAACGUCAUGUAAUCAUUUCAUCAUCUUUGAAUGCAGAACAAGAAAAUAGCUUAGUUUUUGUAUUAGGGAAACAGAAGAAGGCCAUUUGAUGGACCAUGACAGAUAUCAAAGGAAUCAGCCUCUCAAUAUGCAUGCACAAGAUUCUACUGGAGGAUAGUUAUGGCAAUUCUCUAAGCAAUUGAAAAGAUUAAAUCCUAUCAUGAAGGAAGUUGUAAAGAAAGAGAUCAUCAAAUGGCUUGAUGUUGGAAUCAUCCACCUAAUAUCAAACACCUCAUGAGUGAGCCCAAUACAAUAUGUUCCAAAGAAAAUUGGAGUGACAGUUGCAGAAAAUAAAAAGAACGAGUUUAUUCUUAUAAGAACUGUAAAUGGAUGAAGAGUCUGUAUAGACUACAUAAAGCUAAAUAAGACCACAAGGAAGGAUCGCUUUCCACUGCCUUUCAUAGAUCAGAUACUGGAUAGACUCGCUAGAAAGGAGUAUUAUUAUUUCUUAGAUGGAUACUCAGGAUACAACCAUAUUGACGUAGCACUAGAAGACCAGGAGAAGACAAAAUUCAUUUUUCCUUAUGGAACCUUUGCCUUUAGAAAGAUGCCAUUUGGCAUGUGCAAUGCUUCACCAACUUUCCAAAUGUGUAUAAUGUCCAUCGUUUCAGAUAUGAUUGAGCAAAUACUUGAGGUAUUUAUGAAUGAUUUGUUUCAGUUUUUGGGGAAUCAUAUGAUGACUAUUUGUAUAAUUUAAAAAAUAGACUUAGAAGAUGUAAAGAGACAAACUUAGUAUUGAAUUCGGAAAAAUGUCAUUUCAUUGUACAAGACGAGGAUAGUCCUAGGCUAUAAACUCUCUAAAAAAAUGAUAGAAGUGGAUAAGGUAAAAAUAGAGGUGAUUAAUAAACGUCUAUUAUCCACUUCAGUUAAAGGCAUAAGGAGUUUCUUGAGGCAUGCUGGAUUUUAUAGAAGGUUUAUUAAGGAUUUCUCCAAAAUAUCAAAACCUUUAUACAUGUUGUUGGAGUGUAACAAACCUUUUAAUUUUGAUGAUGAUUGCUUGAAGGCCUUCGUUGAGUUAAAGAGAGCUUUUGUUACAACACAAGUUGUUGUAACACCUAAUUAGAGUAUGCCUUUUGAGUUGAUGUGUGAUGCUAAUGAUCAUUCGGUUGGAGCAGUGUUAGGGCAAAGAAAAGGCAAGACUUUCCAUUCCAUUUAUUAUGCCAGUAUGACUCUAGCUAAUGCAAAUUCAACUAUACCACAACUGAAAAUGAGAUGCUGACAAUUGUAUUUGUAUUUGAUAAAUUUAGAGCCUAUUUGGUUGGCAGCAAAGUGACUGUUUACAUAGAUCACUCAGCCAUAAAAUAUUUGACUCCAAAGAAAGAUGUCAAACUAAGGCUAAUCAAGUGGAUUCUCUUCCUACAAGAGUUUGACUUAUAGAUCAAGGAUAGAAAAUGAACGGAGAAUUAAGUAGCAAAAUAUCUUUCAAGGCUUGAAGUAGAUGCAAGCACUUUGACCAAGCAGGAUAUCAUAGAAAUAUUUCCUUAUGAGCAAUUGUUCAUAUUGCAGCAUGCACAGAUGCUGCAGUAAUCUGAAUUUCCAUGGUUCACGGAUUUUGUUAAUUUUCUAGAAAGUGGAUUGCCACCACCUAACUUGAGCUACCAGCAAAAGAAGAUAUUAAUUUAUCCAUGAUGUCAGAAGCUAUUAGUGGGAUGAGCCCUACUUGUACAAGAUGUGUUUGUUAACAUAUAUGUUUCCAUAAUAUUGAUUUUGAUGAUAACAAACAAGAUUAAGAAUGAUUAAUCUUUUAAGCUCAAAUUAUUUUUAUACUUUUUAAAUAAAUCAUUAUUUUUACAUUAUAAAAGUUUUAUAUUUAAUGGAAAAAUGAUUUUAUGAAAUUGAUUGUUUUUAUUCUUUUUAAAUAAAUCAUUAUUUUCACAUUAUAAAUGUUUCAUAUUUAAUGGAAAAAAGAUUUUAUGAAAUUGGUUGUUUUUCAAAGUUUAUGGUUUAAUUGAAAGAAUUUUGAAAACUUUGAAAUAAACAAGUAUUGCUUGAAAUUUUGGAGAAGGACUUAUUUGAAAAGUGUCAUAGCUUUUUGGGCUAUAUCAUAAUUUCAAAAAGUUUUGGGAUUAACAAAGCAUUACUUAGAAAUUCUGAAAUUGGACCUAUUUGCAAAGUUUCAUGACGUUUUGGGCCAUAGUAUAGUUUUAUAAAGUUUUGGGGUCAAACCAUAAUUUCAGAAAAUAGUGCACUGUGAAGGUUACUGUAGCAUCCGGCUUAUCGGAUAUAAAAACCAAAAAACUGGAUACGGGGCAGAAUGUAUCCAGAACGUAAACGGCUUACCGGAUUUCGUAACCGGCAAGCCGGAUAGGCAAAAUUCAAAUUUUUGCCUUAAUGGUAACAUAAAUCCGGCUUACCGGAUUCCAAAAACGGCAAACCCGAUACGUCCAGAAUGUGCAUAACGGCUAGUUUUUGAGUUCAAACUAUAUAAACUCAAAACCAAUUCAUUUUUCGUAAUCCAAGCAAGCAAGAACAAGUGCACACAACAUAUAUUAAGCUUCAAUUUCGUAACUCAUCAUUUAUUAAAUCAUCUUUGUUCUUCAAUUUGUAUAUCCACUCUUAAAGAGAGAUUCAUUGUUGUAUUUUUCAUUUCUCAUUAAAUUGUGAGUGUACAAGUGUGAGAAACACUUGGAGUGAAGAGAUUGGAGAGAUAAUCUCUUGUUGUAAAGGUUCAUUGACACCUUAAAGUCAAUUGUAAACGUUUGAAGCCUUGGAAAGGCUUGGAUAGUGAAAUCCUCAAGCCCGGUGUGCUUGGAGGCGUGGACGUAGGCGGGGAUUGCCGAACUACGUAAAAAUCCUUGAGUUUGCUUUCUCUUCCCUUGCUCAUUUAUUAUUGUGCUUUCAUUGAAUUUAUUGUUUUCGAAUUUAUUAAGGAAUUAGAUUGGAUUUGUGUGUGGUUUGCUUAGCUUAAUUUUUAAAAAUCCAAUUCACCCCCCCUCUUGGAUUGCCUAGUUAGUAUUUCAUUUGGUAUUAGAGCGAGGUGCUCUUGUGUAAACUUAACCGUCUAGAGUUAAAGAUCCAUGGAAACCCAUAAUGACUCAAUCUUUAGGGAAGGACAAUCCACAAUUAGACCACCGUUCUUUGACGGUAAUGACUACCCAUAUUGGAAAACUAGGAUGAGAAUUUAUUUACAAGCUUUAGAUUAUGAAAUUUGGGAAAUUGUUUGUGAUGGUCCAUUUAUGCCUUUGACUAAAAAUGAAGUCGGGGACGAUAUUCCAAAACCUUCACAGGAAUGGAAUGAAUUGGAAAAGAAAAAAUCUACUCUAAAUUCCAAAGGUAUGAAUGCCUUGUUUUGUGCACUAGAUAAGAAAGAAUUUCAUAGAGUUUCUAGUUGUGAGAGUGCUAAUGAAAUUUGGCACAAACUUGAAGUUGUUUAUAAAGGCACAAAUCAAGUGAAAAGAGUCUAAAAUUAGUAGGUACACUCGGCAAUAUGAAUUAUUCCAAAUGGAACAAAAUGAGAGUGUGUAUUCUAUGUAUACUAGAUUUACGGACAUAGUGAACACUCUAGGAGCCCUAGGAAAGACUUUUUCAAAUAGCGAUAAGGUUACGAAAACUAUUAGGUCGCUACCUAAGGAAUGGAGACCAAAAAGGACUGCUAUUGAGGAAGCUAAGGAUUUAAAUAUCUUACCUAUUGAUGAUUUAAUUAGUUCUCUUAUUUCUUAUGAGGAAGACUUGGCAGCCGAAAGAGGCAAUAAGGAGAAGAAGAAAAACAUUGCUCUCAAAGCCUCGAAACAAGAGAGUGAUGAGGAAAGCGAGCUGGAUGAGGAGGAGAUGAAUAUGUUGGCUAGGAGGUUCAGAAAACUCUUUAAGAAAUCCGGUGAGCGAAGAAAAUUUAAAGACCUCAAGAACUGAAAGGAGAAGAAGGAAUUAAUCAAAUGUUAUGAGUGCAAGAAGCUUGGCCAUAUAAGAACGGAAUGUCCUCUUCUCAACAAGCUCAAGAAGAAAGCAAUGGUUGCCACAUGGGAUGAUAGCGAUGAGGAAACAAGUGAUGAUGAAGAGAAUCAAGAAAUGACAAAUCUAGCUCUCAUGGCAAUUGGAGAUGAAUCGGAUGAUGAACUUGAUGAGGUAAAUGAUCUUUUUACUUAUGAUGAAUUAUAUGAUGCUUUUAAAGAAUUGCAUGAUAAUUGGAUAAAAAUUGGUAAAAAGAAUGCAUGUCUUAAAAAGAAAAUGGUAGAGCUCAAAAAUGAAAAUGAAUCUCUAUGUGCAAAGAUUACAUGCCUAGAAUUAGAGAAUAAAACAUUGCAUGAUAGAGUUGCAUUAUUUGAGAAUUCUAGCACUUUACAUGAGCACUUAGAGUCACACAUGAAUGACUUGAAAAAUGAGAAUGAAAUGCUUAGAAAGAAGAGCAAUGAGUUAAAUGAGAUUGUUUUAAAAUUUACAGAUGGACAAAAGAUGUUGGAUAACUUGAUUAAUUCUCAAAAAUGUGUGUUUGAUAAAGGAGGUAUUGGUUAUAAGCCAAAUUUGAAACAAAAAUAUUAUAAAAGUUAUUUUGUUAAAACUACCUCCAUUAAUAAUCAAAUUGUAUGUCAUUAUUGCAAUCAAAAUGGUCAUAUGAAGAAUAGAUGUCCAAUUAAAAGAAAUGUGUAUUAUGGAGUAAAAUGUGUUUGGGUUCCAAAAGGAACCAUUGCUAACACUCAAGGACCCAAGAGCAUUUGGGUACCAAAGGGCACAACUUGAAUAUUCUUUUGUAUGUACCACAAACAAGGAAUGGUGGAGAGUUCCUUGAUGAAGCUUGUGAGGAUAAUCAUUUGAGCAUGAUCUAGGAGAAAAAGAUGAGGCAAGAUGAUUUAAUUGUUUUGGUAAUAAUUCUUGCCAUAUUAAUUUUGUUGAAUGGAUCAUGAUAAAUGGAUAAUAGCUUGAAUUUGUGAAAGUAUACUUGUAUGUUUACAUGAUAGAAUUAUCAUUGUGUUUAACAUUGAGUGCUUUAUCAUAAUGCAUGGUUAUAUAUAUAAGAUGAUAGCUUGUCAACUCAUCAUGAUAGCUUUGUUUGAUUUUGAUGAUUAUGUAAUGCCUAAGCUUGAUAAAUGAAUGAUAUGCUUGAAUUAUUAAUCUUUGAAUGCUUAUAUGUUUCAUGAUUGUGUAAAAUAUAUACAUGAUGAAUGAAUUAUAUGUGUAAAUUCUUGUGUCGUUAAUUGUGUUAUAUCAUCAUUCACUUAUAAAAUUGACAUCAUUGGUUGAUAUGAUUUCAUAUGUUUGGUCUUGUAUGCAUUUAUGUCUCAUGUAUUAAAUGACUUAUUGAAAAGUUUUAAAUCUCGAAAUGAUUUAAAAUUAAUCAAUUUUUAAAGCCAAAAAUAAAAUGGUGAGUGUAAUACAAGUAUAAGAGCUAGCCAAUAUUCAAUUAGAGCCAAAUAGAUUUCCAAGUCCAAACCGGUAAGCCAAAUCAUCUUUUGUUGCUCUCGGGUUAUCAUUCGGAUAACCGGAUUUUCAAUCCGGAAAACCGGAUUUGCUAAGCCUUCUCUCUGCCUCAAAACCGGAUAACCGGUUCUUAAAAUCCGGAAAACCGAAUUCAAGAGGAAACUUUUUGCCUCAAACCGGACUACCGGUUAGCAAAACCGGAAAGCCGGAUUCGCUUGAAAAGCUUACUGGAACAAAACCGGAUUUCCGGUUAUGCAUAUCCGGCACGUCGGUUUCGGGUUUCAUCUUUCUGCUCACAACCGGCUAGCCGGUUAGUGAAAUCCGGCAAGCCGGAUUCGUGAGCUUUUAGCUUUGUUCUUCCUCUUCCUCUCAUUCGGCUUUCCGUUUCUCUCUCUCUCACUAAAAGCUGAUUACUCCUCACUUGAUUUCAUUCCAAAAUCCAUCAAUCUCAUCCUUUUUCACUUCAAAUCCUUUAUGCUUGUAUUUGAACACACCAACAUUUACUAUUUUUUUUGGAUUAUAUGGAUGUUUGCUAUGAUUUUGGAUUAUAUGUCUAUUUUGAAUUAUAUGGAUUUGAUAUAGUUAUAUGUUAUGUUCUUUACUUAUGUUUUGGAUAAUAUGCAUUUUGAAUUUUUUUGUUGUCCAAAGGGGGAGACAAAAUAGUAUAUCAUUUCGAUGUUAUCAAAAGGAGGAGAAUAAUAUGCUUUUUGAGUAAUUGUUUUGAUAAUUGGUAUUUGAUUAUGAUGAUGAUUUUGAUGAAUUUGAGAUAAUGAUGAUUUGAUUACAUGGGUGUUUUAUAUGAUAAUUUCAUGUUAUGAGUUGUUGAUUUGGUAAUUAAUGGAAUAAUGGUUCAUGAUAUUUUAGUGUGAUUAUUUGUGUAUGGAGUUGGCUUUUAUCAUGAUUUAUAAUAAUUUGGAUGUGAUAUUACUAAUCUUGUAUUUGAGGUGAUGCUUGUUGUUAGGGAGAGAUUUUGUUGAAAUUUCUAUUCGGACAACAUUGGUAACAAAUUUGCUACUCUUAUUCUUUUCCUUUAAGUUUUAUUUUUGAUGAUGAAGGGGGAGAAGAAUACAUGUUUUUAAAUUUAUAAAAAUUUACUACUCUUUUUUCUUUGCCAAUUAAGUUUUCUUUUUGAUGAUGAAGGGGGAGAAAAAUCCAUGUAUUUAAAUCGUUAAUUUAGCUAAUUGGCAAAUUGUAAAAGAGGAUUAUAUUUAGGGGGAGCAAUUGUGGAAUCAUUCUUUAAAUACAUGAAAUGUUUGUCAUCAUCAAAAAGGGGGAGAUUGUUAACAUAUAUGUUAACAUAAUAUUGAUUUUGAUGAUAACAAACAAGAUUAAGAAUGAUUAAUCUUUUAAACUCAAAUUAUUUUUUAUACAUUUUAAAUAAAUCAUUAUUUUUACAUUAUAAAUGUUUUAUAUUUAAUGAAAAAAUGAUUUUGUAAAAAAUGAUUGUUUAAAUACAUGAAAUGUUUGUCAUCAUCAAAAAGGGGGAGAUUGUUAACAUAUAUGUUUCCAUAAUAUUGAUUUUGAUGAUAACAAACAAGAUUAAUAAUGAUUAAUCUUUUAAGCUCAAAUUAUUUUUAUACUUUUUAAAUAAAUCAUUAUUUUUACAUUAUAAAGGUUUUAUAUUUAAUGGAAAAAUGAUUUUAUGAAAUUGAUUGUUUUUAUUCUUUUUAAAUAAAUCAUUAUUUUCACAUUAUAAAUGUUUCAUAUUUAAUGGAAAAAUGAUUUUAUGAAAUUCGUUGUUUUUCAAAGUUUAUGGUUUAAUUGAAAGAAUUUUGAAAACUUUGAAAUAAACAAGUAUUGCUUGAAAUUUUAGAGGACUUAUUUGAAAAGUGUCAUAGCUAUUUGGGCUAUAUCAUAAUUUCAGAAAGUUUUGGGAUUAACAAAGCAUUACUUAGAAAUUCUAAAAUUGGACCUAUUUGUAAAGUUUCAUGACGUUUUGGGCCAUAGUAUAGUUUUAUAAAGUUUUAGGGUCAAACUAUAAUUUCAGAAAAUAGUGCACUGUGCAGGUGACUGUAGCAUCCGGCUUACCGGAUAUAAAAACCAGAAAACUGAAUAUGGGGCAGAAUGUAUCUAGAACGUAAACGGCUUACCAGAUUUCGUAACCGGCAAGCCGGAUAGGCAAAAUUCAAAUUUUUUCCUAACGGUAACAUAAAUCCGGCUUACCGGAUUCCAAAAACGGCAAACCCGAUACGCCCAGAAUGUGCAUAACGGCUAGUUUUUGAGUUGCAUAACGGCUAAUUUUUGAGUUCAAACUAUAUAAACUCAAAACCAAAUCAUUUUUAGUAAUCAAAGCAAGCAAGAACAAGUGCACACAACAUAUAUUGAGCUUCAAUUUCGUAACUCAUCAUUUAUUAAAUCAUCUUUGUUCUUCAAUUUGUAUAUCCACUCUUAAAGAGAGAUUCAUUGUUGUAUUUUUCAUUUCUCAUCAAAUUGUGAGUGUACAAGUGUGAGAAACACUUGGAGUGAAGAGAUUGGAGAGAUAAUCUCUUGUUGUAAAGGUUCAUUGACACCUUGAAGUCAAUUGUAAACGUUUGAAGCCUUGGAAAGGCUUGGAUAGUGAAAUCCUCAAGCCUGGUGUGCUUGGAGGCGUGGAUGUAGGCGGGGAUUGCCGAACCACGUAAAAAUCCUUGAGUUUGCUUUCUCUUCCCUUGCUAAUUUAUUAUUGUGCUUUCAUUGAAUUUAUUGUUUUCGAAUUUAUUAAGGAAUUAGAUUGGAUUUGUGUAUGGUUUGCUUAGCUUAAUUUUUAAAAAUCCAAUUCACCCCCCCCCCUCUUGGAUUGCCUAGUUAGUAUUUCAGUGUUCAGACUAGAUAAUUAGAAGAUAUGUCCCUGACGAAGAGAUUUCAAGCAUUUUAUAGUCUUAUCUUGCUGCAGUAUAUGGUAGACACUUUGGAGGACACUAAAUAGCAGUAAAAGUUUUUCAAUCAGGUUAUUACUAGCCCUCCAGCUUUAGAGAUGCUUACAAGUUUGUUAGUGCUGUGAUAGUUGUCAAAGAGCAUGAACCAUUUCUAAAAAACAUGAAAUGCCACUGACCAAUAUUUUAAAAGUUGAGCUUUUUGAUAUAUAAGGGAUAGACUUUAUGAAGUCGUUCUCACAAUCUUUUAGAAACUUAUAUAUCUUAGUUGUUGUGGACUAUAUGUUGAAAUGGGUAGAAGCUACAGCAUUGCCAACAAAUGAUGCCAAGGCAAUGGCAAAUCCUUUAUAGGAAUAUUUUCACAAGAUUUGACACCCCAGAGUUGUCAUCAGUGAUGAAAGAAGCCAUUUUUGCAACAGGAUAUUUGCUGUAGCAUUGGCUAAGUAUAAGAUCAAGCUUAAAGUUGCUACAUCAUAUCAUCCACAAACGAGUAGUCAGGUAACAUUGUCCAAUAGGGAGAUCAAAAAGAUUUUAGAAAAAGAAGCGAAUCUUAGUAGAAGGGAUUGGUUUACUAGACUAAAUGAUUCUCUAUGGGGUUACAGAACUACUUACAAGACAUCACUUGGCAUGUCUCCAUACAAACUUGUUUAUGGCAAAGCUUGCUAUUUGUUGUUAGAACUGGAGCAUAAAGUAUAUUAGGCAGUUAAACAACUGAACAUGGGUAUGCAUGCUGUAACAGAGCAAAGGAGGCUACAACUUUUUGAGCUAGAUGAGUUGAGGUUAUUCUUCUAUGAAAAGGCAAGAAUCUAUAAGGAGAGAACCAAGCAAUGGUAUGACAAGAAAAUCCAGUAAAGAGAACUCAUUACAGGCCAACAAUUAUUGCUUUACAACUCUAGACUGAAGCUUUUCCAUGAAAAUUUAAAGUCUAGAUGGUUAGGAUGCUUCAAACUCGUCAAGGUUUAUCUUUAUGGAGUUGUUAAUCUUAAAGAUGAAAGAACUGGUUAAGAAUUCAAGGUUAAUGGGCAUAGAGUGAAGCAUUAUAUGGGAGCUAAGGUGAACAACCUAAACGAGGAUCCGGUUUGAGUAAACAAGGAAGGUGAGAAUGAAGAACCUAAAACCAAGUGCUAAUUAGAAGGGAACUAAAUGAGGGGAAGUUUAUUUUGAAUUUUUAAUCACUUUAAUUUCACUUUUGUUGUUAUUAAGUUUAUUUCUCUAUUUUGUUUUAAUUUAUGCGACUAAUUUCUAUGUUUUUUUUGUCCUUCUCCCUCUCUUUUUGAAUGUUUAAAAUUUUUAAAAUCUUUAAAUUAAUUUUAUCUCUUUCUCUCUCUAUUAUCUUUCUUUAUAAAUUUAAGCUUUUCACUGUUUCACUUUUCACUACCAAUCUCUCUUCCUCUACUGUAAUUUUUAAAAUUAUGCUCUCUAUUUCUCUCUCUCUCUCUCUCUCUCUCUCUCUCUCUCUCUCUCUCUCUCUCUUACACACACUCAAAGUCCCAAUCUCUCAUUCUAACGAAACUCCUUUAAGUGUUGCAGCAAUACUGAGAGUCAAGGCACCUACUAAAAGGUUGAAGGACUAAAAAAGAUUCCAAAAUCACAAAGUUGAAGAGAAGUAUAAUAAGUCCAUAAGAUCUCGUAUAAUUUUAGAAGAGAAUGGUUUUGAAAUUUGUUGAACAACCCACUGGCCUUAUCAGCAUCAUUCUCAUAACUGCUAUAAAAAGGGGGUGGAUCAAAUGAUCCAAGUUGUAAAGGAAUUUUAUUCUAACUUGCUGGAGCAAAUCCAAAUUCCUUAAGACUCUAGGGUGAUAAAUGUCUUUUAUGGUUUGCCCCUACUAUUAAUUGUGAAUACGCUGAAUUUAUUAAGAGCAUAACUAUUAAGAAAUAGAGGGAGAUGUUUAAAGCAUUAAUUGUGGAAGGAAGUGAGUAGGUUAAUGAAGAAGCUGGGAUUGUUAAUAGGAUUGGCCUUAAAUUGAUUAUAAAGGUUUGGGUGAACUUUAUAAAGUCUAGGCUUAUGCCCACCACGGCACACCACAACAAUGUCAAUGCUAGAGUGAAAGGAUGGACAAUUGAUGUUGGGAAAGUGAUUGAGCAAGAAAUUAGAGACUGUGCUACAAAAAAAAAAAAAAAAUCAGCUGUCUUUUUAUUCCCCUCACUCAUCAUUGGGAUUUAUGAGGCCUUUGGUGUCAAAAUUUGUUGACAAUGAUGAGAGGGUUAAAAAUGAAAUGGCCCUCACAGUAAGAAGAAUAGAGAAGAUUGUAGGAGAAUCAACUGGUACAACAACCCAAAGCAUCCAGUUGUAAGAAAAUUAAUAAAAGCCACUACAUUUGGGAAGAUUCUGAAAGAUUUGAGUGACAACUUAAAUGCAUGGAGAGAAGAUCCAAAAGAGUUAAAUCAGAGGCUUUAGGCUUACUUGCUGCAUCAAGAAGCUCAAAAACACCAGUUUGUAGUUUAUAUACAGAGCAAGAAUGUAAACUUCCCAGAGUCUCUAUUGUAGCAGUACAAUUUCCACAAAGCAACAGAGACUGUUCCAGCAAAUGAUGAAAAGGAUGAAAGUGAAAAAGAGGAAAAAGAUGAAAAAGGAGAAAAAAGUGAAAAAGAUGAAGAUGAAGAAGAGACUGAUGAGAAGUAGGAAGAGGAGCUACCAGCAAUAACUCCUAAAAGCUAUGGCAAACAGAAGAUCUUGCUUGAUGAAAAUCAAAAUGAUAAUGAUGCGGCCAUUUAAGAGACCAUUAACAAGUCUGCAAUGACAGAAGGAGAAAAGAAAAGGUUAAAGGAGCUCAAUGUCUACAUAACUGCUAAGGAACUUGCAACAACACCUCGUUCAGCAUUAGCAACAAAGAAGUCUCCCAAGAAAUCUCUAGUCAAAAUUCCCACAAUCUCCAAUAAAAGAAAAAGAGCACAAAUCACUAAAGUAGAGAUAGUUUAUGGAUAAGGGUUGAAAUUCUAUCAUAACACUUAGAUUUGGAUUAAGUUUAAUGAAUAUGUUGUAGCAAACCAAGCUGGGUAGUUUAGAAAAAUUUUCAAGAAUCUAAGGAUAAAAAUAGCUCUAGUUUGGGGGAAAUUAGGAAAAUUUUCAAAGUUAUUGCAAAUUGUACUGGAAGUAGAAUAAUUUUUUCUUCAAUGACUUAGUUGCUGAGUAACCAGGGCUGUGUUUGUAACCCAUAUCCAAACUUGAGUAAAAAGACAGUAAGAGUUAUGAGCAUUGCUGUAGCAACCCAAAAAGAAGAAAAAUCCUCUAUUUAGGAAUCUGAAUAGCUAGGUCUGUUCAUGAACCUCAUAUUCAGCCUUGAGUUAAAGAUAUAUAAAGAUAAGACCAUGGUUGUAGCAUCUUAGAUGCUUUUGUUGUAGCAGCUCUGAUUUGUGUAUUGAUUAAGUAAUUGGGUUCCAUCAUUACAAGUGAUAGGCAUUCGCAUAAAAAGAUUGAUUUUACUCUGAUGGGCCUCAUAAUAAAAAAAAAUUGAUGAAUGUUGUAGCACAAUUUGUAGUUCUUUAUGACCCUUGUCCCUUAUAAAUAAAAAUGUUUUUAUUGUUGUUAUGUUUGAGAUGCAUUUGAUGCUUGAGUGAUUCUGAAGCAACUCUGAAACUUGAUCAAAGUGACACAGACACACACACUGGAUAGAAUGAAGCCUAAGUCUAGAACUAGAACUGUUGAUGGUAAUGUUUAAGAAUGAAGUCUGAGGGUUAAUGAAUUAGAGUAAUCUAAAUAGCAGAGCUAAGUAUCCUCAUGCUUUUUGGUCCUUAAUCCCAAGAUAUAAAAGAGCACAUUUUAAAUAAAUGCAUCAUCCAUGACCGUCACAUGCAAAGAGAAUAAAAAGAGAGAUUUCGGAGUUGUAAUAGAGGUAUUUUUCGUGUAGAAGAAAAAGAGAUGACUAAAGAUUAAAGCGUGACAUUUUCAGUCCUUAGUAUUUUAACUUUUCUUUUAUUUGCUUGCUUUGUUCUUUCUUUGAUAAUUUAUUUAAUGGUAAACACUUGUGUUGUUACUAUUUCAAAGCUCAUCAUGAGCUAAACCUUAAUUUAGUAGUUAUUUAAUUUACAUGUUUAUGUUGCUUAGAAUCUGCUGUAGUAAUUUGUUUUAACUUUACUUAUUGUAAUUCCAUAUUUCACGUUGACUAUGCAUUUAUUAGAUACUAGCUAAGAAGGAGCCCCAAAAUAACUUGACUUAGUGGAACAAAUUACGACAAUACAUGGUUUUCGAUUGAGUUUUCCAAGUUGAGUUAAUCUCGAUUUGAAUAGAGUCAUGCUUGAUUUAAAAUUAUGAAGAACUAGAUAUAAGGAUUCAUCGUAUACAACAAUAGAGUCUAAAAUGUAUAAUGCAAUGUCUAAUGUUAAUUUACCAAAUAGUCACUGUUAGAUUGCAUAUAGAUAUAAGAUAUCCAAAAUGCGACCGCUGAGGAUACAUUAUAGAUUCUGUCCAAUUGUGUAGUAGAUGUUGUAGCAACUGUGCCUCAAUUAAAAGAUAAUCAAUAACCAAUAAGUGAGUUUAGAUCCCAACUACCCCUUUGCCAUUGAGUAUAUCUUUGUGUUUGACUUUAGAUUCUCUUUAUUGCAUUUUGUUUAUUGCUUUAUUAGUUUCGUUAGAUCAUUAAUUUCAUCAUUAAUUUUUUUAUUUAAUGUAGUAAAAUUACACUGUUAAAUUUACUAUAGCAAGUAAUAUAACAUUAAUCUCUAUGGAGACGAUCUUGAUACUCAUUAAUGUGCUCCAAAGUUUUAUUUGUGCGUUUGAAAUGCAAGAAACCAAAGUCUCAACAGUUUAAGCCUGCCAACUUUUGAAAUAUGCAUUUUUAUCAAUAGUACGUCAAGAAACUAAAGCAUGCCAACAUUUGAAAGAUGCAUUUCCACAGUUAAGGUUGCCAGUAGUUCGACAAAUUGUCCGCUGGGCAAAUUAUUAACCAUUGUGUUAACUCCACAAAAUUCUUGUUGGACUAGAUAUGACGCCAGUCCUUUUGUUGACUCUUUCAAUGCAAUGUUGGGUCCUUUAGAAAAAAGCUAUUUCUACUUGUUAACGCAACUGUAGAAAGAAGUUUUUUGUUCCUGGUCUUGAGGUCCCAACAGCAGACAUUAAAUUAUUGCCUUUUCAAUUCUGAGUUGUCUUCAAUUAGAUGCAUUAUGCUAGACUAGUAAUUGUUUUAAAAAAGAAAGCUUCAUAGUGAGAAGCUGAUUUUUUAAGGAAGGAUAAGUUUAUUCUUACCUGAAAGUGAAUGUUCCACUGAAGAAAACACGGCUGGUGCCUGGAAGGAGAGCUAGUUCAGGAUGAAAGACAGGCAAUGAUUAUAUAUUUGAAAAGAGAGAUGAUAAAAUCAAGUUUGCAUGGGGCAGGUAAAGCAUGGCAUUAAUCAGGCUCUCUGCACUUUAGGAGUGUAGAUAAUCAAUCAAAGGCCAUCAAUCAACUCUAUUUUGUUUUUUUUAAUAUUAUAAUCAAACAAAUGUUAGCCUUUAAUUGGCAUCCAAUUGUUCAUUGUCUUAUAUUAGGAUAUAAGCUAAAUUCAUAAGAGGAUCCCUCUACAUAUAUAUUUCAUGUGCAUAAGGUGUAUGAAUAAUGUUUUCUGUAUGCUUUUGCUACUCUGUUAGUAGUCUGUUUAAGGCCCAUUUCUGAUUAUCUAAUAUCUAUGUUCAUGAUUUGUUUCGUGAUGUUGGUCUGUCAUUUGGUUUUUAGUUUUUCCCAGAGGCAAAUGAAGUCAAAUUUGCAAGAACAUCGGUCUUUGAAGGAGCAUCAUUUAAGUUGGACUCUCUAACAAAACCUUCAUUCUUUGAGAAUUUUGGAUUCACUGAGAAGGUCAAAAUGGCAGGCCGUGUGAAGCCGGAAGAUGAAUUGUUUCUAGUGGCCUAUCCAUAUUUUAAUGUCAAUGGUAGUCUUACACCUUGUCUUCUCAUUGAUAUUCAUUCCUUAAGGUCAUUAAUUUUGCUUUUCUUUUGUCUUGUAGAAAUGCUUGUGGUUGAAGAGCUUUACAAAGAAGCUAUAUUCAAUACUGCCCGGAAACUGAUUAUAUUCAAUGGAGAACUUGACCAGAUAAUGUCUGGGUGUAUUAUUCACCAUUCUUUCAUUCUUAUUGUACUUUCUGUAAAUUUAGUAUGAUUUUGAUGCUAUAUAAUAGUUUCUAGAUGCCCGCCCAUUGAAUUGCUUAUUUACAACUUUUUGGUAUAUUAUAGCAGAUUUGUUUUAUAGCUUAUAGCAGAUUUUUUUUAUAGCUUAUAAAAGAUCAACUUAUGUGCUGAGUUCAAUCAUUAUUCCAUAAACUUUUUCUGUACCUAUUUUCACAUGGUAUCAAAGCUAGACUCCCUUUCUUUUUGAUCUCUUUCCCACCAUGUCUGACUAAUCUUCUAAAACCACAGUCACCUAAAAAAGACUAGAACAAAAAAUUUUUGAUUCUGAAUCUCAUUCUGUCCAUAUUACAACUAUCCGGCUGAAUGAAGGAAAUUUUCAAAGAUGGUCUCAGUCAGUUAGAAUGCAUAUUAGGGGAAGAAGGAAGAUUGGUUAUCUUACUAGAGAUGUUAAGGCUCCUGAAAUAUCUGAUCCCUCUUAUGGUGUAUGGGAUGACGAAAAAUCCAUGAUUAUGGCAUGGUUAGUCAACUCCAUGGAUGAAGACAUUUGUGCAAAUUAUAUGUGCUACUCUACUGCAAAGAACUCUGGGAUAAUGUGAGUCAGAUGUACUCUGACAAUGGAAAUUAGUCUUAAAUCUAUUAGUUGCAGCUUGCUCUUGGAGAUAACCAUCAAAGAGAUUAUAGGAUAACAAAAUACUUCAAUACUCUAAAGAGAUUGUGGCAAGAUCUGGACUUAUUCAACAACUACGAGUGGAAGAGCACGGAAGAUUUUAAACACCAAAAACAAACUAUCAAUAAUGAGCGAAUCUUGAAGUUCCUAGCUAGGCUCAAUGUUGAAUUGGUAAGAGGAAGAAUUAUUGGGAGAAAGCCACUUCCUACUCUUGAGGAUGUUUUCUCUGAAGUAAGGAGAAAAAAAAUUCGUCGAGGUGUUAUAUUGGGAAAAAGGAACUCCAUUGUCUUUGUGGAAAAAUCUGCCCUUGUUACAGCAGAUGCUAAUGCUACCUGCUCCUUCACUCAACAGCAACAAAAACCUCGAGUAUGGUGUGAUUACUGUAAUAAACCAUGUCAUACUCGGGAGGCUUGCUGGAAACUCCACGGAAAGCCUACAUAAUGGAAAAACAGCAAGCAUAGCCGUGCGUCUACCAAUAAAGUGGAGGAUAUAGAAAAAAAUCUUAACGAGGAGCAAAUUGAUCAUCUCAUAAAGCUGCUGACUUCUAAUCCUCCACCUGGUACUCCUAGUGGUUCACUAGCCUAAACAUGUAGUAUUAUUAAUGCUCUAUUUAGCCACUCAUCUACUGCACCAUGGAUUAUUGAUUCGGGUGCUUCUGAUCAUAUGACCAUCAUUUCUAGUUUAUUUGAUUCCUAUUAUCCUUGUCCUAGUAACAAAAAGGUAAGAGUUGCUUAUGGAAACUUAUCUUCCAUAACUGGAAAAGGAUCAAUAAAAAUCUUUGAAACCAUUGAGCUUAAUAAAUGUGCUACAUGUCCCUAAACUUUCUUGCAAUCUGUUACUUGUCAAUCAAUUAGCCAAAGAUUCUAAUUGUUGUGCUGUCGUUUUUUACUCCCAUUGUGAAUUUCAAGACAGGGAUUUGGGGACGAUGAUUGGCAGUGCUAGUUUGCGAGAAGUUCUUUACUAUUUUGAUGACUACUUAUCAAGGAAUAAACAAGCUCAAGGUUUGAGCAAUAGGAUUAGUUCAAACUCUGCUAGGGAUCAAAUAAUGCUUUGGCACCUUAGACUAGGACACCCUACCUUUCCUUAUUUGAAAUAUUUGUCUCCAGAUUUAUUUAAAAAUGUUGAUUGUACUACUUUUCAGUGUGAAAGUUGUUUUUAAUCUAAAAGUCAUCGAGUUUCAUAUAAAGCACUUACUUAUUGUGCCUCAAAACCAUUUUAUUUAAUUCAUAGUGAUGUUUGGGGACCCUAAAAAAUCAUUACUUUAACUGGCAAAAAAUGGUUUGUAACAUUCAUAGAUGAUCAUACGCGGCUUCAUUGGGUUUAUUUAAUGAGAGAAAAAUCUGAAGUUGAGGGUUAUUCAAAGAUUUUUAUAACAUGGUUGAAAAUUAAUUUCAAACAAAAAUAAGCCUACUCGAUACAGAUAAUGGUCUGAAUAUUUUAAUAAUUAUCUAGAGGUGUUUUGUAAGGAAAAGGGUAUAAUUCACACAUCCACUAGUCGUGAUACUCCACAACAAAAUGGAAUUGCGGAAUGAAAAAACCGCCAUUUACUUGAAGUUAGUCUGGCUAUCAUACUCUCUAUGCAUGUUCCUAAAUAUUUGUGGGGUGAUGUUGUUUUAACAGCAUGUUAUUUGAUUAAUAGGAUGCCUACCCGUGUUUUAAAGUAUCAAUCACCUUUAGAAUACUUUACACUUAUAUAUCCUUCUAGUAGGAUUACCUCGAAUAUUCAGUUAAGAGUCUUUGGGUGCACUGUAUUUGUUCACCUUCCUAACCAUCUUAGAUCUAAAUUGGAUCCUAGAUUUGAAAAUUGUGUUUUCUUGGGCUAUGCUCCUAAUAAAGAGGCUACAAAUAUUUCAAUCCUCAAACAAAGAAAUUCCAUGUCAGUAUGGAUGUUAUAUUUCUCGAAAAUCAACCUUUUUUUGGCCAAAAUUCUCUUCAGGGGGAGAAAGAAAAUAGUGAAGAUCAUUUUUGGCAUACUUAUACACCUAUGCCUAAUUUGUUUUUACCUGAUCUGAGCACUUCAAUUCAAACUCAAAAAACUAAUAUUUCUAAUAAUGAAAACUUAGGAAACUUUGAACUACAAGAACCAAGUGUUAAUGUACCAGAGACAGGGGGAGAAAUAUUACAAGAUAAAAUUCCACCACCAAAGCUUCGUGUUUAUACUCGACUAAGGUAUCAUCACAGCAAUAAAGACCCUCCCAUAAACUUGGUACAACCUCAAUUGUCGCCUCCAAGCACUGAUUCCUCAUAAAAUUUAGGUAACAUUUCUUCUCCUAAAAAUUCCAGCACUUUUUUUUUCCUGAUCUUGACUUACCCAUAGCACAUAGGAACGAAACCCGAACCUGUACUAAGCACCCCAUUGCUGGAUAUGUUUCCUAUGAAAAGUUUUCCAAUAAACGAAGAGCCUUUACCACAAAAAUCUCUCAGAUACCAAUUCCUAAAGCCAUAAAAGAAAAAUUGGACAAUGGUUUGGUCUGCAUGCUGAACAUUCCUACAGAUGAGCAAAUUGCUAAUAUACUCACCAAGGGACUACCUAAGAAACAUUUCGAGAAAUUGGUUUGCAAGCUAGCCUUGAAAGACAUUUUUAUACCAGCUUGAGGGGGAGUGUUGAAAGGUUGACCAAAUCAAAUUGAUUUGGUUUCCUUAUAUAUUUAGGUGUAUAUUAGGCGUAAAUAUAGAGUUAUUGCUUCCUAGAAAUCAGUGUGUAAUAUUCUGCUUUAAUUUUUUCUUUCCUUUCUUAGUCUCUUGUAUCCCUAUAUUAAGACUGUAUACAGUCUCAUGAAGAUAUGAAAAAGAGAAUUAUUCCAUAAACUUUUUCUCUACCUAUUUUCACACUUCCACAUCAUACGGUGAUUAAUAUGUCAUCUCUACUCAAUUUAUUUAGCAUCAAAUUAUCAGAAGAUUUUGUUACUUAAAUAGAUGGUUUUCAUUUCAACUUCAAUGUUUUUUCAGGCCUAAAGCUUCAUAGUGCUUGUUUAUAUUGUUAAUCAAUAUAUAUAAGUUUACUUGCAGGCAAUAUCAGGCAUUUUCGAAAUAUGCGUAAGUAUGACAAGGAAAUCUCAAAAAGAAACAAAAACUUAUUGCUUGGAAAAAUUUAUUUAUUUGGGGGAAGCCAUUAUGAGUUUUGGGCUCCUUAAUAGCUUUAGUAAAUUUUGGACCAUUAUUUUGAACUAUGACCCAGUUUCCCUUGUUUACACCACAGAAAAUUAGCAACACUCUCUUAUGUCUCAACUCUCUCUGUCUCAACCAACAAAAUCAACUCUGUUAGUAGUCUGUUUAAAGCCCAUUUCUGAUUAUCUGAUAUCUGUGUUCAUGAUAUGUUUCGUGAUCUUGGACUGUAAUUUGGUUUUUAGUUUUUCCAGAGGCAAAUGAAGUCAAAUUUGCAAGAACAUCGGUCUUUGAAGGAGCAUCAUUUAAGUUGGACUAUCUAACAAAACCUUCAUUCUUUGAGAAUUUUGGAUUCACUGAGAAGGUCAAAAUGGCAGACCGUGUGAAGCCGGAAGAUGAAUUGUUUCUAGUGGCCUAUCCAUAUUUUAAUGUCAAUGGUAGUCUUACACCUUGUCUUCUCAUUGAUAUUCAUUCCUUAAGGUCAUUAAUUUUGCUUUUCUUUUGUCUUGUAGAAAUGCUUGUGGUUGAAGAGCUUUACAAAGAAGCUGUCUUCAAUACUGCCCGGAAACUGAUUAUAUUCAAUGGAGAACUUGACCGGAUAAGGUCUGGGUGUAUCCUUCACCAUUCUUUCAUUAUUAUUGUACUUUCUGUAAAUUUAGUGUGAUUUUGAUGCUAUAUAACAGUUUCUAGAUGCCCACCCAUUGAAUUGCUUGUUUACAACUUUUUGGUCCUUCAAUUGGUAUCAUUUUGCAAAAAUUGAAAGUAAAGUGGGUUUUUUGCUUUUAUUUUUUAAUACAAUAAUUUGAAAUUCACUCCCAGAAAUCUAAAGGGGAAUUAAUAAGGAUGAUCGUGUUAUAUCUUUCACUAAAAUGUCGCAAGGAAGACUUUUUUUAAAAAAAUAAAUAACAAUGACUUAACCAAACUAAUUAGUGACUUGGUUGUAGUAUAGUUGUUUUGGAAUGUGCAAUAAAAGGAUCAGAGAGGAUUUCCUUAAAUGAGCAGAAGAUUAUCCAUCGUUCUUCUACCCUAAGCUGGCUGCACUAUCCAGAACACUUUUUCCUGUGAUGGAGACCAUAUAUUACAUUCACAACUUUAAGGGUGGCAAUGGAGGAACCCUUUUCAGGUUUGCCAGCUAGUUACCGACGCGUUUCCUGUGGCAACAUAUUAAUGCUUGCCUAGUAUCACUCACUGUUUUCCUGCUGUUUAACUUAUAUUUUACAUGUUUUUCUUUUCCACUUCCUGUUAGGUGCUACCCAGGUUCCUGGAAGGUCCUGAAGAAAGUGAGUAAUAAAUAUAUAUGUUUGCAUCAGCAGGAAGUGAUGCCUUCCCUUAAGGAGGUUGCUUUGGAUAUCCUUCCCUCAGCUUGAGUUUCACCAAAAUAUUUGUCUGGUGAUAAAUCCCACUUUCUUAUGUUAUAGCAGAUUUGUUUUAUAGCUUAUAAAAGAUCAACUUAUGUGCUGAGUUCAAUAAUUGGUUCAUGAUUUCUAGUUUGUAGGUCUUAUGCUGAGUAUUUUGAUACUAAUCUGCCAGUGUUUGAAAGAUCUUAUUCUUAAGAUGAAUAUAAUCAUAACUUCCACAUCAUAGCGUGAUUAAUAUGUCAUCUCUGCUCUAUUUAUUAAGCAUCAAAUUAUCAGAAGAUUUUGUUACUUAAAUAGAUGGUUUUCAUUUCAACCUCAAUGUUUUUUCAGGCCUAAAGCUUCAUAGUGCUUGUUUAUAUUGUUAAUCAAUAUAUAUAAGUUUACUUGCAGGCAAUAUCAGGCAUUUUCGAAAUAUGCGUAAGUAUGACAAGGAAAUCUCAAAAAGAAACAAAAACUUAUUGCUUGGAAAAAUUUAUUUAUUUGGGGGAAGCCAUUAUGAGUUUUGGGCUCCUUAAUAGCUUUAGUAAAUUUUGGACCAUUAUUUUGAACUAUGACCCAGUUUCCCUUGUUUACACCACAGAAAAUUAGCAACACUCUCUUAAGUCUCAACUCUCUCUCUCUCAACCAACAAAAAUCAACUCCCUUUCCAAUCUAUAUCACAAUGCACGCUAUUUCAUCAAACCCAAGACUUACUUCAACUUAGAUUCAUAUAUGUUAUUUGAUUCAUGAUUAAGAAACUGUGUUUUUUUUCUUUUUUCAAAGUACGCUUGGAGAAUAAUAAAUAAAUUUACCAACCAACACAAAAAAAGUUUAUGUGAGGCUUGGUUGACAAUUUUAUUGUGGUAAUAUGUCGUUUAAAGAUAAAUGUUGUUGAUUUAUUGAUUCUUGUGUUGACUUGGAUGGAAGAUAUGUUGAAGAAAAAGAAACCCAAAAAUUACAUAUGCAGUUUUUUUCGUCAUUUCUGACUUUCAUGAUUUUGUACAAGAUAUAAGUUUUGUUUUCUAGACUUUGUUCUAAGUAGUAUUGGAAAACUUUGCAUUGCACAUUGUAGGUGUCCUCAAAUCUAUUAAAUUGGAUUAGGCAGUCUGAACACAUUAUUAGGGUUGUAAAGGGUCCAUGCAGUAUAAUUUUCUCUUGAUGCUUUCAUAUUUUUUGGCUGUACAGAUUUGAUGCAUCAUUGAUUCUUUGAUUCUGAUGUCUAAUGAAAAUGUAUGUUUAUAUUGCAUCGAUGAAUUUUUUAAUCCGGGAAUUGUAGUAAUUGUCUGUUGUAUUUCCAUGCAGUUGAAACCUUCUUGAUUUUUUGAAAAAGGAAAAUUACUUAAUUUGAUAAAGAAGAAUAUAUGAAUUUCUGAACAAUAAAAACUGUAGGAAGCAAAAAGAUAUCCUUGUGGCAUUAAUGAGUUGCUGGAAACAAGGUUUAAGAAUUUUGUAUGCUUUUGUUAAAGCUAUAAAAUGCUAUUUAUUAUCUGUGUUGUUACAAACUAAAGUACUUUUGUGCUUUAUGCAAAUUUAAAAAUGCUAUGCUAUGCGUUAGAGCAAUAAAGUUGUUAAGAAACAGUGAAGGCUUUUGUUGCUUUACUUAAGAUGAGGUUCAAGAAUAUUAUAUAACUUUAGUGAAUGUUUGCAUGGUGGCUUUGAUCUUGUUGCUGCCCCAAACUGACUGAUUGAAGGAGAGAAUUUUACAGCUAGAUCAAGCUUCUUUCCCCAGAUUAACUUCUGACAUGGACCAAUCAAAUGGCUGUCGCAUUCUUAAAAAAAUGGUUCAAGUUUUCCAUAGUUAUGGUCCACUUAUACAGAAUCUGGAGAAAUGAAUAUAUGAAUUGUGACUUAUAUCAUCUGUGAAGGCAAGGAAUAAUCCAUGGAAUUAUAUAAGAAGCAUUGAAACUGCUUUGUUGAUGGCCUGAGGCCAGAGAAAAUGCCGAAAACAUAUUCCUAAGAAAGUUGUUCCUUCUAGUUCAGUCCGGUCCAUUAAUUAAUCCUGGCUACAGCCCUCCAAGUAGUCGGGAUUGAGGGGCUUCUGUACGUGUAAGAAUGCUCUUGUAUUUUUUUUUAAUUCUUUUUAAAUUACUAAUUGUUGAAUUGAUCAAAUUUCGCGCCAUGUUUUCAGUUUAUAACAUGGAAGAGUGCUUGCAAGUUAAGUUGGAAAAAUUAUCACCAUUGCCCUCAAACUGCUGCAUCUACAGAGUUCCGGAGCGAUUACGUCAGAUAAAUGAAAAGGCAUAUACACCUCAGGUAGUCUCAAUUGGCCCUCUUCACCAUGGCAAAGCAAACUUACAGUUCAUGGAAGCUCAUAAACAGCGGUACCUGCGUUACUUACUUCAACGGACCAUAAUAAGCUUUGACGAGUUUGUUCAAUUUAUAAAGCUCAGAGAAGCAGAAUUAAGAGGUUCUUAUGCAGAAAAAGUCGAACUAAGUAGUGAUAAAUUUGUUGAAAUGAUUCUGCUGGAUGCUGCCUUCAUCAUUGAACUCUUAUUGAGGUAUCAUUUUCGUCAACUUCAAAAAAAAGAUGAUCAUAUAUUUCAUAAACCAUAUUUAAUAGAGGAUAUAUGGUAUGAUAUGUAGUUGCUUGAGAAUCAGCUUCCUUUCUUCAUUCUUGAGGAUCUUUUUGCUCUAGCUGCAAUUGAAAUCCCUGAACAACAUGAAAAUCCAACCAUCAUCACAGUCACAUAUGAGUAUUUCAAGGGUUUAGAGGCAGUACAAGGUAAUCGGCAAAAAUUCCCUCCUUACACUGAGGUUAGGGUACAGCAUUUCCUUGAUUUUCUAAGGAUUUGUCAUCUACCAUCAUCGAGGAAUCAGGAAAAACAAGAAGGUCAGCAAUACCACAAAGGUAAAACCGCACCAAGUGUGACUGAGCUCCACCAAGCUGGAGUCCACUUCAGUUUGAGCAAGAGCAAUGAUUUGUUCGCCAUAGAAUUCAAAAACAGGACAUUGCAUAUUCCGAAACUGAAGCUACAGCUGGAAACAGAAUCCUUAUUUCGUAAUCUCAUUGCCUUUGAACAACGGCAUUACUCAGAGAAUUACAUAAAUGAUUAUGUGUUCCUUAUUCAUCAUCUCGUGAACACAGCGAAGGACGUCGAGUUGCUUGUUCAGAACGGAAUCAUUGAGAACUGGUUGCGGGAUAAAGAGACUGCGUCAAUGCUUAUAAAUAACCUUUCUAGAGGUACUACUCUGCUGUCUGAUAGCUUCUAUUUUUCUGGGCUAUGCAAAGGAUUGAAUGAUCACUGCAAAAGAACGUGCUACAAAUGGAGGGCAAACUUGAAACAAAAUUACUUCAAUACUCCAUGGGCUGGCAUUUCGGUGUGUGGCGCCGUUUUCCUUCUUAUUCUCACCGUCAUUCAGUCUGUAUGCUCUGUUAUACAAGUGUUGUCUCAACCCAAAAAUAUCUCGUGACGAAAAACCUCUGUGCGGUAUUUGUAUGUCGUUUUUGAGUUGCUGUUUUCUUUUUUUUAUUUUAAUUCUUAUUCUCAACCAAUUUUAUCAUGGAAUUGUUAAUUUUACUUGAAUGUUGAACCAAGCCUUUAUUUUUUAAUAAUGAAAUGAAAUAAAAGGUGGGGGUAUACCCUUCACAAUACCCUCUUCACUCCUUAUUUAGUGUUGCAUUUACCGCAAUAAAAAAUAAUUUUUAAACGAUAAACAUAUUUACUUGAAAACAAAAAUUAGUUUAUGCUAUUUAUUUAUCUUAUAAUGUUGGAACUUGAAAGUUAAUUUAAAUUAAUGUAAUCCUACCAACUUGAUUUGGUUUUCAUAUUGGUUGGUUUCAUGUAUCAUGCGAAUUGUUAGGCACCGACUAACUCAAGCGUAUGUUACUCAAACAUCACGCUUGAAUAAUAGUUUAAGGAAUGUUGAUUUGGAUGGUAGAUAUUUAAUCAACUAAAACUAACGUUCUCAACUCAAAGCUCAUCUACUAGUAAAAGUAAAACCCUUCUCCGUCAACUUAUCUUCUUCAUUAUAUAACAAAAGAUGUUCAAUGAAAGAAUGAAAUAUAUAUAUAUAUAUAUAUAUAUAUAUAUAUAUAUAUAAUUAAGUCAAAGUAGUCAAGAUCCAGCCACUCGGCUUGAGGGCUUGAGUUCGAACCCACAAGAACUUAUUUCAAUCCUUAUUUUAUAAAUAUGAGAUUAGGGAUAGAUUUAUCUCUAAUUAUUUAUUUAUCGAGUAAUUAAUUUUAACAAUAUUAUUAAUUGUAGUUGAAACUGGAAUGAAUUUUCUGAAAGAUGCUCUCUCAUAACUAACCAACUAAAACUAACAAUCAAAUUAUCAAACUCAGAGCUCACCUACUAGUAAAACUGUAAAACUAAAACACUUGCUUCUCCAUUAAGUCAUCUCUUUAUAUAUAAAAAAGAGUGUUUUUAUGAAAUAAUCAGUAACAAUUAGGUAUCAAAUAAUUCAUAAAAGAUGUCAAGCUCCGUUGCUACUGCUGCUGAGGCCGAGAUUUGGAUUGUCCCAUUCUUCGGUCAGGGACAUCUAUUUCCAUGCAUUGAAUUAUGCAACCAAAUCGCUUCCCGUAAUUACAAAUCUACCCUCAUCAUUCCCUCUCACAUUUCCGCCACCAGCAUUAUCCCAUCCUCGUUUCACCAAUAUCCUCUCUUUGAAGUUACUGAAAUACCCUCCUUCGCCUCCUCACCCCCAUGUUGUCGUGCACAGCCAAAUGCUUCAAGGCCUUCGAAACCUCCUUUCAACCCGGGAACCCAAAAGCCGACCCGUUUGUGCAGUCAUCGACGUUAUGAUGGGCUGGACGGCUGAUGUUUUCAAGAUUUUUGAAGUUCCCAUUGUUGGGUUCUUCACUUCUGGUGCUUGCUCAGCGGCUGUGGAGUGUGCCAUGUGGCAGGCUCACAUCCAAGAUGUCAAACCAGGAGAGGCCCGUUUACUUCCUGGGUUACCCGAGGAUAUGGCUUUAUUUGAAUCGAAUCUUAAACACAGGCCUCAUGAGCCCCCUCCUGGUGGUCCACCACCUCUGAGAGGUGCACCCGGUUCCGAGAAAAUAGGUCCACCAGAAGCCGGUGAUCAACCACACUGGAUGAAGGAAGUGGAGGGAUCAAUGGCGUUGAUGUUCAACACGUGUGAUGGUCUUGAGGGACCAUUUAUUAAUUAUUUAGCCAAUGAAUUGGGAAAGCCGAUGUGGGGAGUGGGCCCACUGUUACCUGAACAAUUUUACAAAUCGGCCGGUUCAGUGCUUCAUGAUCAUGAGAUGAGAAUCAACCGGUGGAGUUCUAACAUGACGGAAGAUGAGAUCAUUCAAUGGUUGAAUUUGAAAUCAUGCGGAUCUGUGUUAUAUGUGUCAUUUGGUACUGAAGUGGAUCCGACCUUAGAUGAGUAUUUAGUACUAGCCAAUGCUUUAGAAGCAUCAAAUCGACCGUUUAUUUGGGUAAUUUAAGGUGAUGCAAGUAGAUUGGAUCCUCUAUGUCAUUUGGACAAAACAGUAGAAGGCAGUUAUUUUCGUUAGAUGAGUUUAGUGUUGUUGACGAGGCACCAUAUGCACAACAUAGUGAUAUUGUUUAGUGUUUAAUAUUAGAGUAAUGAUAUAGCCACAAACUCUUGUACAAAUUUAUUUUGUACAAACUUAUGUGGCAUGAUAAGAUUGGUUGAAUUAAAUAUCACUUGGCCCACAUGAUUUGUUUUCAUUAUUUUAUAUUUUCAUUCAACCAAUGAAUUAGUGCCACGUCAGUUUGUAUAAAAUAAGUUUGUACAAUAGUUUGUGGCUGUAUCAUUACUCUUAAUAUUAUAGGGAAGUUUUUAAUAGAUCUUCAUUUCCGUGCAUAUUGUGAGCUUAUUGCCAAAAAUGAGACUAUAUAGUUGUGGGACAAACAAAAAGGGAAAUUCUUUACCAUUCGGCUAAAUUUUGAUGUCAUGCAAAAUAAUAUAGGAUCUUGAAUUCACUUUAAUUGGAUGUCAGCCGGGUUACCAUUCAGAGAAACGGGUCUGAAUCCGACCCGUUUCAACUCCUCCCCCCAUCUCUCCACUUUCACCUCACCCGUCCUCUUGGGUCCACCAACCGCCACUAUGUUCCUAAUUUCACACCCAAACAACUGCUGCUCCACCGUAUGCCUCUCUAUACUGUCAGCACCCAGUCCGUCCCCCAGCACAGUGACGGAAAAAAAAAAAAAAGAACACUCAGAAUAAUAACAAUAUAUAAAACAAAAAAAUACAUAAAAAUAUUAAGAAAUGGAAAAAGAAGCCAACUUCUCUUGUUCGACGAGAUGGACCCUUUCGAUCAAUAAAUUGCAGUAGCCUUCCAUCAUACCAAAAGCAUCCAACAUAUUUUGCUCCUUCAUCACAUGCUCAACCUGCAAAAACCAAACCAGGUCAUUAGACAAAUGCAAUUGAACUAGUCAAUAAUUAUAACGAAUCAAACAGAAAAAGAGACCAUGCAUGAGCGACUUUGAUUCUUCAUGCAUGUGCAUAUGUCUUACGCGAGGAGAGCACGCUCUUGAAAGCCUUGUUGGAGGAACUGAACGACGUCGGAGCGUGCUUGGGAGCACUUGACUUGGCGUUGGUUUUUGAGAACGGCCAGGCGAGAGAUUGCAAGGUUGACCUGCGGCUUGAAUUUGUAGGUCUUGAAGUUGUUUUCUCUAAGAAGAAAAUCGAGUUUCUUUCCCAUGCCGCCGCCUGCUCUUCUGAUGAGUAACUGAGCUGAUCACGCUUCCAACUCAAUCACCCAACGCACAGUGACGGAGAGAAGGAGAAGAAACAAGCAAACGAAGGCUUGUUUACUCCUUUUAGAGAUGACGAGUGAUUGCGUUGUUAUUUUAUAGUUUCAUUAGCCUGAAACUUGGACUGAAGUUGUUAUUGCUGGACAAAAGGAAAAAGAGUUCAAUCACUUCAGUACCGUUAUUAUUGCUGGAUUCAUCUCCUCUCUCGGCAGCAAAAAUCACUUCCAUAUUUUGGCAACUACUCACUUCAAUGGACUGAAGUUGUUGAAGGCCUCCGCCAAUGACCAAUGGAAAUACAUUUUUCAAUUUAUCACACCCUUCCACCCUUAUGGUCUUUAGUUUGCAAAAAGACUCUGCUGUGAGUGGACCACGACAUAUUUCCUGUAGAUUCCUUAAAUCUCUCAGAAAUAAUGACUCCAAAAGGGGGAAUGCAGGCGUCGGAGCUGGCGUACAAUCCAUUGUGUCAACAACACAAGAAAGGUUGCCAUUAUGUUUGAUUUUGUUAAGGAAGUUAAGGAAGCUCAUAUUUGUAGUCAAGCAGAGGAUCACAGCAGCUUCUAUAAUCAGUUGCAAGUUGAUGACAUGUACUGCCAGCUGGCACCAGGUGGUUAUGUAGCUGCUUGUACUCAUACAUGUGAUAAGUUUGUUAAUCAUUUUUUAAUUAGUUAGUUAGUAUUGUAACCUUCAGCUGAGAAGCAACACUUGUAUAUAUAUGCUUGUAAUCAUUCAGUAGCAUUUUAAGCUUGAGAAAAUAAAAGAAGAAAGUUUUCUAGAUCUCAGUUUAUUUUCUUAUUAGCCAAACACUCAUUUUCUGUUUUCUAACUUGGUAUCAGAGCUAGUCAUGGCGUCUCUGAAUAUUGCCUCAUCAAAUCACACUUCGAAUAUUCAUACAAACUCAACAAACUUCUCAUUCACAUUCAAUACCCCUGUGAAACUGGAUCAGGCAAACUAUCUGAUCUGGAGGUCCCAAGUUCUAGCUUCCAUACACGGCAAUAGGCUAGAAAAGUUCAUUGAUGAAAAUGUCACUCCUCCUCCAUCUCAUAUUGCUCAAAGGAUUGACGAUGAACUUAGAUCUGUUGAGAAUCCAGAUUCAUCAAGCUGGAAAGCACAAGAUCAAGUACUUCUUGGCUGGUUGCUGUCAUCGAUGAGUGAAGGUAUUAUAAGCCUGGUGUUUAAUCUGGAAACUUCUCUUGAGGUAUGGAAAGCUAUUGAAACUCAAUUUGGAUCACAGUCAAAAUCCAGACUCUUACAUUUGAGAUAUUUGAUGAAUUCAACUAGGAAAGAUGAUCUGAAAAUCAAUGAGUAUUUCAUUAAAAUGAAGAAUAUUGCUGAUAACAUGGCUGCGGCAGGAAGUGCCUUAAGCAGUGAUGAUUUAAUUUUGCAUGUACUGUCAGGACUAGGACCAGAUUAUAAUGUUGUUGCUACUUAUAUUACUGGUCAAAUAAGUGGUGAUAAAAUGAAUUUGAAUGAGGCUUAUGCUAUGUUGUUGACUCAAGAAGCUAGAAUUGAGCAACAAGCACAUAUGCUUUCUGGAAUGGAUGUUAAGCAUAAUUUUGAAGCUAAUUUUGCUCAGAACAGAGGUUUCAAGAAAGGAAAUUUCUCAGGUGGUAGAGGAUCUGGUAAUCAUAACUAUUUUACUGGAUUAGAUAAUGCUGGAAAUUUUGGAAAUAAUUACAGAAGUGGCUAUAGAAGAUCUGGUUUCUUUGGCAAUGGUUUUGGAAAUAAUCAUAGUAACCAGUUCAGAGGAUUUCAAAGUGAUAAUCAAAGGGGAUCAGGCUCAGGAAAUUGGAACAAUGAUGGGGGUGGUAACAAUAAUUCUAUCAGGCCUCAAAUGAAUCCAAAACCUCAGUGGAAUGCUUCUAAACCUACUUGUCAAAUCUGCUUCAAAACUGGUCAUACUGCAAAUGUGUGCUGGAAGCUUGAAGAAUUCUUUACCUCUGGUGCUUACAAACCUCCUCCAAACAAAAAUCCCAAAGCUACAUAUCUAGCUGAUAUGGAUGGUGCAGCUGAUCCCAACUGGUAUCUGGAUAGUGGAGCUACACACCAUCUUACCAAUGACAUGAGGAAUAUGACUAUGGCAGAAUCCUUUGCAGGUAACUCUAAACUCAUCAUUGGAAAUGGUACUGGUUUACACAUAACACAUGUUGGAAAUGCUGUGUUAAGAAUGCAUAACUCUUCUGCUCAUCAUACACUCAAAUUAAACAACAUGCUUCUUGUUCCACAAAUAUCCAAGAAUCUUAUUAGCAUAUCUCAGCUUACCAAAGAUAACAACAUUGUUAUUGAAUUUACUGAUAAAUCCUGUUUUGUGAAGGACAAGGUGAGGAAUUUGAUCAUACUGUAGGGCAAAGCUGAAAAAGGUUUAUACAGAUUGCUAUUGUUUCCCUCUAAUAAAGUCUCUUCUCAAUCAUGUCAAAGGUCUCUUGAAGCCACUCAAUCCAAAAUUUCAGAUGUUCCUCUGUUUAUGUUUUCAGUUGUUCAGUCAGUUGUCAAUAAUCAAACAAGUCCCUGCUUGCAUACUGCAGCAGAAUCUUGUAUCGGUCUAAAUUGUAUGCUGAGUGUUUCUGUUUUGCAUCAGAAACUUGGUCAUCCUAAUUCCAAAGUUUUAAGUCAUGUAAUAAACUCUUGUUCAGCUUUCAAGAAUUUAAAUGGAAGUAACUUUCUUGAUUCAUGUGAUGCAUGUAAAAUGGGAAAAAUGCAUAGAUUACACUUUCCAGUUUCUACUACCAAAACAAAGCAUGUAUUAGAAGUUUUGCACACUGAUUUAUGGGGACCUGCCCCUGUGCUUUCAGUUCAAGGUUAUAGAUAUUAUGAGUUUUGUGGAUGAUUUUUCGAGGUUCACAUGGAUAUUCCCAUUAAAAACCAAGGAUGAAACACUAGUUGUGUUUAAAAUCUUUAAGAAACAAAUUGAGAAAUAGCUAGAUAGAUCCAUUAAGUGCAUUCAAUCAGAUUGGGGUGGAGAGUAUAGAUCAUUUGUUAAUUUUCUUCAUGAGGAAGAUAUUCAAUUCAGGCACUCAUGUCCCUAUACUCACAAUCAGAAUGGCUUAGUUGAGAGAAAACAUAGACACAUAACCGACCUAGGUCUCACCUUACUUGCUCAAGCUACUUUGCCUCUCAAAUUUUGGUGGGAUUCCUUCCAUACAGCCACCUAUAUUAUCAAUAGACUUCCCACACCCAUACUAUCUAUGCAGUCACCUUAUGAAUGUGUCUUCAAAACCAAACCUGAUUACAAAUUUCUCAAGGUCUUUGGUUGUUCAUGCUUCCCUUUCUUAAGGGAUUAUAAUACUCACAAAUUUCAUUUUCAUACCUCAAAAUGUGUAUUUCUUGGUUACAGCCCUUUACAUAAGGGUUACAAGUGUAUGCAUUCUUCUGGAAAGAUUUUUAUAGCCAGUCAUGUGUUAUUUGAUGAAACUUCUUUUCCUUACACAUCAAAUUCACAAUUUUUAACUUCAUCAUCCAAACCCUCUGAUUUCCAUUACAGUCUUAUUCAAUCUUAUACUGUUUCACUUCCCAAUAGCAAUCAAGAAACCUGUGAAGCUAGCUCUGCAGAAGAUGAAGCUCCAUAUCAUCAUUUCAGUGAUCAUUCCUCACCUGACAGUCAUAAUACAACCUUUGAUGUUUCACCUUCUCAAAUACAUCUUCAACCCUCUACCAUAGCUACUUCACAAACACAACAGCCAUCAUCAUCUACUAUUCAAUCCACACAACCAUCCCAACAUUCUCUGCCAAAUCAUCCCAUGAUUACUAGAGCAAAAGCUGGUAUAUUCAAGCCUAAAGCAUUCUUAACAUCACAUAACAGCCUGGAACCAUCCACUGUUGAUGAAGCUUUGUCUGAUUCUAAGUGGAAAGCUGCAAUGCAAUUAGAGUUUGAUGCUUUAACCAGAAAUAAUACCUGGACUCUAGUACCUAUGACAUCUCAGCACAAGUUGGUUGGUUGUAAAUGGGUCUUUAGAACCAAGUACAAUACAGAUGGUACAGUUUCUAAACACAAAGCAAGAUUGGUGGCCAAGGGCUUUCACCAGACAGCAGGAGUGGAUUAUAAGGAAACUUUUAGUCCUGUGGUAAAGUCUUCUACAGUCAAAACUAUACUAAGUUUGGCAGUGAUGAAAUGUUGGAAAGUCAGGCAAAUCGAUAUAAAUAAUACUUUUCUUAAUGGAGAUAUUUCAGAGGAUAUAUACAUGACACAACCAGAGGGCUUCAUCACCAAAGAGGGCUAUGUCUGCAAACUUAGCAAGGCUCUUUAUGGCUUGAAGCAAGCUCCUAGAGCUUGGUAUGACAAACUCAAAUGGUGUCUUACAAGCUGGAAUUUCUUCAACUCCAAGGCUGAUACAUCCCUGUUCAUCAGACAUGACACAAGAGGUAUCAUUCUUGUUCUUAUCUAUGUGGAUGAUAUUCUCAUUACAGGACCAAUUCUUCCAUGUUGGAAACAUUCAUCACUAAAUUCAGUAAGGCUUUUGCCUUAAAAGAUUUGGGAUUGGUAUCCUAUUUUCUGGGUGUUGAGGUGUGUUAUACUGAUAGUGGGAUGCAUUUAUCACAAACAAAAUAUAUUAAAGAGCUCUUAAGUAGAGCUUCAAUGCAGAACUGUAAAGGUUUUGAUACACCUCUCAGCACAGGUCAAAAGUUAGAAAAGGUAGCAAAGGGCUGUUUGGGGAAAGAAUUUGAAGAUCCAACUCUCUAUAGAAGUAUUGUUGGAGGGCUCCAAUACUUGAUACUCACCAGACCUGAUAUUGCAUACUCAGUUCAUAAGCUCAUUCAAUAUCAGAGUGCUCCUACACUUCAGCAUUGGCUUGCUUGUAAGAAGGUACUUAGAUAUCUUCAAGCAACUGUCACUCAUGGAAUAUAUAUUCAAAAGGAAGGAGAGCUUGAAGUUACAGGUUUGAAUGGAUACUCAGAUGCAGAUUGGGUUUGUGAUACAGAUGAUAGAAAGCCCAUUGGAGCAUAUUGCAUCUAUCUUGGCAACAAUUUAAUUUCAUGGUCCUCUAAGAAACAAGCUAUAGUGGCCAAAUCCAGCACUGAAAGUGAGUAUAGAGCACUAUCAUCAGCAAGUUCAGAAAUCUCUUGGCUUGAAUCUCUAUUUUCUGAGCUCAACAUUGUAAAGCUGCCAACACCAGUGCUUUGGUGUGAUAAUCAGAGUGCUGGGGAAUUAGCCAAAAAUCCUGUGUUUCACUCCAGGUCUAAGCAUAUCGAGUUGGACAUUCAUUACAUUCGAGAUAAGGUACUUCAAAACCAAUUAGAAGUGAGAUACAUUCCUACAGAUGAACAAGUUGCUGAUGUCCUCACCAAAGCUUUAUCACUUCCAAAAUUCAGCUACUUCAGGUCCAAGCUCAAUGUCAUUAGCAGACCCUUGAGCUUGAGGGGGGAUGUUAAGGAAGUUAAGGAAGCUCAUAUUUGUAGUCAAGCAGAGGAUCACAGCAGCUUCUAUAAUCAGUUGCAAGUUGAUGACAUGUACUGCCAGCUGGCACCAGGUGGUUAUGUAGCUGCUUGUACUCAUACACGUGAUAAGUUUGUUAAUCAUUUUGUAAUUAGUUAGUUAGUUUUGUAACCUUCAGUUGAGAAGAAACACUUGUAUAUAUAUGCUUGUAAUCGUUCAGUAGCAUUUUAAGCUUGAGAAAAUAAAAGAAGAAAGUUUUCUAGAUCUCAGUUUAUUUUCUUAUUAGCCAAACACUCAUUUUCUGUUUUCUAACUGAUUUGGAGACGCUUCAGUUUUGGAAAGCCUUCUCUGUCUGAUCCAAAAAGAACAUUCUUCAUGUCCGGCAAUCCAUCUAAAGUUAGGUCUUCAAUACCCUUCAAUUUCAUGAUAUGCGCCCCGUUCAAGCAAAUGUUGGCACCACUGGCGAGCUUCAGUGUGAACGUUCUAGAAAUCCCAUCCGAUGGGCCAUACCGCCGCCGCCGAUCUCCUAUCAAUAUUCUGUACCUUUGCAGCAUUUUGAAGAACGACAAGUCACUUGGUAGAUUCAUUGCAUCCGGGAUGAGUAUUUCUAAAGAAGUCAAUUUAGAUAAAUGAUUCAACUCAUGAAGGCUGGCAUUUCUUCUUCUACUGUUGUUAGGUCCCAGUCAGAGACAGCCAAUGAUCACGCAUAACACAAGUGAUAUUUUUCUGCUUAUGGCGAGAAAGGACUAAAUAAUUGUUGUUUAGAAUUCUCAAUACUUUUAUUCAUAUUCUGGAGCUUAUUUAUAAUAACAAGACUUUGGUUUCCAUCCUACAAUUACGGCUAAAUAAACGAGUAUAACAACUUAGCUAAAAAUUCGAAACCGAAAGAUAAUCGAAAACAACUUCCGUGUCUUAGCUUCCCUCCUUACUCGCUGCACAAUUGUUGACAAGCGUAUUCCUAGAUCACGGCUCCAGCUCCAGCACGUAUCUUCACGAUCUCAGCACAUGCAUGUUUCAUGCAUGGCUUGCAUGGGACUCAUGCCCUUACGUAGCAAACUUAGGAUUUGGCUUUGGCAUUUCCAGAUCUUCGUGGCUCAUGCAUUUGCUGUCUAUCAUUACCCCAUCCUCGAAGAAUACCCUUGUCCUCAAGGGUCAGAUUGGGAAACUGUUGGUGCAGCAUUAUGGUGUCCUCCCAUGUUGCUUCUUCAGCCAACAUUUUUUUUCCAACGGACUAGAUUCUGCUCGAUCACUUUACCUCCUCUCUUCACCCAACGUGUGUCAAGGAUAGCUUCAGGGUCCAUGAUCACCAAGCCUUCAUCAUCCACAGGUGGUAAAUCGACGCCGUUGCUAAGGAAAUCACCCACAGCUUUCUUAAGCAAAGAGACGUGAAACACUGGGUGAAUUCGAGCAUUCUCUGGUAAUUGUAGUUCGUAGGCAACGGCUCCAACUUUGCGAAGAACUAAAUACGGCCCAAAGUACCUGCAAGUUAAUUUCUGAUGUGCCCUUCUGAACACUGAAGUCUGCCGAUAGGACUGCAACUUUAAUAACACCAUAUCUCCCUGUUUGAACUCAACGUCGCGGCGACCCUUGUCAGCUGUUUGCUUCAUCCUGUUAGCUGUUGUGGCUAAGUUUUUCUUUAAUUGUAAGAGCAGUUCAUCACGCGAAUGUAAGGCUUGAUCAACCUCAUGCACCGGCGAGGAACCAAGUUGAUACAUGGGCAUGGCUGGAGGUGGUCUUCCAUACAAAGCUUGGAAUGCAGUCAUUCCGGUGGAGACGUGGAAUGUGGUGUUGUACCAAAAUUCUGCCCACGGCAAAAAAGAAUGUCACUUUCGCAGCCACUGGUGAACAAAACAUCUCAAGUAUUGUUCCAAGCAUCGAUUAAUUACCUCCGUUUGGCCGUUGGUUUGCGGGUGGUAUGUGUUGAGUGUUAGAAAAUGCAUAUUUAUAAAGGAGAAAACCGUCAUUUUACAUUUCAAGUCUUACUAACAACCCUUACUUUUAUGUAUUUAACCUUCUUGUGAUUUAAUUACAUGUGUUUUAUUUUAAUUAAGUAUUUUAUGUAUUUUAGGGGCAUUAUAGUCAUUUCACAAUAAAGGAGAGAUUAGACGGCAAAACGGACAUCACUUUUGAACUCAGGACGGUCGAAAACCUUAGGAGGAGCAUAAAAGGAAAAAUGGAACUAUUCACAUGUACGGUACUAUUCACGUGUACGGGACUGUCUAUGUUACUGUUCACGACACUGUUCACAUAGACGGAUCGAUGACGUGGCAUUGACCGAUGAUGUGGCAUUGACUGAUGAGGUGUCACGAUCCUGUUGGGCUAAAAUUCUUAUGUACUGUUGAUGCUGACGUGGCAGCAUAUCAGUGGACGAAAAAUCUCGCGUACGGUACAUGCAUCACACAGGAUUAUUUUCAACCAAACUGCGUUACUGUUCAUCCGGGUCAAACCGUAUUACUGUUCAUCCACGUUGUCAAACCGCGUACUGUUGACUGAUGACGUGGUGCAAUCCUGAGCGUCCAAACUGUUUUUAAUCUGAUGGCCAUGAUUUACUCCAUGUAUCUAUAAAAAGGGGGCCUCUCCCCCUUAAUUUGAUAGCUCUGAAUCCAUUUUUGGGAUCCAUUUUCUAUAAUUCCCUCUCCAUCUUGUAUUUUCUACGUAUUUUAAUAAAUUCCCAUUUUGCCCCUAGUUCAAUUAUGAAUAGCUAAUUUUCUUUCAAGCUUGGGUUGAAGGUGAAGUCUCAACAUGUGUCAUGGGCUUAAUUUGGUAAAUUUAUUUUCUCUUCCCCUUUAGUUUUUGUGGAUGUUUUGACUUCUCGUCGACAAAUAAUAAUAAUCUUGUCUAGAUAUCGUCUUGGUUACACCGGCUCUCUAGUAUAAGGUUAUUAUUAUUUGGCACGAUAAGCCCUUAGCACCAUAUUGAUUAGAGUGUGGUUCAUAAGGUGUGGAUUCCCCCCUCAUGAUUUAAUUGGUAUUAAUAAGGAAUAUUUAGCCCAUGGUGCAUGUUGAUACGGAUCCAAAUACCCAAGUACGUCAUUUCAAUAGAUUUCUCUUCAAUUUAUUCUCGCCAUUUAAAUUCCAAUUUUAGAAUUUAUUCUCGCCAUUUUAAUUUAAGUUUUAGCAUAUUCCAAAUCAUUUCCAUCACAAAUCCAAUCACCCAUUUACAAAAUUAAUUCUACACACAAUUAAAAUCCACCUCCUCGUGGGAUCGACACUCGUCACCAUUGAUCUAUACUACAAUAGAUUCGUGCGCUUGCGAGUACAUUAAAAUUUGCACAACAGUAUGGUGAGCUCAUUUUGAGUUUGGUGCCUGAUAAAUUAAAGAACUCUUGCCAAAAUUUGCUGAUGAAUAUGGGGUCACGAUCGCUGAUGAUUGACUUGGGCAUACCGUGCAGCCUCACUACUCCUUCACUUUCUUCUCGAACUGGCCGCGGUGAACCAAUGGUUUCGUUGGUGCCGUGGCUAGUGGUGUCUUUGGAUGCAUUGAAAGUUUCUGCUAAUUUGCUAAUGGUGUCUUCUAAUCGCUGAAGCUUGUCAUUGAUCCCAAUCUCCAUGCGUUCCAUUCGGCUCUCCAUGCUUUUCAGAUCAGCUUCAAUUCGCUCAAUACGUUCUUUGUUGGUCAUCAUUGUUAACCCGCUCUGAUACCAAUGUUAGGUCCCAGUCAGAGACAGCCAAUGAUCAUGCGUAACACAAGUGAUAUUUUUCUGCUUAUGACGAAAAAGGACCAAAUAAUUGUUGUUUAGAAUUCUCAAUACUUUUAUUCAUAUUCUGGAGCUUAUUUAUAAUAACAAGACUUUGGUUUCCAUCCUACAAUUACGGCUAAAUAAACGAGUAUAACAACUUAGCUAAAAAUUCGAAACCGAAAGAUAAUCGAAAACAACUUCCGUGUCUUAGCUUCCCUCCUUACUCGCUGCACAAUUGUUGAUAAGCGUAUUCCUAGAUCACGGCUCCAGCUCCAGCACGUAUCUUCACGAUCUCAGCACAUGCAUGUUUCAUGCAUGGCUUGCAUGGGACUCAUGCCCUCACGUAGCAAACUUAGGAUUUGGCUUUGGCAUUUCCAGAUCUCCGUGGCUCAUGCAUUUGCUGUCUAUCAGUUGGUCCUUUCACGCUUCCCCCACUCAAUGGGACUCUCACCAAUGUACAAUUCUUCUAAUCGUGAUAAGCUUGAUAUGACAUUUGGUGGAAUAACUUUUAGAUUGAAACAGUUGCUCAGAUCCAACAACCUCAACUGAGUCAGCCGGCCUAUUUCUUCAACCAGUUUCUGCAUAUUAGAACCUCGAAGUGUAAGGAUUUCUAAUUUCUUUAGAUCUCUAAUAAUAGCGAUGUCUCCGAGUUGGCAAUCAUCGAGAGACAAUGUUUGAAGGUUUUGUAAGAGACCAAGCGAUGGAGGCAAAGGCAACAAAUGCAUCGUAGUGAAAUCUAAAACUCUAAGCCCUGUCAUCCCAGUAAAAAGGUUAUCUGGGAUUCUCAAAGAUGGAACAUUAUCAAUGGUGAGGUAUUUAAGUUGCGGACAUUCAAAAUCUUGAGGAAACUCACUAAUAUUACACCUACAUAAGGAAAUAACUUUGCAAACCUUCAGUCUCUCCUUAUCUGGCCAGCUGGUCAGCGGAAUAACCUCGUUUUCCACCGCAAACACAUGUUGGUCUCUAGAUGCAAUUGAUAUGGCUACAUCACGAACAACAUCAUGCAUAGAAAACCAUUCACUUGUAUUGCCAUCAAGCAACAAACAAGAUUUUUUGAGUUUUUCAACCAAUUCAUGUGCUCUAUCCCGCGCCUCUUCCAACGUGUUGAUGUUUUGAAACAGACCCAAACCCAUUCCAUAAAAGAGCACGUCUUCAACGCAAGAGAUGAAGGCGUACCUUAUUAGCAAAAAUGUACUCUUGAGCUCCUCCCCGUUUAAAUGACUGUAACUUAGCUCUAUACUUUUAUAUGCCACCUCCAGUGUUCCACUGAAGUUCCUCAAGGAAGGCCUUCUUAAUUCUAGCAAAGCAUCAUUCCAUUCACACAAUCUCUUAUUUCUCAAUGCCCUUGCUACGGGUACAAUGGCAAUGGGCAAACCAGCACAUUCCUUGACUAUAUCUUUUGCUACCGAUCUCAAUUCAUCAUUUUCUAUGCAAUCACCUGUCGUCUUCGUAAAAAGACUACAAGCUUCUCCUCCAUUCAAAACAUCAACACGAAAAUUCUGUUGACAAUCAAUCUUACAGGACAACACAUCUACACUUCUUGAUGUCAGCAGAACUUUACGUCCGCUGUUAUCAUCUGCCAAUGGAAUUCCAAUCGCCUCCAAAUCAAGACUCCCCCAAAUAUCAUCCAAGAUUAUAAGGAUCUUCUUCUCUACUUUCAAUCGUUCAUAUAGCCUCCCUGCUCUUACAGUUUCAGUCUCUUUAACUAAUCGCAAGCCCAUCUUCUCUGCAAUUUCUUCACCAGCGUCGUCUUUCCAACCCCACCCAUCCCGUAGACCCCAAUCAUGUUGAAUUUACGGUUGCUGAGUGCGUCUAGUAUCUCCUUCAAAGUGCACUUCCUCGAUUGAAAGUGCACGAAACCCUGGGUAGACUUAAGCCAUGGCUCUUCUGGAAUGGUUCGAAAAGAAACACUGUCCAAUCUCCCUUUUUCAAGGAGUUCAACAAUAGCAUUCACCUCCCUCACUGCUUUCUUGCUAAGCUGGUACCGAGUCUUCAAAUCAGGGCAUAACCCCUUCAAACACCGGUUGUUUGAAUUCUCUUUGUAUCCAAUAAGUUCUCCGACUUCAUUGAUGAGCCUGUGCGCACUAAUCAGCCACUCCGCAACUUUCGGUAGAAUUCCAUCCCCAUUAUUUCUGGAAUCAUCAACUUUAUGCUGCACACUGUCUCUAGCAUUCUUUAGGUUACCAACUUCAUUCUUCAGCUUCUCGAAGUUGGUCUUGUAGCUGCGGCAGUAAGUAAAUGGGUGAAAAAUGGGACCAACCAAGUUCUUUGAAGCUUUUGUAACAAUGGAGAUAACAAUUUCCAUUAUCCUUUUUUUUCCCCCCGCUUUCAGAAAACAGGGAAAAGCAAAACUAAUCAAACUAAGCAGAGCUAAUCAAUCGGCUGGGAAUUUGGAUAAAUUGCUGAAAUAAGAAGUUGUCCGAAUGAAAUUGAUGAAACAAAUAUUUAAGGGAGAAGGAGGGGAAAGGAGUGAAAAAUCUAGAGAUGAAGCGAAGAGGAGACAAAUUAAAAAGUGAGUGCAAUGAAAGAUUUGCAAAGAAGGUAUGGGAGGACAAGGAUGAUUCAGACAAGGGAAACAGAAUAUGAAGAAAGGGAUUUCAGAGAACUCUAAAGAUUAGGGAAGAAUGAUGAUUAGGAAAAUGAAGAGGCAGACAGUUGUGAUCUCGAGACUCAAGGGGUAAACUGAAUCAUGCAAAAAUGCCAAACUAAAUUCAUACAAGGAGAAGACUCGUGCUUCCAAGUCAACUAGAUUCUCCAUAAGUAAAUAGCGUUAAAGUCGCAGGUUAAAUGCUAAAUGGCAUUUUGGCAUUUCGUUGAAUUUUCUUGUUACCAGUAAGUGCUGUGCUGCCGACAUUUUUCAACUUGUAAUUGUAAGACUUUCCAAGCAAUUUUUGUGGUAGUUUUAAUUAAUUUUAAUUGUAUAUCAAAUAUUUUAUUACUGUAAUUUAAAAAUCACAAUUGAUAAACAACAAUAGUAGAGAGAACGUUAAAUAGUUUGAGAAUGAUUUUUUAUUUAGGGCAUGUUUGUGAUUGCUUUACGAACAAUCAAAAUGCUAAUUCUAUUAGCCAAUAAACACAAGCGCUUUGUCAAGAACAUUACGCGAAGAACCCUUUAUAUAAAUAGCAAUCAUGUAAUUACGGAAGGCUUAUCCUAAUUACAUUUUAGUUACAUUCAAUAACAAAUUAACAACAAUAUUACUUAAAAAUUUUCGUUUGGCAAUGAGUAUAUUGGAGGUAGCAUAAAAAAAUCUGAAAACUUUGCAAACUUUUUAUGAAAAUGCAUUAGAGUUGUUAUGUUCUUUCACUGUUGAUAAUGGAAAUAUAAUGCAGGCCAAGAGACCCAAAGUGAAAGUGACCCAUGUGCUUUUCUAAUUACUCUGCUAUAAAGCCAAAGUUUGCGGACUUUAUGAUUUUUUUUUUCAGAAAUAGAUAUGCAAAUAAAUUGAAAAGAAAAAAAAAAACCCUGUUGCGUGGUCAUGUGGGUCCUCGAAAUCAUUUCGGCAUUUAAUCGAACAGUUGGAUGUACUCGGCAAGACGGCAACUAUACUUCCUCGAAGGUUCCUGGAUGUUGCAAGUGCUGCCGGCAUUUUCAAACUCGGAAGGUUUCAAUAAUUUUUUUUCUUUGAAAUAAAGGUUUCAAUAAUUAGCUUUGAUUAUUGUGUAAUAUACGAUAAUCUAGUGAUGAUGGUCACUUAUAUAUGUGAUUAAAAGCUAAGCUGGUUGAUUUGUAAGUAAGAACACACGGCAAAGUAUUUGAGCAAGCAUUUUUAUCUUCUUAUUACCACAUUCUUCUAACCAAUUUGCUUUCACCAACAAAAUAAUUAAUAAUUUGUAAAUAGUUGGAUCUUAAGCUCAGAUUUUGACAAUACAUGAAUGAUAAUAUAUACUUAUUUUCCAAGAGUAUACUCUAUUCAAGAGAGGAUCUCAAAUUUUUAUUAGAGAAGAUCAUAUUUAAAGCUCAAGUGCAAGAAUAAUAAUGGUUGCGUUGACUGGAGAACAUCAAAUACAAACAAAGACCAUGCUAAAGGAAAAGCAAAAGCUGGCGAGAUUGAUAAAGAAAGACUAAUAAAGCUUUCCUUUCAGCAUUAAUCAUGAUUAUUGGAUGAACUAGAGGUGAUCACUGUUUUAUAUUUUUAGUGCAAAAUAGAAUACACUGCAAGAGCUGAUGGCUUUCUUUGUUGUCCUCUUAUUGUCACGUAUUUUGUAGCUUUCUCAUUUUGAUUAGUUGUUCGCUCAAUAACCUAAAUGGGUCAGGGUUUUGAUGAAUUGAAAUUGACAUCAUUUCUGUUAAGAGUAGUUUGUUAUAGUUAGUUAUAGCUGCUGACUUAUGCUGACGUGUUAGAUGAGCUAAUAAUUGUUAGUUAUAUUGGUUGUAGUUUGUUAGUAAUCUUUUAGCACAUGUAUAAGCUAAGCUCAGCUCGCGUGAAUUGAUUCCAGAAUAUUCAAGAGCUUAGUAUAAAUACUCUUGUAACAAAUACAACAAUUAAUUCUAAGCUCUCCAUUCUUCUUUCAAACUUUCUUUCGUUUUCUCUGUUUUUCUCAGAUGCUAAACACUUUUCUUAUAUUUUAACUUGGUAUCAGAGCUUCAAUCUUCAAUUCUCAUGGCAUCAUCAAGCUCAAACUCAAACACAAACUCAAUUAUUUCAUCAUUUACUUUCAUCUCACCGAUCAAACUUGAUCGUUCAAAUUAAACAAUCUGGAAGUCUCAAAUUCUUUCAUUUGUUCAAGCCAAUGGUCUAGAAGAUUUGCUUGAUGGAUAAAAAACCUAUCCAGAUCAAUUUCUUCAAGGUGAAACUGAAAACGCCUCUGCUAAUACUCAGCUAAAUCCAGCAUAUACUACAUGAGAGGGAAAGGGUCAGUUGCUACUGAACUGGUUGAUGUCAUCUAUCAGUAUUGAGAUUCUGAGUCUUGUAGUAAACUCUGAAACUUCUCUAGAACUUUGGACUAGUUUGGAACAACAGUUUGGAUUUGAAACUUUUGCUAAGAAAAUUCAUCUAAAAAAUGAUGCUUAAUAACCUUAAAAAAAGUUCGAUGACAGUCACUGAAUUUUUUGGCAAGUUAAAAACAAUUACUGAUGAGUUAGUCAUUACUGGUAAUCCAAUAAGUUCUCUGGACUUUCUUACACACCUGAUUUCUGGAUUAGGUCAGCCUUAUUAUCCUGUUGUAGUUUAUCUUGAAGCAAAUCUUGUUAAGAUCUCUAUCAAUGAGGCAUAUUCUAUGUUAUUAACUCAUGAAGUUAGUCUAUAGGCAAAUCAGUUAAGUGCAAGCAAGGAAGUUAAGUUGAACUAUACUGCAAAUAUUGCUCAAACUGGAUCUAGAUCUAAUAAUAACAAGAAACAAGGUGGUCAAUUCAAUAACAAUUGGACUGGUGGUCAAUUUAACAAUAAUUGGAACAAGAAUGCUAGCUUUAGAGGUGGAUAUGCUGGAGGCAAAGGUGGUUAUGGUAGAAAUUUUUCACAAGGAUAACGAAGAGGAAACUGGAAUGGUGUGCCAUUUGGAAAUUUUUCACAAGGAGGCAAAGGAAGUAAUUACAAUGGCAAUCCUAGUCAAAAUGAGGGAUUUACUAGUGGAUUUACUAAUGGCACAGGUGUUAUGGAUCAGGCUACUGCCACUGUAAUUUGCCAGAUUUGCUUUAAACCUAAGCGCACUGCAGCUGAGUGCAGAAACUGAUUCAACAAGGAUUAUGUUCCUUUCAACAAUCCAUUUCAGAACUCAUCAAGAAUUGCCCAUCUUACAACUUCAGAAGGGGCAAUAGCUGAUCAAGGAUGGUAUAUCGAUAGUGGUGCCACAUAUCACAUCACUAACAACUUACAAAAUCUACAAAUUGGAAGUGAGUAUUCAGGUAAUCAGCUGCUCCUUGUAGGUAAUAGUCAGGGUUUACAUAUUUCACAUAUUGGCUAUGCAUAUCUUCAAACAUCAUGCAAUACAACUUUAUACUUAAGAGAUACUUUGUGUGCUCCUAAACUUACUAAAAAUCUCAUAAGUGUUUCGAAAUUGCUUGAAGAUAACAUUGAUGUAACCAUUGAGUUUGUUGCCAAUAUGUGUUUUAUAAAAGAUAAGAGGAAGGAACGACAUCUGGCUCAAGGGAUUGCUAGAGGAGGAUUGUAUCUGUUGUUGUCAAAGAAUGACUUUGUUUCGAAUUCUAGUUGUCUCACUUAUGCACCUAGCUCUAUGCUUUCUGUUUUGAAUAAUUCAGCUUGUAAAAUUUUUGAUACUGCUACAAAUAAAGUUUGUAAUCCACAAUGUCAAAUGAACACAACCAAGAUAACAAACUUGUUUCAUCAGAAAUUUGGUCAUCCUAAUAAACAUGUGUUGAAAUCCAUUUUAUCUUCUCUUUCUAUUGAGUACUCAUCUAUAUCAGCACCUGAUUUUUGUGAUGCCUGUCAAUAUGGUAAAGUCCCUCAAAUGCCCUUUUACACAACUAGAAUCAUAACUAAAGCUCCUUUAGAGCUUAUCCACACUAAUCUUUGGGGUCCAACACCCUUACCAUCUCUACAUGGCUAUAGUUAUUACAUUAGCUUUGUAGAUGACCAUAGUAGAUAUUGCUGGAUUUUUCCAUUGACCCUCAAAUUAGAAGCAUUAGGCACUUUCAAAUUCUUCAAAACCUUAGUCAAAAAAUAGUUUGGCUACACUCUAAAAUCACUGCAGUCUAAUUGAGGGGGUGAGUAUAGAAGCUCUCAAAGUUUCCUUGAAGAAGAAGGGAUAAGGUUUAGACAUAGUUGUCCUCACACACACCAUCAAAAUGGUGUGGUUGAAAGAAAACAUAGACACUUGGUUCAAACAGGACUUACCCUUCUGACACAAGCCAAAAUGCCUCUGUCUUUCUGGUGAGAAUCAUUCCAUACAGCUUCCUUGUUAACAUAUAUGUUUCCAUAAUGUUGAUUUUGAUGAUAACAAAUAAGAUUAAGAGUGAUAAAUCUUUUAAGCUCAAAUUAUUUUUUAUACAUUUUAAAUAAAUCAUUAUUUUUACAUUAUAAAGGUUUUAUAUUUAAUGGAAAAAUGAUUUUAUGAAAUUGAUUGUUUUUAUUCUUUUUAAAUAAAUCAUUAUUUUUGCAUUAUAAAUGUUUCAUAUUUAAUGGAAAAAUGAUUUUAUGAAAUUGGUUGUUUUUCAAAGUUUAUGGUUUAAUUGAAAGAAUUUUGAAAACUUUGAAAUAAACAAGUAUUGCUUGAAAUUUUAGAGAAGGACUUAUUUGAAAAGUAUCAUAGCAUUUUGGGCUAUACCAUAAUUUCAAAAAAUUUUGGGAUUAACAAAGCAUUAUUUAGAAAUUCUGGAAUCGGACCUAUUUACAAAGUUUUAUAAUAUUUUGGGUCGUAAUACAGUUUUAUAAAGUUUUGGGGUCAAACUAUAAAUUUGGGAAAUAUUUCACUGUAGCAGUUACUGUAGUAGCUACUGUAGAAAACGGCGAUCCGACAUCUUGAUAACGGCUCGCCGAUAUCUAACAGAGUUGAAGAUUAGCCUCUGGACCUAAACGGCGAUCCGACAAUUGUGAUAAACGGCUCGCCGAUAUUUAACAGAACUGAAGAUCAGCCUCUGGACCUAAACGGCGAUCCGACAUCUAGAAUAAACGGCGAUCCGACAAUUUGAAAAAUCAGCCCAACGGUCAUAUUGACCAGUCAAACGGCGAUCCGACAGUGUGCAGACAGUCUAUAACGGCUAGUUUUCAGCUGCAGCUAUAAAUAAGCUCAUUCAAAUUCAAACAAAGGUUAAUCACAACACGACUAUUGAGCUUAUAUCCGAGAAUACAAUCUUCAUAGAGCUUUAAACACAUUCUCUCUUCAUCUAUUCACAUAUUGGGCAUUGAUUUGUAAUCUUAAAUAUUGUGUGAGAGAAAAACAAUUUGUAAUCUUUUACUUUGAGUGAUUGUAAGUGUUGGGAUACACUUGGGUUAAGAGAUUGGGGAUAAUCUCUUGUUGUAAAGGUCCAUUGACACCUUGGAAGUCAAUUGUAAGCGUUUGAAGCCUUGGGAGGCUAGCUUAGUGAAAUCCUCAAGCCCGGUGAGCUUGGAGGCGUGGACGUAGGCGGGGAUUGCCGAACCACGUAAAAAUCCUUGAGUUUGCUUUCUCUUCCCUUGCUCAUUUAUUAUUGUGCUUUCAUUGAAUUUAUUGUUUUCAAAUUUAUUAAGGCAUUAGAUUGGAUUGUUGUGUGGUUUGCUUAGCUUAAUUUUUAAAUCCCAAUUCACCCUCCCUCUUGGGUUGCCUAGUUAGUAUUUCAUUUGGUAUCAGAGCGAGGUGCUCUUGUGUAGACUUAACGUCUAGAGUCAAAGAUCCAUAGCAACCCAAAUUAGCUCAACCAUCAUGGAAGGCCAAUCUAUCACUAGACCUCCAUUUUUCGACGGAAAUGAUUAUCCUUAUUGGAAAACUAGGAUGAGAAUUUAUUUACAAGCUUUAGAUUAUGAAAUUUGGGAAGUUGUUUGUGAUGAUUUACUCAUUCCUAGAAAGAAUGCUUUAAGUGAGUUGGAUAAGAAAAAGAUGUCUUUAAAUUCCAAGGCUAUGAAUGCUUUAUUUUGUGCCUUAGAUAAAAAGGAAUUUCAUAGAGUUUCAAAUUGUUCUAAUGCUUAUGAAAUUUGGAGAAAACUUGAAAUUGUGUAUGAGGAGACUACAAACGAGGAGAAUUUUCAUGAAGUGUCAAAUUUGGCACUUAUGGCAAUUGGAGAUGAAUCGGAUGAUGACCCAUGUGCUUUUCUAAUUACCCUGCUGAAAACUAUAAAGCCAAAGUUUGCAGAUUUUAUUAUCAAUUUUUUUUUUCAAAAUAGAUAUGCAAAUAAAAAGACAAAAGAUGAGACUUAUUAUAGUACCAGUGGCGGGCCCCCUGGGUCCUCAACUUCUUCAAAUGGGCAUUUUAAUAUAUUUACAUAUAAAUAAAUGAAUAUCUUAUGUAAUAUUCACUCCAUCAAGCAUGAAGUAUAUAAUUAAUUGAAUGUACAAGCAUCGGCAUUAGUUGACAGGAAAAGAGCUCGUUAAUAAAUUAUAUGAGUGAUAAUACUACUUGAAUCAAACUCACGUCCAAAGUUGGGACUCGCCUAUUGUGCAACAGUGGCACCAUGCCACCGUUUUUGUCUUUUUCUGUGUAAAAUUUCAUGAAGCCCUUUCACUUAUUCUUAUUUGAACUUUGCUUCACAAAUAUUAAGUUCAUUUCUCCCAAACUCGUGAAUCCUUCAACGGCCGAUCAACGGCAAAUCGGCUCCUCCAAUGGCUGUGGUUGGUCAGAAAAGACAAAGGGAACUGUGGAGAACAAAACCCAAGUGGUGGUGUCACCGGAAACCGGAGAAACCGCAGUGAAUUGAAGCGGGGAUUCUGUGACUUUUUGCGGCUUUGAUCAACAGCUUUCCGAAUGCUUUACGGCAACAAGGAUGGCAUGAAGAUGACCAGCGUCGCACGAGCUUCCGAUCGGUACCAACCUUGGCUGGUGGAGUAGGCAGAAACGUAAAAAAAAUUUGGGUCGGGUUCACGAGUCAGGUUGACUCAGUUAUUUUUGCGACAAGGAUGGUGUGGAGAUGACCGGCAUCGCAUGAUCUUCCGAUCGGUACCAACCUUGGCCGGUGGCAUGGACGAAAAUGGAAACGAAAUUCGGGUCGGGUUCGUGGGUAUUUGUGAUAAAGAGAGGGGUAUUGUGAUAAAAGGUGCAAUAUAGAAGGAAAAUGUAUAAAUAGGAAAUAGUAUAAGGUGCUAAUUAUAAUGUUUAUAUGGAUGCAAUAGAAAUUAAUUUAAUAUUUAUGAGGUAAAGUUUAAAUAAAAAUGAAUGAAAGUGGUUCAAUGAAAUUUUACAACAAUGCUGGCACAAAAGACAAAACCAGUGGUACGGUACCACGGUGGUACCGUAGCUGGAUCCCCAAAGUUGAUAAGAGUUAAAUUAAAUAAAGCUUUGAUGAUUUAAUGUGCAUAAAAUUAUAAAUUUAUAAUCAUCAAAUGGAUCCACCUAUGUCACAAUAGUUGCACCAUACCACACUUUUUGUCUCUAUUUCGCAGAGCCGUAAGAUGUUUUAUUGUUCAAUCUAACUAUUGAUGCCAAAAUCGGCUCGUCCUUGGACCGACCAGAUUCGUUCACCAACGUUUAAGUUAUCCACUGCUGCACGAACCGCUAAGGCUGGAAUUACCCUCCUUUCUCUCACUAGACCUGCGUUCACCAAAAACAGAUCAGAGACGCCGGUGGUUUUGCCGGCGUAAACCCUCCGAUGCCUAAGUUAGCACAAGGUGUUUACGGGAAAACAGUUAAAUUUUGAUUCAACAGUGGUUCUAAUUUGUUCGAAGUUUGUAAUAAAAUUGUCUGGUUUCAAUUUGGCAGCGUUUUCCCUCUCCCAGUUUUGUUAUCUCCAUCUUCAUCGAUUUCUUCUUCUUUUAUAGCUGCUGUUUGUCCCACGUCUUCCGCUUACCCUCUAUCCCCCCUUUUCUCGGGUUGUGGCAGCCCCUCAUGGGGCUCUGACUGUUGCAUUGUGGCAAACGUGGGAUCUUAUGUGUCCUUCAACGGUUCCGGGAAAGGCGCAGCAGCCGCGAUUCUGUGGGAUCGUGUUCCCGCUUUUCUGGGGAGUGUGUAUCGGUUCGGUAUUAACAUCUGGUCGGCAUACGCUCCCGUGCUCUGCUCGUACCCACGGCUGAGGUGAUCCAUGCCGGGGUGGAGGUAGUAGCAUGGUCGACCUGGUGCUUUUAUUAACUUAACACCAGUCCCCCAGUUUCUGGUCUUGCGAGUGAAAUGAGUUAGGAGUAGAAACUGAUAGUCAAAUCUUACCAACCUGGGGAGCGUCUCGCCUGGUCUUCCGCUUACCAGGACAGAUCUCAGGUACCAUUUUCCUUCUAGGGAGAUUCCGACCUGAGCAUGGGCCUAAAUGAGCCUGUCCGUUGCAUAUCUGGGCUUUCAUCUAACCCGGUCUCUUGUAACGGUUGGUGACGUGGUGCUUCCCGACUCUUCGUAUUUGAAAUUUGAAACGACGGGCUAUCCGUCCUCGAUAUAUGGGGGGGUGAGCUGGCAUAUCCCAUCACUUAAAUGCUUCCAUUUCCCCCUUUUCGUUUUAAAUCCCUAGACUGGAGUCUUCACCAUCUUGUUACUCGUUUCUCCGCCGUUAACCAAAUUUUCUCUGAACUUUGCUCACACUUCCAGCGUCCGGAGUAUCCAUUUGCUGGGUGUUUUCUCUGUUACGGCAGCGCUAUCAGUGUCAGUCUAUUCCAGGUAUAGCCUUUAACCUUUUCUUCGGCUGUUGUUGAUUGGGUUCUGUGUUGCCCCUUUGUGUCCAUAUACUCGAGUUUUCUCUGUUUUCUUUUGGGAUUCCGGUAUGUCAAAUCGGAAGAGGAAGUUAAUUGUUGAUGAGGGUGAUGACGAAUCAGGGGAUUCAGGCCUCAACGUGCCAAUACCCACCGAUUUUUUAGGUCCCUCCAGUAGUGUAGGUCCUCCCCAUGGUAGGGAUACCCUUGAUUACCUACGCCCCCUGGUUGUCUCUCCCUCUCCCGAAUUAGAGCUUGUAGGAAAUAGGGGUGGACCUGCGUCGGGCUCUGGUGAGAACCACAGCUUUGGUGGGGUUGGGAUCCCUGAAGGAGUUGGUGAUGGUGAGGGGGAGCAGUUCCGGACCGAGCAGACCUGCUCAGAAAAGGAACCUAGGCCAUAGGGUGGAGGUUGAUUCCUACCCUAUUGAUUUCAUGGCUUGUGCCACCACCCCCACCGAUCUAUUUAAACUUAGGAAUCUCUACAACAUCCCCAACGAGGUUCUUCUUGUAGUUCCUGGAAAAGGUGAUGUCCCUAGUCGGCCUCCGAAAGGGUAUGUGACGAUGCACUUGGAGAGUUUCAGACUAGGAGCUCGGCUGCCCCUUCAACCUUACUUUGCCAAGAUACUGGGCGGUAUGCACCUGGCCCCAGGUCAGCUACACCCAAAUGGGUGGAGGGUUCUCUCGGCAAUGUUUGUGUUGUGGGAGAGGUGCGGGUCGGAGGAGCCUUCUCUUGUUGAAGUGAAACAUCUGUACCAGUUGCGGAGUAGCCCGAAAGAGGCAGGCUGGUACUAUUUCAUGUCCAGUUCCGCAAAGAGGAAACCGAUCACUGGGUUUCCAUCUUCAUGUAAAAAUUGGAAGAAUAAAUUCUUCUUUGCUGGAGGGAACUGGUGUCCAGCGGUUCGGUCGCUUGGUGGGGAGAUUUAUCUUCCCACCCAUUUUGUCACCCCAGGUCGUUCAUUUUUUGCCUAUAUUCUUUCUCAAAUUGACACUCAUUGGGUUCUUUAACCUUGUUUGUUUUUUCAGAAUCGUGGGGUUUGGUGAAGGACCUUGAAGACCGACCUUUGCUUCAGGUGGAAACUGCUCUGUUGAACGCGUCUACUUGCCAAGACCUCCUGUCGCCAACAAACUUGGUCGGUUCCCGCUUAGUCGAUAUUGCCGCUGGAAUGGAUAACAAGAUCCUCAGCGCGUUGAGCAGAAAGCGUGGUCGGGCUCCGAGUAGCUCCAGCAACCCUCCUCCUCCUCCAAAGAAACCCAGCGUCGGUCCUUCCAAGGUGCCAGUUCCUGCUCUGCCCCCUCCUCCACCUCGUAAGAGUGGUGGGGAUAAAACCUCCGACAAGAGUCCUGAGGUCAGCUUGCAGUCUGGGGACCGCUCUUCUCCUCUUCCAUCUCGGGAUCAGGGUGACUACCUAAGCCCAUAUCAGAAGGAUUAUAGAAAAUCGGUUGGGCCCAAGAUGGUGAAGGACAUCGAGAGCAUGAGCCUCUCCGAGUUAACUGCUUCUGUUCAAAGAGUCUCCUUCAGGCUGGCCACAAUGGUCUCGUGCUACAAGACCGGGUCCGCGCGUCAUGAGAGGAAGCUUCAAGCUGAUAACCAGGAGUUGAAAAAGAAAGUUGAAUCUGCUGACCGCUCCAAGGAGAAACUGGCCGAGCUGAACAAGCAGCUUACGGAGCUUGAGGAGAAAGUUGCUGUUGCUGAGUCCACUUCCUCCAAGCUUGAGGGUGAGUUGGGUGAUCUGAAGUCCGAUCUUCAGGCUACCCAAAGUGAAAAGGAUACUCUGAGGAUCGCCCUUGAAGGAGAGAUCAACUUCCUGAAGGACAGCUGGCUGAGGAGAAAAGCAAAUCCGCUGACGUGGAUGAUCGGCUGGAUGCCGAGUAUGACUCCGGGGUUGCUUUCAGCUAUAAGUGCAUCAUGUCUGUGCUUAAGGAAGAAUACCACGAGCUCGACAUGAGCAAGCUGGAAUCUGGGGUGGAGAGGUAUAUGGCUGGGGCCGGCCAGGGAGAUAAGGAGCAGGUGGAGGUUCCUUUUGAUGAGGUGCGGGAGGGAGGAGCUGGUCAGUGUGUUUUUUAAGUGGGACAAGGGUCUGUGCCUCCUCCUCCCGUUAUUGCUGAUCUUCCACCUCCCGAGAUAGCCGACCCUUCUCCUACUGAGGCCGUUGACCUUCCUAAUCCUUAGGUCUAUUUUUGUAAAAACUCUAGAUUGUUAUUCGCUUUGUAAACAUUUGAACAUUUAUAAAUUUUUAAAUGCUCUCUAUUGGCUUUCUUGUCUGGUUUUGCUCACGGGUUGCUUCUGCAAAACAACUUGGCAAUUUAUCUGAUUUUGCCUGUUGGUUCUUUAGUGCAUUGAGCAGGAAUAGGCAUCCGUUUGCCUUAGCGAAAUUUUCGCAAAAUUGCCUGCUGGUCUUCGGUGACCGAGCAGGAUUGGACACUUAUUUGCCUUAGUAGAAUUGUCGUAAAUUUAACUGCUGCUUUUCGUUGACCGAGUAGAGGUAGGCACUUGCCUUAGUAGAGUUUUCGUAGCUUUAGCUGCUGAUCUUUUACUUCACCGAGCAGAAGUAGGCACCGAUUUGCCUUAGUAGAAUUUUCGUAGCUUUAGCUGCUGGUCUUACGUUGACCGAGCAGAAGUAGGCACUGAUUUGCCUUAGUAGAAUUUUCGUAGCUUUAGCUGCUGGUCUUACGUUGACCGAGCAGAAGUAGGCACUGAUUUGCCUUAAUAGAAUUUUCGUAGCUUUAGCUGCUGGUCUUACGUUGACCGAGCAGAAGUAGGCACUUAUUUGCCUUAGUAGAAUUUCCGUAGCUUAAGCUGCUGGUCUUUCGUUGACCGAGCAGAAGUAGGCACUGAUUUGCCUUAGUAGAAUUUCCGUAGCUUAAGCUGCUGGUCUUUCGUUGACCGAGCAGAAGUAGGCACUGAUUUGCCUUAGUAGAAUUUUCGUAGCUUUAGCUGCUGGUCUUUCGUUGACCGAGCAGAAGUAGGCACUGAUUUGCCUUAGUAGAAUUUUGGUAGCUUUAGCUGCUGGUCUUUCGUUGACCGAGCAGAAGUAGGCACUGAUUUGCCUUAGUGAACUUUCAAGAAUUUAGCUGCUGGUCUUUCGUUGACCGAGCAGAAGCAGGCACUGAUUUGCCUUAGUGAACUUUCAAGAAUUUAGCUGCUGGUCUUUCGUUGACCGAGCAGAAGCAGGCACUUGCCUUAGUGAAAUUUUUAUUGAUCUUGCUAGCAGGGGGAUUUCAUGUUGAAUUCAUCUUUAUUGAAAUUUGAAUGUAUUACAAAAAACAUAGAAUAUAUGCAUGUGCGACAGGCCAUCGGGCAUUGUAACAGAAAUAACUUGCCAGAGUGAGGAUUUAAUAGAGCAUUUUGCUUACUGGAAAUACUUCUUCAGGUGUUCGGCGUUCCAUGACCUCUUCACGUCUCGUCCGUCUUGGCACGCUAAUUUAUAUGCUCCUGGUCCAGUGGCUCGUAUCACUCGGUAUGGGCCUUCCCACUUUGGGCCAAGAGCGCCAUGGUUAGGAUUCCUGGUGUUCUGGUUCACCUUCCUAAGUACCCAAUCUCAUGCUCGGAACUGCCUCACGCGUAAAUUCUUGUUGUAAUAACGCAUGACCCUUUGCUGACAUUGGGCCACUUUCUGCGAGGCCUCUUCCCUUUUCUCCUCCAGCAGGUCUAGGCUUAAGCAGAUCUGCUCGUCAUUUUGCUCCUCAACGAAAUGUUCUGUUCGAUGUGUCCCCACUCCAAUUUCCGCUGGGGCUACCGCCUCAUGACCAAAAGCUAAAGCAAACAGGUUUCCCCUGUGGCGGUUUUGUGGGUUGUCCGAUAGGCCCAUAAUACCCCUGGUAGUUCGUCAACCCAAGCUCCCUUCUUCUCUCCCAAUCUAGUUUUCAAGAGCUUCUUUAUUACUUUGUUAGCUGCCUCCACUUGUCCGUUUGCCUGGGGGUGCGAGGGGGUGCAAAACUUCAGGUCCACCCCCAGAUUCCGACAAAAUUCUCUGAAGUUGUUGUUGUCAAAUUGCCUCCCAUUGUCGGUAAUAAUGGCAUAAGGGAUUCCGUAUCUGCAGAUGAUAUUCUUCCAAAUAAAAUCUGUUGUCUUUCUUUCCGUGAUUUGGCUGAGGGUCCCCACUUCUAUCCACUUGGUGAAGUAGUCUAUUGCUACAAUCGCAUGGGUUGCCGCUCAUCGGCCUUUCGGUAACGGACCAAUCAGUUCUAUUCCCCAUUGAGCAAAUGGCCAUGGGGAUGUCAUAGUAGUCAGCUUUUCUGGGGUUGUGUGGGAACCUCUGAAAAGCUUUGGCAGAUAUUGCACCUCUUUGUCAUCCAUUUUGCAUCCUGGUGCAUGGUCGGCCAGAAGUAUCCUUGCCGGAGUGCCUUGAAGGCUAAAGCUCUGGCUCCUGAAUGAUUUCCACAUAUCCCUUCAUGAAUCUCCCUUAGUACAUAGUUUACCUCCUCGUCAUCCAAACAUCUCAAAAGGGGUAAGGUGAACCCUCGGCGGUAUAACACUCCAUCUAGUAGCGUGUACCUCGCUGCUCGGCAUUUUAACUUUCUUGCUUGCCUUUUGUCUUUCGGUAAAACUCCGUCGCGGACAUACGCGCAAAUCGGGUCCAUCCAGGAUUCUCCAGCGCUUACUCUCAUCACCUCUACUUCCUCCCCUAUACUCGGCGAGGUCCUCACCUCUAGUGGAACCGACUUAGGUAAUUUUGGAUCUGCAAUUGCAGCCAUCCUAGCCAACAUAUCCGCUCGGUAAUUCUCAUUCCGAGAUAUCUGCUUUACUUCCACCUCUUGGAAAAGCCCGACCAUCUGCUUCGCUUUUUUUAAAUAAAGACCCAUCUUCUCUCCCCUUGCUUGGAACUGAUCAUUGAGCUGAUUACAUACCAAUUGGGAAUCUGCUCGGAUUUCUACCCUUUCUGCUCUCAAAGCGUGUGCAAGCCCGAGCCCGGUGAUAAAGGCUUCAUACUCAGCUUGGUUGUUUGUGAGCUGAAAUUCGAACUUCACCGCAUAUGUUAUCUCGGUUCCCUCUGGGCUUCGUAUUACAACUCCUGCUCCGGAUCCUUGCUCACUACAUGAUCCGUCAACCAUUACCAGCCAUAUCCCCUUUGAAUCAUGUUGCUCUGCCGGUUGUUCCUCUUGGACCUCUUCCCCCGGUUCAACACGGUCCACCAUAAAAUCUACCAGGGCUUGGGCCUUGAUUGCUCCUCGGGGCCUGUAGGACAGGUCAAAUUCGCUCAGCUCCAUGGACCAUUUUACUAACCGACCAGACACAUCUGGUUUUUGAAACACUUGCCGAAGUGGCUGGUCAGUCAUCACAACGAUCUGGUGGGCUUGGAAGUAUGGUCGGAGUUUGCGUGCUGCCGUUAUCAAAGCCAGCGCCCACUUCUCCAUUAGCGGAUAUCUGGUUUCUGCAUCCACCAGGGCCUUGCUUGUGUAGUAUACCGGGUGUUGCUUCCCUUCUUCUUCCCUGACUAAGACCGAGCUGGUAGCCUGCUUAGAGAUUGCCAAGUACAAGAGCAGCUGAUCACCCUCUCUCGAAGUUGAUAGUAACGGGGCGCGGGCUAGGUAUUCCUUCAGCUGUCCAAAUGCCCCCUCGCAUUCCGGUGUCCAUUCUAGCUUCUUCCCUUUCUUUAUGACUUGGAAGAAAGGGUGGCACUUAUCAGUGGCUCGCGAAAUGAAUCGGUUCAAUGCUGUCAAUUUCCCCGUAAGGCUCUGCACCUCCUUAACUGUUCGUGGGGACCUCAUUUCUAUUACCGCCCGUAUUUUUUCUGGGUUGGCUUCAAUACCCCGAUGGCUCACCAGGUAUCCCAAAAAUUUGCCCGAGCCGACCCCAAAUGCACAUUUCUCCGGGUUCAGCUUCAUUUCGUACCUCCUCAGCAAUUCGAAAGUCUCCUCCAAGUGCUUCACAUGAUCUCUCGGGUCUCUUGACUUGGUGAUCAUAUCGUCCACAUAUACUUCCAUAGUGUGACCGAUCAAUGGUUUGAAGACCUUGUUCACUAACCUUUGAUAGGUAGCUCCUGCAUUUUUCAGGCCAAAGGGCAUCACCCUGUAACAAAACAGACCCAUGUUAGUUAUAAAGGUGGUGCUUUCCUCAUCCUGCUCGUUCAUGGGUAUCUGGUUGUAUCCGGAGAAGGCAUCUAUGAAACUGAGCAGACUAUGACCCGCGGUUGAGUCCACCAACUGAUCUAUUUUUGGUAGGGGAAAUCUAUCCUUCGGGCAUGCCUUAUUAAGGUCCGUGAAGUCUACACACAUUCUCCACUUCCCAUUGGCCUUCUUUACCAGUACCACAUUGGAAAUCCACUCCGGGUACUUGGCUUCCCUUAUAAAUCCUGCUUUUAGCAGCUUUUCCACUUCGGCAUUUAUGGCCUCGUACCUUUCAUGAUUGAAGCACCUCCUUUUCUGCCUCACCGGCCUUGCCCCUCUCUUGACCGCCAGCUUGUGACAAGCUAUCCCGCGGUCAAUACCUGGCAUAUCCUCAUGAGACCAGGCAAAUAUGUCUGCAUGGGACUGUAGACACUUCACCAGCUCGGCCUUUAUUGCUUCGCCCAAUUCUGAUCCGAUCUUAACAACUCUGCUAGGGUCACUCCUGCUUACAACAACUUCCUCCAGCUUCUCAACAGGUUCCUGACGACCAUUUUUUGAAUCCCCUCGGUUAUCUAGAGAGGUAACCUGCAGCGUUUCCUUGGCCGCUGUAGCAUAGCAGCUCCUGGCCAUUCUCUGGUCGCCCUUUACCACACCCACAACUCCAUUUAUUCUGUACUUCAUCGCCAGAUAAUGCGUGGACAUUACACAUUGGCUUAUCCUCAUGAACGGUGUCCCCAAUAUCAUCUGGUAAGGACUUCUUUCCUCUACCACUACAAAGUCCAACAUCAUCGUUCUUUCAAAUGGCUUUGUCCCCACAGUAAUCGGGAGUUCAAUGACCCCCAUGGGAGUUAACCGUCCCCCUCCAAAUCCCUUCAAGGAUGUAUUCGUUCGCUCCAGCUUGAAGUCUAAAAUCCCCAUAUCAUCUAGGGCCGACUUAAACAGAAUGUCUACUGAGCUGCCCGUAUCUACCAGUAUUCGUCGCAAUUCUGUACUGGCCACCAAUGCUUUAAUCACCAGUGCAUCCUCGUGAGGGUACAAAAUGCCCUCUUCGUCGUCCUCUGUCCACAUAAUAGGAACUUGCCGCACUUUUGCCCUAUUGGCUACUGGCAAAUUGAGAAGCACUUCCUUGCCAGUCAUGGCAUAUCUCCUAUAGUUUUUUCGUGCUCUGUUUGAAUCCCCGGCCAAUGUUGGCCCUCCUGCUAUCACCUGGAUAGUCGGCUGUUCUCGUUCCAAACCCCUUUCAACUCCUUCAUCCUGUGCAUAUUGCGACUCACUGACGGGCGACACUCUAUCUACGUACUCACCCAAGUACUGGUUCCUCACCAAAUCCUCCACCUGAAUCCUUAGGUCACGGCAUUGGCUGAUGGUAUGACCGUGAGUAUUGUGAAAUUUGCAGAACCUGCUCUUAUCACGCCGGUGAGCGGGUUUCGUUAUAGGGGCCGGAGUAUACAGCAGUCCUCGUCCCUCGAUCCUUUCAUAUAGUUCCUCCAUGGAGAUUUUUAAUGGAGUAUAUUGUCUAUAUGCCGCGCUCUGGUCAACCAACUGAACUGCUCGGCUAUGAUGGAUGUCACCUCGGUCUGGUAUAGCCGGUAGCUGCUCUGGUCGGCCAGACCUGUAAUUAGUUGCAUUUACCGCUCUGGGGGUGCUGUGAUAAGGGUGAGCAGUCAUCUGCCUGAAUUCUCGCUGCCGCUCUGGGAUCGGGGGGCGCGGAGGUUGAGCCCGGCUGUGUUGGAACUGUUGUGCUCUCUGAGCUAUGGGGUAAGGGCGAGACCGAACUGAUAUUCCGCCCAUCCCUGAAGAUUCUCCAGUUCGCUUUCCCGACCCGCUCCCUUUCGGGGCUCUCCGUUCCCUUCGCCUCAGCUCUUCUAGCUGUUCACUUUUAAUUCUUGCUGAUUUCUCCUCUUCUAUUUCUAUAUCUCAUCUCGCCUGCUCAUACCCCGACGAGUAAUUCUGUACGAGGGGGCUUCUUAAGUUAUACCACAAUCGGCCGAUUCUUACACCUUCUUUUAAUCCCCUCAAUGCCUGCGGGUGAUUAAAAGCUCCCAAAUCCAGCACGGCUCGGUGAUAUCGUUUUACGAAAUCUCGAAGGGAUUCAUUCUCCUCCUGCUUCAUCCCCAUCAAUUCCAUCAUGUCAUCCUCUGGGGCCACUGCCCCUCGGAACUGCUCGGCCAACUCCUGGCACAUCUGCUCAUACCCCUUUAUUCCUCCUCGGGGCUGCUUGCGGUACCAUUCUCGGGCUCGUCCCUCUAGUGUCAACGGGAACACCCUGCACCUCUGAGCUGGUGUCAGCCCCUGCACACCCGUCAUGUCGUUGAAACGCUCAAUGUGCACCAACGGGUCACUUCGCCCGGAGUAUUUGAGGUCGGGGAAGCGGAAAUCUCUUGGGAUUAUGGUACUCAUGAUCUUAGUUGAUAACGGGGAUUCUUCAUCUAGCAUUAUCCUCCAGCUCGGGGGCUUUCUCUUGCCCUGCAUCUCCUCUAUCACCUGCGCCAAUCUGCGCACCUCCCCCUCCAAUUCUAUAGCACGAUCAGGAUCAUGUGCAGCUAUCUGGUCUCGCUCCUGCUCGACGUUCUGCAACCGCUGUCUGAGCUCUCCUUCAUCAACACUGGCCCCUCGGCCAUUUAUUUCCAGUACCCGUCUGGGGCGAGGUUGGUCUCUCCCUUCAUCCACGUGUUCCCCUGGGACCCGACCAGUACUUCGGUGAGGAUGCACUCCGUUAGGUUGGUCUGCGGGCGGGGGGAUUUCCCCGACCCUACGCCCCCGGAGGCUGGGUUCUGCUCCAACUCCAUCUCUUCCCACGGGGGUUUCACAAUCCCUUCUCUGCUCGUCCCUCAGCUCAAACAAUACAGCCGCGAGAGUCUCCAUUUGUUUCUCCAUCUGCUCCAGUCUAUCUUGCAUCAUCCUCUCUCGGGCUUCAUUUGCAAUCUCCCGGAGAGUGAUUGUCUCCACCGUUUCAUUGCCCUCCCUUAAAGUAUCCUUUCUUGACGCAUCCAUAUCCAAUCGUUCGCUGCUUCUCCGGUACUUACUAAUUUGGUGGUAGCUUUUUAUUCAGCUCCCCACAGACGGCGCCAAAAUGUUGAUGCCAAAAUCGGCUCGUCCUUGGACCGACCAGAUUCGUUCACCAACGUUUAAGUUAUCCACUGCUGCACGAACCGCUAAGGCUGGAAUUACCCUCCUUUCUCUCACUAGACCUGCGUUCACCAAAAACAGAUCAGAGAUGCCGGUGGUUUUGCCGGCGUAAACCCUCCGAUGCCUAAGUUAGCACAAGGUGUUUACGGGAAAACAGUUAAAUUUUGAUUCAAGAGUGGUUCUAAUUUGCUCGAAGUUUGUAAUAAAAUUGCCUGGUUUCAAUUUGGCAGCGUUUUCCCUCUCCCAGUUUUGUUAUCUCCGUCUUCAUCGAUUUCUUCUUCUUUUAUAGCUGCUGUUUGUCCCACGUCUUCCGCUUACCCUCUAUCCCCCCUUUUCUCGGGUUGUGGCAGCCCCUCAUGGGGCUCUGACUGUUGCAUUGUGGCAAACGUGGGAUCUUAUGUGUCCUUCAACGGUUCCGGGAAAGGCGCAGCAGCCGCGAUUCUGUGGGAUCGUGUUCCCGCUUUUCUGGGGAGUGUGUAUCGGUUCGGUAUUAACAUCUGGUCGGCAUACGCUCCCGUGCUCUGCUCGUACCCACGGCUGAGGUGAUCCAUGCCGGGGUGGAGGUAGUAGCAUGGUCGACCUGGUGCUUUUAUUAACUUAACACUAACGACUACAAAUUUUUUUUAAAAAUCAAAUAGCUACUGAUCAACUGUGCAAUUGCUUUAUACAAUUAGGGUUCUUGCCUUAAUGAUGUCAUGGAGAUGGGUGAAUCAAUGGCCACCAGGCACCAAAUUCAUGACCAAUCAAUGACCAACAAGCACCAAAGUAAUGCCAAGCACACCAACAACCACCGAUUAAUGGCAAGCUUAGUGUUUAGAAUUUGGAGAAGCACUUGGUACUGUAUCGAGGUAUUAAAUCAUCAAAAACCAAUUUGGUUUGGACUCUUCAAUUUCAACUUGACUCCUACACCAAAGCCGCCCAACAACAACUCAACAACCGAAUCACUCGUCCUAAUAGCAUAACAAUCCAGUCGUCAGUUGCCUGCACAUGAGAGACCAUUUUCUAAUUUAUGAUCGAAAUUGUUGAAUUAAUUUUACAAUUCUCUUGUACCAAUUUUCAUCAUAUAUGUUGCCUCAAGAAGUGAAGAUUGAUGUCGGAAUCACUUUCAGUUUCAAUUACAUGAUGUUUGCGAUCUUCUUAUACCAAUUCGGUUUACAGUUGCCUUAAGUAUCCAUGUCCGUCAAAUCUUAUCUAUAUUAAAGUAACCGCCUAAACUGUUAACCAGUGGCUGUUUGAUUUUAAAAAAAUAUUUGCAGCCGUUAGAUUGAACAAUAAAGCAUCCGACGGCUCUGCCAAAUAGAGACAAAAAGUGUGGUAUAGUGCAACUGUUGUAACAUAGGUGGAUCCUCAUCAAUAUAUCUCGAGACUUUGUAAAGUUACUAUGAAAAUCCAUCACAGCUGUAGUUAUUAUGAUUUAUUUGGUCCAAAUAGUCUAAUGCCAGUGGCGUGACCUCGUGGGUCCUCAAAUUAUUCAAAUGGGCAUUUCAUCGAAUAGUUGAUAUACUCGGCAUCUGCAAUUGGAAGACACGUUCAAAAACUCUAAAUCAUGUUAAAGUCAACCAGAAAGACGAAACAUAGAAAGCAACAAUCCAACAACUUGUUUAAAAUAUUCGCUUCAACAAAUGGUUGCGUUGACGUGUAUUUUGGGGGAUCAUCAAAUAUAAACAAAGACCAUGUUAAAGACAAGCAAAAGCUGGCGAGAUUGGUACUGAUAUACUAAAAGAAAGACUAAUAAAGCUUUCCUAGCGGCAUCACUCGUGAUUAUUUGAUAAACUAGCGGUAAUAAAUGAUUAUAUUUUUAGUGGAUAACAGAGUACGUUACAAGAGCUGAUAACUGAUCGCUUUCUUUAUUUUUUGUCAAUAUUCAAGCAAAAAUACAAGUCAAUCAAAAUAACGUACCAUAUUAACAUUAAAUAAACAGAGAGGGAUAAGCUGGGCCAAGUCUUUAAAUCAGCUACGUCAUGGAAGAUUAAAAAAAUAGAUCAACUAGAAUAUAAUAUAAUGCUCUCACAUUUAAUUAAUUAGGAGGCUAAUGCACUAUAACUCAGCAUUAAUCAAAAUUAUUUCAUAAACUAGUAUAUACUGGAUAUCUCGAUCGGUGCAAAACCGAGUACUGAGAGAUAAAAAUUAACCUGGUGUCUUUGGCAGGUCUUUAAUAUAAUUGCUAAGCUUGCCCCAUGCCAUUGCCAACUUUGGCCAUCGGCUAGCUGCUACUUAUGAAGCAACUCAAGGAAACAUAAAGCAGCCGUCGUAAGAUCAAGCACAACAAGUGUGAUCACUGAUCAUGCAUCCAGGACAAUUUUAUAUUUAUUCAAUUUCAAUAAUCAUAAUAUACUAUUGAAUUAUAGACCAGGAUUUCUAUUUUUAAGAAUAUAAGACACAAGCACGAGCAUAUUCGCGCAUCUUUAAUAAAUUUAUUGGGACACACUAUUUCUGCUUAUUGAAGAAAAUCAAGAAAUGCUGAUUCCACCGUGCAUGGUUUAAUGUUAAUUAAAGUUUAAAGGGAUCAGAUUCAUAUUCAUUAAUAUGCUUUUAUACGAAUCGUUCUGUUUGAAUAUAAUAAUGGUUUCAGAAAUGCAUACCUGUUAAUUCUCCAUUUCUUGUCUCCGAGGAAAGUUUGACUUCAAGCAAUGUUAUAAGAGGUUUAAUUGUGGGUCAAUUUCUUGCGAGCAUUUCAACAAACAGGUGAUAUGCAUGCACAUCUCCUACGCUAUCACUGCCAUACUUGCCCUGUAGUUGCUUCCAGUUGUAACAGGAUGCUGACAUGUCAUCAUACUUGGACAGAUCUUUAGAGGCCAUUCUUCGAAGCGCUUGAUGAUGCAAACACGUGAGGACAAAUCAUGCACGUAUGAUAUGUGUUUAUUAAUUAAAUAUAACUAUUAAUUACAAGAUUAUUUUUUUAAAUAAAUACAUACAUGUCAUGUAUCUAUUAAUUAUAUAGAAAUAGAAUACAACAAAAUAUUUUUAGAAUCUGUGGGUGAACACAAUGUAAUUAUUAUAAUAAAAGAAAAACUUUAGAGCCUUUGGUGUACUCAUUAGUGAAAUUUGAGCAAAAGAAAAAUUCAUGUUUGUAAACCUCGAAACCACAAUAACCUUAAAUUUGAGAUCAUUAAUCAUUGAAUGUUUUGUUUGUAAUAUCAGUGGCAACACGUUUAAUGAUUUGAUUAAAUUUGUGUUUUGUUCUAUGAAUGAUUUCAUUCAUUUUUAUGAUUUUUUUGGGUUGACUCAACGGAACAACUAAUAAUUACCCAGUUCCAUAACCGUAAUUAUAACAGCGGCAAUUAGAUUUUUUUAUUGUUAUUAUUUUAAUGUGUAUUUUAUAGAAUAUAGAUAUUUUAGGCUAAUGAUAUUUAAGGGUGUUUUAAUUUAUUUUUUUUUUUAAGUUUCAAAUCACUUAACUUUUUUACCAAUCUAUUAAGGGUCCGCCUAAGUUACGUUUAAUGUAACUUACGGCUUGGCCCUAAAAUUUUGGCAACUACUCACUUCAAUGGACUGAAGUUGUUAUUGCUGGACAAAAGGAAAAAGAGCGGGUUCAAUAGAUGAGUUGUUCCCAUUGAAGCUAUCAAAGAAAGAAAAGGAAAAAGAGCGGCUGCAAAAGGGAGGAAAGUGGGAGGAGUUGAAAGGCUGUCACAGUAAAUUGAUCGCCUUGUUGAUACUGUGGAAAUGGAGGUCGAAUUCAAGAAGAAGAUCAUGGUAUUAAUGUUCCUAAAGGUAAAGGUCGAGAGAUGGGGAGAUUGAGAAAUAAUAGUGCUGCAAGUUUAAUGAGUGGACAAUAUUGUAGUUAUAUAUAUAUAUUUUUUUACACACAUGUAUAAAAUAUUUUAUUUUUAUGAGCUACUUCGAUUGCAAUAGUUUUAUGUACAUAAAAGUUUACAUAAAGAUUAAAUUUUUGCAUUUUCUUUUUGCACUUAUUUAUCAAUCAAUUUAAUAAUAUGUUAGCAUUUGUGCACAUUACAAACUGCAUAACAAUUUUUUUAGUUAAAAAAAAAUUAAAGUUAGUUUUAUUGCAAAUUAAAAUAGUUAAUAAAAAUUAUAUAAGUAUGUAAUAAAGAAAAUAGAAUAUACUCUUUAAAAAUCCAGUAAAUAAAAAAAUGAUGUUAAUAAUAAUAUUCUAAAUAAACUACAAAUAAACAAACAAGUACAUUUUUAUUAUUGCACAUGAAUAUUACACUUUGAAUUUUCACUUAUCAAAUUUGUAUAGUAGAUUAUUUGAAAAAUGAUUGUCAAAUAAUCAUCAUUUACCAAACACCCUACUAAAUUAUUCGUGAAAUUAAUUAUUGGGAAGUAAAAGAAAUCCCCAAUGUACCCUCAAUCAAUCACAAGAAGUUAUUUAAGUUAUGAUAUCUAAUGAAUUCUAUUAAUAGUGAGCGUGUUUAUCAAAAAUAUAAAAAUAAAUAUUUUAGUUAUUAUCCACCUGUUUUCCUGAAAUCAUUCCCAAUUUUUUUUCGUUUGCCGAAAAUUCCAAGGAAAAUAUAAAAAGAAGAAGAGUUGGGGGAAAAAAGAAAAGGAAGGAAAAACAGGUUCCUCUGUUUUCAUUCCCCUGUUUUGAAAUUAUCUAUCAUCGAUAUAAUUUAAUCCCCCUGUUACUAAAGGAGAAUGGUUCAGAUUAGUUGCCUGGACUCGCUUAUCUUGAUCUGGGUGGUCAAACCCGCCCAUCAGGAGGAUUCAGAUUUUGAAUUACCUGUCAUAAUUUGUUUUCCCACCUAAGCAUCUUGAGCAUGCUUAUUAAAAGAAUUGUUGUUCCACUCGUAUAGUCAAUGGAUUCCCACCUACGCGUUUGCUUAUUAAAAGAAUUAAUCUUGCUUUUCUAGGAAAAUAAUGCAAUACGCAUGACGGUACGUGUCCAUGUGAGAAAGUUGAUGAAAUCUUCACUUUCAGUGUUGGAACUCCACAAUCGAAACAAUCAAUACGACAAUUUUUCUCCAUCGUUUCAAUCUUAAUUAAAUAGAAAACAAGUACGGUCAAAUAAAUUCUGGUCUACCAAUUUAAUUAGUAUAAACAUAUGGAUCCCAUCAUUAAUAUUAUAAAUAUGUGGGUAUUUUUAAUUAUUACAUUAUAUGACUAUUUACAGAUUGCUUUCAUUAUGUCAUAUUAGGUAAGGAGAUUCCCCUUAAAAAAACAAAAAGAGGGAGAGAUUCCCUCUUCGGCGAAUGAAAAUAAAAGAAAUUAAAAAUAAAAUAAGACUUGGUAAAUUUCGCUCUUUUUUUCUCUUUUUGCUGUUGGCAUUUUAUUCAUAAAAGAAAUGAUCACAAGUCAUUCAAUAAAUAUUAAGGGCUGCAUGAUUAAGUCUUCUUCUUUUCCAAAUCAUUGUCAUUACUCUCAUAAGCUCUCUAUAAUCACAUUCCUCUGCAGGUAACAGAAAUUUUUUGUUCAUUGAAAUUGCUCUUAAAUGUUCAAGGCGAUCACAGAGGCUCAUCAACUUUCUGACCCCACAUAAUUAAACAGGUGCACUUGUUCUAAAACCUUCAAUUAAUUUCUUUUAAUAGCAUAAUCUCUAAUGCUUGAUCUUUAUAGCAUUUCUUUCUUAAUUUCCAUCCACUUUCCAAGAUAAAAAUUAUGUGGCUUGUUUUGCUUGAGUUUUGUAGUUAUUGUUCAUUUAUGGUAAAUUUAUGGUUGUUUUUUUUUUAAGACGCUUGAAGUAGGUUUUGUUAAUAGCAAAAACUCUGAUCCUUAACAAAGAAGAAAAAAUGUUGCGAUACUGUUUACUGUCUUUUCCUUUUUUGUCUUUCCCUCUAGUUCAUUUUAAUUUAUUUGAAUUCCUUUCUUUGACAUUUUAUUAGAUUUGUUAAGCAGCAGGCAAUGGCAGAGGUGGGUCUUGCAGCUCUCUCCAGCAUCGUAUCAGAAGGUGCAAAUUCACUGUUCAAAGCGAUUAUACGGCAGAUAUCUUAUGUGUUCAGGUACCAGAGCUACAUAGAUGGGCUAAAAGAUCAAGUGAAGCAGCUGGGAUAUAAAAGAGAAAUGGUGCAGCAACCAGUUAAUCAUGCUAGGCUACAAGGGGAUGAGCUUUAUGAGGGUGUCACAGACUGGCUACAUAACGUUGAUGAAUUCAUCAGUGAAGGGGUUGCAAAAUCCAUCAUUGAUGAUGAAGAUAGAGCUAAGAAGUCCUGCUUCAAAGGGUUAUGCCCAAACUUGAUUUCUCGUUACAAGCUUAGUAAACAAGCAGCAAAGGCGGCAGAAGCUGCCGCUAGUCUCGUGGGAAAAGGCAACUUCUCCAAUGUUUCCUACCGUCCUGCUCCAAAGCUGGCAGAACAUAUGCAAGUGAAAGAUUUUGAGGCGUUUGAUUCAAGAAUGAAAGUAUUUCAAGAUGUUGUGGAGGCAGUGAAGGAUGACAAGGUCAACAUAAUUGGGGUCUAUGGGAUGGGCGGCGUGGGCAAAACCACGCUGGUCAAACAAGUUGCAAACCAAGUGAUGGAAGAUAAGUUGUUCGAUAAGUUCGUUAUGGCUGAGAUAACACAGACCCCAGAUUAUCAUAAAAUUCAAGACAAACUUGCUUUUGAUUUAGGCAUGGAAUUUGACUUGAAUGAGAAUGAAUUUCAAAGAGCUUCUCGACUGUGUCAAAGGUUGAAGCAAGAGAAGCGGCUCCUCAUUAUACUGGAUAAUAUUUGGACAAAACUUGAGUUCGAUACAGUUGGAAUUCCUUAUGGGGAUGUUGAUGAGAAAGAUAGAGAGGACGAUCGGAGAAGUCGCACAAUAAUAUUGACGUCUAGAAGUCGAGAUUUAUUGCGCAAUGAUAUGAAAUCUCAAAAGGAUUUCUCAAUUGAAGUUUUAUCCAAGGAAGAAGCAUUGCAAUUGUUUGGAAAGAUAGUGUGUAAUUCUGCAAAAGCAUCUGCUUUUCAACCUUUAGCAGAUGCGAUCGUUGAAAAAUGCGGAGGAUUGCCUGUUGCACUGAUUACACUUGCAAAAGCUUUGAAAAAUGAGAGCUUUGACACUUGGAAGGAUGUGCUGCGUCAGCUAAGAAGUUCCUGUGCAAAAGAAAUUGAUGGAAUGGAAAGAAAUGUGUACACCUCCAUAAAAUUGAGUUACGACUUGUUGGGAAAUAAGGAAGCAAAAUCUCUGUUCCUUCUUUGUGGUCUAUAUACUGAAGGUGAUGUCAUACACGUUUCUGACUUAUUGAGAUAUGGUAUGGGUAUGGGCUAUUUUAAAAACGUUUACACGCUGGAAGAAGCAAGGAGUAGAGUGCAUACGUUGAUCGGCAAACUCAAAUCUUCAUGCUUAUUGUUGGACGGUGAUGCUGAAGAUGAAGUUAAAAUGCAUGACAUCAUUCAUGCUGUUGCUAUAUCAAUUGCAGAAGAGGAGCUCAUGUUUAAUAUUCCAAAUGUUGCCUACGUGGAGAAAAAGAUGGAAGAGACAAUACGGGAUGGUCCAAUAGCUAUUUCUUUACCUUAUAGAGAUAUUCAAGAGCUUCCCAAAAGGUUGGAAUGCCCCCGUCUCGAGUUACUUUUGUUGUUUUCAAAGCGUUAUAGCUCUUUGCAAAUUUCAGACCUCUUUUUUCAAGGGACAGAAGAACUCAAAGUUUUAGAUUUUACUGGAAUAUUUUUCUCUUCAUUACCUUCAUCACUUGGUUGCCUCAUUAACGUUCAAACAUUAUGUUUAGAUGGUUGCCGACUGAACGAUAUAACUGUAAUUGGACAGCUAAGGAAAUUAGAGAUUCUCAGCUUCCGAGAUUCUGAUGUCAAGGAGUUGCCACUUGUAAUUGGACAAUUGACGAGAUUACAGUUGCUAGAUUUGAGCAAUUGUAGCAGCCUUGUGGUGAUAGCUCCAAAUGUCAUAUCAAAAUUAUCUCGAUUAGAAGAACUAUAUAUUGGUAACAGCUUUUCACAGUGGGAGAAGGUUGAAGUAGGAAGUAACGCCAGUCUUGCUGAAUUGAAUGGGCUGUCAAAGCUAACUACUUUGGAGAUACACGUUCGGCAUGCCGAAAUUCUACCGCGGGAUUUGGUCUCUGUGGAAUUGCAAAGCUAUAGGAUAUGUAUAGGAAAUGAGUGGUGGAGCAGCUGGUCCGUUAAAUCUGGAUUAUCAAGAUUGAUGAAGCUCCAGGGGCUAGUAAAGUUUGGCAUUCUUUUGCAGAAUUAUAGGAUGAAACUGUUGUUGAAGAGAACUGAAUAUCUCUAUCUAGAAGAACUGAAGGGUGUUCAGAAUGUUGUUCAUGAAUUAGAUGAUGGGGAAGGUUAUCCACGAUUGAAGCAUCUUUCUGUAGAAAGAUGUUAUGAGAUUUUGCAUAUUGUCGGUUCAGUUGGACGGGUUCGUCGUAAAGUCUUCCCCUUGCUGGAGUCAUUGUCUCUUAUUGAUUUGAACAAUUUGGAGACAAUAUGUGACAGCCAACUCACAGAAGAUCAAUCUUUCAGCAACUUAAGGAUUAUAGAAGUAAAAUCCUGUCACAAAUUGAAGCAUCUUUUCUCAUUCUCCAUAGCCAAAAACCUAUUGCGGCUUCAAAAUGUAGAAGUGGAUGAUUGCGAUGAUCUGGAAAUGAUUUUUGGUAAGUGUUGAAAUUAAGAAUUGGUGGGAUAAUGGACUUCGCCUCAAUUAUUUUGAAAAAAAAAAACAACAAAGAUUAAUUAUGUAUAUAUUGUUUUUGUUUGUUUAUAGGACCCGACAGGGAGAAACCAACAACUUCUUUGGGAUUCAACGAAAUCAUUGCUGAUGAUGAUACUGCUCCAAAGGUGAUAAUUUUCUGUUCAAUAAUUAAUUGAUUAAUUUAUUAUCACCAUUAAUCUUCGAUCAUCAAAAGAAUAUUAUACUGGACGGUUGUACUUGAAGGAACAAAAAUGUACGGGUUUUCUUUGCAGGUUAUUCUUCCGAGGUUAGAGGAAUUGAAUCUCGCGCAUUUAAGAAACAUCAAAAAAUUAUGGGCCGAUCAUAAUCAAGGAAUGUACUGUUGUCAAAAUUUAACAAAAGUGACUGUGAGAUGGUAUUAUCGUCUGAAGUAUCUGUUUUCGUAUUCUAUGGUUAAUAGUCUUUUGCAACUCCAACAUCUUGAGAUAAGUUAUUGUUCGUCAAUGGAAGGGGUAGUCGACACCACGGGAUGGUUAGGAAGGGAUGAAGGAAAGUUGAUUGAAUUGAAGGUUUUUCCUAAACUACACUCCCUCAAGCUCUCUCAUCUUCCAGAACUAACAAGCUUUGCCAAUACGGGACAUAUUCAUUCAGAUUUAGUUGUUGAAUUCCCUUCAUUGCUAAACCUGAAGAUCCAUUGUUGCACUAAUAUGUUAAGAUUUAUCUCUACAAGCUCACCAGAAGACACCAUUCAUUCUGAAAUGCAACCUCCUCCUCUCUUUGACGAAAAGGUUUUUUUUUUUAUAAAAAAAAUAAUUUUAGUCACAAUACUUAAUUUGUCUUUUCCUUGAGUCUUCGAAUUUAGUUAAUACCUGCCUCUAAUUUAGUUAUCAAUUGAUUAUGCCAUUAAUUGAUUAAUUAGUUAUUUAAUCUUUAACUGCCAGGUACGACUUCCUAGGUUGGAGGUAUUAGAUAUUAAGUGGACGGAUAAUUUGAGAAGAAUAUGGCACCACCAGCUUGCUUCGGAGUCUUUCAGCAAAUUGAAGAAUUUAGAGAUAUUUGAGUGUAAUAACCUAAAGAAUAUUUUUCCUCCAUUGGUAAGGUUGCUGUAUUCAUUUCGAAUCUUUUUUUUUUUCAAAUUACAUCCAACAAUAUUUUAACCAUUUUUGGGUUUACAAAUGAUAUUCAGCCACUAAUUCUUUAUUUCAAGUAUUGUACUUCGAACCACCACUCUCAAAUCUACAUUUUAAGUCCAGUUUUUAGGUUCGCCAGCAUUACAAUCAACAAUAUAAUUUUUUUAAUCACGAUUCAACAGCAUAAUAUAAUUCAAUUUAAUUGUUUCUGCUCAUAUCUUAAUAAGUACAAUUUUCAACAAUUAAAGGAUAGUCACUCAUCUUAUAGGUUCACAAAUUCAUCUAUAUAUUUCUCUUUUCCUUAAUUCAUCUAUAACAGUCCCAUGUUGAUGGCGUUGGGAAGUGUUUUCCAGAAAUGUUUUCCAUUUUUAAAAGCAUGAAUAUCGGGAAAAAAUGUGAAAUACAGCGUUUUAGUUUAGUUAUUUUAAAAAUAGGCAUGUUUGAAAAUUAAAUUUUUUUAAAAAACUAGAAUCAAGAUGAAAAAUGAAUUUAGAAUAUUUAAAAAUUACCUGAAAUUCUUUCUCCGUUCCUAAUACUAAAUAGUGUAAAUACAUUUUCAUUAUCUUUGUUUUUCUGGACUUCUAUUUAUUUGUUUUUGUUUUAAUUUUUUCCUUUUUUCUUUAACAAAAAAUAUCUAGUAGACAUUCAUGGUUUGUUAUUUUUCAUAAAACAAUUGUAUGAUUUUGACAUACUUUGAAUCUAGUUGAAUGCUACUCUUUAUUUUCAGGUUGGAAUUCCCAAUAGUCUGGUGAAUCUUAAUGUAUCGGACUGCAAAAAAUUAGAAGAAAUCGUAGGACAUGUUGGAGAAGAAGCGAAGGAGAAUCGUAUUGCUUUCAACGAAUUAAAACUUUUGGAACUUGAUGAUUUACCAAGGCUUACCAGCUUUUGUUUGGAGAAUUACACUCUUGAAUUCCCAUCAUUGGAGCGAAUUUCUAUGACAGGUUGCCUGAACAUGAAGACUUUUUCUCAGGGAAUCGUAUCCACACCAAAGCUGCACGAAGUGCAGGUGAGUAAAAAGGAAGUAUUAAGUUUUAUAUGAAACUGUGAUGUUGUUUGGUUACUAAGAAAAUAGGAAGAAAGAAAACUUCUGUAAGCUGAGAAUUCUGUUAUUAUUGAUCUAAUGAAUCUGGAAAUUACAAGCCUUUUUAUAUGUGCAUAGAAGAUUCUACACACAUUGCACACACGCACAGUUUACUACUAACAACCUUUAGCUGACUCAGCUGCCAUGUCAGCAUACUCAUUAACUAACUAAUUCUAUUCUUAACAGGAAGAGGGUGAAUUGCGCCGUUGGGAAGGCAACCUUAAUUCCACUAUACAAAAGUGUUACAAAGAAAUGGUAUGUGUUAAAUCGAUUCGUCGAAAUUACUUAUGCAUCUCCCUUGCACUUGCACAUUUGAACAUAUACACCUGCCUUGUAUAUAUAGUUUUAGAAGUUAAAACACAAAACAUGUAAGUUUAAUGUAUAUAUAUAUCUAAUGCCUUUCAAAAAAAAAAUUUAUAUAUAUCCAGUGCAAUUGUUUUGGUUUGUGCAGAUUGGAUUCCAUGACAUACAGUAUUUGCAACUCUCACAUUUUCCACGUUUGAAAGAAAUAUGGCAUGGCCAAGCACUGCCUGUCAGCUUCUUCAACAAUUUAUUUAAGCUGGUGGUGGAUGACUGCACGAAUAUGUCGAGUGCUAUUCCUGCCAAUCUGCUACGUUGCUUGAACAAUUUGGAAUGGCUGGAAGUGAGGAAUUGUGAUUCACUAGAAGAGGUGCUUCAUUUGGAAGAGCUAAGUGCUGACAAAGAACAUAUAGGACCCCUGUUUCCUAAGCUUUCCGACCUAAGGCUCAUUGAUCUUCCAAAACUCAAAAGAUUCUGCAACUUCACUGGGAAUAUAAUUGAAAUGCCUGAGUUGGGAUAUCUAACUAUUGAGAAUUGCCGAGAUAUGGAAACAUUCAUAUCCAACUCUGUAGUGCACAUGACAACAGAUAACAAGGAACCUCAAAAAUUAACAUCAGAAGAGAACUUCUUGCUGGCUCAUCAAGUACAACCUCUCUUCGAUGAAAAGGUGAUUAUUGUUAUUAUUAUUAUUAUUUUUCCCUUCACUUUCGUUCGCAUAGAUGUAAUUUCAUUAGAAUCAAAUCAAAUUUAAUGACUCAUCUUUUUGCACGUCGUCUUAAUUUAUAUCUGAUUUAACAAUAUAACCUCCGUUAUUAACUAACUUUAUAGUAUGAAUUAUAAAAAUGUCUUAAAUUAAUUGGAUGCCUGAUAACACGAGGUGAUGAACUAUAUUAAUUAUGUGUAUUGCAUCUCUGUUUUCCUAGCUAAUUCAUAUUGGAUUUAGCAUCAGAUUUCAUUUAUGUGUUUCAAAGGGUAAUCGAUUUGAUACUUAUAUUUGGGAUCCUACUGCAAAGCAUACUAAUUUGGAAAUAAAAUAUAAAAUGCCGUGAUUAAUCUUGUCCAUAAAAUAUGCAGGGGAAGACUGCAGAGAUUGGAUACAUAUUUUCAUUUACAACUUAAUUUUGUUGAUUUUCAGGUUGCUUUCCCUCAAUUGGGGAAUUUAAGACUGUCUGGAUUACACAAAGUGCAGCAUCUCUGGAAGGAAAAUGACGAAUCCAACAAAGCGUUUGCAAACUUGGAAAGGCUAGAAAUAUCGGAAUGUAGUAAGUUGCAAAAAUUAGUACCACCUUCGUGGCAUUUGGAAAAUCUUGAGGCUUUGAAAGUAUCGAAGUGUCACGGGUUGAUAAAUAUGUGGACGCUCUCAGCAUCUAAAAAUCUAGUGAAUCUCGGAAGAAUGAUGAUAGCUGAUUGCAAAAUGAUAGAAGAAAUCAUACAAUUGCAGGUUGGAGAAGAAGUGAAAGGCUGCAUUGUCUUCGAGAAAAUGAACUACUUGACACUUGAUUGUUUGCCAAGCCUAACAAGCUUUUGUUCGAGUAAUUACACUCUUCAAUUCCCAUUCUUGCAAAAAGUUGUUGUGAGACAGUGCCCAAAGAUGAAGAUUUUCUCUCAAGGAGUCAUAGACACACCAAAUCUAAACAAAGUGAAACUCACCGAAGAAAAAGAUGAUGAUGAUGAAGGAUGUUGGGAAGGCAACCUCAAUGCACCAUAAAAAAAUUGUUCAAUGAAAUGGUGAGUAUCAAUUAAGUUUUGGUGCUAUUUAGCAAAUUAUUUUAUAGAAACUAAUGUGAUAUAAUAUGAUUGGUUGACUGAAAAUAUAUAAUAAUAAUAAUAAAUAAAUAAAUAAAUUAUGAGGGCCAUGUAAUGUUUUUGUUUAACCAAUCAUAUUAUGUCGCAUUAGUUUAUAUAAUAUUGUUUGUGCACAAGAGGUGGUGGUCAUAUCAUUACUCUAGCUUUAUUAUUCUUAUGGUGGCAAUGUAUGCUUGCUUACACGAGUAAUUUACAAAAUCUGCAGAAUUCUAAAGAAGAGAUUGAGCCAGCCCUUGAGGUACAGUGAAGAAGCUAUCUCGAACCAGGCCAAUCUCUUAUACAUGAUUCAGCUUGCUCGUUCUUCUGUACUUGAAUAAUCUGGUUCUAAACGUAUUUACAAUUUUUUGGUCAUGCUACAGACUUGCAAGACACUUUGGAUUUUGUUUGAUGCAUUCUCCGUUUAAGGAAGCACUUGAAUUGAUGUUUCAUGUUUCAUGCAAUAUCCAAUUAGAUUCUGACUAAAUUUCUGUGUUAUUUAUUCAAUUGGUCUUUUAAGCAUUUGAUUUCUAACCUGUCCUAAUAGAAGAUCAUUAUCUGAAGAAAACAGCAUAACAUUUGUGGCAUUAUGAGAAUAAGAAUUUUUUUGAGUAUAGUAAAAUUAUCUCGACCAUUGUUAAAAAGAAUUAAUCCGUCAAACUGACCUUCUCAGACCAGCACGCUUUAAAUUAAAAGAAUUUUGUGAAAGUCUAGACCAUGUUAUAGAUCUCGUGGAAAUAAGAAAACCCGUAAUUUUUUUCACAGCAUCAUAAGAAAAAAUCAUUUUUUUUUUAGUAUUUUUGUUAGCUGUUGAGUUUUAAUAGUAGUAGCUAUUAAACAAGAACAAUAUGUGUAUAUUAAAAAGUUGGAAACUGGUUGAUAGCACUUGGGAGUCGAGCAGUUCACUUGUUUGCGAGUAGAAACCAACUUUACUACUAAUUACACUCAUACAAAAAAUAGUAACUAAAGAAUCAGGAAAUUUCCUAUUCACUAUUCUUCAUUUUUUAAUGCAAAAUUCCCAUUCGAAAACACCAAUGACUUUCAUUCAAAGUAAAUGAGAAAUUACAAUGAAAAUAGAAUCAAAAUACAUGUAUGUAUACCUAAAACAAAUGAUUUUUUAAUUUAAAAAAAAAAAAACCCGGUUGAGGUGAAAUGAAACCAGAGUCAUGAUAUCUCUGGUUCCAACUUUGGGACAACAGCAGACUUGAGUUCUAUAUGAGAAACACGUACAGCACCAAUCAGCCGCUCCAGUAAUUCAUCUGUAGUAUUUGCCUGCAUACAAAAGAGCAAGAUAAAGAAGACACACACGAAGCAUUAUACCAUUCUGAGAACAUUCAAGUAUGCAAAAAUGCAAUUUAAAAUGCAAAUUGCAGUGCAAUAUCUCAAAAUCAUGUCUUUUCCCUUGUGUCCAUUUAGAAGUGGGGGAAAAAAACAAUCAUACAUACCUGUACAAGGAAAGCCAUGUCAACCACCAAUGUCGUAAUUACACCAAUUACAAGGCCCAAAACUCCAUUAGCAACAGUAGAAGAACCGAUGUCAACAUUAAUCUACAGAAAGAUGAACAAUGUUAAACCAUGUUAAUGGUAUCGGACGCUAUUUGAAAGGGGAACAAUUCAUCUGUAGUUACAAUCAACCGCUUUCACUAAUGAACAAGGGGUGCUUCCAACACUCUUGGCGCACGAUCCAUGACCCCUGCAUGAUUCAGUGCUUAAAAUCAAGAACAAGUGCAAAACAAAUUCAAGAGGGUAAAAUGGACAUGAAGUUUGAAGGUACAACCCAUCAAUACAUUUACACCUAAAUGCAUGCCUUCUUUGGACAAAUUGAAGUGUACCAUGCAGUAAAGGGUUAGUAUACGUUAAUAUAGUCCUAAUACAUGAAGGCCAAGAUGGAUACCUUAGGAACAGAUGGAAUCAGUUUCAACCUACUAUUGCGAAACUCAUCAUCGCCAUCAACAAACCGUUGCAAAAGUGAUCCCAUAACCAAUUGCCUUGCGACUAAAUAAAAUACCAUACUAUAAUGUGUUGAUCCAGGAACCUGCAGAUGCUUAGGUUACAACUAUACAACCUCCCAAUACAAUAAGUUUGAAACUUAAUACCUUCUGAAAUGAAACAAACUUACUUGAAGAUUAAAGAUCAGCGAGAAAAGCCCUUUUUCAGAAGCAACCUACAUUUUUUAGAAGAGGGUCAGUGUGUUAUAGAUUCAAUGAACCAUGAGAAGUUAUUUACAUUGUAGUAUCUCACAGGCAGUAUUUUCUCCUAAUGCAUCAAUGGAAAAGGAAAAAUAAAAAGAAAAGAAUAGUUACUUGUGCAGCACAGCCUUGACGCCUAGCUACAUGGUCCAUUCUCUUUGUGUCUUUGAACCAAUCAACAGCAACAAGAUCCAUUAAAUGUUUUCCCGCAGGUAUCUGCAGUUACAAAUUGCACAAAGCACAAGAAGAGCCAACCAAACUACAUCAUAACCUGUCUACCUAGCCUAUGCAGGAUAUAUAAAUACCAUAACAAACAAACAAAAUAUGGGGGAACCUUUGUUUUGUCAUAACAAAAAUGCUUGCUACGAACUCUAAAGUUAUUUCCAUCAGAAAGUUUCCAGCAGUCACGAGCAUUAUCACAGUCAUCGUGUCGUAGAUUGCCCGAAAAACAAGACAAAUCAAUUUGAUCAGCCUGCUCUUCCUCUAGGGCUGCAACUAAUUGAAAUUUUUUUUUAAAAAAAAAAGAUCAAUACCAUAAAAAUCCACUAGCCAAAUAUACAAAAAUGAAUACUUAUCAUCCACCUGUCCUCUUGAAAUCAUUCUCAAUCUUUUUUUCAUUUGCCUGAAAUCCCAAGGAAAAAUAUGUAACUAAUACUUCCCAUUCAUGAAUAUUGUCUAUCGUAUAAACAUGACAUUUUUAAUUGGAAUAAUAAAAUUAUUUAAUUAUUUUAAUUAAAUGUUAAUCCUACAAAUUAUUUUUGUUAAAUCUAGCAAGAAUAACUAAAAUUUCUUUAAGAUAUAUUUUGGUGGUAAAUUAAAAAAAAAUUAAUUAUUUGGCGGGAAUUAUUGAAAUUGGAGCCAUUUUUUUUGUGGGAAUUGAAAUAUAUUCUUUAAAUUAUUACAUAAAUAGCAAAAUGUACAUACACACACAUACAUAUAAUUCAUAUAUAAAAAUUCUCUAAUUUGUUCACAAGUACCAUAGAUUAUAAUUCAGUUAUGAAAUAAAAUAACUACAAUAAUUAUAGUUAAAUGAAUACUUCAUUAAUUCUUAAUUUGCUUCCUAACAUUAAAUGAACAACUUGAGUCAGCCACCUGAAUUAACCAGUAACAAUGCCUGAGUCAACUAUCUGAAUAAACCAGCAACCCUAGCUGAUUCCAGCACCUGCAAUUAACAUCAGCACAACAGGAACAAUCUUAAAUCAACACCAAGAACAGACCAAACUGCCAUCAAAUGUCACAAAACCAAACAGUCUGCUACUGCCAUCAAAUGCAAGCAAACAUAUGCAACAAAACCAGAUGCAAGUGAAAUUCUGGAGAAUAUCGGAUAAACCAAACCAAAUAACACACUUCUAGUAAUUAGACUAGAUGCAGUGUUCAAUUAAACUAAAUGUAGUCUCAUAUUACAUUCAAAAUUUCUAAAAGAAGCAGUGUUCCAUCAGAGAAGCACCAAAACCAAACCAAUCUAAUCCAGCAUAAUUACCAGCUCAACCCAAAACAAUUACACAUUAUAUUGACAUAUCAAAAUUCGCUAUCAAAACAUAGCCAAAUAAAUGAAAAUAAACUCAAAACAGACCCAAACCAACUGAUGUUGCGGCCCUAGUAGUCGUUGUCCGUUCCACUGCCAUGGGAGCGAGGGUAGGCUCCGUUGUCGAUGAGUGAGUAAGAUAAGGCUCCAAAUCAAUAGUUCCACCUCCUUUCUGCAAUUCAAAAAACAGAAAUUCAUAUAUGUAAAACUAUUAAAAAGUGUGAAACAACCUGUAAGUAUUCAACUUCUGUCAACUCAAUAGCACUUACUAAAGUUUUUAUACAGAAGAAAAAGGCAUUUUAAGUCCAAAAAAUUAGAAUUAUUGGUUGAACUCCAACUCCAUCAAUCCAUGCAACCAUCCAAUCUUUAACGAAAAAUGAAGCAUAAUUAACCAGACAUCUGAAUCAGAAAGAUUGUGCUUUCAUUUGGCACGAGGUGUUGGAAACAACUUAACAAAUCUAGACACAAUCUAUAACCAUCAUGUCCAAACAAAAGUCAGGAUCUAAAAUACUUUGAAAAAUCAGAAAAACAGUUUCAAUUUCUUUUUCAUCCAUUGUAAGCUCAAACUAAAGGUAGCCACGAUACCUUUAAACAUCAUUUGGGCUUAUACAUGCGACAUUUGCUCAUGAACAACUAAAGUUGAAUAAGAUUUUUAUAUGAAACAGAAUACAAAAGUCAAAGUAGAAUAUGACAGGAGCUACAAUAUAUUAUUCAGCAUCAGCAUUAUGUAUAAAAUAAAUUUAGAGGCAUUAUAUUCAUUCACAAUCUUGCAGAGGUAACACCAGAUUAUGGCACGCAUCUCUUGAAUAGCAGAUAAAGGAGGAGAUGCAGUGGGAAGGUAGUAACUUGCUUGCAUGAGAACUAGAAAGUAAUAUCCCAAGAUCAAUUAUAGAUCUCAUAAAACAAAAACAGUGAGGCAAACACAAUUAUACAAUCCAUCUGUCAAAAGGCUAAGCAAAUGAAUAUACAAUCAACACCAUUCUUCCAAACGAAUAUACAGUCAACACCAUUCUUCUAAACACAAACAAAGUUUGAACGUAUGACAGAUUUUUAGCCCUUUAAUAUUCCAUCAAAGAUAAUUAGAUAACACCUACCAAGGAUUUUUGAAAAGAAUGCAUUCUCAUCUUAAGCAGCAACCUCACCAGUAACACAUUUUCAUACCCUGUUUCCACCUCUGGUCGCACCACCAAAAAAAUUCAGUACUAAUUAGCUUCAACAGAAUCUAUUUUUUAAUUUCCUUUUUUUUUUUUCAAAAUAAACCUCCAUUCUUAUACAUAAAAUUAAAAUAUCAAUUAAAUAAACAAAGUCUAUGCUUACUAGUAAAACACGUCCAUUUUUAGGUAGAGGCAGAUAAUAAAAGAAAAUUGAAACUGAGAUAAAAUAAGAAGAGCUUACUAGGUGCAUUUGAUCAACAAUCCAAUCCUCAACGAUGGAAUCGAUGCCAUCAAAUAAACAUGACUUAAUCUUGAAACCACAAACUGCACUAAGCAUAGCACCAAAGCCAGAGCGUGACUAUAAAGAAGAAGAAAAAAGAAGGCAAAGAAGAAUUAAAUUAACAUGAAAUUCAACUGGAACAAUACAAAAUAUGAAAUUUUUAGCAAAUCUUACUAGCGUUAGGGUUAAGGCUUACCAUAGGGAACUGGAUGGCGCUAACUAAAUGACAAGUUGAAACGGCAUCUGCAAUCGUAUUGAAUGACAUUGAACCGCGAGGUAGGGUUUAAAUGAAUACCGAGCAGAGAUAAAUUGGUGUGGUGAAUUAGGGUUUUGUGGCUACGUUUUAUUUCGAUUGAAAAAAGGAAUUUGAGCUUUUGCUUUAAUACAACGGUGUCGUUAAUUUAAACAUUCAUUUUAGGUUGCAGUGGCCAGUGGAGAGAGGGGGAUUCAUUCAACGCUUAGCCAAAAUUUGGCUGUAAGUGUUGAUGUGUUUUAAGUUAUACAGAACGGUGUCGUUAAUUUAAACAAUACUGUUUUACAAUCUUAUAAGAUCACAAAACCUAAGCAUGACUUAUAUGUAUCAUUUAUUUAGGACGGUUAAGUUAUAAGUCAUGAAUAUGUCAUAUAUUCUGGACAUAUGAAUAUAUAUUAUGAAUCUAUUAUAUUUUUAUGACACAUUCGUGACACAAUGAUAUAUGUCAUCAAAUUUAUGUCAUUAUUUAAUAUUUUUCUAGUGGUGUCAGAUUUUUGAAACAUUUUUGUUAAUAGCAAAAACUCUAAUCCUUUAGCAAAAGACUAAAAAUUAAAAAAAAAAUCUGUUUAAAUAUCAGUUGGCUCAUGAUCAACACUUCAAUACUGUUUGUUGUAUUUUCUUUCUUUCUUUCUUUGUCAUUUUAUUAGAUUUUUUUUGUAUCAUAGUUUGUUUUGCUUAAGUAAUUGUUCAUUGUUUAUGUCUGUGUUCUUACUAACAGAGUAAAAGAUUUUGAGAGAAUGAAUUGCACCCUUUUCCAUUGAUUGUAAGACUUUUAUAUGCAGCAAUAUAUAUAACAACUGUGCCUAUUUUAAAGAGAUAAGAUAACAGAAAGAUAUACUUUACAUUUGAAUUAGUUUGAAUGAGUAAACUAGAUAGGUCCCAUAUUCUAAGAGGAGAAUCUGCUGACACUUACUGGCUUUUGAUAAUUUAUGGUUGGUUUUUUAUUCAGACCCUCGAAGUACCUUUUUGUUAAUAUUAAAACCUCUGAUCCUUAAGAAAGAAAAAGAAAUUCUCUAUUUAGUUAUUAGUUAGUUCAAGAUCAAUAUAGCGAUAUUGUUUGUGGUCUUUUCAUUCUCUAUCUUUCCCUCUAGUUCAUUUUAAUUUAUUUGUAUUCCUUUCUUUGACACUUGUAUUUAUAUAUAUAUAUUGUUAAGCAACAGGCAAUGGCUGUUGAAGGGUGUCUCCCUGCUUUUUCCAGCAUUGUAUCACAAGGUUCAAAAGCAUUAUUCGAACCGAUUAUGCGGCACAUAUCUUAUGUGUUCGAUUACCAAAGCUACAUAGAUGGGCUAAAAGAUUGAGUGAAGGAGCUGGAAUAUAUAAGAGAAAGGGUGCAAACGCUGGUUAGAGAGGCUACUCUACAAGGAGAUGAGAUUUAUAAGGGUGUCUGAGACUGGCUAAAUAGAGUUGCUGAAUUCAGUGAAGGGGUUGCAAAAUCCAUCAUUGAUGAUAAAGAUAGAGCUAAGAUAGAGCUAAGACUGAGCAUGAUUGCAAAUGCACGAUUGCAAAUGCAUUGGAUCAAUUAAGAAGUUCCAAUCUAGGAGAAAUUCAAGGAAUGCGUGCAGAUGUAUAAACCUCCAUAAAAUUGUUACGACUUGAAGGAUUGUAUAUAAGCAUUAAAUUGAUCUAAUUUAAUUUGUAUGUAAACAUUAAAUUGUAUAUAAAUACACAGAACAGAACCAUAUCAGUGUUGGAAAAAAAAAAAAAGAAUCCAGAGUUAUAUAAAUUCAAUUAAAAAUUACUGAAUUUUUUAUUACUAACUUUGAACACUCUAAUUUCAAUAAAAAAAUUAUAUUACUAAAAUAGUCUUAAUUGAAUUUACUAUUAAAGACAUUAGAAUAACUCAACACUAAUAUUCUAAAAUAUAUUUCUCUCCAUAGUCUAAUCUAAUCCAUUCUAAGAAUCCUAUAGAAAAUAUAUUAUUUACUUUUUCCUUAUUAAACACAAAAACAUGUCAUUUUGUUGCUAACUAAAAUUUUGGAACUAACAACAUCAGAUUAACAAAAUUAUCAGAAAAAGAAAUCAAACAAGAUUUUAAUUGUCGUCAUCUUCACUCUUGUCUUUUUCUUUUUCUUCACACAUGUGGCUUGCACACGCAUUCCCCUCUCUCAUCCUUAGGGCCGCCCUUCAACAAUAUCCAAUCAUCGAUUAUAAUUAUUUAGAUUGACCAAAUCAAGCAUUGAUCAUAUAUUGGUUGAGGUUAGAAAUAGGCAGGCAGCAGCAAUAAUACUACUAAUUAAUAUCUCAUGAGAAUUUUAAAGAAAAAUCUAACGUUGUCAAAUUCGUUUGAUUUCAAUGAAGUCUUUCUCCUACUUAUACUUUCACAUAUUCUCUUUUAUUUCCAAAGUUAAGGUUAUGGAUGUUGUAGAGUAAAAAGAUGAACAUUGCUAGGAAAGCAAUAAAAGGAAAUAAAUAAAAAUUAAAAAUAUAAAAAGAGUUAAGUCAUUUUUUUUUCUAUUAGUGUUUUUGUAUUUAAUAACGAAAGAUAAAAAUAAAGUAGAUAUUAUCUAUUGGAUUAUUAAAAUAACACAGGUAUAACACAUGUCAAAAUCUCGUUAUUAUAAUAUUAGAAAAGAUUAAAUUAGGAGAAUAUUCAAAUCGGCGAAAUAAUUAAUAAAUCGUAUUUAUUAAUCAUCCACCCAAUUCAUGCAUACCCAAAUGGCCGUCAACGAGCUAACCAAAUCCCAGCUUGUUGUAAUCUGGGUUGGGCUUUUUGGGCGAUAAUUAACUGCCCGAGCUGCUCAUCUACCCCAAUAGAGCCUAACAAAAAUUUUCGCCUAAGCUUCACAAAAAUGUUCAUAAAUCUUUUUUUUUUUGGUAUCAUAAAAACAUAAAUUUAUUUCAAACACUUUUGGAGCUUAAUAAAAAUUUCCCAACAUUUCAUCUGACAAAGGUAGUUUAAAAGUGUAUUCGUUAAAUUCUAAAAUACAUACUUAAAAUCUUUUAGUGACAAUCUAAUUAUAAAUUAAGGAUCUAUUUGGGAUUGAGAUUGAACAGUUAAAAUGUUAUAGUUGUUGUAGUUUAGAAGUUAAGAUGAUUUGAUUUUACACUUAUAUGAUAAAAAAUUUAUUAUAUCUUUUCUAAUUUUAUCAAAAUUAUUAUUAAAAAAUUAUAUUUAUUAUAUACUAUUAACUUUUAUUUUAUACUUAAAACUUUUUUUUCUUACGGCAAAAGUUUUAGCACCUCAAUACCCAACCAAGUCUAAAACUGCACAAUAAUAAUUAUGAGUGCGAAUGUUAAAAUCUACACACAUUCGUACUUGAUAAUUUCAAUCAACAGUGUUACAAACUUAAUUAAAAUAUUAUAUCUGAAAUUAUUGAGGGGAAAAAAAAGAAAAAGAAUGUUGUUUUCAUGAUAGUGACAUGUGUCGUGCACAUUUUGCUGUUGGCUCUUUGGUCUCUAACCUAGCGAAUAGGUUGUUGUGUCCUCGUUGUUAGAUGCCCGAACAGCAGCGCAAGAACUUUGUACUAUACCAUAUAUUUUAUGAAGGUGGUGAUGUUACAAAUAAAGACGAGUAAUAAACCAAACGGCGUCGCUUUGCUAGCCUGUUAGAACUAUCAACGCGCUCUGCCGCCCUCUCGUUCCAUUUAUUCAUUUAACCCGGUCAGGGGAUUGGCGAAUUAAAUAAACAACAACAGUCGUCCGAUCCACACAGAUCGCCACUCAUAUUUAAUCCAACGGCUGGGAUAUGAACCCCUCUAUAACUUUUAUUUGUCGAAUCAGCCGCUCUCUCUAUUUAAAUUAAUUUUUUUUUCAACAGCCGACGAGUGCUGACGUAUCAGAGACGCCCCAUCAAUCAAUAAAAAAAUCAAUUGAAAAGGACGGUAUAGUGAGUGGAAGAGAAAUGCCAAUGGCAGAUCAAGGGAUGAAGAUACGAGCUCACUUGCAACGAGGUAUAGUUCAUCAUGGCUUUCCUAUAAGUUCAGGUCCUUAUGAAUACUUUCAAUGAUCUUAUUAGUCAGAAAUUCAACAAUAAUUUUUACUUUUUACAUCCAGGAACAGUUUUAAGCACAAGCAACUCAGGUGGUCAAUAGGCCUCAUAUGUUAGCAAGGUCUCCGUUUUGGUCACUUAAGUCCCAUAUGUUAGGAAGACUCCCUUUUUAUUUUUGGUAUUACUUAUAAUAGCAAAUCCUCUUUUUUAGGCCUCUUUUUAUUUAGUAAUUAUCUUAUAAUGAAGAAUUUUGUUACACAUUUUAUAUUUGAUAACCUUAAUAUUAAAGAUCUCUAAUUGAUAGUAUUAUCUAAUUGUUAAUUUAUUAUUAGUUUUUCCAAAAAAAAUAAAUUCUUUAUCUAUUUAAAAAGGUUAAUUAAUUAACAUUAUAAAAAAUUUUGUGAUAUUCUCUACACAGAAAAUUAUUACAUUUAUUACUUCACUUCUGAAUUAAAAAAAAAAGAUUUAUUGAAAUAAUAGUUCUAGAGGAGGUAAAAAAGAUAUCUUCUUGAUUAUUUUUCUUUUUUGAACAUUUUAACUAUCUUGUUGAUUGUUAAUAUUCACGAUAUAGUUAAAAAUUGAUUGAAUUCUAAGCUCUUUUAUGUUUCUUUAGGUGUUGAAGCUGCUGAAUGUAGGGAGCCCUCGUAAAACAAUUCCCAUAAUGCCCCUAAUACUCUAAGGUCGACCCUGUGUAUAUCAUAUUAUUGAAAAAAAAUUGCUUCAAUACAGUAUGUGGUAAGGUUUAAUUUUAUAUGAAUUUAAGCUGAAGUUGGUACCUUUUAUUGUUUAAUACCGUGACAUCAGGGAAAUUUUUAAUAGGUCUUCAUUUUAGGCUAAAGUACCCGAACAAUACUUCCCAUGCACUUUGUGAUCUUAUUACAAAAUCUUAAACUAAAUAGCUGUGGAAGUAACAAAGAGGGCAACUUUUUACUAUAAUGUGAUGAAAAUAAUUCAUUUGUCAUCACGAACUAACCAAAUCAAAACAAAAAACUAAUGAUCAUAUGGUUCAAAUCUGUGCAACAAUGGUGCAUUUAAAAGGAAAUAAUGUACAGAUAAAAUUUGUGCUUGUAACAAGAACUCUUCUCUUCAAGCCAACAAUUCCACCUAGCAGAGAGAAGUGUUUUAGGCGACACUUUCCAACUAAUGAAAGCAGUGAGCUCUCAAACUCUGUUAUCAUUUUCUACUACUUGAAAAAGAGAGAAAGAGAAACGAGAGGAAAAACAUGGCUCCUCUGUUUUCAUUUUGGUGAUUGCAAAUAACAUUUUUUUUUUACUUUUACUCUUUAUUUAUUUAAUUUUAAAAAAAAAACUUUUAGCUCAUUAGAUCUUGUUCUUGUUAAUGCUUCUAGUAACUUAUAUGAUGAUCUGAUCAUAUCCGUAAAAUUAACAUACCCAUAAUCCAUUAUUUUAUAAUUAUAAAACUUGAAAAUUCGGUCAUGCAAUUUUGUAUGAUGAACAGUGUGUUCAUUUUUUCUGUGAAACAUAAGAACAAUUUGUAAAUAAUGUCCAUGCGGACCUUGUAAUAGCGAAGCAUCAUUAUUGAUCUUACUUUGAUGAUCGCACUUUAGUUUCUUUUUAAAGUGCCUUUUGUUUAUUUUAUCGGCAUCCGCUUUUACAAAAGUUUUGGUCCUCGUUCAUUCAUCAAAGCUUCUACUUUUAUCUUUUAUUAGGCAUCUUAUAAAAAGCUUAAUUUAAUUGGAAUCAUGUUCGGUAUGAAGAUUGUUUUACUUACUUCAGCAAUCUUUCAAUCAACCGAAUUUAUUCUUUUCUGAUCUGGAAAUUAUUCAUGAAAAAAUAGGCGCGUCAGUAGGACAACAGGGACCAAGUACAUAAUAUGAAAAUUCAUUUGUAUUGCUUACUCUAAUAAGCUCUUAACUCACACAUUCCUCUGCAGUUACCAGUGAUCUUUUGCUCACUAAAAUUGUUAUUAUAUAUUCAAGGUGAAUAAAGAAACUCAUCAUCCCAGAUAAUUAAAGAGGUGAACUUGUUCUAAAUCCUUUAAUAAUUUCUAUUAAUAAUAGCAUAUAUAAUCUCUAAUCCUUGAUCUUGGUAGUAGUUCUUUCUUAAUGUCCAAGAAAAAUAUCUCUCAUUUGUCUUAAUCUUGUCAGUUAAUUUUCUUGAAUUCUGAGUUAGUGUUUAUUGUUAAAUUCGGUUUUCGGUUAGUAGCCAUUGGUUAAUAGCUUCGGUUAAUCCUUGAAUUAAACAUAUUAAAAUCUAAUCAUAAACCCGCCUUUCCCUAUUUUACAACACCCUUUAUGUAAUAGUGACUUCAAAAGUGUAACAUAUUUUGAACAAUUGCAAGGAAAGAACAUAUUUGACACUUCACGAAACGGCUAAGAUAUAAGCUUCAAUUCUUGUACAACAAAUUAAUAUAACCAACUUCAACCGUCAAUUGAUCAAUAAUUCAGUAACAAAAAGGGACAGAUAUCCUAGUCUUUCUUUACUAAUGAAGCAAGCCAUUAAACUUCGAAAGCUAUUUCUAUUUCCACAUUCUUCAUGUACCAAAGCAGGAAAAAUAAAAAAAAAAAGCAACAAAAAUUUGGAAGUAAUCGUCUUUAUUCAGCAGCAUGCAUAUUAAUUAAACAUAUUAAAAAAGAGAUAUACAAUAUCAGGUCUGGAGACGAAAUGAGCCCACAGAGACUACCAAUAAUGUAACGGCUUGAUUAAAAAUAUUAAUCAAGCCACUACAUUAGAAGAACAAGAGUUAAUCAUGCAUAGUAAUUAAAAAUAUUUUUGCUAUCAUCCACCUGUUCUCUCUAAAUAGUUGUCCCUUUUUUUUUUCUUUUGCCUGAAAUUCCAAGCAAAAAUAUAAUUAGAAGAUCAAGAGUUAAGGGUUAAAAAAAUGGAAAAAGAGGGCUCCUCUGUUUUCAUUCCCCUGUUUUUCUGUUCGGUGAUUACAAAGAUUUAAAUCAAAAUUUAUGAUGCAGGCUACACGGCACCUGGUGGAAGACUGCUAGGGUUUACCUUUUAUUCUUAGUUAGAAAUUUAAUUUAGAAUUUGUAGUGUGCGCCUUAUAUAAGUAGGUUUCCUAAUAGUAAAAUUAAAUAAUCAACUUUAUGAUGCACUAGGAUAUGGUUGUGAUAAAUGAGCUUUUUAUGUAUCCUGUGAGGCUGAUUAUUAUUUUAUUACAUUGAAGAUUCAGUUAUCUCUUGGUAGUCUUGUGACUCAAGCGGAUUUAGUUAGUAGUAGGUAAUACUCUGGACUUCACAUACUAAACGGAAUGGAGCAUUAUUUUAUCCCGCUAAAUCAGUUUUUUUUUUUUUUAAUUAAAAAAUAAUUCAUCAAACACUUUAUAGCUCUGGUUUUAACUUGGUAAACACUUUAAGCCGCAACUUUAAAUUCAGUUUACGAGAACUCCUAACAGUCACUGUGGCUUGGGUAGAAAUGAAUAUACUAGCAUAAGUAAUGCUACCCAGGAAAUGUAGUUGAACCUAACCAAACUAAAACCAGAUGAUGAAAGCUUAUAUACACCAAGAGAUUUAUUCGUUUCUGAGUUUGUUUCCAGAAACCCGGAACCUCCCCUGUUUCUACAAACACGGCACCUUUGUUUUCAUUCCCCUGUUUUUCCAUUUGGUGAUUGUAAAAAUCUAAAUCUAAAUCUAAAUUUUUGAUGCAGUCUACACGGCACCUGCUAGAUGAUUGUUUGGGUUUAUCUUUUAUUCUUAAUUAUGAAUUUAAUUUAGAUUCGUAGUGUGCGCCUUAUGAAAGAUUAAAUAGAAUAAUGUGAAAAAAGAAAGAAUGCCUUUCUUAAUUUUGACUUCAUAAUGUUGCAGUAACCGUCCUCUCUUAUCAUUCCCCUGUUCUUUGGUUUGGUGAUUGCAAAUAACAUUCUUUGCAUCUACUCUUUAUUUAUUUAUUUUUUUAAUUUUUAGCUCAUUAAUUCUUGUUCUUCUUAAAGUGUUUAGUAAAUUAUAUGAUCACCUGAUCAAAUCCCUCACAUUAACUCUAAUCCUUUUAGAAAAGACUAAAAAUUAAAAAAAAUAUGUUUAAAUAUCAGUUGGCUCAUGAUCAACACUUCAAUACUGUUUGUUGUAUUUUCUUUCUUUCUUUGUUUGUCAUUUUAUUAGAUUUGUUUUGUAUCAUGGUCUGUUUUGCUUAAGUAAUUGUUCAUUGUUUACGUCUGUGUUCUUACUAGCUUUUGAUAAUUUAUAGUUGGUUUUUUAUUCAGACCUCGAAGUACCUUUCUGUUAAUAGCAAAACCUCUGAUCCUUAAGAAAGAAAAAGAAAUUCUCUAUUUAGUUAUUAGUUGGUUCAAGAUCAAUAUAGCGAUAUUGUUUGCGGUCUUUUCAUUCUCUAUCUUUCCCUCUAGUUCAUUUUAAUUUAUUUGUAUUCCUUUCUUUGACACUUGUAUUUAUAUAUAUAUAUUGUUAAGCAAUAGGCAAUGGCUGCAGAAGGGUGUCUCCCUGCUUUUUCCAGCAUUGUAUCACAAGGUUCAAAAGCAUUAUUCGAACAGAUUAUGCGGCACAUAAAUUAUGUGUUCGAGUACCAGAGCUACAUAGAUGGGCUAAAAGAUCGAGUGAAGGGGCUGGAAUAUAUAAGAGAAAGGGUGCAAAUGCUGGUUAGAGAGGCUACUCUACAAGGAGAUGAGAUUUAUAAGGGUGUCUGAGACUGGCUAAAUAGAGUUGCUGAAUUCAGUGAAGGGGUUGAAAAAUCCAUCAUUGAUGAUAAAGAUAGAGCUAAGAUGUUCUGCUUCAAAGGGUUGUGCCCAAAUUUGAUUUCUCGUUACAAGCUUGGUAAACAAGCAGCAGAGGCCGCAAACGAAGCUGAUAAACUUGUGAAAAAAGGCGAAUUUAACAUCUGUAAUCAUGUUUCCUACCGUCCUGCUCCAGAGAGUACAGAAUAUGUGCAAGUGAAAGAUUACGUAGCCUUUUAUUAUAAUAUCUUUUCACUCUAUUAACUUAAAAAAGAUUGACUUCAAUGUUAAAAAUGUAACAGUAUAUACAUUUUAUAAUAAUUUCAAUAUUUAAAAAAUAUUUGAAUACUUUACAAUCUUAUAUUAUAUUAAACUAAAUUUUAUAAUAAUUAGAAACAUAAUAUUAAAAUAAAUAUAUAAAAUUUUAAGUUAGGCUUAAUAUUAUUUAAAAUAAUUUAAAUAUCAUUAAUAGAUGAGAUAUAUUAUAUUAAUUAUAAAUUCUAUUUAAUCGAAAUAUAUAUUUAAAUUUUUUAUACUAAAAAUAGAUAUAUUAUUAAAAUAAAUAUAACAACUAACAUUUUAAAAAUUAACACUGAAAUUAAAAUUAUAAAUUAUAUUAAUCUACUAGAAAGAUUAAUCUAUUUGACACUAGCAGCGGACAAUGAGGUCACGGCAUAGGACAAGCAGUUAUCGUGACCCAUGGACUUUUCUACUUCUUUUGAAAAAAAAAUCAAAAUCAAAAUCAAAGUCAUUGAAGUGCGUUUGAUGAUUUGCUGUUUAGCUUCUCUCUCAAAUGCUUUUUGAGUGCCUCCGGCAUCUGCUUUUAUAUAAGCUUUUGUCUUUAAUCAUUUAUUCAAGCUUUCGCUAAGAGUGAUGCAGCACAGCACAUAAAUAUAGAAGCAUUGACAGCCGGUCAGGAGCUCUUCGGUAUUUGAAGCAAGAAUGAUUGUUUGGCUUUGUGCAUUGAAAGAGAAAAGAAAAUGAAAGACUUAUUUCAUUAAUACAAUUUAAUUAAUUAAUUUAAAAUAAUAAGCAUAUAAUAAUGAUGAAAUUAAUUAAUAAAAAGAAGAAAAUGAAAAUUGCACGUGCUAUUAGCAUAAACCAAUUGCCGGAAUGAGGUCACUUUGUAGACAAAUGAUUCUGGAAUCAGAACUUGGGCCAGCUUUGGGUUAUGGAUCCAAAAUAAAAAAAGGUGGGCCCCAUGGUCUCUUAUGAUCAAUAAAAAUCGAUUGAAAAGGAUGGUAUGGUGAGUGCAAGAGAAAUUUCGAUGGCAGAUCAAGGGAUGAAGAUACGAGCUCACUUGCAACGUGGUAUAGUUCAUCAUGGCUGGCUUUCCUAUAAGUUCAGGUCCUUUGAAUACUUUCAAUGACCUUAUUAGUCAGGAAUUUAACAAUAAUUUUUAUUUUUUACAUCCAGGAACGGUUUUAAGCAUAGGCAAAUUAGGCCUAUAAUUAAUAGCAAAUCCUCUUUUUUAACAAUUAAACAAUUAGGAAGUCUCCCUUUUUAUUUUUGGUAUUACUUAUAAUAGCAAAUCUUUUUUUUUUUUUUUUUUUGGUUGUAAACCAUCCGGUGUGCCACGACCGCAUUGGGCCUCGAUUAAUCCGGAUUCGGAGUGUAGUCACAGUUAAGGCUCUUUACCCCUCCCAAAUGGUGUGUUUAGUGGGGAUCGAACCCGAGAGCUCUUCCCACAAACUCAGCCUGCACUGCCAACUGAGCCACAACCAUUUGGUAGCAAAUCUUCUUUUUUAGGCCUCUUUUUAGUUAGUAAUUAUCUUAUAAUUAAGAAUUUUUAUACACAUUCUAUAUUUGUUAACCUUAAUAUUAAAGAUCUCCAAUUGUUAAUUUAUUAUUAGUUUUUCCAAAAAAAAAUUAAAUUCUUUAUCUAUUUAAAAAAUUUUAUUAUUUAACAUUAUAAAAUUUUUUGCUCCAUUCUCUAUAAAGAAAAUUAUUACAUUUAUUGGUUCACUUUUGAAUUAAAAAAAAAAGUUUAUUGAAAUAAUAGUUCUAGAGGAAGUAAAAAAUAUAUCUUCUUGGAAAUGUUUCAAACCCAUGAGCUUGGAUUUGUUUGAUAAUUUGUCGAAUUUGCCCACAUAUGAAAUUAGUAUGAUUUUACAGGUUAUAUUAUUUUAUUGGCUACUUCAUUAAAAAAAAAAAACACACACACACAGACACAAGGAUUUUUAUUUGAUGGUAGAAGUUAAGUUGUUUUUCAGUGAUAAAUAAUGUUGUUAACCAAAUUUAAUUGACAUUCUACGCGGCAGUAAUUCAAUUUUAUAGAAGCACGUGGAUUAAAGGACAAAAACACAUCAAGUAUUUAAUAUUGGAUAUGGAUAUGAAUUUUAUCCGUAUAGAUAUGGAGAUCCAUGGAUAUCCACGGAUAUUUUAUUUUUAUUAGGGAUAUUAUCAUUUUCCUACCAAAGAUAUUCUGACACAUCAUGUCAGUACCACGAUUUGGUAAAACCAUCAAUUUACCACUAAAUGUUUAAACUGUUAGCAUUUUCCCACCAUUCCGUUAAAACUCAGUUAAUAUGUAACAGAAAAUUCAUAAAAGGUCAAUUUUACCCCUGAAGCGUAAAAUGCCAUGUAAUUAACCUUUUAUAAAUUUUGUAAUUAAAUCAUCAUUUACUGUUCUUCUUUCUUAAUGGGCAAAAAUUACCCUUUAUGAAUUUUGUAAAAUUGACCGUGUGGUGCUAGGUACUUCAUAAAUUGAUUUAAUUUAUUUAAUUUUUAAAGGGCAAAUUUAUUUAUUUAAUUUUUUGUGUAAAAUUAUUAUCAUCAUAUCAAAGAUUAAAUUGCUUCUUUUGCACAUUCUUUUUUUUCCCUUUCAUAAAUUGAUUUUUAGUAGUAGAAUAAAUUGUCUUUAGCUCGUCAAUUUAAUAAAUAAAUUUAAUUAAAUGAGUGCGGAUUAGGUCAGUGGCAGAUAAAAGAGUCGGUUUUUCCAUUACUAAGCUUUUCAUGGAUGAAAAUUUUAUUUAUUUUUUUUGGUUUUAUAGGGUCUCUGUGAAUGCCAUUAGAAAUGAAAUUGACUAAUUCAAGCUUCCUUUUUCCCCUUAACUGACUGUGAGAGGCCAUCAAUCAGCUCUGUUUUGUAUUUUUGUACCUUUUUUUUUUUCGUAUAAUGAUCAAUCAAAUGUUAGCCCUUAGAUUGCAUCCAAUAUUUACUGAUUGUCUUAUAUUAGGAUAUAAACUAAAUUCAUAAGACAUUCCCUUAUUGAUAUUCAUUCCGACACGUCCUAGUCCUUUGCCUUGUAGAAAUGCUUGUGGUUGAAGAGCUUUACAGAGAAGCUGUCGUCAGUACUGCUGGGAAAUUUAUUAUAUUGAAUCAGAAAACUUGACCAGAUAAAGGCUGUGUGCAUGGGAAUACUUGAGGAAAUAUGAUUUACAUAUACCACUUAAUAUUUUACAAUCUCGUAUUCUAUUAAAUGUAAAUAUGAUUUACAUAUAAAAUAAUUUUCAAUAUCAUAUAAAAUAAUUUUAAUAUUAUUAAAACAUGAGAAAUAUUAUAUUAAUUAUAAAAACUAUUUAACCCAAGGAUUUGUUUAAAAUUUUUAUAAUAAAUAUAUUAAAUUACAUUUUAAAAAUUAAUUAUUUAAAUUAUACAUACUAGUCUACUAGAAAAUUUAAACUAUUUAAAUCAUAUUUACAUUUAGUAAAAAAAUUUGAAGUCAUUUUUUUUUGUGGCUACCAUAAGAGUACUAUAGUCAAAAAGGGUAUUGGUGUUCUUUAUUAAAAUUUUGGGGUCUGCAUGACUAUUUUCUAAAAUUUUAAGGGUGUCAUUUUAUUUUUGGAAAAAAAAUAAAUUUCAUUUAAAUAGCUAAAAUGGUAAAUAGUAGAAUGCUACAGUGGGCGUAAAUAGAAGGUAAAAAGCAAUCAGAUUUUGAUUAAACAUGCAAUGUAUGAAAUAUAUAUUAUGAUUAAACAGAUUUUGAUUAUUUAAUAUUAAAUUAUAUUCACAUUAAUAUCUUAAGGAUAGGUAAUACUCAAAUAAUUUUAAAAAAAAUCAAACCCAAAUUAUAUGCAUUGCUAAUGUGCGUUAUUGUCUAAUAUUUGGAUUUUGCUAAGUCACAACUACUGUAACUUACGGACUCUUCAAACAUAUGUGGAUCCCACCACAUGUUAAAUUUUUUACAUUAUUUUUUAAGGGACUGUAAGUUACAACAGCUUAACCUAACAACACCCUAAUAGUUCACUUUACUUUUAUAUCUUUACAAAACAAUGCCAACAAGACAACAAUGUAUGAAAUAAAUAAAAUAAAUAAACAAAGAACUGACAGCGAAAUUAGGGCUAUCAUUGGUUUCUCGUGGUGUGAACUCUUGACAAUCCUCCCCGAUCCCAUCCAAAACUCCCGCGUAGUGUGAACAUUUGACGAUUCUCCCAUAUCCCUCCAAAAAUUUGUCAUAUUACAAAAAGCAAUGUCAAUUGCAAUGUCGUUUCCAUUAGUCAUAGUGGCAGAUAGGACUAGAAUUUGUUGAAACCCCUGGACUUAUUUUUCCUUUUGAAAAUAAUUUUGUAGAACCUCAUAUCGGGAAUAACAGACAAUAAGACUCUUUUUUUAAUUAUAAUAUAUUUUUUUAAUUUAUUAACUAAAAAAAUUAAUUUUAAUAUUUUAUAAUAAAUAUAAGCAGGAUAUUAAAAUAAAUAUAAUCAUAUGUACAUAUUAAAAUAUUUUAAUACCUAAAUAUAUUUUAAUAUUUUACAAUCUCGUAUUCUAUUAAACCAAAUUUUAAUAAAUAGAGACAUAAUAUUCAAAUAAAUAUAUAAAAGUUUUACUUAUUUUCAAUAUCAUAUCAAAUAAUUUUAAUAUUAUUAAAACAUGAGAAAUAUUAUAUUAAUUAUAAAAUCUAUUUAACCCAAGGAUUUGUUUAAAAUUUUUAUAAUAAAUAUAUUAUUAAAAUAAAUAUAUUAAAUUACAUUUUAAAAAUUAAUUAUUUAAAUUAUACAUACUAGUCUACUAGAAAAUUUAAACUAUUUAAAUCAUAUUUACAUUUAGUAAAAACUUUUGCAGUCAUUUUUUUUUUUUUUGUUACCAUCUACUAAGAGUACUAUAGUCAAAAAGGAUAUUAGUGUUCUUUAUUAAAAUUUUGGGGUCUACAUGGCUAUUUUCUAAAAUUUUAAGGGUGUCAUUUUGUUUUUGGAAAAAAAAUAACAAUUUCAUUUAAACAACUAAAAUGGUGAAUACUACAAUGCUACAAUGGCGUAAAUGGAAGGUAAAAAGCAAUCAAAAUGACCAACAGUCUAACGCCUCAGCAAGGACAUAAGGUCAAAGUUUGUUACAUGUGGUCAGAGCCAUUUAGUCUGUGAGUGGGUCUUUCGUGUCAUUUUUGGUCAUUUCAUCUUCUUUGGCAUUGAAGAUUAAAUGUUGACGACAUUUUCAAAAUUUUGGAAGACCCAUCAUACUUUUGGAUGGUUGUCAUUAUUUGAUAUUAUCAUUAUAUGACGAAAUAAAAUUGGAUGUAACACUUGUUUCGCAUUGUGUGAACUUUUGACAAUUCCCUCAUAUCCCCCAAAAAUCUUUCGCCAUUUUGGGAAGAUGCCAUUUAUUUUCAUUUUCAUCAUUGAUAGUGGCAGAUAAUGGGUUCCGGGGACAGACCAUAAAUUAUUGUGACCCAUGGACUUUUCUAAUUUUUUUCCCUUCGGAUAGUUGUCGUUAUUUGAUAGAAGGAGAUAGAGAUAAAGUUUUUUAAUCAAAUGCCCAUUUUAUUUAACAUGGAAGAAGAUCUUUAAACUCUAAGCGAGACUAUCACUUCAACAUAUGCAGCCUUCAAGAAAGCGGUAACAAGUGAUGAGAUAGACUCAUUAUUGUCUAAUCAAACAAGGACAUCGGUAGAUGUAUCAGGAUCUUAAGUUAGAUUGGAAUUUGAUACAUUAUUGUUGGUAACGUUGGUUCAAACCUUCAAAGUGAGGUUGGAUGCAAAAUGGUUUACACCAAAGAAGUGAUUUAGGAAGUUAAUUAACGUUAUUUUAGAUAAUUUAUAAUUCUAGAAUAUUUAUUAUUUUAUGAUUUUCUAUUUUAGUUUGAGUUAAUUAUGGUAUGUAUCUUAAUCUUUUAUUUCCAUUAUAAUUAUGAUUUAAAUUUUCUUUUUAGGUUAACUUAGGAAAGCGGGUUUCUUCUAUUAUAAAUAAAGAUGUCUGUAAUAAAAAAAAUAAAGAUGUCUUGUCAUUGUUUUCAUAACUUCAAGUUCAAUUAUUAAAUAAAACCCCUCUUUUAUAAUUUCCUCUAGGAUUAUUUAUCAAAAUCUCUCUUGUAGAGUCGUUUGGAUUAGAGUGUCAUCUAAUCUCGUAUUACGCGUUAUUAAAAAUCUCAUUGAGUCAUUUGGAUUAUAACGAUAUCUAAUCACGCUUCGAUUAGAGCGUAAACUAAUCGCGUUGGCUUGGUCUGGUACUAGAACGAUAUCUAAUGUUUCUUACCCUAUCAAUUCUGCUUCCGCUACGCCUCACUCCAUCAAUUGGUAUCAAAAUGAUUAUGUGCGAAUUGCACAUCUUUCCUAGAUACACCAUACCUAUCCAAACCAAAUCCAUCAAAAAAAAAAAAUUUACAAAUUUGAAACCCCCUACCCGUCACAUCAACCUCCACCGUCGCCCACCACCGCCGAUCAGCCAGCCAACACCACCACAAACCUCACUAGCCACCGUUGACCAAGCCUUAGUCAUCGCUGCCUCAACCGUCGCUUGAACAGCCGCAAAUCACCAACCCAAACCCGCGGCUCCACCAAGCAGCCCACCACCAUUCAGCCACUUUCUCCACCAACCACCUCCACCAACAAACUCGCCGGCCUCCGUUGACCAAAAACCGACCAACUUCAGCCCUUGAUCGCCGCCCGUUGUCACCACACGAAACGACACGAGUGCUUCCUAGACGCGCCGCCACCAAAACACCUUCUUUUUCCGUCAAUUUACACCACCACCAUAAUCCUUAGCAUUCGGCAACCGUAAAUCCAGUCUUCCGCCACUGUAAAGCCGGCGUAAACCAAAAGCCACAUCACCAAAAUCAACCGCCAAUUCAAGUCGGAUUUCCCCCAAUUCAAGUUGCUGAAUAUAAAAAGGACUCAUGAAAAUUACCUAAAGUUUCAAAUAUUGUUAUUCAGCAACCACUUUUAGGUUACAUUAGUUUCAACCCAAAUUUUAUAUAAAUAAUUUAUAACUCCCAUUAUUAUCAUAAAAAAAAAAUUGUAGCAAUUGAGGUUAUAUCACAUGAAAAAAAAAAUCUAAUUAAAGAAAUUGACAUUAUAACUUAAGGGAUAGUUGCUCUUUUAAUCAUUAGAAUUUAUGUCAAUUAUCCAGCUUAUCCUUGCAUUCUUAAAAACUAUAUACAAUACCAUUAUCUCUGCUUUUGUAGCUAUUGACUUUGACUUUGACAACAUAAAUAUUUAUUAGCAACAACUUAAAAUUCAAACAAAUCUAAUAUGUAAUGUAUGAAAUACAAAUAAUAAUUAAACAAAUUUUGAUUAUUUAAUAUUAAGAUAUAAUCACAUUAAUAUCAUAAGGAUAGGUGGUACUCAAAUAAUCUUUUAAAAAUCAAACCCAAAUUAUAUGCAUUAUUGUCUAAUAUUUAGAUUUUGUUAAGUUACAACUGAUGUCACUUAAGUCUCUUAAAAAAUAUGUGGGUCCCACCACCUAUUAAAUUUUUUACAUUAUUUUUUAAAAAAUUGCAGUUACAUCAGUUGUAACUUAAUAGCACCCCUAGUAUUUUACUUUACUUUUAUACCUUUACAAAAACAAUAAUGUAUGAAAUAAAUAAAUAAAGAACUGACAACGAAAUUAGGCCUAUCAUUAGUUUCUCGUGGUGUGAACUCUUGACAAUCCUCCCCUAUCCCACCUAAAGCUCUUGCGUGUGUGAACGUUUGACAAUUCUCCCAUAUCCCUCCAAUAAUCUGUCAUAUUGCGGAAAGCAAUGUCAAUUGCAAUGUCGUUUCCCAUUAGUCAUAGUGGUAGAUAGGACCAGAAUUUUUUGAAACCCCUGAGACCCUGAACUUGUUUUUCCUUUUGAAAAUAAGAAAAGAACACCCGUCUGGAGAAAUAAUUUUGUAGAACCUCAUAUCGUGAAUAACAGACAACAAGACUUUUUUUUUAAAUUAUAAUAUUUUUUAAACUUAUAAACUAAAAAAAUUAACUCUAAUAAUUUAUGAUAAAUAUAAAUAGGAUAUUAAAAUAAAUAUAAUAAUAUAUACAUAUUAAAAUAAUUUCAAUAUCUAAAAAUUUUAAUAUUUUACAAUCUCGUAUUCUAUUAAACCAAAUUAUAAUAAAUAGAGCAUAAUAUUCAAAUAAAUAUAUAAAAAUUUAGGUUAUUUUCAAUAGCAUAUAAAAUAAUUUUAAUAUUAUUAAUACAUGAGAAAUAUUAUAUUAAUUGUAAAAUCUAUUUAACCUAAGGAUUUAGUUAAAUUUUAAAAUAAUUACAAAUAUUUUAUAAAUACAAAUAAAUUAAUUUACAUUUUAAAAAUUAAUAUUUAAAUUAAUUAUUUAAAUUAUAUAUAUUAGUCUACUGGAAAAUUUAAAUUAUUUAAAUCAUAUUUACAUUUCGUAAAACUUUUAAGCCAAUUUUUUUUUAUUACCACCUACUAAGGGUAUUGUAGUCAAGGGGAAUAUUGGUAUUCUUUAUUAAAAAUUUGGGAUUUACAUGAUUAUUUUUCUAAAUUUUAAUGGUGUCAUUUUAUUUUUGACAAAAAUAAAAUUUCAUUUAAACAGCUAAAAUGGUGAAUAAUACAGUGCUACAGUGGCGUAAGUGGAAGGUAGGAAACAAUCAAAAUGAACAGUCUAACAUCACAGCAGGCAUAUAAGGCCAAAGUUUGUUACAUCCCAAUACAACAAGUUUGAAACUUUGCACCUUCUGAAAUGAAACAAACUUACUUGGAUAUUGGCGAUCAGUGAGAAAAACCCUUUUUCCAAAGCAACCUUAGGGUACCGAGUGUUACAGAUUCAAUGAACCACAAGUACUUAUUUACAUUGUGGUAUCUCAAAGGCACCAAUUUCUUCUGAUCCGUUAAGGAAAACAAGAAAAAUAAAAAGAAAAGAAAAAGGUUACUUGUGCAACACAACCUUGACGCCUAGCUACAUGGUACAUUCUCUUUGUGUGUUUGAACUAGUUAACAAUAAUUGUGCCUUUACUUCUUGGAUUGGGGAAUCGGAAUCCGAAAUCAAAAUCAUUAAUGAUGGAGGCAGGGAUCCAAAUCAGAAUUAUGGGGCCACCCAAAUUUAGGAAUGAGGAAUGGAAGAUUGAUUCCCAAGGAAGGUGGUGGGAAUCAAUCACCCGUUCCCAAGAUUGACCAUUUUGCUCCCUCUCACAAACUAUAAAAUGUCUAUUUUGUCCUCAAUUAAAAAAUUAUUAUGAUUAAUUAAUAUAUGUUUAUAAUUUAUUAAUAUAACUAUUCUAAUCAAUUUAUACAUUUUACAUUUAUUACUAUUAUUAAAUAAUUAAUAUAUUAUUAUAAUUAAUUAAUAUAUUUUGAAUUUUUAUUAUUAUCAUCAUCAUCAUUAUUAUUAUUGUUAUGAAUGAUAAAAAAUUUUACAAUUAAUUAAUAUAUUAAUAUAUUAUUGACAAUAAUUAUUAAUAAUAAUAAUUUUUGAAUAAAUAAAAAUGUAUAAUUAAUUACUGAAUUUGAACAUUUUACAAUUAUUCUAUUAUUUGGACUUAUCGUACAUGCAGAGUAGCUAGUUUGCUAGCAUAUAUGUAAGGUUUAAUUUGAAUGCAUGCAGCAUUGAGAAGAGACAACGCAGAAACAAAAUUUCCGCUUGCGAUCUUUUCAUUUCCCUGUUUAAUAACAAACAAAACAGAGGAGAAACAGGGGCUCUCUUUUAAUUCCCCUGUUUUUCUGUUUGGUGAUUUUAAAAUGGGUCAUUCUAUAAUGCCGUAACUAAAUUUACGGCAUUGAUGCCGUAAUGGACGUGGACCGUUAGAUUUGAAUAAAAAAUCUCUACCAUUAAUUCUAAAUAAAUAAGUAAUAUGUUACCUAAAUAGCAGGUAAUUACUCUUUUUUGUUCAAGUUUCAGGUUACAUUUACUAAUUUUAUGUGUGAUUUACAAGUUUUAUGAAACUUUUACAAGUUAAUGCUGAUUUACAAGUUAUAUGUAACAUUUACAAGUUUUUGUUUUGUUUACAAGUUCUUCUUACAAUUUACAACUCUAACAUUAAUUUACUAGUUGUAUGUGUGGUUUACAAAUUUUUUGUUUUAUUUAACACUUAAUGUCAAUUUACAAGUUCUAUGUAAUUUUUCUAAAUUUUGGUUUUGUUUACAAGUUCUUCUUACAAUUUACAACUCCAACAUUAAUUUAUUCAUUUUUCCAUCAAUUUACUAGUUUUAUGUGUGAUUUACACAUUUUUUGUUUCAUUUCACAAUUAAUGUCAAUUUACUAGUUAUAUGUCAUUUUUAUAAGUUUUUGUUUUGUUUACAAGUUCUUCUUACAAUUUACAACUCUAACAUUAAUUUACCAAUUUUUCCAUUAAUUUACUAGUUUUAUGUGUGAUUUACACAUUUUUUGUUUCAUUUCACACUUAAUGUCAAUUUACUAGUUGUAUGUCAUUUUUCUAAGUUUUUGUUUUAUUUACAAGUUCUUCUUACAAUUUACAACUCCAACACUAAUUUACCAAUUUUUUUCAUUAAUUUACUAGUUUUAUGUGUGAUUUACACAUUUUUUGUUUCAUUUCACACUUAAUGUCAAUUUACUAGUUGUAUGUCAUUUUUCUAAGUUUUUGUUUUGUUUACAAGUUCUUCUUGUAAUUUACAACUCCAACAUUAAUUUACCAAUUUUUUCAUUAAUUUACUAGUUUUAUGUGUGAUUUACAUAUUUUUUGUUUCAUUUCACACUUAAUGUCAAUUUACAAGUUCUAUGUCAUUUUUCUAAGUUUUUGUUUUGUUUACAAGUUCUUCUUACAAUUUACAACUCCAACAUUAAUUUACCAAUUGUUCUAUCAAUUUACUAGUUUUAUGUGUGAUUUACAUAUUUUUUGUUUCAUUUCACAAUUAAUGUCAAUUUACUAGUUGUAUGUCAUUUUUCUAAGUUUUUGUUUUGUUUACAAGUUCUUCUUACAAUUUUCAACUCUAACAUUAAUUUACCAAAUUUUUCAUUAAUUUACUAGUUUUAUGUGUGAUUUACAUAUUUUUUGUUUCAUUUUACACUUAAUGUCAAUUUAAAAGUUCUAUGUCAUUUUUCUAAGUUUUUGUUUUGUUUACAAGUUCUUCUUGCAAUUUACAACUCCAACAUUAAUUUACUCAUUUUUCCAUUAAUUUACUAGUUUUAUGUGUGAUUUACAAAUUUAUUGUUUUAUUUCACACUUAAUGUCAAUUUACUAGUUGUAUGUCAUUAUUCUAAGUUUUUGUUUUGUUUACAAGUUCUUCUUACAAUUUACAACUCUAACAUUAAUUUACCAAUUUUUCCAUUAAUUUACUAGUUUUAUGUGUGAUUUACAUAUUUUUUGUUUCAUUUCAUACUUAAUGUCAAUUUGCAAGUUCUAUGUCAUUUUUCUAAGUUUUUGUUUUGUUUACAAGUUCUUCUUGCAAUUUACAACUCCAACAUUAAUUUACUCAUUUUUCCAUUAAUUUACUAGUUUUAUGUGUGAUUUACAAAUUUAUUGUUUUAUUUCACACUUAAUGUCAAUUUGCAAGUUCUAUGUCAUUUUUCUAAUUUUUUUUUUGUUUACAAGUUCUUCUUGCAAUUUACAACUCUAACAUUAAUUUACUCAUUUUUCCAUUAAUUUACUAGUUUUAUGUGUGAUUUACAAAUUUAUUGUUUUAUUUCACACUUAAUGUCAAUUUGCAAGUUCUAUGUCAUUUUUCUAAUUUUUUUUUUUUGUUUACAAGUUCUUCUUGCAAUUUACAACUCCAACAUUAAUUUACUCAUUUUUCCAUUAAUUUACUAGUUUUUUGUGUGAUUUACAAAUUUAUUAUUUUAUUUCACACUUAAUGUCAAUUUACAAGUUCUAUGUCAUUUUUCUAAGUUUUUAUUUUGUUUACAAGUUCUUCUUGCAAUUUACAACUCCAACAUUAAUUUACUCAUUUUUCCAUCAAUUUACUAGUUUUAUGUGUGAUUUACACAUUUUUUGUUUCAUUUCACACUUAAUGUCAAUUUACAAGUUCUAUGUCAUUUUUCUAAGUUUUUGUUUUGUUUACAAGUUCUUCUUACAAUUUACAACUCCAACAUUAAUUUACCAAUUUUUCCAUCAAUUUACUAGUUUUAUGUGUGAUUUACAUAUUUUUUGUUUCAUUUCACACUUAAUGUCAAUUUACAAGUUCUAUGUCAUUUUUCUAAGUUUUUGUUUUGUUUACAAGUUCUUCUUACAAUUUACAACUCUAACAUUAAUUUACCAAAUUUUUCAUUAAUUUACUAAUUUUAUGUUGAUUUACAUAUUUUUUGUUUCAUUUCACAAUUAAUGUCAAUUUACUAGUUGUAUGUCAUUUUUCUAAGUUUUUGUUUUGUUUACAAGUUCUUCUUACAAUUUUCAACUCUAAUAUUAAUUUACCAAAUUUUUCAUUAAUUUACUAGUUUUAUGUGUGAUUUACAUAUUUUUUGUUUCAUUUCACACUUAAUGUCAAUUUACAGGUUCUAUGUCAUUUUUCUAAGUUUUUGUUUUGUUUACAAUUUCUUCUUAUAAUUUACAACUCCAACAUUAAUUUACUAGUUUUUUUCUAUUUUUUAUUUUUUUAAAUUUUGUAGACCAAUUUACCACUCUAACGUUGAUUAUUGGCAUUUUAUGAUUUAGAUAGAAUGAUAUAAGGGUGGGCAUGAGUUGGGUUUGAUAGGGUUAGUGAAAUUCUAACCUGAUCUACUUUUUAAUGAGCUGACAUAAAAUCCAUCCAACUUAACUAAAUAAACUUGUUUAACCCAAUUCUACCCAAGCCUUAUAUCGUCUGGUUAAGUUGAUUAGGUUGAAGGUCAAAUCAAAAUUUUAAUUUGAACAAUGAAAAUGAUAUGAAACUUGAAAUGAAACUUAUUAAAAUCAAAUAUAAAUCUUUUAUAAAAUGAAAUUUUCAUUCACUAUCUAGUGUACGUAAAGAAAGUUAAUAAAUUAACUAUCUUUAAAUUAAGAAAAUUUCCACAAAAAGCAUAUAGACUUUAUUUCUCCUACAUCUCCUUUUCCAAUUCCAAAUUCAGACUUUUUAGAUAAUUAGCUAGCAUCAUAUACAAAAAUAAAAUGAAAGUGAUAUAUAAUUAUAUGCCGUUAAGUAUUCACUAAAAAAAUAAAAAGAAAUUAAAACCAACUUACUUUUAUAUUAAUCUUAUAAAAUAAUAAAUUUACUUAUAAGAGAGUGUGAUUUUGGUUUUGGAAUUGUAGUCUAGAGCAACAUGUAGGUCCCGAACCCUGAUUUCAAUUUAAUUGGGCUCUAAUAUUUAGGCCCGAGCCUAACCAUUAAAUUCGAGUCAAAGGAUAGAAAAUUCAGGUCAAGUCAAUUAGACUAAAAGUCGAUCCGAGUCUUCCUUGCAUGUAUAUAUGUUUGCAUCUUGAUUUUUUAUUUUUAUAUAUCAUAUAAACUCUUCUAUAAAUUUAUAGGUAUAUAUAGAAUGCUGCGUUUACUUGUCAUUAAUUGGAAUAGGUAAUGAGAAUCAGAAUAAGUUGUUUACUUGAUCUACAAGAAUCGAAAUCGGAAUGGACUGGAACCCCAUUAAUGUGUUUAUUUUAUCUUGGAAUUGGCUUCGGAAUGAGUUAAAUUGUAACAAAUUACUAAAAAGUACUUAAUGGAUUAUUAUCAUAAUUAUUAUUUUAUAUUUUAAUUAUAGUGAUUAUUUAUUCAAAAAUUAUUAUUAUUAUUAUUAAUUGUAAUAUAUAUUAAUAUAUUAAUAAAAUCAUAAAUCUAUCAUUUUUCUUUAAAUUAGUUUAUAAAAAUCGACAUUGUCCCUUUCCCGAAUGAGAAAUUGGGUAUAAAAUCAUAAAUUUAAAAUUUAACUAAAAAUCAUAAAUCUAAACCCCAAAAAAGUCAUAACAUAAGUGGUUCUAUAUAUAUUUUAGGUAUAUAUAUAAAUGUUUGUGUGUGUGUGUGUGUGUGUCUCUCUCUCUCUCUCUAUAUAUAUAUAUAUAUAUAUAUAUCUUAUUUUUAAUGAAUUGUCAUAUUACUGGAAUUACUUAGUAUGAUGUCAUAAUUAUAGAAUUAAGUCACUUUUAUGGCAUAAACAAUAUAAUUUUCUAAAAAAAAAUUAGGUUCAACUAAAGAUUGAUAUGUUACUAAUUUUUUUUUUUUUUGGAUGGACCUCUUUACUAGUUUAAAAUCGAAUCAUUGGCAUGUUUAAUUUAAACCUUAUGGUCCUUUUUAGUUACAAUUUUUUUUUUAAAUAUCAAGGUAUUUUUUAAUCUGCUAUCAAAUUUCACUUAACACUUUUACACUCUUUUUAUUUCAAUUUUUUUAAAAUAAAUAUUACAGUACUUUUUUCUUACAUUCACGACAAAUUAUGUAAUCUCAAUAGCUCCAACUAAAGAUUGUAAUCUCACGACAAAUUAUGUCAUAUUUAUAGAAUUAAGUCACUUUUUUCCUUGUUCCCGUAAUAUUUUUGCUUCUUGCUUGCUGCAGUCAAUUAAAUAUUUUGAAAAAAAAAUAUAAUCAGUGCACUGUCACAUUAUUAUGCUUGACUUUACUAAAUAUUCAUAAAUUUACCAACAAUCAAAUACGUAAUAUUUAAUGUAAUUAGACUUACAAAUACUUAACGAAAGACCGAUUAUUUCUUAAAAUUUCAAUUUCUUGGUUCACGUUAUCCUUGAAAUCAUUCUCGUUACCCUUAUCUACAUUUUCAGCCAUUUUCGAGUUUAUAACAAGAACCUGUACAUGAAGAUAUUAGGCACAAAAAGAAAUGUCAAAGAUCACAAGUUUUGGAUCCUGUAAAAAUAUUUUACAGAUAAACAUUUCAAUUCAAAAUUCAAUCGCCCGAGCAAUAAUUAGGAACACCUGGAAAGUUAAACUGGUAUUUGCUUCCAUAACAGUGACAAACAAUAACCAUUCACAACAUUAGUUAUAAUCCUUAAAAAGAAAUAACAAACUUCAAAAAAAAAUAUAUAGACGUUUUACAAUGACUGUUGGCUUGGCACAUCAAUCUAAAGCUCACAAGCAGUUUGCAUUUCUCAUCAUCUCUUUCUUCUUCCCUCUAUUAUCAAUGGAUUGUAGAAGCUCAAAUGAAGCAAGUAGCAGCAGGAACAACACAAGCAACUUUUACUAUCAAUCCCCAUCCUUCUCCAUUCAAAAUGCAUCAUGACCAUUUUCCGGCCAGCUCCAUACACAAAAACAACAGUAAAUAUAUCCGGAAACAACAAAAAAAUUAACCCAAAAGUAGUAGUAAAUUUAUACAAAAACAGAAAAAAAUUUAACUGAAAUACGGCAGCAAAUUAACCCAAAACCAGCAGAAUUUUAACACAGAAAUAGCAGCAACUGAAGCCCAAAACACCCGAAAAUUUUACCCAAAAACAGCAGUAAAUUUAUCCAGAAACAGCAGAAAAAUUAAUUGAAAAACAGCAGCAAAUUUACCCAGAAGCAGCAGAAAAUUUAACCCAAAAAUAGCAGUAAAUUUAUCUAGAAACAGCAGAAAAUUUAAUUGAAAAACAGCAGCAAAUUUACCCAGAAGUAGCAGAAAAUUUAACACAAAAACAGCAGCAAAUGAAGCCCAAAACAGCAGAAAAUUUAACCACAAAACAGCAGAAAAUUUAACCCAAAAACAGCAGUAAAUUUAUCCAGAAACAGCAAAAAAUUUAACUGAAAAACAGCAGCAAAUUUACCGAGAAACAACAGAAAAUUUAACACAAAAACAGUAGCAAAUGAAGCCCAAAACACCAGAAAAAUUUACCUCCAAACAGCAGAAAAUAUAACCCAAAAACAGCAGUAAAUUGAUCCAAAAACAGCAGAAAAUUAGACUAAAAACAGCAGCCAAUUUACCCAGAAACAGCAAAAAAUUUAACUCAAAAUCAGCAGCAAAUGAAGCCCAAAACACCAGAAAAAUUUAACCCAAGAACAACAGCAAAUCAUUCCAAAUACAGCAUAAAAUUUACCCAGAAAAAAAAAGCAUAUCAAAUCAUCCCAAAUACAGCAGCAAAUCAUCCCUACGUUUCAAACAUGCUUCUCUAGGCUAACUCUAGACUUAAUUUUCCCUUCAUUACCACAGUGGAACUCAUUCUAACUGGUAAAUUUAUUUGUAUAAACAAUAAUUCACUUUCUAUUGAACUAAGAGUUGAUGAAAUUCAUUGAUAUUGAAAUUAUUUGCAGUUGAUGAACCUCGUAUUCUAUUAAACUUCCAACCAAAAUCAAUGCACAUGAGAAUACAAAAUCAAGGGCACAACAAUUAACGAAAUUUACUUUUAAUUUCGUCCAAACCUAUACAUCGCACCAAAUUAAGGUUCAGUUUCUAUUUCUUCAUUAACCCAAGUGACACAAAACAAUUCUAUUAAAUUUUAUGUUGAAAUUAUUUGUAGCAAACAAACAAAUAUACCAAAAAUAGGCUUACUUGGUGGAAUUAACAACAAUGCAAACGCGGUGGAGGGGAAUCAGUGGCUGGAACUUGCCUUGCCUUCUCUUCCAAUCAAUAAGAUUGAGGGCAGCAGCAACAACUUAUGAUCAACACCUGGUACUCCGCUUCAGGCACUGUCAAAUCUCAUCAAAAUUUCUUUAUCCCUUAAUUCUCUUGGAAACCAAACAAAAUACCACAACCAAUCCAGAUGCACAGUAUCCAAAAAUUAUAAAAAAAUCCACUUAAAAAACUUAAAAAAGGGUUAAAAAAAGUCUUAAGAAGAGUUUACCUCCUGAAUCACUGAUGCCCAGCCGGUAUCGUUGUUCCAAAACCCCUUGACGAAUACGAACACAGCCUGGUUCUCCUCAACCAAGUUGUUGUAGAGCUUCUUCUUGUCCGAUUAAAUAAUCUAUUGGUAUUUAGUGAUGGAUUUAAAGAGGAACGCCUUGGCGAUGGGCAAAUUUCAAAUCCGCUUCUGUUUUGCUGCAAGCAGAUUUCAAAUCGGUGAUGGGCAGGAACACAAACUCAGCCCCUUCACCAACAUGAACCGUUGUAGAGCUUCUUAUUUCUCGCUUCUUUUUGGCUUCAGGCAGUUUUCAAAGCGAUGAUUGGCAGGAAAAGAGGAACGAUUGAGGAAAACAAAAUUUGGGUUAGCCAGCAAGCACAAUCGCUUCGAAAAUACAAGAUCCGGCGUGCUGCAAUUUCUUAGACUCGAUGUUGUGCCCUUCGAAUUAUGAGAUUCUAUUUGGAUUUUUGUAGAUUCGGUUUUAAAAAAAUAUAUAUAUAUAUAUAUAUGUAUGUAUAUAAUUUUGAAAAUUUUAACCAGUUAAUUUUUUUAAAUAAAUGUUUAGCCGGUUAACAACCGGUUAAUGAAAAAAAUUUACAAAUUUUUUUAUUAUGUUAUAGUUAUUGCAUGCUGUUGAUUUAAUCCAACGGUGUACAGUAAUUACGGCAUUAAUACCGUAAUUUUUAUUACGGUAUUAUAGAAUUUUCCUUUUAAAAUUUUAUGUCUAUAUUUAUCAAAAAAAGUUAUCCAGAAUUAUUAUCUAUUUUUGAUACACAUUGAUUUAUUAAAAAAACAAUUAAAAACUGCAAUUCUAAACUUAUCGUUGUGCACUGUGCUUUGACCUUGGGGUGGUUUUUUUCUGUUUUUUUACGUAGGCCAGAACCUUAAUGAAGAAAGUUUUCAUCGUUAAUUGCUUUUGACCUAGGAGAAUUUAUUACUUGGACAAAUUAACACCAUUGUCCUUUGAUGCGGCUCCUAGAUAUCUAUGCAAUUUGUGUCAUUUACUUUUGCUUUGUAUUCUUUUUUAAAUGAGUCCUGACUGGUUCAUUGGCAGAUAAAUGAGUCGGUUUUUCUGUUUUUAUUUUUUAUUUUUUAUUUUUUGAAAGACGGUUUUUCUGUUACGAAACUUUUCAUGGAUGAAUUUUUUUUUUAAUUUUAUAGAUUCUCUGCGAAGGCAGUUUAGAAGUACUAAGUUUUGUUAGGUAGAAGGGUAUUUAAGUAUUUUCAUUUCAUAUUUUGACAUUUCCUUGACCUUUGAAGUAUUGAAUCAUUGUGUUGGUAUUUAAGUAAAUCUGCCCACAAUGAGGAAUAUAUAGUUCAGAACAGUUGAGGAAGCAUGAGAAUACUUGAGGAAAACCUGAUCUGCACUCUUUCCUCUAUAUGUGUCUUCAAUAUAAAUGGCUCAAAUAUAUGCGUUAUGAUCUUUUAAUAUUUCGCCUCUGAUAUUGCCCACAUUGCUUACUGCAAUAGAUAAAGCACUUCGUUUACCCCAAAUCCUGAUAGGGAAGUAUAAAUAUAUGCUUCCGAAAUAGCGCAACUCUCCAUAAUUAUUUAAUAUGCCUCUCAAUGAAGCAAUCACUUCAUUUACAAUUCUUCGAUUAUUAAUCCUACAUACACGUGUUUCUUUUGUCUCUAAAAGUAUUCUCAAUUAAUUUACAUAAUUUAAUAUAAUAAGUACCUAAGACUAGACAAAUUACCAUUACAAUAAAAUGAAUAAAUUAUAAUAGUAUUGACACAAUAAUGUCAAUAAUAAAUGCCUUAACAAACCUAUAAAUUUUAGAAUAUGGCUCAGAGUGCUACAAUGAACCACAACAAGUUAUUAUAUUAUCUAUAAUCAAUAUUCCAAUGAUAAUAGAGCUUUUCUAUUUUCAAUCCGCUGCUUUUCUGUUUAGCGAUUGCCAAAUUUUAUAUCUAAAAUUCUUCUAAUUUUACACUAAGGUUUAUUUAAAAAAAAAAAAAAGGGGGUAGGAGAGAGAGACUCAGAGAGUAUUAAAAAAUGUAAUUCUAAAUUUUUACUUGAGCGUUGUGUGAUUUUUAUCAUUUUUUUUAAGUUGGCCAUUUAUAUUGAGUAAAUAAAAGAAUGAAUAGACGUUUGGACCACUUCUUUUCUGUUAUAAUAAAACAUGAGAUGUCUUUUCUUGAUGUUUUCGUCACAAAAGAAUAUGUUUAUGUCAUCAUAGGCUUAAAUGGGGUAAGUAAAUUAAGAUCGAGGAAAAGUUUGUUUAAGCACUAAAGUCGCUAAAUAAACGAAAGGCUCAUAUAAAAAUUACCUAAAGCACCAAAUAUUGUUAUUUAGCUACUUCUUUUAUGUUACAUUAGUUUCUACGCAAAUUUAUAUAAAUAAUUUAUAACUCCCAUCAUUAUUAAAAAAAAAAAAAAACUGUAGCAAUUGUGGUUAUAUCACGUGGUGUGAUCUUUUGACAAUUCUCCCACAUCCCACCAAAAACUCUUACGCGGCAUGAACUUUUGACAAUUCUCCCAUAUCCCACCAAAAAUUUGUCAUGUUGCGAAAGGCAAUGUCAAUUGCAAUGUCAUUUCCAUUAGUCAUAGUAGCAGACAAUGGAGGUCCCGGGAUAGGACUAGAAGUUUUUGAAAUCUUGGACUUAUUCUUACUUUAUUUUUUCUUUUGAAAAUGAGAAAAGGACACCCGUUUGAGGAAAUAAUUUUGUAGAACCUCAUAUCGUGAAUAGGGGAUAAUAAGACUUUUUUUUUUUUUUACUUCACUGCAAUAUUCUUUAAUUUUAUUAAUUUUAUAUUUUAUAAUAAAUAUAAAUGUGAUAUUAAAAUAAAUGUAAUAAUAUAUACAUAUUAAAAUAACUUGAUAUUGAAAAAUAUUUUAAUAUUUUACAAUCCCGUAUUACAUUAAACCAAACUAUAAUAAAUAGAUAUAAUAUUAAAAUAAAUAUAUAAAAGUUUAAAUUAUUUUGAAUAUCAUAUAAAAUAAUUUUAAUAUUAUUAAUAAAUCAGAAGUAUUACAUUAAUUGUAAAAUCUAUCUAAUCCAAGGAUUUAUUUAAAUUUUUUAUAAUAAAUUAAAAAUAUAUUAAUUAACAUUUUAAAAAUUAAUAAUGAAAUUAAUUAUAUAAGUUAUACAUAUUAGUCUACUAGAAAGAUUUAAACUAUUUCAAUCAGAUUUACAUUUAGUGAAAAUUUUUGAAGUUAAUGGUUUUGGUUAUCGUCUACUAAGAAUCUUGCAGUUAAAAGGGGUAUUGACAUUCUUUAUUAAAAAUUUGAGGUCUACAUAACUAUUUUUUAAAAAUUUAAGGGUGUCAUUUUUAUUUUUAACAAAAAUAAAAUUUCAUUUAAAUGGCUAAAAUGGUGAAUAAUACAAUGUUACAGCUGGCGUAACAUUGUAUUAUAUGUUAAAUUUUUUUAAAUAUUUGUAUAUAUUGUUAUAUGAUAUUAUAAUAUUAUAUUUAUAUUUAUUAAAAUAUAAGAGUUAAUAUUUUUAAAUUAAUAAAGACAAAAAGUAUUAUAAUAAAAAAGAAUUCUUUUAUUAAAAAUAUAAUCAUUCUCCCAAACUUAUCCUUGUCCCUUUUUGAAAGGAAAAAAUAAAUUAGAAAAGUCUUUGGUCAUGAUAACUUCUAGCCUUGUCCCAUGGGACAUGGCUACGGUGCAGAAGCUGAAAGUAACAGCUUCGAACUUUCCCAUUUCCAUCACCUUGCAUUGGGACCUCUUUCUCUCUCCUCUAGCACCAGUGGAAGUUCCCCAUUGGCCGCUGUUACUUACAGAAGCUGUAACAUAGACUUCUAGCCAUGUCCCGUGAUGUCCAUUGUCUGCCACUAUCAAUAAUGGCAAUGACAUUGCAAAUGAAACAUUGAAAAUGUAUUUUCACAAUAUGACAAAAUGGGAGGAUUGUCAAAAGUUCACUGAAACUAGAGUUAGAUCUAAUUUCAUUUAUUUCAUAAAUUAGAAAAGUCUAUGGUCGUGAUAACUUCUAGCCAUGUCCCGUGAUGUCCAUUGUCUGCCACUAUGAAUAAUGAAAAUGACAUUGCAAUUGAAACUUUGAAAGGUAUUUUCGCAAUAUGACAAAGCUUUUGUUGGGAUACGGGAGGAUUGUCAAAAAUUCACACCACGUGAAACUAGCGUUAGAUCUAAUUUUAUGUCGUCAGUUCCUUAUAUAUUUAUUUCAUUUAUUUUAUACAUAGCUGUUUUAGGGUGAUAUUGUUUUGUAAAGAUAUAAUAGUAUGGUACUAUAAAAAGAAAAGAGGUGUGUGUAUACUUCCCAGUGUAAUAAUUAUAUGUAGAAGAAAACUAACAAGAGGAAAAAUGACAAAGAGCAAGGCGCUGGUUGUGGGGAGAAGAGGAUAGAGAAGGCAAUCUUAGCUUGUUGAUUGAGGGCUCAUUUUCUGAUCAUCGUAGCCUUGUUGGAGCUGUCAAACAAGUCGAUGUUGUCAUUUGCACCAUGUCGGGGGCUCAUUUAAGGAGCCACAAACAUUUUGAUGUUGCUUAAACCUGUUGAGUCCAUCAAAUAAGCUGUAAAUAUUAAGGUACGUAAUCCUUAAUUUUUAUGUAAUUUUAAUUUCAGAUCCAAAAUUGCAUGCAAGUCAUUAAAUUUCUUUCCUUUUUUUAUUUUUUAUUUGAUGAGUUACUUGAUUUGGUCGGGUGCCUUUUUUUUUCCUUUGGUUUUUCUUUUUCCAAAACAUAAAUAGACCAAGCACAUCUCCAAAUCGGGUUGGAGCGGGGAUUCUAACUCUACGAUGGCCAUAUUAAAAUUUAAAAUUUUUUAAUUUAUUUUUUCUUUUAUAACUACAUCUCAAUAUUUGAAAAAAUGAUUAUAUAGAUCUAUAUAUUAUCGAACCCAAAAUUAUAAUAAUACAUGUAAUUAUUCUAUACAUGCGUCAACAAGGCAACAGUAACCAAAUACAUGAUAUGCGAAGGGGGUGCAUGAUUAAGUCCUUUUUUUAUUCAAUUCAUUGUUAUUAUUUUUCAGCAGUUACCAGUGAUCUUUUUGCUCAUUAAAAUUAUUCUUAAAUAUUCAACGCCCAGAAGAGAAGCUCAUCAACUAUCAGAUCCCGGAUAAUUAAAGAGGUGAACUUGUUCUAAAUCCUUUGAUAAUUUCUAUUAAUAGCAUAAUCUCCUUGAUCCAAGAAAAAAUAUCUCCUGUUUGUCUUAAUCUUGUCAUUUAAUUUUUUCAACAGCAAAUAUAUAUACACACGCACACACACAUAUUGUUAAAAAGUGCAGAAAAACCACUCAAAAACGUGGAGAAAAACCACUCAAAUUUAUACAUGCGUCAACAGGGAAACAGUAACCAAAUACGUGAUACAAAAAGGGGUGAAUGAUUCUGUCUUUGCCUUUUGCAAGUCGCUGUUAUUACUCUCAUCAACUCCUUUCUCGCACAUUUCUCAGCAGUUACCAGUAAUAUUUAAAAUCGCUGUGUAGAUAUGCAAAGUUCCGUAAGUGCAUUAAUAAUUAUUUGCCAGAAAAAAAUAGUUGCGUCAAUAUUAAAGGAAUUGACAUCCAGGGGACCCAAUUUAGUUGCUUAAUGAUUAUUUAAUUAAUUAAUUUAUAAUAUAUUAAUCUUUUAAGUUGAAUAUUUAAAAUCUUAGACCCGAAACAAUAAAUCAUCUGAGGCAAAUAAAAGAGAAAUUAUCAUCCUUUUUUCUUUUUUUAACUUCUUGUAGCUUAUAAAAGAGAAAUUAUCAGUCAUUUACUCAAAGUUUAUUCAAUUAUUAAAAUUAUUAUAAAAAUUUAAAUUUAUUUAAUUUUACAUCCAAUGUAUGCAAUUUGUAUGAAACAUCUGUUAAAAAUAUAAAGUUAUUCGUUCAAAGUGACAAAAUAGAAGCGAACACAAAAUUGUAGUGGUGAUUAUGUUUUAGGAGUAACUUUAUUUUUUUAGUAAACAGUUGAUACACAUUUUAUAACUUUUGGAUAAUAAAAUAAUUUUUAGGUGGAUGAUUGAAAAUUUUUCUUUUCAAAAUAUUUUGAAAACAAUACCAAAUGUACCAAAACAUUGUUUACUUUCACUCUCUCUCUCUCUCUCUCUAUCUAUCUAUCUAUAUAUAUAUAUAUAUAUAUAUUAUUUCUUAACUCAUUCUUAUCCUUAUUCUUUCUAACAUAUCCACAAUCUGUCAAUGAAAUUUACUUUUAUAAAUUUAAAGAUUUUUUCAUGCAAUUUUGUACGAUGAUGAGUUCUCAUAUUUAUGUUAAAAAAUAAUUCGUAAAUAAUACAAAUGAAAAAAACAAAAAGUAGCAGGGCUGGCAAUACAAAACCAUAACUUUUUUUCUUUGAAUUUUGCAUAAAUAAAGUCAAUAGUGAUUUGUCAGCGCGAUCUUGAGAGCACGGCUUGGAGUCUCAAUAAUUAUUGACACUCAUAUUUGAAAACUUUCGAAAAGAUAAAAUCCAAUAUGAAAGGUGAAACGUUAUAAUCAUAGUAACUAGAAAAUUGAUUGAUUUACAAAUAUCAAUUUAAACAAUUUUCAUGUUGAUCGACAAUUUAAGUAGAUUGACAAAGAUUGAAGUAAUUACUGUUGGUGAUGAUUGACUUUGUCCUUAUCCUUGCCUUCUUCUUAUCAAAAAUCCAGUGUCAAUUAAAUUGGGCCAGGGUUUCUGAUUGCAACUAAUGGACUUCAUAUACGCAUAAUGGUCCCUACGUAUAUGCGUACCAAUAUUUGAUUGAAAAAGGGGGUGCAUGCUUAAUGCUCAAGUCGUCUUCUUUUGGAAAUUCAUUGUUAUUACUCUCAUCAACUCGUUCCUCACAUUCCUCUUUAGUCAAAACCUGUAAUAUUUCUUCUAUAUUCAAGGUGAAUACAGCAGCUCAUCAACUCUUAUCCCAGACAGGUAAAGAGGUGCACUUGUUCUAAAACCUGUAAUAUUCUUUUAGUAGCAGAAUCUCUGAUACUUGAUCUUCAUAGCGGUUCUUUCUUAAUUUCCAUAAACUUUCCUAGGAAAAAAAUUCUCUGGUUUUUCUUAAUCAUAUCAUUUACUUUUCUUAAGUCAUAUCAUUUAUUUUUAGUAGCAGAAUACUUGAUCUUGAUAGCCAUUCUUUCUUAAUUUCCAUCAACUUUCCUUGAAGGAUACCUUUCUGUUAAUAGCGAAACCUCUGAUCCUUAAGAUAGAAAAAGAAAUUCUCUACUUAGGUAUCAGUUGGUUCAAAAUCAAUAUCGCGAUGUUGUUUGCGGUCUUUUCUUUCUCUGUCUUUCCCUCUAGUUCAUUUUAAUUUAUUUGUAUUCCUUUCUUUGACAUUUUUAUUCAUUUUAUAUAUAUAUAUAUAUUGUUAAGCAAUAGGCAAUGGCUGCAGAAGUGGGUCUGGCUGCUUUUUCCAGCAUCGUAUCAGAAGGUGCAAAGUCACUGUUCAAACCGAUUAUACGGCAGAUCUCUUAUGUGUUCAAGUACCAGAGCUACGUAGAUGAGCUAAAAGAUCAAGUGAAACAGCUGGGAUAUAAAAGAGAAAUGGUGCAGCAACCAGUUAAUCAUGCUAGGCUACAAGGUGAUGAGCUUUAUGAGGGUGUCACAGACUGGCUACAUAGCGUUGAUGAAUUCAUCAGUAAAGGGGUUGCAAAAUCCAUUAUUGAUGAUGAAGAUAGAGCUAAGAAGUCCUGCUUCAAAGGAUCGUGCCCAAAUUUGAUUUCCCGUUACAAGGUCAGUAAACAUGCAGCAAAGGCCGCAGAAGCUGCCGCUAGUCUCAUGGGAAAAGGCAACUUCUCUAAUGUUUCCUACCGUCCUGCUCCAAAGCGGGCAAAACAUAUGCAAGUGAAAGAUUUCGAGGCCUUUGAUUCAAGAAUGAAAGUAUUUCAAGAUGUUAUGGAGGCGUUGAGGGAUGAUAAGCUCAACAUAAUUGGGGUCUACGGGAUGGGCGGCGUGGGUAAAACCACGAUAGUCAAGCAAGUUGCAAAGCAAGUGAUGGAAGAAAACUUGUUCGAUAAGGUCGUUAUGGCUGAGGUAACACAGACCCCAGAUCAUCAUAAAAUUCAAAACAAACUUGCUUUUGAUUUGGGCAUGGAAUUUGGCUUGAAUGAGAAUGAAUUCCAAAGAGCUGAACGAUUACAUAAAAGAUUGAAGAAAGAGAAGCAGCUCCUCAUUAUAUUAGAUAAUAUUUGGACAAAACUUGAGUUGGAUAAAAUUGGAAUUCCAACCGGGGAUGUUGCUGAGAAAGAUAGAAAGGAUGAUCAGAGAAGAUGCACAAUAAUAUUGACGUCUAGAAAGCAAGAUUUAUUGCGCAUUGAUAUGAAUUCUCAGAAAAAUUUCCCGAUCGAUGCUUUGCCACGAAAAGAAGCAUUGCAGUUAUUUGAGAAGAUAGUGGGUGAUUCAACUAAAAUAUCUACUUUUCAAAGUAUAGCAAAUGAGAUCGUUGAAAGAUGCGGAGGUUUGCCUGUUGCACUGAGUACAGUUGCAAAUGCUCUGAAAACUAAGGAGCUUGACUUUUGGAAAGAUGCAUUGAAUCAGCUAAGAAGAUCGGAUGCAAGAGAAAUUCAUGGCAUGCAAGCAAAUGUUUACACCUCCAUAAAAUUGAGUUAUGACUUCUUGGAAAGUGAGGAGGCAAAAUCUUUGUUUCGUCUUUGUGGUCUAUACAGUGAAGGUAAUGUCAUACAAGUUUCUAACUUAUUGAGAUAUGGUGUGGGUUGGGGUUUGUUUGAAAAUGUUUACACAUUAGAAGAAGCAAGGAGUAGAGUGCAUCGGUUGAUCGACAACCUCAAAUCUUCAUGCUUAUUGUUGGGCGGUGAUGCUAAAGAUGAAGUUAAAAUACAUGACGUCAUUCAUGUUGUUGCCGUAUCAAUUGCCGCAGAGAAGCGCAUGUUUAAUAUUCCAAAUGUUGCCGACUUAGAGAAAAAGAUGGAAGAGACAAUACGGAAAGAUCCAAUUGCCAUUUCAUUACCCCAGAGAAAUAUUCAAGAGCUCCCUGAAAGGUUGCAAUGUCCCAAUCUCCAGUUAUUUUUGUUGUUUAGAAAGGGUAAUGGCCCUAUGCAAAUUUCAGACCUCUUUUUUGAAGGGACAGAAGAACUCAAAGUGUUAAGUCUUAUCAGAAUUCCUUUCUCUUCAUUACCUUCGUCACUUGGUCGCCUCAUUAACCUUCAAACAUUGUGUUUAGAUGGUUGCGGACUAAAAGAUAUAGCAAUAGUUGGACAGCUAAAGAAAUUAGAGAUUCUCAGCCUUCGAGAUUCUGAUGUUAAGGAGUUGCCACUUGUAAUUGGACAAUUGACGAGAUUACAGUUGCUAGAUUUGAGCAAUUGUAGCAGCCUUGUGGUGAUAGCUCCAAAUGUCAUAUCAAAAUUAUCUCGAUUAGAAGAACUAUAUAUGGGUAACAGCUUUUCACAUUGGGAGAAGGUUGAAGGAGGAAGUAACGCCAAUCUUGUUGAGUUGAAGGGGUUGUCAAAGCUAACUACUUUGGAGAUACACGUUCGGGAUGCCGAAAUUCUACCGCAGGAUUUGGUCUCUGUGGAAUUGCAAAGAUACAGGAUAUGUAUAGGAAAUAAGUGGUGGAGCAGCUGGUCCGUUAAAUCUGGAUUAUCAAGAUUGAUGAAGCUCCAGGGGCUGGAAAAGUUUGGCAUUCUUUUGCAAAAUUACAGAAUGAAAAUGUUGCUGCAGAGAACUGAAGAUCUCUAUCUAGAAGAACUGAAGGGUGUUCAGAAUGUUGUUCAUGAAUUAGACGAUGGGGAGGGUUAUCCACGAUUGAAGCGUCUUCGUGUAGAAAGUUGUUCUGAGAUUUUACAUAUUGUCGGUUCAGUUAGACGGGUUGGUUGCGAAGUCUUUCCCUUGCUGGAGUCAUUGUCUCUUAUGUUUUUAACUAAUUUGGAGACGAUAUGCUACAGCCAACUCAAUGAAGAUCAAUCUUUCAGCAACUUAAGGAUUAUAUACGUAUAUUGUUGUGACAAACUGAAGCAUCUCUUCUCAUUCUCUAUGGCCAAAAGACUAUUGCGGCUUCAAAAAGUAGAAGUGGAAAACUGCUAUGAUUUGAAAAUGAUUAUUGGUAAGUGUUGAAAUUAAUUAUUGGUAGGAUUAUUGACACUGACUAAUUCUUUUUUUCUUUUUUUUUUUGGUGAAAAAAACAACGGAUGUUUAUAAUAUAUUGUUUUUGUUCAUUUAUAGGGCCCGACAUGGAGAAACCAACAACUACUGAGGGAUUCACAGAAAUCAAUGCAGAGGAUGAUCAGGUGAUAAUUUUCUGUUUAAUAAUUAAUUAAAAAAUAUAUUAUCGCGAUUGAUCUUCAAUCAUCGAAAGAAUAUUAUAUUAGAAGUUGUAGUUGAAGGAACAAAAAUGUACGGUUUUGCUUUGCAGGUUAUUUUUCCACACUUGGAGGAACUGAAACUUGGCCGUUUAAGAAGCAUCAAAAAAUUAUGGCCCGAUCAAUUUCAGGGAAUGAAUUGUUGUCAAAAUUUAACAAAAGUGACCGUGUGGAGAUGUGAUGGUCUGAAGUAUCUGUUUUCAUAUUCUAUGGUUAAUAGUCUUGGGCAACUCCAACAUCUUAAAAUAAGUUUUUGUAAGUCAAUGGAAGGGGUAGUCAACAACACCACGGGGAGGUUAGGAGGAAGAGAUGAAUUUAAGGUUUUUCCUAAACUACACUCCCUGCAGCUCACUGGUCUUCCAAAACUAAGUAGCUUUGCCUCACCAGAAGACGUCAUUCACACUGAAAUGCAACCUCAAUCUUUCUUUGAUGAAAAGGUUUUUUUUUUUUUAAUUAAUUUUAUUCUCAAUAGUUAAUUUCUUCUUUCGUUGAGUCUUCAAAUCUAAUUGUAUUGAAUUUUUAACUUCAGGUACGACUCCCAAGUCUGGAGGUAUUACAUAUUGUUUGGAUGGAUAAGUUGAGAAAAAUAUGGCACCACCAGCUUGCUUCGAAGUCUUUUAGCAAAUUGAAAAAAUUGGAGAUAUCUGAGUGUGAUAAUCUACUGAAUAUUUUUCCUCCAUUGGUAAGAUUGCUCUAUUCAUUUUCAAUUUUUAUUUCAAAUAACAUUCAACAAUUAUUUUAAUCAUUUUUGUGUUUACAAAUAAUUUUCAUUCACAAAUUAUUUAUUGCAAGUAUUGUACUUCAAACUUCUGGAGGGAAAAAAAGUAUUGUACUUCAAAUCACCAUUCUGAACUCUGCAUUUUCAAUCUAAUUUAUAGGUUCACCUGCAUUAAAGUCAACAAUAUAAUUGUUUUAAACACGAUUUAACAGCAUAAUAUAAUUCAAUUUACUUGUUUUUUUUCUUAAAUCCUAAUAAAUAAGAUUUUCAGAAAUUAAAAGAUACUUAGUUACUCAGCUUUUAAGUUCACAAAUUCAUGAUGGUCAUUUUGAAUCGAUCGUCGAUUAAAAAGUUUCCUCAAAUAUUCACUCUAUAACAGUCCCAUGUUGAUGGCGUUAGGAAGUGUUUUCCAAAAAUGUUUUCCAUUUUUAAAAGCAUGAAUAUCGGGAAAAAAUGGGAAAUACAGCGUUUUAGUUUAGUUAUUUUAAAAAUAGGCAUGUUUGAAAAUUAAAAUUUUUUAAAAACUAGCAUCAAGAUGAAAAAUGAAUUUAGAAUAUUUAAAAAUUACCUGAAAUUCUUUCUCUAUUCCUAAUACUAAAUAGUGUAAAUACAUUUUCAUUAUCUUUAUUUUUCUGGACUUCUAUUUAUUUAUUUUUGUUUUAAUUUUUUCCUUUUUUCUUUAACAAAAAAUAUCUAGUAGACAUUCAUGGUUUGUUAUUUUUCAUAAAACAAUUGUAUGAUUUUGACAUACUUUGAAUCUAGUUGAAUGCUACUCUUUAUUUUCAGGUUGGAAUUCCCAAUAGUCUAGUGAAUCUUAAUGUAUCAUACUGCAAAAAAUUAGAAGAAAUCAUAGGACAUGUUGGAGAAGAAGCGAAGGAGAAUCGUAUUGCUUUAAGUGAAUUAAAACUUUUGGAACUUGAUCAUUUACCAAGGCUUGCCAGCUUUUGUUUGGAGAAUUACACUCUUGAAUUCCCAUCAUUGGAACGAAUUUCAACGACACAGUGUCCGAGCAUGAAGACUUUUUCUCAGGGAACCUUAUCCACACCAAAGCUGCACGAAGUGCAGGUGAGUAAAAAGGAAGUAUUAAUUUACCAAGCCUUUUUAUAUGUGCAUAGAAGAUUCUACACACAUUGCACACACGCACAGUUUACUACUAACAACCUCUAUAACAACCUUUAGCUGACUCAGCUGCCAUGUCAGCAUACUCAUUAACUAACUAAUUCUAUUCUUAACAGGAAGAGGGUGGAUUGCGCCGUUGGGAAGGCAACCUUAAUUCCACUAUACAAAAGUGUUACGAAGAAAUGGUAUGUGUUAAAUCGAUUCGUCGAAAUUACUUAUGCAUCUCCCUUGCACUUGCACAUUUAAGUAUAUACACCUGCCUUGUAUAUAUAGUUUUAGAAGUUAAAACACAAAACAUGUAAGUUUAAUGUACAUAUAUCUAAUGCCUUUCAAAAAGAAAAAAAUUUAUAUAUAUCCAGUGCAAUUGUUUUGGUUUGUGCAGAUUGGAUUCCAUGACAUACAGUAUUUGCAACUCUCACAUUUUCCACGUUUGAAAGAAAUAUGGCAUGGCCAAGCACUGCCUGUCAGCUUCUUCAACAAUUUAGUAGUGCUCACGGUGGAUGACUGCACGAAUAUGUCGAGUGCUAUUCCUGCCAAUCUGCUACGGUGCUUGAACAAUUUGGAAUGGCUGGAAGUGAGGAAUUGUGAUUCACUAGAAGAGGUGCUUCAUUUGGAAGAGCUAAAUGCUAAGGAAGAACAUAUAGGCCCCCGGUUUCCUAGGCUUAACAGACUAAGGCUCAUUGAUCUUCCAAAACUCAAAAGAUUCUGCAACUUCACUGGGAAUAUAAUUGAACUGCCUGAGUUGAGAUAUCUAACUAUUGAGAAUUGCCCUGAUAUGGAAACAUUCAUAUCCAACUCUUUAGUGCACGUGACAACAGAUAACAAGAAACCUCAAAAAUUAACAUCAGAAGAGAACUUUUUGCUGGCUCAUCAAGUACAACCUCUCUUCGAUGAAAAGGUGAUUAUUAUUAUUAUUAUUAUUAUUAUUAUUAUUAUUAUUAUUAUUAUUGUUAUUAUUAUUAUUAUUAUUAUUAUUUUUCCCUUCACUUUCGUUCGCAUAGAUGUAAUUUCAUUAGAAUCAAGCCAAAUUUAAUGACUCAUCUUUUUGCAUGUCAUCUUAAUUUAUAUCUGAUUUAACAAUAUAACCGCAGUUAUUAACUAUCUUUAUAGUAUGAAUUAUAAAAAUGUCUGAAAUUAAUUGGAUGCCUGAUAACACGAGGUGAUGAACUAUAUUAAUUAUGUGUGUUACAUCUCUGUUUUCCUAGCUAAUUCAUAUUGGAUUUAGCCUCAGAUUUCAUUUAUGUGUUUCAAAGAGUAAGCGAUUUGAUACUUUUAUUUGGGAUCCUACUGCAAAGCAUACUAAUUUGGAAAUAAAAUAUAAAAUGCCGUGAUCAACCUUGUCCAUAAAAUAUGCAGGGGAAGACGGCAGAGAUUGGAUACAUAUUUUCAUUUACAACUUAAUUUUGUUGAUUUUCAGGUUGCAUUCCCUAAAUUGUGGGGGUUAAAGCUGUCUAGAUUACCCAAUGUGUUGCAUUUCUGGAAGGAAAAUGCCGAAUCCAACAAAGUGUUUGCAAACUUGGAAACUCUAGAAAUAUCGGAAUGCAGUAAGUUGCAAAAAUUAGUACCACCUUCAUGGCAUUUGGAAAAUCUUGCGACUCUGGAAGUAUCGAAAUGUCACGGGUUGAUAAAUUUGUUGACGCUCUCAGCAUCUAAAAAUCUAGUGACUCUUCAAAGAAUGAAGAUAGCUGAUUGCAAAAUGAUAGAACAAAUCAUACAAUUGCAGGUUGGAGAAGAAGCGAAAGGUUGCGUUGUCUUCGAGGAAUUGGAGUACUUGGGACUUGAUUGUUUGCCAAGCCUAACAAGCUUUUGUUUGGGUAAUUACGCUCUUGAAUUCCCGUCCUUGAAACAAGUAGUUGUGAGACAGUGUCCAAAAAUGAAGAUCUUCUCUCAAGGAGUCUUAGACACACCAAUGCUAAACAAAGUGAACGUCACCGAAGAAGAAAAAGAUGAUGAUGAAGAAGAUGAUGAUGAUGAUGAUGAUGAUGAUGAUGAUGAUGAUGAUGAUGAUGAUGACGACGACGACGACGACGAUGAAGAAGAAGUAGAUGAUGAUGAUGAUGAUGUUGGGAAGGCAACCUCAAUGACACCAUAAAAAAAUUGUUCAAUGAAAUGGUGAGUAUCAAUUAAGUUUUGGUGCUAUUUAGCAAAUAAUUUUAUAGAAACCAAUGUGAUAUAAUAUGAUUGGUUGACUGAAAAUAUAUAAUAAUAAAAAAUAAAUAAAUUAUGAGGACCAUGUAAUGUUUUUGUUUAACUAAUCAUAUUAUAUCGCAUCAGUUUAUACAAUAUUGUUUGUGCACAAGAGGUGGUGGUCAUAUAAUUACUCUAGCUUUAUUAUUCUUAUGGUGGCAAUGUAUGCUUGCUUACACGAGUAAUUACAAAAUCUGCAGAAUUCUAAAGAAGAGAUUGAGCCAAUCCUUCAGGUACAGUGAAGAAGCUAUCCCGAACCAGGCCAAUCUCUUAUACAUGAUUUAGCUUGCUCGUUCUUCUGUACUUGAAUAAUUUGGUUCUACACAUAUUUACAAUUUUUUGCUCAUGCUACAGACUUGCAAGACACUUUGGAUUUUGUUUGAUGUAUUCUCUGUUUAAGAAAGGACUUGAAUUGAUGUUUCAUGUUUCAUGUUUCAUGCAAUAUUCGAUUAGAUUCUGCCUAAAUUUCUGUAUUAUUCAUUCAAUUGGUCUUUUAAGCAUUUGAUUUCUAACCUCUCCUGAUAGAAGAUCAUUAGCCAAAGAAAACAGCAUAAAAUUUGUGGCAUUAUGAGAAUAAGAAUUUUUUUAAGUAUAGUAAAAUUAUCUCAACCAUUGUUAAAAAUAAUUAAUCCGUCAAACUGACCUUCUCACACCAACAUGCUUUAAAUUAAAAGAAUUUCGUGAAAGUCAAGACCAUGUUAUAGAUCUCGUGGAAAUAAGUAAACCCGUAAUUUUUUUCACAGCAUCAUAAGAAAAAAUCAUUUUUUAAAAGUAUUUUUGUUAGCUGUUGAGUUUUAAUAGUAGUAGCUAUUAAACAAUAACAAUUAGUGUAUAUUAAAAAGUUGGAAACCGGUUGACACCACUCGGGAAUCGAGCAGUUCACUUGUUUGCGAGUAGAAACCAACUUUACUACUAUUUACAAUCAUACCAAAAAUAGUAACUAAAGAAUCAGGAAAUUUCCUAUUCACUAUUCUUCAUUUUUUAAUGCAAAAUUCCCAUUCGAAAACACCAAUGACUUUCAUUCAAAGUAAAUGAGAAAUUACAAUGAAAAUAGAAUCAAAAUACAUGUAUGUAUACCUAAAACAAAUGAUUUUUUUUAAUUAAAAAAAAAAAGCACAGUUGAGGUGAAAUGAAACCAGAGUCAUGAUAUCUCUGGUUCCAGCUUUGGGACAACAGCAGACUUGAGUUCUAUAUGAGAAACACGUACAGCACCAAUCAGCCGCUCCGGUAAUUCAGCUGUAGUAUUUGCCUGCAUACAGAAGAGCAAGAUAAAGAAGACACACACAGAAGCAUUAUAUCAUUCUGAGAACAUUCA